This 185027-nucleotide long non-coding RNA is filed under the name Triticum aestivum (bread wheat). RNAcentral describes it as "long non-coding RNA (TAES_LNC008557)". Lineage: Eukaryota; Viridiplantae; Streptophyta; Magnoliopsida; Poales; Poaceae. The record is from RNAcentral.
GGGAGCUUGGUACCAGUUCCAUUCUGGAGGCGAUACGCGAUGAAUCAAUGUCCGAUCCACGGGAAAGAAUCGAGAUGGCACAACGCCAAUCCCUCUACCGGCCGUCUCUCCUCGGCCUGCCUAAAGGCGAUAUCAAGCCGUAGUAGUUGCAGCCUUUAUUUAUGCAGAAAUGUUGCGAGUUUGCAUGGUUUGCUGAUCUUUCUGUCGGUGUACCCCGCAAGUGCAUAUUUGUGGUAUACAUAUGCUUAUAUGUAGCACAAGUUGAGUUUUUUUUACUAGCAAGGCGAGAUAAACUUCUUAUCGUUCGAGUUGACGCCCACCUGUAUAUACAACCCUUGAUUCAAUUGCAUUUAUUGCUUAGAUGGGAAACGAGGUAGCUGUGAUUCUUGUGAACUUAAACUCGUUGCCCCUGCUUCAGUUGAUUGGCAGUGUUGACUUCAGAAACAGAGGACGCCUGUAGUUCUGUAUAUCUAAUGCUAUUAUGCCUGUGAGGUUUUUCUCUUUUGAAGAGCGUGCUAGUUUCGAGAUCCAUUUGUAAUCUAAUGCUUGUAUGAAGGGGCUGUUUGGUUCCCAGUCACACUUUGCCACGCCUAACCUUGGGCAAAUUUGAUCAAGUUUUGUAGUUGUUUGGUUCUAGCCACACCUAAGGCAAGGAUUUUUUUUUAUGAGCAGUGAAAUCCACAUGUCAGAGACACAAAAAGUGUGGCAAGAUUUCCUUAGACAAGCUAAAGUGUGGCUAGCAAUUUGAGCAACUCAAUUAAGGCAAGUAUGGCAAGUGUGGCAAAAGUCAUGUGGCAAUAUAUGGCAGAGAUAGUCAUAAUCCAAAUAGCCCCGAAGUGUCCCACUGUUCAGUCUUUGAUAGCAAUGUUAGUAUAGUUAAGCUGAAAUCCUUGAUCUUGGAAUUUUUUUCCUUCCAUGUCCCGCUCUCAAAAGAAAAAGAAAACUGAACAAGCCCCAAAGACCACUCGAACUGCCCGACAUACCUAGUUUUGAGACAUUUCCGGCCUCUAGGUGAAAAUUAGUCCGUCAUACUGUUCGAUUCUAUAAAGUGUGAUGGUACCGCCUGCUCAUCACAUAUCUGCAACGAGCCGAGCAUCAUGUGCUACGAUCAUCUUCAUGAUUUCAUCUUUACUGGCUUGCCAAGAGGGAUGACACAUUGGUUGAUCUAGUGUAUGGACUUGGUGUGAGAGAAUUGCUGGACCGUUGGCGUGGAAGUGAUCAGUGCGAUCUCGACGAAUGGGGCAAUUUUGUUGUGAUGUGUUUAGCAUAGGAAGUGAAAUACCCAAGACUCGUACGAGCAGCUUGUUGGAUCCGCUUGUGUACGUGCUCUCAUCUCGAACUCAUCUUCCUAGUGCAUCCCAUACCCAACAGUGAUCAUCAUCCUAAUAGGCCAAGCUAAGUGCUACAUCUGCAUACACCGAGUACAACAAUAGAAAAAUGGGCAAGCCUAAAGUUUCACCAUGUAGUUGCAAGUGUUUAGCUUUUAUACUCGUUGAUACCGUGUAGCUAGGUGCAAGGGAGUGUAGCUAGGUGCAAGGGAGUGAUUCGACAAGUAUUUAUGGGUGUGUGUUGUUGAUUUUACCAUACCAACAACCACUUGUCCUCUUACGCCUCUCCCGAUCCACAUGAAGGAAAUAUGCCCUAGAGGCAAUAAUAAUGUUAUUAUUUAUUUCCUUAUAUCAUGAUAAAUGUUAAUUAUUCAUGCUGGAAUUGUAUUAACCGGAAACUUAGUACAUGUGUGAAUACAUAGACAAAACAUAGUGUCCCUAGUAUACCUUUAUUUGACUAGCUCGUUAAUCAAAGAUGAUUAUGUUUCCUAACCAUAAACAUGUGUUGUCAUUUGAUAAACGGGAUCACAUCAUUAGGACAAUGAUGUGAUGUACAAGACCCAUCCGUUAGCUUAGCAUUAUGAUCGUUACAGUUUCAUUGCUACUGCUUUCUUCAUGACUUAUACAUGUUCCUCAGACUAUGAAAUUAUGCAACUCCUGAAUACCGGAGGAACACCUUGUUAGCUAUCAAACGUCACAACAUAACUGGGUGAUUAUAAAUAUGCUCUACAUGUGUCUCCGAAGGUGUUUGUUGGGUUGGCAUAGAUCGAGAUUAGGAUUUGUCACUCCGUGUCUCGGAGAGGUAUCUCUGGGCCCUCUCGUUAAUGCUCAUCACUAUAAGCCUCGCAAGCAAUGCGACUAAUGAGUUAGUUAUGGGAUGAAGCAUUACGGAACGAGUAAAGAGACUUUCCGGUAACGAAAUUGAACUACGUAUGAUAAUACCGACGAUCGAAUCUCGGGCAAGUAACAUACCGAUGACAAAGGGAACAACCUACGUUGUUUUGCAAUUUAACCGAUAAAGAUAUUCGUAGAAUAUGUAGGAGGCAAUAUGAGCAUCUAGGUUCCGCUAUUGGUUAUUGAUCAGAGAUAUGUCUCGAUCAUGUCUAUAUAGUUCUCGGACCCGUAUGGUCCAUGAAGGAAAUAUUGAAGGAAAUAUGCCCUAGAGGCAAUAAUAAAGUUAUUAUUUAUUUCCUUAUAUCAUGAUAAAUGUUUAUUAUUCAUGCUAGAAUUGUAUUAACCGGAAACAUAAUACAUGUGUGAAUACAUAGACAAAGAUAGUGUCACUAGUAUGCCUCUACUUGACUAGCUCGUUUAUCAAAGAUGGUUAUGUUUCCUAGCCAUGGACAAAAGAGUUGUCAUUUGAUUAACGGGAUCACAUCAUUAGGAGAAUGAUGUGAUUGACUUGACCCAUUCCGUUAGCCUUAGCACUUGAUCGUUUAGUAUGUUGCUACUGCUUUCUUCAUGACUUAUACAUGUUCCUGUAACUAUGAGAUUAUGCAACUCCCGUUUACCGGAGGAACACUUUGUGUGCUACCAAACAUCACAACGUAACUGGGUGAUUAUAAAGGAGCUCUACAGGUGUCUCCAAAGGUACAUGUUGAGUUGGCGUAUUUCGAGAUUAGGUUUUGUCACUCCGAUUGUCGGAGAGGCAUCUCUGGGCCCUCUCGGUAAUGCACAUCACUAUAGGCCUUGCAAGCAAUGUAGCUAAUGAGUUAGUUACGGAAUGAUGCAUUACGUAACGAGUAAAGAGACUUGCCGGUAAUGAGAUUGAACUAGGUAUUUGAUACCGACGAUCGAAUCUCGAGUAAGUAACAUACCGAUGACAAAGGGAACAAACGUAUGUUGUUAUGUGGUUUGACCGAUAAAGAUCUUCAUAAAUUAUGUAGGAGCCAAUAUGAGCAUCCAGGUUCCGCUAUUGGUUAUUGACCGGAAACUAUUCUAGGUCAUGUCUACAUAGUUCUCGAACCCAUAGGGUCCGCACGCUUAACGUUAGGAUGACAGUUAUAUUAUGAGUUUAUAGUUUUGAUGUACCGAAUGUUGUUCGGAGUCCCGGAUGUGAUCACGGACAUGACGAGGAGUCUUGAAAUGGUCGAGACAUAAAGAUUGAUAUAUUGGAAGCCUAUAUUUGGACAUUGGAAUCAUUCCGGGAGAAAUCGGGAUUUUACCGGAGUACUGGGGGGUUACCGGAACCCCCCCGGGGGUUAAUGGGCCUACAUGGGCCCUAAGGGAGAAGAGGAGGGCCGGCCAGGGCAGGCCGCGCGCCCCCUCCCCCCUAGUCCGAAUAGGACAAGGAAGGGGGGCGGCGCCCCCCUUUCCUCUUUCCCCCUUCCCCCUUCCUUCUCCAACAAGGCAAGAGGGGGGAGUCCUACUCCCGGUGGGAGUAGGACUCCUCCAGGUGCACCCCUAGGGGCCGGCCGCACCUCCCUCUCCCUCCUUUAUAUACGGGGGCAGGGGGGCACCUCAUAACACACAAGUUGAUCUUCGUGAUUGUUCCUUAGCCGUGUGUGGUGCCCCCCUCCACCAUAUUCCACCUCGGUCAUAUCGUAGCGGUGCUUAGGCGAAGCCCUGCGUAGGUAGAACAUCAUCAUCGUCACCACGCCGUCGUGCUGACGGAACUCUUCCCCAACACCCUGCUGGAUCGGAGUCCGGGGAUCGUCAUCGAGCUGAACGUGUGCUGAACUCGGAGGUGCCGUACAUUCGGUACUUGGAUCGGUCGGAUCGUGAAGACGUACGACUACAUCAACCGCGUUGUUAUAACGCUUCCGCUUUCGGUCUACGAGGGAACGUGGUCAACACUCUCCCCUCUCGCUGCUAUGCAUCACCAUGAUCUUGCGUGUGCAUAUGAAUUUUUUUGAAAUUACUACGUUCCCCAACAGUGGUAUCCGAGCCUAGGUUUUAUGCGUUGAUAUUAUAUGCACGAGUAGAACACAAGUGAGUUGUGGGCGAUACAAGUCAUACUGCUUACCAACAUGUCAUACUUUGGUUCGGCGGUAUUGUUGGAUGAAGCGGGCCGGACCGACAUUACGUGUACGCUUACACGAGACUGGUUCUACCGACGUGCUUUGCACACAUGUGGCUGGCGGGUGUCAGUUUCUCCAACUUUAGUUGAACCGAGUGUGGCUCCGCCCAGUCCUUGCGAAGGUUAAAACAACACUAACUUGACGAGCUAUCGUUGUGGUUUUGAUGCGUAGGUAAGAACGGUUCUUGCUCAGCCCGUAGCAGCCACGUAAAACUUGCAACAACAAAGUAGAGGACGUCUAACUUGUUUUUGCAGGGCAUGUUGUGAUGUGAUAUGGUCAAGACAUGAUUCUAUAUUUUAUUGUAUGAGAUGAUCAUGUUUUGUAACUGAAGUUAUCGGCAACUGGCAGGAGCCAUAUGGUUGUCGCUUUAUUGUAUGAAAUGCAAAUGCCUUGUAAUUGCUUUACUUUAUCACUAAGCGGUAGCGAUAGUCAUAGAAGCAAUAGAUGGCGAAACGACAACGAUGCUACGAUGGAGAUCAAGGUGUCGCGUCGGUGACGAUGGUAAUCACGAUGGUGCUUCGGAGAUGGAGAUCACAAGCACAAGAUGAUGAUGGCCAUAUCAUAUCACUUAUAUUGAUUGCAUGUGAUGUUUAUCCUUUAUGCAUCUUAUCUUGCUUUGAUUGAAGGUAGCAUUUUAAUCUCUCACUAAUUAUCAAGAAGUGUUCUUCCUAAGUAUGCACCGUUGCGAAAGUUCUUCGUGCUGAGACACCACGUGAUGAUCGGGUGUGAUAGGCUCUACGUUCAAAUACAACGGGUGCAAAACAGUUGCACACGCGGAAUACUCAGGUUAAACUUGACGAGCCUAGCAUAUACAGAUAUGGCCUCGGAACACGGAGACCGAAAGGUCGAACAUGAAUCAUAUAGUAGAUAUGAUCAACAUAGUGAUGUUCACCAUUUAAACUACUCCAUCUCACGUGAUGAUCGGACAUGGUUUAGUUGAUUUGGAUCACGUGAUCACUUAGAUGACUAGAGAGAUGUCUGUGUAAGUGGGAGUUCUUAAGUAAUAUGAUUAAUUGAACUUUAAUUUAUCAUGAACUUAGUCCUGGUAGUAUUUUGCAAAUUAUGUUGUAGAUCAAUAGCUUGCGUUGUUGCUUUCAUAUGUUUAUUUUGAUAUGUUCCUAGAGAAAAUUGUGUUGAAAGAUGUUAGUAGAAAUGAUGCGGAUUGGAUCCGUGAUCUGAGGUUUAUCCUCAUUGCUGCACAGAAGAAUUAUGUCCUUAAUGCACCGCUAGGUGACAGACCUAUUGCAGGAGCAGAUGCAGACGUUAUGAACGUUUGGCUAGCUCAAUAUGAUGACUACUUGAUAGUUUAGUGCACCAUGCUUAAACGGCUUAGAAUCGGGACUUCAAAGACGUUUUGAACGUCAUGGACCAUAUGAGAUGUUCCAGGAGUUGAAGUUAAUAUUUCAAGCAAAUACCCGAGUUGAGAGAUAUGAAGUCUCCAACAAGUUCUAUGGCUAAAAGAUGGAGGAGAAUCGCUCAACUAGUGAGCAUGUGCUCAGAUUGUCUGGGUACUACAAUCGCUUGAAUCAAGUGGGAGUUAAUCUUCCAGAUAAGAUAGUGAUUGACAGAGUUCUCUAGUCACCAUCACCAAGUUAGUAGAACUUUGUGAUGAACUAUAGUAUGCAAGGGAUGACGAAAAUGAUUCCCGAGCUCUUCGUGAUGUUGAAAUCGAUGAAGGUAGAAAUCAAGAAAGAGCAUCAAAUGUUGAUGGUUGACAAGAUCACUAGUUUCAAGAAAAGGGCAAAGGGAAAGAAAGGGGAACUUCAAGUAGAAUGACAAGCAAGUUGUAAAUCCCACGAAGAAGCCCAAAGCUGAACCAAAGCCUGAAACUGAGUGCUUACACUGCAAAGGAAAGGGUCACUAGAAACGGAAAUACCCUGAAUAUUUGGUGGAUAAGAAGGAUGGCAGAGUGAACAAAGGUAUAUUUGAUAUACAGGUUAUUGAUGUGUACCUUACUAGUGUUUAUAGUAGCCCCUGAGUAUUUGAUACUUGUUCGGUUGCUAAAAAUUAGUGACUCGAAAUAGGAGUUACAGAAUAAACAGAGACUAGUUGAGGGUGAAGUGACGAUGUGUAUUGGAAGUGGUUCCAAGAUUGAUGUGAUCAUCAUCGCACACUCCAUAUACUUUCGGGAUUAGUGUUAAACCUAAAUAAAUGUUAUUUGGCAUUUGCGUUGAACAUGAAUAUGAUUUGAUCAUGUUCAUUGCGAUACGGUUAUUCAUUUAAAGUCAAAGAAUAAUUGUUGUUCUGUUUACAUGAAUAAAACCUUCGAUGGUCAUACACCCAAUGAAAAUAGUUUGUUGGAUCUCGAUCGUAGUGAUACACAUAUUCAUAAUAUUGAUGCCAAAAGAUGCAAAGUUGAUAAUGAUAGUGCAACAUAUUUGUGGCACCGCCGUUUGGGUCAUAUCGGUGUAAAGCGCAUGAAGAAACUCCCUAAAGAUGGAUUUUUGGAAUCACUUGGUUAUGAAUCAUUUGAUGCUUGCGAACCGUGCCUUUUGGGCAAGAUGACUAAAACUCCGUUCUCUGGAACAAUGGAAUGAGCUACUGACUUAUUGGAAAUAAUACAUACCGAUGUAUGCGAUCCAAUGAGUGCUCGUGGCAAGUAUCAUUAUUUUCUGACCUUCACAGAUGAUUUGAGCAGAUAUGGGUAUAUCUACUUAAUGGAACACAAGUCUGAAACAUUUGAAAAAGUUCAACGAAUUUCAGAGUGAAGUGGAGAAUCAUUGUAACAAGAAAUAAAGUUUCUACGAUCUGAUCGUGGAGGAGAAUAUUUGAGUUAUGAGUUUGGCCUUCAUAUAAAACAAUGUGGAAUAGUUUCACAGCUCACGCCACAUGGAACAUCACAGCGUAAUGGUGUGUCCGAACGUCAUAACCGCACUUUAUUGGAUAUGGUGCGAUCUAUGAUGUAUCUUACCGAUUUACCACUAUCGUUUUGGGGUUACACAUUAGAGACAGUUGCAUUCACUUUAAAAAGGACACCAUCAAAAUCCGUCGAGACGACGCCUUAUGAACUGUGGUUUGGCAAGAAACCAAAGUUGUCGUUUCUUAAAUUUUGGGGCUGCGAUGCUUAUGUGAAAAAGUUUCAACCUAAUAAGCUCGAACCCAAAUCGGAGAAGUGCGUCUUCAUAGAUUACCCAAAGGUAACUAUUGGGCACACCUUCUAUCACAGAUCCGAAGGCAAGUUAUUCGUUGCUAAGAUGGAUCCUUUCUAGAGAAGAAGUUUCUCUCGAAAGAAGUGAGUGGGAGGAAAGUAGAACUUGAUGAGGUAAUUGUAACUUCUCCCUUAUUGUAAAGUAGUCCAUCACAGAAAUCCGUUCCAGUGAUUCCUACACCAAUUAGUGAGGAAGUUAAUGAUGAUGAUCAUGAAACUUCAGAUCAAUUUGCUACCAAACCUCGUAGGUCUUCCAGAGUAAGAUCCGCACCAGAGUGGUACGGUAAUCAUGUUCUGGAAGUCAUGUUACUAGACCAUGAUGAACCUACGAACUAUGAGGAAGCGAUGAUGAGCCCAGAUUCCGCGAAAUGGCUUGAGGCCAUAAAAUCUGAGAUAUGAUCCAUGUAUGAGAACAAAGUAUGGACUUUGAUUGACUUGCUCGAUGAUCAGCAAGCCACGUUAAAUAAAUGGAUCUUCAAGAGGAAGACGAACACUGAUAGUAGUGUUACUAUCUACUAAGCUCGACUUGUUGCGAACGGUUUUUGACAAGUUCAAGGUGUUGAAUAUGAUGAGAUUUUCUCACUCGUAAUGAUGCUUAAGUCUGUCUGAAUCAUGUUAGCAAUUGCCACAUUUUAUGAAAUCUGGCAAAUGGAUAUCAAAACUGCAUUCCUUAAAUGGAUAUUUCUUAAAGAAGUGUUGUAUGUGAUACAACCAGAAGGUUUUGUCAAUCCUAAAAGUGCUAACAAAAUGUGCAAGCUCCAGCGAUCCAUCAAUGGACUGGUGCAAGCAUCUCGGAGUUGGAAUAUACACUUUGAUGAGUUGAUCAAAGCAUAUGGUUUUAUACAGACUUUUGGAAAGGCCUGUAUUUACAAGAAAGUGAGUGGGAGCACUACACACUCUUUGAUAAGAAUGUGUGAAUAACAUAUUGUUCAUCGGAAAUGAUGUAGACUUUUUCUGUAAAGCAUAAAGGAGUGUUUGAAAAGAUUUUUUCAAAGAAAGACCUCAGUAAAGCUGCUUACACAUUGAGCAUCAAGAUCUAUAGAGAUAGAUCAAGACGAUUGAUAAGAUUUUCAACGAGUACAUACCUUGACAAGAUUUUGAAGUAGUUCAAAAUGGAACAAUCAAAGAAAGAGUUCUUGCCUGUGUUGCAAAGGUAUGAAAUUUAGUAAGACUCAAAUCCCGACCACGGCAGAAAACAGAAAGAGAAUGAAAGUCAUUCGCUAUGCAUCAGUCAUAGGUUCUAUAAAAGUAUGCCAUGCUAUGGACCAGACCUAUUGUAUACCUUGCUCUGAAUUUGGCAAAGGAAUACAAUUUUGAUCUAAUAGUAGAUCACUGGACAACAGUCAAGAAUAUCCUUAGUGAGGACAAAGGAGAUGUUUCUCGAUUAUGAAGGUGAUAAAAGAGUUCGUCGUAAAAGUUACAUCGGUGCAAACUUUUACACUAAUCCAGAUGACUCUAAGUCUCAAUCUGGAUACAUAUUGAAAGUGGGAGCAAUAAGCUAGAGUAGCUCCGCGCAGAGCAUUGUAGACAUAGAAUAUUUGCAAAAUACAUACGGCUGUGAAUGUGACAGACCCGUUGACUAAACUUCUCUCAUGAGCAAAACAUGAUCAUACCUUAGUACUCUUUGGGUGUUAAUCACAUAGCAAUGUGAACUAGAUUAUUGACUCUAGUAAACCCUAUGGGUGUUGGUCACAUGACGAUGUGAACUAUGGGUGUUAAUCACAUACAGAUGUGAAUAUUGGUGUUGAAUCACAUGAUGAUGUGAACUAGAUUAUUGACUCUAGUGCAAGUGGGAGACUGACGGAAAUAUGCCCUAGAGGCAAUAAUAAAGUUAUUAUUUAUUUCCUUAUAUCAUGAUAAAUGUUUAUUAUUGAUGCUAGAAUUGUAUUAACCGGAAACAUAAUACAUGUGUGAAUACAUAGACAAACAUAGUGUCACUAGUAUGCCUCUACUUGACUAGCUCGUUUAUCAAAGAUGGUUAUGUUUCCUAGCCAUGGACAAAAGAGUUGUCAUUUGAUUAACGGGAUCACAUUAUUAGGAGAAUGAUGUGAUUGACUUGACCCAUUCCGUUAGACUUAGCACUUGAUCGUUUAGUAUGUUGCUACUGCUUUCUUCAUGACUUAUACAAGUUCCUAUAACUAUGAGAUUAUGCAACUCCCGUUUACCGGAGGAACACUUUGUGUGCUACCAAACAUCACAACGUAACUGGGUGAUUAUAAAGGAGCUCUACAGGUGUCUCCAAAGGUACAUGUUGAGUUGGCGUAUUUCGAGAUUAGGUUUUGUCACUCCGAUUGUCGGAGAGGUAUCUCUGGGCCCUCUCGGUAAUGCACAUCACUAUAAGCCUUGCAAGCAAUGUAGCUAAUGAGUUAGUUAUGGAAUGAUGCAUUAUGUAAUGAGUAAAGAGACUUUCCGGUAACGAGAUUGAACUAGGUAUUGGAUACCGACGAUCGAAUCUCGAGUAAGUAACAUACCGAUGACAAAGGGAACAAACAUAUGUUGUUAUGCUGUUUGACCGAUAAAGAUCUUCGUAGAAUAUGUAGGAGCCAAUAUGAGCAUCCAGGUUCCGCUAUUGGUUAUUGACCGGAAACUGUUCUAGGUCAUGUCUACAUAGUUCUCGAACCCGUAGGGUCCGCACGCUUAACGUUAGGAUGACAGUUAUAUUAUGAGUUUAUAGUUUUGAUGUACCGAAUGUUUUUCGGAGUCCCGGAUGUGAUCACGGACAUGACGAGGAGUCUCGAAAUGGUCGAGACAUAAAGACUGAUAUAUUGGAAGCCUAUAUUUGGAUAUCGGAAUCAUUCCGGGAGAAAUCGGGAUUUUACCGGAGUACCGGGGGGUUACCGGAACCCCCCGGGGGUUAAUGGGCCUACAUGGGCCCUAAGGGAGAAGAGGAGGGCCGGCUAGGGCAGGCCGCGCCCUCCUCCCCCCUAGUCCAAAUAGGACAAGGAAGGGGGGGGGCGCCCCCCUUUCCUCUUUCCCCCUUCCCCCUUCCUUCUCCAACAAGGCAAGAGGGGGAGUCCUACUCCCGGUGGGAGUAGGACUCCUCCAGGCGCACCCCUAGGGGCCGAUGAACCUCCCCCCUCCCUCCUUUAUAUACGGGGGUAGGGGGGCACCUCAUAACACACAAGUUGAUCUUCGUGAUCGUUCCUUAGCCGUGUGCGGUGCCCCUCCACCAUAUUCCACCUCGGUCAUAUUGUAGCUGUGCUUAGGCGAAGCCCUGCGUCGGUAGAACAUCAUCAUCGUCACCAAGCCAUCGUGCUGACGGAACUCUUCCCCGACACCCUGCUGGAUCAGAGUCCGGGGAUCGUCAUCGAGCUGAACGUGUGCUGAACUCGGAGGUGCCGUACGUUCGGUACUUGGAUCGGUCGGAUCGUGAAGAUGUACGACCACAUCAACCGCGUUGUUAUAAUGCUUCCGCUUUCAGUCUACGAGGGUACGUGGACAACACUCUCCCCUCUCAUUGCUAUGCAUCACCAUGUUCUUCAUAGAGAGAGCCUCCUAUGCUUUCACUUUCAUAUACUAGUGGGAAUUUUCAUUAUAGAACUUGGCUUGUAUAUUCCGAUGAUGGGCUUCCUCAAACGCCCGAGGUCUUCAUGAGCAAGCAAGUUGGAUGCACACCCACUUAGUUUCCACUUUGAGCUUUCAUAGACUUAUAAGCUCUUAGUGCAUCCGUUGCAUGGCAAUCCCUACUCACUCACAUUGAUAUCUAUCGAUGGGCAUCUCCAUAGCCCGUUGAUACGCCUAGUUGAUGUGAGACUAUCUUAUCCCUUUUUGUCCUCACAACCACCACCCUAUACCACCAUAGUGCUAUGUCCAUGACUUGCGCUCAUGUAUUGCGUAAGAGUUGAAAAAGUUAAAACGCAUUAAAAAGUAUGAACCAAUUGCUCGGCUCGUCAUCGGGGUUGUGCAUGAUGGGAGUAUUUUGUGUGAAGAAGAUGGAGCAUACCCAGACUAUAUGAUUUUGUAGGGAUGAUCUUUCUUUGGCUAGGCUAUUUCGAUAAGACAUAAUUGCUUGGUUGGUAUGCUUGAAGUAUUAUUGUUUUUAUGUCAAAUGAUAGACUAUUGCUUUGAAUCACUCGUAUCUUAAUAUUCAUGCCAUGAUUAGACACAUGAUCAAGAUUAUGCUAGGUAGCAUUCCACAUCAAAAAUUAUCUUUUUUAUCAUUUACCUACUCGAGGACGAGCAUGAAUUAAGCUUGGGGAUGCUGAUACGUCUCCAUCGUAUCUAUAAUUUUUGAUUGUUCCAUGCCAAUAUUCUUCAACUUUCAUAUACUUUUGGCAACUUUUUAUACUAUUUUUGGGACUAACAUAUUGAUCCAGUGCCCAGUGCCAGUUCCUGUCUAUUGCAUGUUUUAUGUUUCGCAGAAAAAGCAAUAUCAAACAGAAUCCAAACGGGAUAAAAAUGGACGGAGAAUUAUUUUGGAAUAUUUGGGAUUUUCCGGAGGGAGAAUCAACGCGAAACGGUGUCCGGGGUGGCCACGAGACAGGGGAGCGCGCCCCCUACCCUUGGGCGCGCCCUGGGCUCUCAUGGGCCACCCGUAAGGCGGUUGAUGCCCUUCUUUUGCCGCAGGAAAGCUAAUUUUAUGAGAAAAAUCUGGGCGAAAGAUUCACCCCAAUCGGAGUUAUGGAUCUCCGGAUAUUUAAGAAACGGUGAAGGGGUAGAAUCAGAGAACGCAGAAACAUAGAGAUAGAUCCAAUCUCGGAGGGGCUCUCGCCCCUCCCAUGCCAUGGGAGCCAAGGACCAGAUGGGAAACCCUUCUCCCAUCUACGAAGAAGGUCAAGGAAUAAGAAGAAUAAGGGGGGCUCUCUCCCCCUUGCUUUCGGUGGCGCCGGAACGCCCCUGGGGUCCAUCAUCAUCACCUCGAUCUCCACCAACACCACCGUCAUAUUCACCAACAUCUCCAUCACCUUUCCCCCUCUAUCUACAGCAGUCCACUCUCCCGCAACCCAUUGUACCCUCUACUUGAACAUGGUGCUUUAUGCUUCAUAUUAUUUUCCAAUGAUGUGUUGUCAUCCUAUGAUGUCUGAGUAGAUCUUCGUUGUCCUAUUGGUGGUUGAUGAAUUGCUAUGAUUGAUUUAAUUUUCUUGUGGUUAUGUUGCUAUCCUAUGGUGCCCAUCAUAUGAGCGUGCGCGUGGAUCACACCAUAGGGUUAGUUGUACGUUGAUAGGACUAUGUAUUGGAGGGCAAGAGUGACAGAAGCUCCAGACUAGCAUAGAAAUUGAUACAUACGGGAUUGAAGGGGGACCAAUAUAUCUUAAUUCUAUGGUUGGGUUUUGCCUUAAUGAACAUUAGUAGUUGCGGAUGCUUGCUAAUAGUUCCAAUCAUAAGUGCAUAGAAUUCCAAGUCAGGGAUGACAUGCUAGCAGUGGCCUCUCCUACAUAAAACUUGCUAUUGGUCUAGUAAAGUAGUCAAUUGCUUAGGGACAAUUUCACAACUCCUACCACCACUUUUCUGCACUCGCUAUAUUUACUAUUAUUGCUUCUUUAUCUAAACAACCCCUACUUUUCAUUUACGCACUCUUUAUUAUCUUGCAAACCUUUCCAACAACACCUACAAAGUACUUCUAGUUUCAUACUUGUUCUAGGUAAAGCGAACGUCAGGCGUGCGUAAAGUCGUAUCAGUGGCCGAUAGGACUUGAGAGAGUAUUUGUUCUACCUUUAGCUCCUCGUUGGGUUCGACACUCUUACUUGUCGAAAGAGGCUACAACUAUCCCCUACACUUGUGGGUUAUCAAGACCUUUUUCUAGCGACGUUGCCGGGGAGUCAUAGCGUGGGGUGAAUAUUCUCAUGUGUGCUUGUUUUAUUUAUCACUAAGUAAUUUUUAUUUGCUGUGCUUAGUUGUUCUCUAUCUUUAGUUAUGGAUAUGGAACGCAAAAUACCAAAAAAAUUAGAUGUACUUGCUACUCAUGUAGAUGGGGUAAUUCCUAAAACCCCCGACUCUCAUUAUGUGAGAGAUAUUAUGUACUACUUUGAUAAUCCUGAGAAAACCCCAUUCAACUUUAUAAUGGGAGACACGUUGGAUCAACGUGAAUACUUUAUGGAUUAUCGGUCGACACAAAAAGGGAAACUAUUAUGGGAUCAAUUCAUUAUGUUGCGUUGGUAUGCCUGGAAUCUAUGCUUGAGAUAUGAUAUUACUUGUUGCUCUAGGAUGGAGGCUCCACACCUUCCCUUUUCAUGCAAAUUUAAUGAAAAUGAGACCUUAGCUUCUUAUGCUAAUGGUAUAUAUGAUUACUAUGAUGUGGAACAAAUAGAAGAAUUUGUUGCUUUUAAGGCUGCUUAUGAAAUUGAAGCUUUGUUUGAAAAGUAUAAAGCUUUUGAUGAUGAUGGUUAUAGGCCUGAAAAUCUUGCUAUGCUUAGAUAUUGCUAUGAAAAUUAUGAAUACAAUUACUAUAUUAAUGCUUUUAUGAAGAAAGUCUCCGCUGUCCAAGAAGAGACUAAUAUUUUGCAGGAAGCUAUGGAAGAAGAAAUUGAUGAAACUGUGAGCUCAUUGGAUGUAAAAGAUGAUGAUGAGAGCAAAGAACAAAAGGAGGAAGAGCAGAUUAGCUACCCGUGCCCACCUUUUAAUGAGAGUAACCCUCCAACUCAUACAUUAUUUAAUUCCCCUUCGUGCUUACCAAAGAAUGAUUGCUAUGAUGAUUGCUAUGAUCCCUUGAAUUUGUUUGAAAUAUCCCUUUUUGAUGAUGCUUGCUAUGCUUGUGGCCAAGAUGCCAAUAUGAAUUAUGCUUAUGGAGAUGAACUUGCUAUAGUUCCUUAUGUUAAACAUGAAAUUGUUGCUAUUGCACCCACGCAUGAUAGUCCUAUUAUCUUUUUGAAUUCUCCCUACUACACUUUAUCGGAGAAGUUUCUGCUUAUUAAGGAUUAUAUUGAUGGGUUGCCUUUUACCAUUGCACAUGAUGAUUUUGAUGAAUGUAAUAUGCAUGUGCUUGCUGCUCCUACUUGCAAUUAUUAUGAGAGAGGAACUAUUUCUCCACCUCUCUAUGUUUCCCAUACUAUGAAAUUGCAAGAAACUGCUUAUACUAUGUGUUGGCCUUUACUAUGUGUGCAUGAAUUGUUCUUUUAUGACAUGCCGAUGCAUAGGAAGAGAGUUAGACUUCGUUGUUGCUCGAUAUAAGUUACUUUGUGCUCACUACUAAAUUACAAAUCAUUGUUAAUUAAAAUUGGCUUUGAUAUACCUUGGGAUCCGGGUGGAUCCAUUACUUGAACACUAUAUGCCUAGCUUAAUGGCUUUAAAGAAAGCGCUGCCAGGGAGACAACCCGGAAGUUUUAGAGAGUCAUUUAUUUCUGUUGAGUGCUUUUAUAUAGUUUAAAAACAAAAAAAUAAAGAGGGGAACCUAAAAACUUUUCAAAAAAGAAAGUGAAAGUGAGAAAGACAAGCAUCAUUGAAGUGGGAGCUAACCUUGAACUUUGUUCAUGCUCACGGAAACUUUGUGAAUCUUGAUUACAGAAACUUUUCAACAAAAAUAAUUAUCCCCUUGUAUAAUUCCAUCGUUUUAUAAAAAUAAUGUCCCAAGGUUUGCCUUUAGGAUGUUUACAAUGCUUGUUGGUUUGUACGGUGCAGGACAGAAACUUUGGCUCUAGUGCGCGAUUUUACAUUUUUAUCUAGAAAGUCAAACGGUUCUGAUUCUUUUUGCACUGUUUACAAUACAAAUUGUUUAUUUUUUAUAAUUUUGGUAGAAUUUUUGUGGUACCAUAAGUAUGGUGGAUGUUCAUAUUGCUACAGACUGUUCUGUUUUUGACAGAUUCUGUUUUUGAUGCAUAGUUUGCUUGUUUUGAUGAAUCUAUCAAUUUACAUCAGUGGAUUAAGCCAUGAAAAAGUUAUAUUACAGUAGACAAAAUGCAAAAACAAAAUAUGAAUUGGUUUGCAAUAGUACUUAGAGUGGUGAUUUGCUUUAUUAAACUAACGGGUCUUACCGAGUUUUCUGUUGAAGUUUUGUGUGGAUGAAGUGUCUAAUCGAGGAUGUCUCGAUAUGAGGAAAAGGAAGAGAGGCAAGAGCUCAAGCUUGGGGAUGCCCAAGGCACCCCAAGUAAAUAUUCAAGGAGACUCAAGUGUCUAAGCUUGGGGAUGCCCCGGAAGGCAUCCCCUGUUUCUUCAACAAGUAUCGGUAUGUUUUCGAAUUCGUUUCGUUCAUGCAUUAUGUGCAAGUCUUGGAGCGUAUUUUGCAUUUAGUUGUCACUUUUAUUUUAUGCACCAUGCUGGUAUGAGAUAGUCCUUGGUUGAUUUAUAGAAUGCUCAUUGCACUUCACUUAAAUAUUUUGAGUAUGGCUUUACAGAAUGCUUCAUGUGCUUCACCUAUAUCAUUUGAAGUUUGGAUUGCCUGUUUCUCUUCACAUAGAAAACCGCCAUUUGCAGAAUGCUCUUUUGCUUAACUUAUAAUUGUUAGAGCAUGGGCAUAUCUUUUGUAGAAAGAAUUAAACUCUCUUGCUUCACUUAUAUCUAUUUAGAGAGAUGACAGGAAUUGGUCAUUCACAUGGUUAGUCAUAAAAUCCUACAUAAACUUGUAGAUCACUGAAUAUGAUAUGUUUGAUUCCUUGCAAUAGUUUUGCGAUAUAAAGGUGGUGAUAUUAGAGUCGUGCUAGUUGAGUAAUUGUGAAAUUGAGAAAUACUUGUGUUGAGGUUUGCAAGUCCUGUAGCAUGCACGUAUGGUGAACCGUUAUGUAACGAAGUUGGAGCAUGAGGUGCUCUUUAAUUGUUUUCCUUAUGAGUGGUAGUCGGGGACGAGCGAUGGUCUUUUCCUACCAAUCUAUCCCCCUAGGGGCAUGCGUAGUAGUACUUUGCUUCGAGGGCUAUGUAGACUUUUGCAAUAAGUAUAUGAGUUCUUUAUGACUAAUGUGAGUCCAUGGAUAUACGCACACUCACCCUUCCACUUUGCUAGCCUCUUUUGUGCCGCGCAACUUUCGCCGGUAUCAUGAACCCAUUAUUUACCUUCCUCAAAACAGCCACCAUACCUACCUAUUAUGGUAUUUCCAUAGCCAUUCCGAGAUAUAUUGCCAUGCAACUUCCAUCAUCAUCAUAUACAUGACUUGAGCAUUCAUUGUCAUAUUGCUUUGCAUGAUCGUAGGAUAGCUAGCAUGAUGUUUUCAUGGCUUGUCCGUUUUUUUGAUGUCAUAGCUACGCUAGAUCAUUGCACAUCCCGGUACACCGCCGGAAGCAUUCAUAUAGAGUCAUACCUUUGUUCGAGAUAUCGAGUUGUAAUAUUGAGUUGUAAGUAAAUAAAAGUGUGAUGAUCAUCAUUAUUAGAGCAUUGCCCCAGUGAGGAAAGGAUGAAGGAGACUAUGAUUCCCCCACAAGUCGGGAUGAGACUCCGGACUUUAUGAAAAAUAAAAGAGGCCAAAGAAGCCCACCAAAAAGAAAGAAAAAAAUUAAAAAUAAUAAUAAAAAAUGAAUGAAAAAUAAAAAGAAAAAAUGAGAGAAAAAGAGAGAAGGGGCAAUGUUACUAUCCUUUUACCGCACUUGUGCUUCAGAGUAGCACCAUGUUCUUCAUUGAGAGAGCCUCCUAUGCUUUCACUUUCAUAUACUAGUGGGAAUUUUCAUUAUAGAACUUGGCUUGUAUAUUCCGAUGAUGGGCUUCCUCAAACGCCCGAGGUCUUCAUGAGCAAGCAAGUUGGAUGCACAACCACUUAGUUUCCAGUAUGAGCUUUCAUAGACUUAUAAGCUCUUAGUGCAUCCGUUGCAUGGAAAUCCCUACUUACUCACAUUGAUAUCUGUCGAUGGGCAUCUCCAUAGCCCGUUGAUAUGCCUAGUUGAUGUGAGACUAUCUUCUCCCUUUUUGUCCUCACAACCACUACCCUAUACCACCAUAGUGCUAUGUCCAUGACUUGCGCUCAUGUAUUGCGUAAGAGUUGAAAAAGAUGAAGCGCGUUAAAAAGUAUGAACCAAUUGCUCGGCUCGUUAUCAGGGUUGUGCAUGAUGGGAUUAUUUUGUGUGACGAAGAUGGAGCAUAGCCAGACUAUAUGAUUUUGUAGGGAUGAUCUUUCUUUGGCUAGGCUAUUUCGAUAAGACAUAAUUACUUGGUUGGUAUGCUUGAAGUAUUAUUGUUUUUAUGUCAAAUGAUAGACUAUUGCUUUGAAUCACUCGUAUCUUAAUAUUCAUGCCAUGAUUAGACACAUGAUCAAGAUUAUGCUAGGUAGCAUUCCACAUCAAAAAAUAUCUUUUUUAUCAUUUACCUACUCGAGGACGAGCAUGAAUUAAGCUUGUGGAUGCUGAUACGUCUCCAUCGUAUCUAUAAUUUUUGAUUGUUCCAUGCCAAUAUUCUUCAACUUUCAUAUACUUUUGGCAACUUUUUAUACUAUUUUUGGGACUAACAUAUUGAUCCAGUGCCCAGUGCCAGUUCCUGUCUGUUGCUUGUUUUAUGUUUCGCAGAAAACCAAUAUCAAACGGAAUCCAAACGGGAUAAAAAUGGACGGAGAAUUAUUUUGGAAUAUUUGGGAUUUUCUAGAGGAAGAAUCAACGCGAAACGGUGUCCGGGGUGGCCACGAGACAGGGGGGCGCGCCCCCUACCCUUGGGCGCGCCCUGGGCUCUCAUGGGCCACCCAUAAGGCGGUUGAUGCCCUUCUUUUGCCGCAAGAAAGCUAAUUUUAUGAGAAAAAUCUGGCCGAAAGAUUCACCCCAAUCGGAGUUAUGGUUCUCCGGAUAUUUAAGAAACGGUGAAGGGGUAGAAUCAGAGAACGCAGAAACAUAGAGAUAGAUCCAAUCUCGGAGGGGCUCUCGCCCCUCCCAUGCCAUGGGAGCCAAGGACCAGAUGGGAAACCGUUCUCCCAUCUACGGAGAAGGUCAAGGAAUAAGAAGAAUAAGGGGGGCUCUCUCCCCCUUGCUUUCGGUGGCGCCGGAACGCCCCUGGGGUCCAUCAUCAUCACCUCGAUCUCCACCAACACCACCGUCAUAUUCACCAACAUCUCCAUCACCUUUCCCCCUCUAUCUACAGCAGUCCACUCUCCCGCAACCCGUUGUACCCUCUACUUGAACAUGGUGCUUUAUGCUUCAUAUUAUUUUCCAAUGAUGUGUUGUCAUCCUAUGAUGUCUGAGUAGAUCUUCGUUGUCCUAUUGGUGGUUGAUGAAUUGCUAUGAUUGAUUUAAUUUUCUUGUGGUUAUGUUGCUGUCCUAUGGUGCCCAUCAUAUGAGCGUGCGCGUGGAUCACACCAUAGGGUUAGUUGUAUGUUGAUAGGACUAUGUAUUGGAGGGCAAGAGUGACAGAAGCUCCAGACUAGCAUAGAAAUUGAUACAUACGGGAUUGAAGGGGGACCAAUAUAUCUUAAUGCUAUGGUUGGGUUUUGCCUUAAUGAACAUUAGUAGUUGCGGAUGCUUGCUAAUAGUUCCAAUCAUAAGUGCAUAGAAUUCCAAGUCAGGGAUGACAUGCUAGCAGCGGCCUCUCCUACAUAAAACUUGCUAUCGGUCUAGUAAAGUAGUCAAUUGCUUAGGGACAAUUUCACAACUCCUACCACCACUUUUCCGCACUCGCUAUAUUUACUAUUAUUGCUUCUUUAUCUAAACAGCCCCUACUUUUUAUUUACAUACUCUUUAUUAUCUUGCAAACCUUUCCAACAACACCUACAAAGUACUUCUAGUUUCAAACUUGUUCUAGGUAAAGCGAACGUCAAGCGUGCGUAGAGUCGUAUCAGUGGCCGAUAGGACUUGAGAGAGUAUUUGUUCUACCUUUAGCUCCUCGUUGGGUUCGACACUCUUACUUAUCGAAAGAGGCUACAACUAUCCCCUACACUUGUGGGUUAUCAACUACAUCAACCGCGUUGUGCUAACGCUUCCGCUUACGGUCUAUGAGGGUACGUGGACGACAUUCUCCCCUCUCAUUGCUAUGCGUCACCAUGAUCUUGCUUGUGUGUAGGAUUUUUUUUUGAAAUUACUACGUUCUCCAACAGUGGCAUCCGAGCCAGGUUUUAUGCGUAGAUGUUAUAUGCACGAGUAGAACACAAGUGAGUUGUGGGCGAUACAAGUCAUACUGCUUACCAGCAUGUCAUACGUUGGUUCGGCGGUAUUGUCGGAUGAAGCGGCGCGGACCGACAUUACGCGUAUGCUUACGCGAGAAUGGUUCUACCGACGUGCUUUGCACAUAGGUGGCUGGCGGGUGUCAGUUUCUCCAACUUUAGUUGAACCGAGUGUGGCUACACCCGGUUCUUGAGAAGGUUAAAAUAGCACUAACUUGACGAACUAUCGUUGUGGCUUUGAUGCGUAGGUAAGAACGGUUCUCGCUCAGCCCGUAGUAGCCACGUAAAACUUGCAACAACAAAGUAGAGGACGUCUAACUUGUUUUUGCAGGGCAUGUUGUGAUGUGAUAUCACUACUAGGGAAAACCUUAUACACAGAAUGUUACCAGUAGCGCUGUACAAAAUCAAACGCUACUGCUACUUAGUAGCAGCGCGUGUAAAUAAACCGUGCUACUGCUGACUUUAGCAGUAGCGCGUACAAGCGAAAUGCGCUGCUGCUAUGUUUGAACUGGGCGCACAUGGCUAGCCCAACCUAGCAGUAGCGCGUAUACUGGCCCAGCGCUACUGCUACUCUCCUUAGCUGUAGCGCGCUUACGUGUAAGGCGCUGCUGCUAACGGAAAUAAAAUAAAGUGAAAAACAAGUAGAAAAGUAAAUGAAAAUGAAAGAAAUAGAAAAAGGAGAAAGGAAGAAAAUAAAAUGUAAAGAAAAAUAAAAGCAAAAAGGGAAAAAAGGAGAAAGGAAUAGCAGUAGCGGGUUUCAGGAAACGCGCUGUAGCUAACUUAGCUAUAGCGCGUUUCAGAAACGCGCUACCGUUAUAUUUCACUUAAACAGCGGUUUCCCCCCGCCCCCCCGUCCACCACACUUCUUCUCCAAAUCCCUCGCCCUCGCCGCCGUCUCCCCAAUUUGCCAUCGCCCCACUUCGCCGCCGUCUCGUGCCGGCGUGGACGCCCGUAACCUCACCAUCUCCCCCCAAGGUCACCGUCAUCCUCACCGCCGCCGCCCGAGGCCUCCCUCGACGUCACCGUCAGCGCCCUCCACCUCACCGCCGCCCGAGCUCGCCCAGGACCGCCGUUGCCAAUGCCCGAGCCCGCCNNNNNNNNNNNNNNNNNNNNNNNNNNNNNNNNNNNNNNNNNNNNNNNNNNNNNNNNNNNNNNNNNNNNNNNNNNNNNNNNNNNNNNNNNNNNNNNNNNNNNNNNNNNNNNNNNNNNNNNNNNNNNNNNNNNNNNNNNNNNNNNNNNNNNNNNNNNNNNNNNNNNNNNNNNNNNNNNNNNNNNNNNNNNNNNNNNNNNNNNNNNNNNNNNNNNNNNNNNNNNNNNNNNNNNNNNNNNNNNNNNNNNNNNNNNNNNNNNNNNNNNNNNNNNNNNNNNNNNNNNNNNNNNNNNNNNNNNNNNNNNNNNNNNNNNNNNNNNNNNNNNNNNNNNNNNNNNNNNNNNNNNNNNNNNNNNNNNNNNNNNNNNNNNNNNNNNNNNNNNNNNNNNNNNNNNNNNNNNNNNNNNNNNNNNNNNNNNNNNNNNNNNNNNNNNNNNNNNNNNNNNNNNNNNNNNNNNNNNNNNNNNNNNNNNNNNNNNAGCAAAAGUUUGUUUAUAGAAAAAAAUUUAGUUUAGAGCAAAGGAUGUUAAGUAGUAGAUGUUAGAGCAAAAAUUAGUUUAGAGCAAAAAAUUUGGUUUACAACAAAAGUUAGUUAGGGCAGUAGGGUUUAAUUAGGGUAGAUGCUGCUUGUAUAGUAUAUAGUGAUACUAGUAGAUGUUAAUUAGGUUAGGGCAAUAGUGGUACUAGUUGAUGUUAAUUAGAUGUUUUUCAGUUAGGGCACUAGAGUUUUGCUAGGUUAAUUAGGUUAGUAGUGCUGCUAGUAGUAGUGGUACAGUAGGUUAAUUAGGUGAUGUUAAAUGAAUAACCUAAAUGAAUGAAAUUAGUAGUUAACUGAUUUUUUUCCUUUCAUCAUUAUAGAGCACUAAAGUUAACUGAAUUUUGUUCUAUUUCUAGUUAAAUGAAUUUUCUUCUACACUUUGCUUUUGAAUUAGCUUGUGAAAUUUGGACAUGUGGUUGCUCGUGCAUAUUUGGACAUGUGUUGCAGUGUCGAAGAGGGAUAUUUGAACACUGCUUCCAGGGAAUGAUGCUGAGUGGCCUAUGUUUUGCCGGAAUGUUGAUUCAUUUCUGUUCCGGCAAAUUUCAGGUUCUCGAUUUGUCCACAUUUUAGCAAAGGUCAUGCGGAAAUUUUCCGUGAAUUUCGGCAUGACUUGUGCUACAAACUAGAACAUAUCGAGUGCCCGGGAUUUGCCGCACCAGGAAGGAGUCAACAUUCCUGCAAAACAAUAGGCCUUUUUAUGUCAUUAUUCAUUUUAUUAGGUCUAGAAUUAAUUGACUAGAUUUAAUCAUAGGAAACAUGGCUAGCAACGAUGAAGGACAGGGUUCUGGUGAUUGCGACGACGUCUACCGGGCGGCAGACGAAUUUUUUAGCCUUACCGACGAUCAACCGAUGUUGUUGUUGGGCCCACCGGUGGCAUCGGGGACUGAGACCGACACGCAUACCGGUGCUGAGAUUGAGACCGGUGCUGAGACUCAGACCGGCAUCGAGACCGGCGCUGAGACUGAGACCGGCACUACCUCGGGGAGCGGAGCCGGUGUAGAACCAAAAGCAAAGAGGCAACGACUUCCUAACAAACUCAGGACUACUAGACUGGUGGUCACGGAGGUGGACGACGACAUUUUUGAGCCAAAGGCGCCCGAAGAAGCGCGUCGAUGCUACGGCAAUCAAAUAGGCUGCAUCGUACGCACAACCGCCACCAUCAACGAUGAGAAACUACAAAAGAUAGAAAAUAUGAGGAGCUCCCUCCUAAAGAAGUUUCACCAGAUAUUCUUGUUCCCGGGCCGGAAUGAGAAGGAUUAUGAAGAUCCUGACAAGGACCCGACAAUGAAGAAGAUAAACAAACACGCCAUGACCAAGUUUAGCGACGCGUUGGCCGCCUAGAAAACUCGAGUGAAAGCAAGGAUCAUCGACAAGAAGCAACCCUACUCCGAGAUUGUAAAGGAUAAUCCGACAAUCAUGGAAGAGCAGUUUCAAAUAUUCAAGGAGGCUUGCGAGGCCGAAGCUGCCAAAAAAAGUCUAAGUACAUGAAGGGGCUUCAAGAGAGGAACAUUGGGAGCCACCACCUCGGAAGCCAUGGUUACGGCAGAAAGAGGUCCAAAUGGGCCAAGGAGCGUGACGUCCUGAGGGCCCGGCACCGUUGGGACCCAGUGAAGAAGGUUUACGAGACAACACGGGUCAUUACGGAGUUCAUGGGACUGCUGGUAAUUUUAGUUUCUGAUCAAUUCGACUGCACACAUUAGUCAUAUUUGUAAACGAUCCUUGUGCCUUUUGCAGAGAGAGCAGCACCGGAUUGCGGCCGAAAGCGACUCGCCGUCUGAGGCAUUGGCGAGGCCCAAGUGGGACACUCCAUUCAACCGGGCAUUGAACAUAUUGAAACGACAACCGGUGGAUACUCGACCGUUGUAUGGACGCGUGCACGGUGUCGAAGACGCCGCCACGUGGAAGAAGUACUACCGUGAGACCACGGAGGUGAGAAAGGAAAGACGGAGGUUAAUUGAAGAAAACAUCGACAAGAAGGUUGAGAUUGCGGUUGACAAGAAAUCAUCUCAGACAGUCGCAACAGCGGUAGCUACCGCAAAACAGGUGGUUGCAGAUUUGUCUACUUCCUUGGUGACGGGCGUUUUCACUUGGACAAGGCAAAAUCCAGAAAAAAAUGUAGAGGACUUUCCCCUUGCUGACUUCUUGGGAGCACCUCCUCCCGCACCGGCUCCCGCACCUGCUCCCGCACCGGCUCCCGCACCUGCUCCCGUACCGGCUCCCGCACCUGCUCCCGCACCAGACAUUCUCGGCGAUGCUUCGUCUUUGGCUGAGCUCGACGCCCUCACGGUAUCUGUCACACCGCCCCCGUUCAAUAUAAAUGUAUAAUCUCCCGUUUUUGUUACCUUUCGGAUGUCUCACAUCGCAGAAUUUUCUUUGCAGGCCGAUGAAACCCCGUGCACCAUGUUGUACACCAUCGGUGACCAGAAGGUGGACGUGGGGAAGGCGACGAUAAUGGAGCCGAAGGAACCAUUGUUCCACAGCCGGCCGAUCCCCCCGAACGUCUUCAAGGUUUCCAUGGCCAGUGUCGAACCGGGCCACGAGAAUUUGCCUCCUCCAAUACUACUGGUGGAUGAUGAGGAGACGCCGCAGCGGCUUGGUGAUUGUUGCAAUGGGUGGGUCCUAUUGUGGCCAAAGAGUCUGCUUUGUCUGGAGGCGGUCGGGAGCACACCCACGAGCACGCAGCCUCAGCAAGGUAUGAACAUCAACACCCCACCUACCCAAUUAGCGUCGGGUGUCGGGUUGGGUGAUAGCGGACGGGGUAAGUAGGAGGCUCCGUUUGUCGCUGAUGACGUCACCAUGGAUGAGGAUGAGGACGACGGUGGCGCUGAACAGUAUGUCUAUACUGGCGCCUCCUUAGGGUUUGAGCGUCAUGAGUCGGUGCCUGAAUUGCCGUCUCAACAUAUUAUGGACGACCUUCCGGUAGUAAAGAAGUAUAGGAAGAGAGCGAGGAAAGGCAAAAAAGCUGAUUCUAUGAUCCAGCCGCCUCAGCAGCCUCGGCUUCAGGACCGUAAAGAUAUCCCCGAUGCGGAUAAAUGGCAUAUCCCCGGUCAACCAAUCCUACCUGCAACAGCGCUACAGGCCAGAUUCGGUGAUCUAAGUAGACUUCAUGAUGAUGUGCUGCGGGUAGAGAAAGGCCUCAUCGCCUCGACAGAUCUAGGAUACCCACUCUACGUGGUUAACAUUUCGCGGCAAAUGUCGUAUGUCGACAGCUUCCCCUUGGAUAAGUUCUUCCUCCUAUUCGAUUACAUAUUCGACAUGUUUCAUGUGAAGAAGCUGGAUUUUACGUUUGUCCGCCUUUAUGCCUUGCACAUGAACUACAUCAUCGGGUUUGAGCAGAUAUCUCAUAUCUGUGUCGCUGACCCGUACUACAUGCACGAGGGAUUCUUGGGAGUCUGCGCAGAGCACCGUGUAUACGCAAGGGAAUACAUCGUCAAUUUCAUGCUCGCCAAUAAGGACAAGGGGGCGAUUCUCGUGCCUUAUCAUCCAGUGUAAGUCAUCCACGCUGCUAUCCUUCCUUCGAUUUCAAUCAUUCAUUUGCACGGUGGAGGCUAAGUAAUUUGAGGUGUACUUAUUUUGCGCAGCGGCGGGGGCGCUGUCCUCAUCAUCCUAUACCCCCGAUUCUCCCACGCUCUUUACUUGGACUCGUCGAAGAACAUUCACAAAAAGGAUUACACCCACAUCAAGGAUGUUCUCGACAGUGCUAUGUUUUACUACCAAGCAAGGGGUGGAGAGGUCAGGGACAAGAAGAGAAGGGGCGACAGGGUCGCCUUCGGCCAUAAGACCGACUUCUGCUGCAUCCAGCAACCGAACAAUUCUCUUAAUGAUGGAUUAUAUGUCCUACACCACAUGCUGGAGUACAGACGGGAUCACCAGAACCUUCGCAUGUAACCUAGAUCCGGCGAUGCCCAUAUUCUGCAAUGGGCAAACAACGUAGGAGAUAUCGAGGAUCAUCGACUUCGAGCUGAGUUCUAUCACAUCCAGCGCAAACUUGCCCAAAUCAUCAUGGAGGAGGUCGUCCAAAAAACAGGGAUGUUCUACGAAGAAGGACAAAUGUUGCGGGAAGACGUCCGAACAUGGAUAGCCUCUCAGCGUCUCGACAUGAAUCCUUUCACUAAGCUCGGGGACUAUCUCCCUGACAUGGAUGGAUGGCACGACAUGGUGGAGUGAUUGUCGAUAUAUGACUAUGUGUAUGUUUAGUCCAUACUUUCUAUAUGACAAAACUUUGAGUUAUGCAUGCUGAAACUUUAUUUGUGAUGUAAUUAAACCGUCCUCCUCCUCCACUAGCGAAGAUCACUCUAGUUAGGGCAUUUUGGGUACGAUGAACUUUGUUAUUUAUGCUUAUGAUAUGUUGUUUCUAUUUUGCCAAGCCUAUCUCUUUCUGUUGCUCAACUAUAUAUGUUGCAUAUCAUCGACUCAUGUGACGAUGCAGGUGCAUAGAUCAUCGAUGGUGAAGAAGUGCUACGCCAGGAGUAUAUAUACGACGAGUGGCCGGAGUGUCAGGCCCAGGUGUACCGGUUUAUGGUUUCCGAGCAACAGGCAAUAGUUAGUUUAGGUUCACACUAAUGCGAGAGAGGGAUACGAACUCAUGUACUCAAAGUGAUAGCUCUUCUCGCGUAUACCAUUGUUUAGAUGGAUGACGAUGUAUUUGCAAGUAAUCGAGGACUUGUAUCGCUAUUUUCGAGAUGAUGACGAGAGACCACUUUGUGUUGGAUGAUGAUUAUGAUAAUGACAUGAUUUGAUGAGACUAAUUGUAUGUAUAUGCUAUGAUUACAUUUGUAUGUGUAUGAUAUGCUAAAGGUUAUUGUAUAAAGCCUAUUCAAAUAUGAAACAAAUACAAAAACAAAUAUGCAGGAAAAAAACUAAUAAAACUAGUAGUAGUGAGGGGGGGGGGGAAAUUUAGCAAUAGCGCCGCAUUACCAGUAGCGCUUCCCGGUAAACAUCAUUGCAGAUAAUAUCAACAACGCCCUUUCCUAAACAGCGCUACAGCUAUUCAUGUAUAGCAGUAGCAUGGGACAACAGGCGCUACUGCUAUAUGUUAGCUGUAGCGCCUUAUUAGUAGCACCUGUCCCCGCGCUACUGAGAGGCCCAAAACCCGCACUGCUGCUAGGCUUUUCCCUAGUAGUGUAUGGUCAAGACGUGAUGCUAUAUUUUAUUGUAUGAGAUGAUCAUGUUUUGUAACCAAGUUAUCGGCAACUGGCAGGAGUCAUAUGGUUGUCGCUUUAUUGUAUGCAAUGCAAUCGCCAUGUAAUUGCUUUACUUUAUCACUAAGUGGUAGCGAUAGUCGUAGAAGCAAUAGGUGGCGAAACGACAAUGAUGCUACGAUGGAGAUCAAGGUGUCGCGCCGGUGACGAUGGUGAUCAUGACGGUGCUUCAGAGAUGGAGAUCACAAGCACAAGAUGAUGAUGGCCAUAUCAUAUCACUUAUAUUGAUUGAAUGUGAUGUUUAUACUUUAUGCAUCUUAUUUUGCUUUGAUUGUUGGUAGCAUUAUAAGAUGAUCUCUCACUAAAUUUUAAGGUAUAAGUGUUCUCCCUGAGUAUGUACCAUUGCGAAAGUUCUUCGUGCUGAGACACCACGUGAUGAUCGGGUGUGAUAGGCUCUACGUUCAAAUACAACGGGUGCAAAACAGUUGCACACACGGAAUACUCAGGUUAAACUUGACGAGCCUAGCAUAUACAGAUAUGGCCUCGGAACACUGAGACCGAAAGGUCGAGUGUGAAUCAUAUAGUAGAUAUGAUCAACAUAGUGAUGUUCACCAUUGAAAACGACUCCAUCUCACGUGAUGAUCGGACAUGGUUUAGUUGAUUUGGAUCACAUGAUCACUUAGAUGAUUAGAGGGAUGUCUAUCUAAGUGGGAGUUCUUAAGUAAUAUGAUUAAUUGAACUUAAAUUUAUCAUGAACUUAGUACUUGAUAGUAUUUUUCUUGUCUAUGUUUGUUGUAGAUAGAUGGCUCGUGCUGUUGUUCCGUUGAAUUUUAAUGCGUUCCUUGAGAAAGCUAAGUUGAAAGAUGAUGUUAGCAAUUACACGGACUGGGUCCGUAACUUGAGGAUUAUCCUCAUUGCUGCACAGAAGAAUUACGUCCUGGAAGCACCGCUGGGUGCCAGGCCUGCUGCAGAUGCAACUGACGACGUUAAGAACAUCUGGCAGAGCAAAGCUGAUGACUACUCGAUAGUUCAGUGUGCCAUGCUUUACGGCUUAGAACCGGGACUUCAAUGACGUUUUGAACGUCAUGGAGCAUAUGAGAUGUUCUAGGAGUUGAAGUUAAUAUUUCAAGCAAAUGCCCAGAUUGAGAGAUAUGAAGUCUCCAAUAAGUUCUAUAGCCGCACGAUGGAAGAUAAUAGUUCUGUCAGUGAACAUAUACUCAAAAUGUCUGGGUAUAAUAAUCACCUGAUUCAACUGCGAGUUAAUCUUCCUGAUGAUAGUGUCAUUGACAGAAUUCUUCAAUCACUGCCACCAAGCUACAAGAGCUUCGUGAUGAACUAUAACAUGCAAGGGAUGAACAAGACUAUUCCCGAGCUCUUCGCAAUGCUAAAAGCUGCGGAGGUAGAAAUCAAAAAGGAGCAUCAACUGUUGAUGGCCAACAAGACCACCAGUUUCAAGAAAAGGGGUAAAGGGAAGAAGAAGGGGAACUUCAAGAAGAACGGCAAACAAGUCGCUGCUCAAGAUAAGAAACCCAAGUCUGGACCUAAGCCUGAGACUGAGUGCUUCUACUGCAAGCAGACUGAUCACGGGAAGCGGAACUGCCCCAAAUAUUUGGCGGAUAAGAAGGAUGGCAAGGUGAACAAAGGUAGAUGUGAUAUACAUGUUAUUGAUGUGUACCUUACUAAUGCUCGCAGUAGCACCUGGGUAUUUGAUACUGGUUCUGUUGCUAAUAUUUGCAACUCGAAACAGGGACUACAGAUUAAGCAAAGAUUGGCUAAGAUGAGGUGACGAUGCACGUGGGAAAUGGUUCCAAAGUCGAUGUGAUCGCGGUCGGCACGCUACCUCUACAUCUACCUUCGGGAUUAGUUUUAGACCUGAAUAAUUGUUAUUUGGUGCCAGCGUUAAGCAUGAACAUUAUAUCUGGAUCUUGUUUGAUGCGAGGUGGUUAUUCAUUUAAAUCAUAAAAUAAUGGUUGUUCUAUUUAUAUGAGUGAUAUCUUUUAUGGUCAUGCACCCUUGAAGAGUGGUCUAUUUUUAUGGAAUCUCGAUAGUAGUGAUACACAUAUUCAUAAUGUUGAAGCCAAAAGAUACAGAGUUGAUAAUGAUAGUGCAACUUAUUUGUGGCACUGCCAUUUGGGUCAUAUCGGUGUAAAGCGCAUGAAGAAACUCCAUAAAGAUGGAAUUUUGGAAUCACUUGAUUAUGAAUCAUUUGAUGCUUGCGAACCGUGCCUUUUUGGCAAGAUGAUUAAAACUCCGUUCUCCGGAACAAUGGAACGAGCUAGUGACUUGUUGGAAAUAAUACAUACCGAUGUAUGCAGUCCAAUGAGUGUUGAUGCUCGUGGCGGGUAUCGUUAUUUUUCUAACCUUCACAGAUGAUUUGAGCAGAUAUGAUUAUGUCUACUUAAUAAAGCAUAAGUUUGAAAUAUUUGAAAAGUUCAAAGAAUUUCAGAGUGAAGUGGAGAGUCAUCGUAACAAGAAAAUAAAGUUUCUACAAUCUGAUCGUAGAGGAGAAUAUUUGAGUUACGAGUUUGGCCUUCAUUUAAAAACAGUGUGGAAUAGUUUCACAGCUCACGCCACAUGGAACACCACAGCGUAAUGGUGUGUCCGAACAUCGUAACCGCACUUUAUUGGAUACAGUGCGAUCUAUGAUGUAUCUUAUCGAUUUACCACUAUCGUUUUGGGGUUAUGCAUUAGAGACAGCUGCAUUCACUUUUGAUAGGGCACCAUGAAAAUCCAUUGAGACAACACCUUAUGAACUGUGGUUUGGCAGGAAACCAAAGUUGUCAUUUUUUAAAGUUUGAGGCUGCGAUGCUUAUGUGAAAAAGUUUCAACCUGAUAAUCUUGAACCCAAAUCGGAGAAGUGCGUCUUCAUAGAAUACCCAAAGGAAACUAUUGGGUACACCUUCUAUCACAGAUCCGAAGGCAAGUUAUUCGUUGCUAAGAUGGAACCUUUAUAGAGAAGGAGUUUCUCUCGAAAGAAGUGAGUGGGAGGAAAGUAGAGCUUGAUAAGGUAAUUGUACCUUCUCCUGAAUUGGAAAGUAGUUCAUCAUAGAAAUCAGUUCCAGUGAUUCCUACACCAAUUAGUGAGGAAGCUAAUGAUGAUGAUCAUGAAACUUCAGAUUAAGUUACUACAGAACCUCGUAGGUCUUCCAAAGUACAGUCUGCACCAGAGUGAUAUGGUAAUCCUGUUGUGGAAGUCAUGUUACUAAACCAUGAUGAACCUAUGAACUAUGAGGAAGCGAUGAUGAGCCCAGUUUCCGUAAAAUGGCUUGAAGGCCAUGAAAUUUGAGAUUGGAUCCAUGUAUGAGAACAAAGUGUGGACUUUGGUGGAGUUUCCCGAUGAUCGGCAAGCCAUAUUGUAUAAAUGGAUCUUCAAGAGGAAGACAGACGCUGAUAGUAGUGUUACAAUCUACAAAGCUCGACUUGUCGCAAAAAGUUUUUCGACAAGUUCAAGGUGUUGAAUACGAUGAGAUUUUCUCACUCGUAUCAAUGCUUAAGUCUGUCCGAAUCAUGUUAGCAAUUGCCACAUUUUAUGAAAUUUGGCAAAUGGAUGUCAAAAUUGCAUUCCUUAAUGGAUUUAUUAAAGAAGAGUUGUAUAUGAUGCAACCAGAAGGUUUUGUCAAUCCUAAAGGUGCUAACAAAGUGUGCAAGCUCCGGUGAUCCAUCCAUGGACCGGUGCAAGCAUCUCGGAGUUGGAAUAUACACUUUGAUGAGUUGAUCAAAGCAUAUAGUUUUAUACAGACUUGCGGUGAAGCCUGUAUAUGUGAAUGACAUAUUGUUGAUCAGAAAUAAUGUAGAAUUUUCUGGAAAGCACAAAGGAGUGUUUGAAAGGAGUUUUUCAAAGAAAGACCUCGGUAAAGUUGCUUACACAUUGAGCAUCAAGAUUUAUAGAGAUAGAUCAAGAUGCUUCAUAAGAUUUUUCAAUGAGUACAUACAUUGAUAAGAUUUUGAAGUAGUUCAAAAUGGAAUAGUCAAAGAAGGAGUUCUUGCCUGUGUUGCAAGGUGUGAAGUUGAGUAAGACUCAAAGCCCGACCACGACACAAAAUACAAAGAUAAUGAAAGUCAUUCCCUAUGACAUAGUCAUAGGUUCUAUAAAGUAUGCUAUGCUAUGUACCAGACCUAUUGCAUACCUUGCUCUGAAUUUGGCAAGGAGUACAAUUUUGAUCUAGGAGUAGAUCACUGGACAGCGGUCAAGAAUAUCCUUAGAAAGGACUAAGAAAAUGUUUCUCAAUUAUGGAGGUGAUAAAAGAGUUCAUCAUAAAGAGUUACAUCGGUGCAAGCUUUUACACCAAUCCAGAUGACUCUAAGUCUCAAUCUGGAUACAUAUUGAAAGUGAGAGCAAUUAGCUAGAGUAGAUCCGUGCAGAGCAUUGCAGACAUAGAAUAUUUGCAAAAUACAUACGGCUCUGAAUGUGACAGACCCGUUGACUAAACUUCUCUCACGAGAAAAACAUGAUCACACCUUAGUACUCUUUGGGUGUUAAUCACAUAUUGAUGUGAAAUACAUUAUUGACUCAAGUAAACCCUUUGGGCGUUGGUCACAUGACGAUAUGAACUAUGGGUGUUAAUCACAUGCAGAUGUGAAUAUUAGUGUUAAAUCACAUGGUAAUGUGAACUAGAUUAUUGACUCUAGUGCAAGUGGGAGACUGAAGGAAAUAUGCCCUAGAGGCAAUAAUAAAGUUAUUAUUUAUUUCCUUAUUUCAUGAUAAAUGUUUAUUAUUCAUGCUAGAAUUGUAUUAACUGGAAACAUAAUACAUGUGUGAAUACAUAGACAAACAAAGUGUCACUAGUAUGCCUCUACUUGACUAGCUCGUUGAAUCAAAGAUGGUUAAGUUUCCUAGCCAUAGACAUGAGUUGUCAUUUGAUUAACGGGAUCACAUCAUUAGAGAAUGAUGUGAUUGACUUGACCCAUUCUGUUAGCUUAGCACUUGAUCAUUUAGUAUGUUGCUAUUGCUUUCUUCAUGACUUAUACAUGUUCCUAUGACUACGAGAUUAUGCAACUCCCGUUUAUUGGAGGAACACUUUGUGUGCUACCAAACAUCACAAGUAACUGGGUGAUUAUAAAGGUGCUCUACAGGUGUCUCCGAAGGUACUUCUUGAGUUGGCGUAUUUCGAGAUUAGGAUUUGUCACUCCAAUUGUCCGAGAGGUAUCUCUGGGCCCUCUCGGUAAUGCACAUCACUAUAAGCCUUGCAAGCAAUGUGACUAAUGAGUUAGUUGCGGGAUGAUGCAUUACAUAACGAGUAAAGAGACUUGCCGGUAACGAGAUUGAACUAGGUAUUGAGAUAUCGACGAUCAAAUCUCGGGCAAAUGACAUAUCGAUGACAAAGGGAACAACGUAUGUUGUUAUGCGGUUUGACCGAUAAAGAUCUUCGUAGAAUAUGUGGGAGCCAAUAUGAGCAUCCAGGUUCCGCUAUUGGUUAUUGACCAGAGAUGUGUCUUGGCCAUGUCUACAUAGUUCUCGAACCCGUAGGGUCCGCACGCUUAAAGUUCGGUGAUGAUUUAUAUUAUGAGUUAUGUGUUUUGAUGUACCGAAGGUAGUUCGGAGUCCCGGAUGAGAUCGAGGACAUGACGAGGAGUCUCGAAAUGUUCGAGACGUAAAGAUCGAUAUAUUGGACGACUAUAUUCGGACAUCACAAAAGGUUCCGAGUGAUUCGGGUAUUUAUCGGAGUACCGGAGAGUUACGGGAAUUCGCCAGGGACUAUAUGGGCCUUAUUGGGCUUUAGGGGAAAGAGAGAGGGGAGGCUGCGCGCCCCCCCAAGGCCUAGUCCAAAUUGGACUAGGGGGAGGGGCUGCGCCCCCUCCUUCCUUCUCUUCCCUUUUCCCUUUCCUUGACUCCUAGUCCUACUACUUGGAAGGGGGGGAAUCCUACUCCCGGUGGGAGUAGGACUCCUCCAGUGCGCGCCAUAGGAGGGCCGGCCCUCCCCCCUCCUUCACUCCUUUAUAUACGGGGGCAGGGGGCACCUCUAGACACACAAGUUGAUCUGUUGAUCUCUCCCAGCCGUGUGCGGUGCCCCCCUCCAUCAUAUUCCACCUCGGUCAUAUUGUAGCGGUGCUUAGGAGAAGCCCUACAUCGGUAGCAACAUCAUCACCGUCAUCACGCCGUCUUGCUGAAGGAACUCUCCCGUGAAGCUCUACUGGAUCGGAGUUCACGGGACGUCAUCGAGCUGAAUGUGUGCUGAACUCGGAGGUGCCAUAUGUUCGGUACUUGGAUCGGUCGGAUCGUGAAGACAUACGACUACAUCAACCGCAUUGUGCUAACGUUUCCGCUUACGGUCUAUGAGGGCACGUGGACGACACUCUCCCCUCUCAUUGCUAUGCAUCACCAUGAUCUUUCCUGUGUGUAGGAUAUUUUUUUGAAAUAACUACAUUCCCCAACAGUCCGCAUGCUUAAUAUUCGAUGAUGAUUUGUAUUAUGAGUUAUGUGUUUUGAUGACCGAAGUUUGUUCAGAGUCCCGGAUGAGAUCAUGGACAUGACGAGGAGUCUCGAAAUGGUCGAGACAUAAGGAUUGAUAUAUUGGAAGGCUAUAUUCGGACGUCAGAAUGGUUCAAGAUAAGUUCGAGUAUUUUUGGAGUACCGGGAGGUUACCGCCCCCCCGGGAGUUGUUGGGUCUUGGUGGGAAGAGAAGGCAGCGGCCAGGAGGUGGCGCCCCUCGAGCCCAGUCCGAAUUGGAAAAGGGGUUGGGGGCGUGGCCCCCCUCUCCUUUAUGUGGAAUCCUACUAGGACUUGGAGUCCUAGUAGGACUCCCCUCUCCUGCGCGCCCUGCAAGGGCUAGCCGGCCUCUCCCUCCCUCCUUUAUAUACAGGUGCAUGGGGGCACCCUAGAACACACCAUGUUUUGCCUUAGCCGUGUGCAGUGCCCCCCUCCACAGUCACACACCUCGAUCAUAUCGUCGUAGUGCUUAGGAAAAGCCCUGCGCCGAUAACAUCAUCAUCACCGUCGCCACGCUGUCGUGCUGACGGAACUCACCAUCGUCCUCAGCUAGAUCAAGAGAACGAGGGACGUCAUCAAGCUGAACGUUUGCUGAACGCGGAUAUGCCGUACAUUUGGUACUUAGAUCGGUUGGAUCGCGAAGACGUUCGACUACAUCAACUGCAUGACUAAACGCUUCCCCUUUCGGUCUACGAGGGUACGUGGACACACUCUCCCCUCUCAUUUCUAUGCAUCUCCUAGAUAGAUCUUGCGUGAUCGUAGGAUUUUUUUAAAUUACUAUGUUCCCCAACAGUGGCAUCCGAGCGAGGUCUAUGCGUAGAUGUUUUAUGCACGAGUAGAACACAAAGAGUUGUGGGCGAUAAUAGUCAUACUGCUUACCACCAACGUCUUACUUUGAUUCGGCGGUAUUGUUGGAUGAAGCGGCCUAGACCGACAUUACAUGAUCACGAUCAUGAGACUGGUUCUACCGAAGUGCUUUUGCACAUAGGUGGCUGGCGGGUGUCUAUUUCUCCAACUUUAGUUGAAUCGAGUUUGACUACGACCGGUCCUUGUUGAAGGUUAAAACAACACACUUGACAAAAAAUCGUUGUGGUUUUGAUGCGUAGGUAAGAACGGUUCUUGCUAGAAGCCCGUAGCAGCCACGUGAAAUUUUCAACAACAAAGUAGAGGACGUCUAACUUGUUUUUGCAGGGCUUGCUGUGAUAUGAUAUGGUCAAGACAUGAUGUGAUAUAAAUUGUUGUAUGAGAUGAUCAUGUUUUGUAAACAGAGUUAUCGGCAACUGGCAAGAGCCAUAUGGUUGUCACUUUAUUGUAUGCAAUGCAAUCGCCAUGUAAUUGCUUUACUUUAUCACUAAGCGGUAGCAAUAGUCGUAGAAGCAAUAGUUGGCGAGAUGACAAUGAUGCUAUGAUGGAGAUCAAGGUGUCACGCCGGUGACAAUGGAGAUCAUGACGAUGCUUCGGUGAUGGAGAUCAUGAGCACAAGAUGAUGAUGGCCAUAUCAUGUCACAUAUUUUGGUUGCAUGUGAUGUUUAUCUUUUAUGCAUCUUAUUUUGCUUAGUACGGCGGUAGCAUUAUAAGAUGAUCCCUUACUUAAUUUCAAGGUAUAAAUGUUCUCCCUGAGUAUGCACCAUUGCUACAGUGCGUCGUGCUGAGACACCACAUUAUGAUCGGGUGUGAUAAGCUCUACGUUCACAUACUACGGGUGCAAGCCAGUUUUGCAGACGCAGAAUACUCGGGUUAAACUUGACAAGCCUAGCAUAUGCAGAUAUGGCCUCAGAACACUGAGACCGAAAGGUCGAACUUGAAUCAUAUAGUAGAUAUGAUCAACAUAGUGAUGUUUACCAUUUAAAACUACUCCAUCUCACGUGAUGAUCGGACAUGGUUUAGUUUAUUUGGAUCACGUGAUCAUUUAGAUGACUAGAGGGAUGUUUAUCGAAGUGGGAGUUCUUAAGUAAUAUGAUUAAUUGAACUUUAAUUUAUCACGAACUUAGUCCUGAUAGUUAUUUUGCAUGUCUAUGUUAUUGUAGAUCAAUGGCCCAUGCUACCAUUCCUUUGAAUUUUAAUAUGUUCCUAGAGAAAGCUAAGUUGAAAGAUGAUGGUAGCAAUUACACAGACUGGGUCCGUAACUUGAGGAUUAUCCUCAUUGCUGCACAGAAGAAUUACGUCCUGGAAGCACUGCUAGGUGUACCACCCGCGCCAACUGCAAACAUUGUGAAAAUGUCUGGCAGACGCAUGUUGAUGACUACUCGAUAGUUCAUUGUGUCAUGCUUUACGACUUAGAAUCGGGACUUGAAAGACGUUUUGAACAUCAUGGAGCAUAUGAGAUGUUCCAAGAGUUGAACUUAAUAUUUCAAGUAAAUGCCCGAGUUGAUAGAUAUGAUGUCUCCAACAAGUUCUAUAGCUGCAAAAUGGAGGAGAAUAGUUUUGUUAGUGAACACAUACUCAGAAUGUCUGGGUACCAUAACCACUUGACUCAGCUGGGAGUUAAUAUUCAUGAUGAUAGUGUCAUUGACAGAGUUCCUCAAUCACUGCCACCAAGCUAUAAAGGCUUUGUGAUGAACUAUAAUAUGCAAGGGAUGAACAAGACAAUUCCCGAGCUCUUCGCGAUGCUAAAAGCUGCAACGGUAGAAAUCAAAAAGGAGCAUCAAGUGUUGAUGGUCAACAAGACCACUAGUUCCAAGAAAAAUGGAAAACUAAAGAAGGGGAAACUCAAGAAGAACGGCUAGCAAGUUGCUGCUCAAGGCAAGAAAACCAAGUCUGGACCUAAGCCUGAAACUGAGUGCUUCUACUGCAAAGGGACUGGUCACUGGAAGCGGAACUGCCCCAAGUAUUUGGCGGAUAAGACGGAUGGCAAAGUGAAAGGUAUAUUUGAUAUACAUCUUAUUGAUGUGUACCUUACUAAUGUUAAUAGUAGUGCCUGGGUAUUUUAUACUAGUUUUGUUGCUCAUAUUUGCAACUCGAAUCAGGGGUUACCGAUUAAAUGAAGAUUGGCUACGGUCGAGGUGAUGAUGCGCGUUGGAAAUGGUUCCAAGGUCGAUGUGAUCGCCAUCGGCACGCUACCUCUACAUCUACCUUCGGGGUUAGUUUUAGACCUGAAUAAUUGUUAUUUGGUGCCGGCGUUGAGCAUGAACAUUAUAUCUGGAUCUUGUUUGAUGCGAGACGGUUAUUCAUUUAAAUCAGAGAAUAAUGGUUGUUCUAUCUAUAUGAGUAAUAUCUUUUAUGGUCAUGCACCCUUGCUGAGUGGUCUAUUUUUGUUGAAUCUCGAUCGUGAUGAUACACAUGUUCAUAAUAUUAAAGCUAAAAGAUGCAAAGUUGAUAGUGAUAGUGCAACUUAUUUGUGGCACUGCCGUUUAGGUCAUAUUGGUGUAAAGCGCAUGAAGAAACUCCAUGCUGAUGGGCUUUUGGAAUCACUUGAUUAUGAAUCACUUGGUUCUUGCGAACCAUGCCUCAUGGGCAAGAUGACUAAAACUCUGUUCUCCGGAACAAUGGAACGAGCUACUGACUUAUUGGAAAUAAUACAUACGAUGUAUGUGGUCCAAUGAGUGUUGAAGCUCGUGGCAGGUAUCGUUAUUUUCUUACCUUCACAGAUGAUUUGAGCAGAUAUGGGUAUAUCUACUUAAUGAAGCAUAAGUCUGGAACAUUUGAAAAGUUCAAAGAAUUUUAGAGUGAAGUGGAAAAUCAUCGUAACAAGAAAAUAAAGUUUCUAAGAUCUGAUCAUGGAGGAUAUUUGAGUUACGAGUUUGGUCUUCAUUUGAAACAAUGUGGAAUAGUUUCGCAACUCACGCCACCUGGAACACUACAGCGUAAUGGUGUGUCCGAAUGUUGUAACCUUACUAUAUUGGAUAUGGUGCGAUCUAUGAUGUCUGUUACUGAUUUCCUGCUAUCGUUUUGGCAUUAUGCUUUAGAGACGGCUGCAUUCACUUUAAAUAGGGUACCAUCAAAAUCCGUUGAAACGACGCCUUAUGAAAUGUGGUUUGGCAAGAAACUAAAGUUGCCAUUUCUUAAAGUAUGGGGCUGCGAUGCUUAUGUGAAAAAGCUUCAACCUGAUAAGCUCGAACCCAAACCGGAGAAGUGCGUCUUCAUAGGAUACCCAAAAGAAACUGUUGGGUACACCUUCUAUCACAGAUCCGAAGGUAAAAUAUUUGUUGCUAAGAAUGCAUCCUUUCUAGAGAAGGACUUUCUCUCGAAAGAAGUGAGUGGGAGGAAAGUAGAACUUGAUGAGGUAAUUGUACCUUCUCCUGAAUUGGAAAGUAGUUCAUCACAAAAAUCAGUUCUAGUGAUUCCUGCACCAAUUAGUGAGGAAGCUAAUGAUGAUGAUCAUGAAACUUCAGAUCAAGUUACUACAGAACCUCGUAGGUCUUCCAGAGUAUGGUACGCACUAGAGUGGUAUGGUAAUCCUAUUCUGGAAGUCAUGUUACUAGACCAUGAUGAACCUACGAACUAUGAGGAAGCGAUGAUGAGCCCAGAUUCCGUGAAAUGGCUUGAGGCCAUGAAAUUUGAGGUGGGAUCCAUGUAUGAGAACAAAGUGUGGACUUUGGUGGAUUUACCCGAUGAUCGGCAAGCUAAAUGGAUCUUCAAGAAGAAGACCGACGCUGACGGUAAUGUUACUGUCUACAAAGCUCGACUUGUUGCGAAAGGUUUUUGACAAGUUCAAGGAGUUGACUACGAUGAGACUUUCUCACUCGUAGCGAUGCUUAAGUCUGUCCGAAUCAUGUUAUCAAUUGCUGCAUUUUAUGAUUAUGAAAUUUGGCAGAUGGAUGUCAAAACUGCAUUCCUGAAUGGAUUUCUGGAAGAAGAAUUGUAUAUGAUGAAACCUGAAGGUUUUGUUGAUCCAAAGGGUGCUAACAAAGUGUGCAAGCUCCAAUGAUCCAUUUAUGGACUGGUGCAAGCCUCUCGGAGUUGGAAUAAAUGCUUUGAUAGUGUGAUCAAAGCAUAUGGUUUUAUACAGACUUUUGGAGAAGCCCGUAUUUACAAGAAAGUGAGUGGGAGCUCUGUAGCAUUUCGUAUAUUAUAUGUGGAUGACAUAUCGUUGAUUGGAAAUGAUAUAAAAUUUCUGGAUAGCAUAAAGGGAUACUUGAAUAAGAGUUUUUCAAUGAAAGACCUCGGUGAAGCUACUUACAUAUUGGGCAUCAAGAUCUAGAGAGAUAGAUCAAGACACUUAAUUGGACUUUCAUAAAGCACAUACCUUGAUAAAGUUUUGAAGAAUUUCAAAAUGGAUCAGUCAAAGAAAGAGUUCUUGCUUGUGUUACAAGGUGUGAAGUUGGGUCAGACUCAAUGCCCGACCAUUGUAGAAGAUAGAGAGAAAAUGAAAGUCAUUCCCUAUGCUUCAGCCAUAGGUUAUAUCAUGUAUGCAAUGUUGUGUAUCAGACCUGAUGUGUGCCUUGCUAUAAGUAUAGCAGGGAGGUACCAAAGUAAACCCGAAGUGGAGCACUGGACAAUGGUCAAGAAUAUCCUGAAAUACCUGAAAAGGACUAAGGAUAUGUUUCUCGUUUAUGGAGGUGACAAAGAGCUCGUCGUUAAUGGUUACAUCGAUGCAAGCUUUGACACUGAUCCGGAUGACUCUAAGUCACAAUCCAGAUACAUAUUUUUAUUGAAUGGUGGAGCUGUUAGUUGGUGCAGUUCCAAACAAAGCGUCGUGGCGAGAUCUACGUGUGAAGCGGAGUACAUAGCUGAUUUGGAAGCAGCAAAUGAAGGAGUUCAUAUCCGAUCUAGGUGUUAAACCUAGUGCAUUGGGUCCAAUGAAAAUCUUUUGUGACAAUACUGGUGCAAUUGCCUUGGCAAAGGAAUCCAGAUUUCACAAGAGAACCAAACACAUCAAGAGACGCAUCAAUUUCAUCCGGCGUCAAGUCGCGGAGGGAGACAUAGAGAUUUGCAAGAUACAUAUGGAUCUAAAUGUUGCAUACCCGUUGACUAAGCCUCUUCCACGAGCAAAACAUGAUCAGCACCAAGACUCCAUGGGUGUUAGAAUCAUUACUGUGUAAUCUAGAUUAUUGACUCUAGUGCAAGUGGGAGACUGAAGUAAAUAUGCCCUAGAGGCAAUAAUAAAGUUAUUAUUUAUUUCCUUAUAUCAUGAUAAAUGUUUAUUAUUCAUGCCAGAAUUAUAUUAACCAGAAGCUUAGUACAUGUGUGAAUACAUAGACAAAACAUAGUGUCCCUAGUAUGCCUCUACUUGACUAGCUCGUUAUUCAAAGAUGGUUAUGUUUCCUAACCAUAGACAUGUGUUUCAUUCGAUGAACGGGAUCACAUCAUUAGGAGAAUGGUAUGAUGGACAAGACCCAUCCAUUAGCUUAGCAUUAUGAUCGUUACAGUUUCAUUGCUACUGCUUUCUUCACGACUUAUACAUGUUCCUCAGACUAUGAGAUUAUGCAACUCCCGAAUACCGGAGGAACACCUUGUGUGCUGUCAAACGUCAUAACGUAACUGGGUGAUUAUAAAGAUGCUCUACAGGUGUCUCCGAAGGUGUUUGUUGGGUUGGCAUAGAUCGAGAUUAGGAUUUUUCACUUCGUGUAUCGAAGAGGUAUCUCUGGGCCCUCUCGGUAAUGCUCAUCACGAUAAGCCUUGCAAGCAAUGUGACUAAUGAGUUCGUUGUCGGAUGAAGCAUUACAGAAUGAGUAAAGAGACUUGACGGUAACGAAAUUGAACUAGGUAUGAUGAUACCGACGAUCGAAUCUCGGGCAAGUAUCAUACCGAUGACAAAGGGAACAACGUAUGUUGUUAUGCAGUUUGACCGAUAAAGAUCUUCGUGGAAUAUGUAGGAGACAAUAUGAGCAUCCAGGUUCCGAUAUUGGUUAUUGAUCGGAGAUAUGUCUCAAUCAUGUCUACAUAGUUCUCGAACCCGUAGGGUCCGCACGCUUAACGAUCGAUGGCGAUUUGUAUUAUGAGUUAUGUGUUUUGAUGACCGAAGUUUGUUCGGAGUCCCGGAUUAGAUCACGGACGUGAUGAGGAGUCUCGAAAUGGUGGAUACAUAAAGAUUGAUAUAUUGGAAGGCUAUAUUCGGACAUCAGAAUGGCUCCAGAGAAGUUCAGGUAUUUUCCAGAGUACUCGGAGGCUACCGGAACCCCCCGGGGAGUUGUUGGGCCUUAGUGGGCCUUAGUGGGAAGAGGAGGCAACGGCCAGGAGGUGGCACACCCCCACCCCCCCCAAGCCCAGUUUGAAUUGGACAAGGGGUUGGGGGCGCGGCCCCCUCUCCCUUCCUUCCCCCCUCUCCUUUAGGUGGAAUCCUACUAGGACUUGGAGUCCUAGUAGGACACCCCUCUCCUAGCGCACCCUGCAAGGGCCGACCGGCCUCCCCCUCCCUCCUUUAUAUACGGGGGCAGGGGGGCACCCUAGAACACACCAAGUUUUGCCUUAGCCGUGUGCGGUGCCCCCUCCACAGUCACACACCUCGAUCAUAUCACCGUAGUGCUUAGGCGAAACCCUGCGCAGGUAACAUCAUCAUCACCGUCGCCACAAUGUCGUGCUGACGGAACUCACUCUCGUCCUCAACUGGAUCAAGAGCACGAGGGACAUCAUCGAGCUGAACGUGUGCUGCACGCGGAGGUGCCAUACGUUUGGUACUUGGAUCGGUUGGAUCACGAAGAUGUUUGACUACAUCAACCGCGUUACUAAAUGCUUCCGCUUUCUUUCUACGAGGGUACAUGGACACACUCUCCCCUCUCAUUUCUAUGCAUCUCCUAGAUAGAUCUUGUGUGAUCAUAGGAAAAUUUUGAAUUACUAUGUUCCCCAACACCACAUGCUUAAUGAGAUGCUAAGUACAGGAAAUGACUCGGCAACUAAACUCUCUAAUGUAUACGGUGCUUAGCUUUUUGUAGCUAAGUUUCCUUCAUUUAAUUGCAUAGCAACUAAACUUCUUCACGCAAAGGUGUCUUGCGUUGUUUUUUCCCUGAUAAACUUUCAAUUUAUUUAUUCUCAAUCAUGGCAGUACAAAGAACAUUAGAAGUGAUAAAAUUUACUAUCUGGUCAGAUCACCUAGCGAUGACUACAAGCACCGGAGCGAGCCGAAUGCGUCACCCCUCCCUCACCAGAGCCAGAAAAACCUUAUUGUAGUAGACAGUCGACAAGUCGUCGUGCUAAGAUCCCAUAGGACCAAUGCACCAGAGUAGAAAACAUCACCGAUGAUGAAAGUCAUUGAUUGGACGGAUCAAACAUGUAAACACUCAAAUGAAGACCGGAUCAAAAUUGAUCCACCAAUGACCAGCACUGACCAAAUCCCACGAGAUCCAGCGGAGGCACACCUCUAUAAAUCCUCCGACGAAGCUAGCCGUGUUGGAAAUAUGCCCUAGAGGCAAUAAUAAAAUGAUUAUUAUUAUAUUUCCUUGUUCAUGAUAAUUGUCUAUUAUUCAUGCUAUAAUUGUGUUAUCCGGAAAUCGUAAUACAUGUGUGAAUAAAUAGACCACAACAUGUCCCUAGUGAGCCUCUAGUUGACUAGCUCGUUGAUCGACUGAUAGUCAUGGUUUCCUGACUAUGGACAUUGGAUGUCUUUGAUAACGGGAUCACAUCAUUAGGAGAAUGAUGUGAUGGACAAGACCCAAUCCUAAGCAUAGCAAACGAUCGUGUAGUUCGUUUGCUAGAGCUUUUCCAAUGUCAAGUAUCUUUUCCUUAGACCAUGAGAUCGUGUAACUCCCGGAUACCGUAGGAGUGCUUUGGGUGUACCAAACGUCACAACGUAACUGGGUGACUAUAAAGGUAUACUACGGGUAUCCCCGAAAGUACCUGUUGGGUUGACACGGAUCGAGACUGGUAUUUGUCACUCCGUAUGACGGAGAGGUAUCUCUGGGCCCACUCGGUAAUGCAUCAUCAUAAUGAGAUCAAAGUGACCAAGUGUUUGGUCACGGGAUCAUGCAUUAUGGUACAAGUAAAGUGACUCACCGGUAACGAGAUUGAACGAGGUAUUGGGAUACCUACGAUCGAAUCUCGCGCAAGUAACACACCGAUUGACAAAGGGAAUUGUAUACGGGGUUACUUGAAUCCUCGACAUUGUGGUUCAUCCGAUGAGAUCAUCGAGGAGCAUGUGGGAGCCAACAUGGGUAUCCAGAUCCCACUGUUGGUUAUUGACCGAAGAGUUGUCUCAGUCAUGUCUGCGUGUCUCCCGAACCCGUAGGGUCUACACACUUAAGGUUCAGUGACGCUAGGGUUGUAGAGAUAUUAGUAUGCAGUAACCCGAAAGUUGUUUGGAGUCCCGGAUGAGAUCCCGGACGUCACGAGGAGUUCCGGAAUGGUCCGGAGGUGAAGAAUUAUAUAUAGGAAGUCCAGUUUUGGCCAUCGGCAAAGUUUCGGGGGUCACCAGUAUUGUUCCGGGACCACCGGAAGGGUCCCGGGGGUCCACCGGGUGGGGCUACCUAUCCCGGAGGGCCCCAUGGGCUGAAGUGGGGAGGGAACCAGCCCCUGGUGGGCUAGUGCGCCCCCCCUUGGGCCCCCCCUGCGCCUAGGGUUGUAAACCCUAGGGGUGGGGCACCUCCACUUGACUUGGGGGGCAAGCCACCCCCUUGGCCGGCGCCCCCUAGGGGCCCUAUAUAAAGAGGGGGGGAGGGAGGGCUGUGCACCCAUGCUCCUGGCGCCUCCCUCUCCCUCUGCAACGCCUCUCCCUCUCAUAGAGCUUGGCGAAGCCCUGCCGAGAUCGCUGCUGCAUCCACCACCACGCCGUCAUGCUGCUGGAUCUCCAUCAACCUCUCCUUCCCCCUUGCUGGAUCAAGAAGGAGAAGACGUCUUCCCCAACCGUAUGUGUGUUGAACGCGGAAGUGUUGUCCGUUCAGCACUAGGAUCAUCGGUGAUUUGGAUCACGACGAGUACGACUCCCUCAACCCGUUCUCUUGAACGCUUCCGCUCGCGAUCUACAAGGGUAUGUAGAUGCACUCCUCUCUCUCGUUGCUAGAUGAACUCUAUAGAUUGAUCUUGGUGAAGCGUAGAUUCUUUUUAUUUUCUGCAACGUUCCCCAACAGUGGCAUCAUGAGCCAGGUCUAUGCGUAGUUCUCUUUUCACGAGUAGAACACAAAUUUGUUGUGGGCGUAGAUGUUGUCAAUUUUCUUACCACUACUAGUCUUAUUUUGCUUCGACGAUAUCGUGGGAUGAAGCGGCCUGGACCGACCUUACACGUACGCUUACGUGAGACAGGUUCCACCGACUGACAUGCACUAGUUGCAUAAGGUGGCUAGCAGGUGUCUGUCUCUCCCACUUUAGUCGGAGCGGAUUCGAUGAAAAGGGUCCUUAUGAAGGGUAAAUAGAAAUUGGCAUAUCACGUUGUGGAUUUUACGUAGGUCAGAAAACGUUCUUGCUAGAACCCUAUUGCAGCCACGUAAAAACAUGCAACAACAAUUAGAGGACGUCUAACUUGUUUUUGCAGCAUUUGCUAUGUGAUGUGAUAUGGCCAAAAGUUGUGAUGAAUGAUAUAUAUGUGAUGUAUGAGAUCAUGUUCUUCUAAUAGGAAUCACGACUUGCAUGUCGAUGAGUAUGACAACCGGCAGGAGCCGUAGGAGUUGUCUUAAUUAUUGUAUGACCUGCGUGUCAAUGAUUCAACGCCAUGUUAUUACUUUACUUUAUUGCUAAACCGUUAGCCAUAGUAGUAGAAGUAAUAGUUGGCGAGCAACUUCAUGGAGACACGAUGAUGGAGAUCAUGGUGUCAUUCUGGUGACAAAGAUGAUCAUGGCGUCCCGAAGAUGGAGAUCAAAGGAGCUAUAUGAUAUUGGCCAUAUCGUGUCACUAUUUGAUUGCAUGUGAUGUUUAUCAUGUUUAUGCAUCUUGUUUACUUAGAACGACGGUAGUAAAUAAGAUGAUCCCUCAUAAGAAUUUCAAGAAAGUGUUCCCCCUAACUGUGUGCCAUUGCGAAAGUUCAUUGUUUCGAAGCACCACGUGAUGAUCGGGUGUGAUAGAUUCUAACGUUCACAUACAACGGGUGUAAGACAGAUUUACACAUGCAUAAACACUUAGGUUAACUUGACGAGCCUAGCAAGUACAGACAUGGCCUCGGAACACAAGAGACCGAAAGGUCGAACAUGGGUCGUAUGGAAGAUACGAUCAACAUGGAGAUGUUCACCGAUGAUGACUAGUCCGUCUCACGUGAUGAUCAGACAUGGCCUAGUUGACUUGGAUCAUGUAUCACUUAGAUGACUAGAGGGAUGUCUAAUCUGAGUGGGAGUUCAUUAAAUAAUUUGAUUAGAUGAACUUAAUUAUCAUGAACUUAGUCUAAAAACCUUUGCAAAAAUGUCUUGUAGAUCAAAUGGCCAACGCUCAUGUCAACCUCAACUUCAACGCGUUCCUAGAGAAAACCAAGCUGAAAGAUGAUAGCAACAACUAUACGGACUGGGUCCGGAACCUGAGGAUCAUCCUCAUAGCUACCAAGAAAGCAUAUGUCCUAGAAGGACCGCUAGUUGAAGCACCCAUCCCAGAGAACCAAGAUGUAAUGAAUGCUUGGCAGUCACGUGCUGAUGAUUACUCCCUCGUUCAGUGCGGCAUGCUUUACAGCUUAGAACCGGGGCUCCAGAAGCGUUUUGAGCAACACGGAGCAUAUGAGAUGUUCGAGGAGCUGAAAAUGGUUUUCCAAGCUCAUGCCCGGGUCGAGAGAUAUGAAGUAUCUGACAAGUUCUAUAGUUGAAAGAUGGAGGAAAAUAGUUCUGUCAGUGAGCACAUACUCAAAAUGUCUGGGUUGCACAACCGCUUGUCCCACCUGGACAUUAACCUCCCGGACGAGGCGGUCAUUGACAGAAUCCUUCAGUCGCUCCCACCUAGCUACAAGAGCUUUGUGAUGAACUACAAUAUGCAGGGGAUGGUGAAAACUAUUCCUGAAGUAUUUUCAAUGCUGAAGUUAGCGGAGGUAGAAAUCAAAAAGGAACAUCAAGUGUUGAUGGUCAAUAAAACCACUAAGUUCAAGAAAGGCAAGGGUAAGAAGAACUUCAAGAAGGACGACAAGGAGGUUGCCACACCCGGUACGCUAGUUGCGGGAAAGAAGGCAAAGAAUGGACCCAAGCCUGAGACUGAGUGCUUUUAUUGCAAAGGGAAGGGUCACUGGAAGCGGAACUGCCCCAAAUACUUAGCGGACAAGAAGGCCGGCAACACUAAAGGUAUAUGUGAUAUACAUGUAAUUGAUGUGUACCUUACCAGUACUCGUAGUAGCUCCUGGGUAUUUGAUACCGAUGCGGUUGCUCAUAUUUGUAACUCAAAGCAAGAGCUGCAGAAUAAGCGGAGACUGGCGAAGGACGAGGUGACGAUGCACGUCGGGAAUGGUUCCAAGGUCGAUGUGAUCACCGUCGGCACGCUACCUCUACAUUUAUCUACGGGAUUAGUUUUAAACCUUAAUAAUUGUUAUUUAGUGCCAGCUUUGAGCAUGAACAUUGUAUCUGGAUCUCGUUUAAUAUGAGAUGGCUACUCAUUUAAAUCCGAGAAUAAUGGUUGUUCUAUUUAUAUGAGAGAUAUGUUUUAUGGUCAUGCCCCGCUGGUCAAUGGUUUAUUCUUAAUGAAUCUCGAACGUGAUGUUACACACAUUCAUAAUGUGAAUACUAAAAGAUGUAAGGUUGAUAAUGAUAGUCCCACAUAUCUGUGGCACUGCCGCCUUGGUCACAUUGGUGUCAAGCGCAUGAAGAAGCUCCAUGCUGAUGGACUUUUAGAGUCCCUCGAUUAUGAAUCAUUUGACACAUGUGAACCAUGCCUCAUGGGCAAAAUGACCAAGACUCCGUUCUCCGGAACAAUGGAGCGAGCAACCAACUUAUUGGAAAUCAUACAUACUGAUGUGUGCGGUCCAAUGAGCGUGAGGCUCGCGGAGGCUAUCGUUAUGUUCUCACUCUCACCGAUGACUUAAGUAGAUAUGGGUAUGUCUACUUGAUGAAACACAAGUCUGAGACCUUUGAAAAGUUCAAGGAAUUUCAGAAUGAGGUAGAGAAUCAACGUGACCAAAAAAUAAAGUUCUUAUGAUCAGAUCGUGGAGGAGAAUAUUUAAGUCACGAAUUUGGUACGCACUUAAGGAAAUGUGGAAUCGUUUCACAACUCACGCCGCUAGAACACCUCAGCGUAACGGUGCGUCCGAGCGUUGUAAUCGCACUUUAUUGGAUAUGGUGCGGUCUAUGAUGUCUCUUACCAAUUUACUGCUAUCAUUUUGGGGAUACGCUCUAGAGACAGCUACAUUCACUUUAAAUAGGGCACCGUCUAAAUCCGUUGAGACGACACCGUAUGAAUUAUGGUUUGGGAAGAAACCUAAGCUGUCGUUUCUAAAAGUUUGGGGAUGCGAUGCUUAUGUCAAGAAACUUCAACCUGAAAAGCUCGAACCCAAGUCGGAAAAAUGCGUCUUCAUAGGAUACCCUAAGGAAACCAUUGGGUAUACCUUCUACCUUAGAUCCGAAGGCAAGAUCUUUGUUGCCAAGAACGGGUCCUUUCUGGAGAAAGAUUUUCUCUCGAAAGAAGUAAGUGGGAGGAAAGUAGAACUCGAUGAAGUACUACCUCUUGAACCGGAAAGUAGUGUAGCUCAGGAAAAUGUUCCUGUGGUGCCUACACCGACUGGAGAGGAAAUUAAUGAUGAUCAAGGUACUUCGGAUCAAGUUGCUACUGAACUUCAUAGGUCCACAAGGACACGUUCCAGACCAGAGUGGUAUGGCAACCCUGUCCUGGAAAUCAUGUUGUUAGACAAUGGUGAACCUUCGAACUAUGAAGAAGCGAUGGCGGGCCCAGAUUCCAACAAAUGGCUUGAAGCCAUGCAAUCCGAGAUAGGAUCCAUGUAUGAAAACAAAGUAUGGACUUUGACAGACUUGCCCGAUGAUCGGCGAGCGAUAGAAAACAAAUGGAUCUUUAAGAAGAAGACGGACGCGGAUGGUCAUGUUACCAUCUAUAAAGCUCGACUUGUCGCUAAGGGUUAUCGGCAAGUUCAAGGGGUUGACUACGAUGAGACUUUCUCUCCCGUAGCGUAGCUGAAGUCCGUCCGAAUCAUGUUAGCAAUUGCCGCAUACUAUGAUUAUGAGAUAUGGCAAAUGGACGUCAAAACGGCAUUCCUUAACGGCUAUCUUAAGGAAGAACUGUAUAUGAUGCAGCCGGAAGGUUUUAUCGAUCCUGAGAAUGCUAACAAGGUAUGCAUGCUCCAGCGAUCCAUUUAUGGGCUGGUGCAAGCAUCUCGGAGUUGGAACAUUCGCUUUGAUGAGAUGAUCAAAGCGUUUGGGUUUAUGCAGACUUAUGGAGAAGCCCGCGUUUACAAGAAAGUGAGUGGGAGCUCUGUAGCAUUUCUCAUAUUAUAUGUAGAUGACAUACUUUUGAUGGGAAAUGAUAUAGAACUUUUGGACAGCAUUAAUGCCUACUUGAAUAAGUUUUUUUCAAUGAAGGACCUUGGAGAAGCUGCUUACAAAUUAGGCAUCAAGAUCUAUAGGGAUAGAUCGAGAUGCCUCAUAGGUCUUUCACAAAGCACAUACCUUGAUAAGAUAUUGAAGAAGUUCAAUAUGGAUUAGUCCAAGAAAGGGUUCUUGCCUAUAUUGCAAGGUGUGAGAUUGAGCUCGGCUCAAUGCCCGACCACGGCUGAAGAUAUAGAAGAGAUGAGUGUCAUCCCCUAUGCCUCAGCCAUAGGUCCUAUUAUGUAUGCCAUGUUGUGUACCAGACCUGAUGUAAACCUUGCCGUAAGUUUGGUAGGAAGGUACCAAAGUAAUCCCGGCAAGGAACACUGGACAACGGUCAAGAAUAUCCUGAAGUACCUGAAGAGGACUAAGGAUAUGUUUCUCGUUUAUGGAGGUGACGAAGAGCUCGUCGUAAAGGGUUACAUCGACGCUAGCUUCGACACAGAUCUGGAUGACUCUAAGUCACAAACCGGAUACGUGUAUAUUUUGAAUGGAGGGGCAGUAAGCUGGUGCAGUUGCAAGCAGAGCGUCGUGGUAGGAUCCACAUGUGAAGCGGAGUACAUGGCAGCCUCGGAGGCAGCGCAUGAAGCAAUUUGGAUGAAGGAGUUCAUCACCGACCUAGGAGUCAUACCCAAUGCACCGGGGCCAAUCACCCUCUUCUGUGACAACACUGGAGCUAUUGCCCUUGCCAAGGAGCCCAGGUUUCACAAGAAGACCAAGCACAUCAAGCGUCGCUUCAACUCCAGUCGUGAAAAUGUUCAAGAUGGAUACAUAUAUAUUUGCAAAGUGCAUACGGAUCUGAAUGUCGCAGAUCCGUUGACUAAACCUCUUCCGCGAGCAAAACAUGAUCAACACCAGAACUCUAUGGGUGUUCGAUUCAUCACAAUGUAACUAGAUUAUUGACUCUAGUGCAAGUGGGAGACUGUUGGAAAUAUGCCCUAGAGGCAAUAAUAAAAUGAUUAUUAUUAUAUCUCCUUGUUCAUGAUGUCGGAUUUAGGGUUCCGGCAGACCCUUGAGGUUCGAACACUGGGGUGCGCGCGGAGGUUUCACCUUCUACCUACCUAUUCCUCGCCAAAUCGCUAGGAUCUAAACUACGAGAAGAACAACACAAGAGACACAGGGUUUAUACUGGUUCAGGCCACCAUUGUGGUGUCAUACCCUACUCCAGUGUGUGGCGUGGUGGAUUGCCUCUUGGGCUGAUGAUGAACAAUACAAGGAAGAACAGCCUCAUGAGGGUCUGUUCUUGUGGUGGUGUUGUCCCUUUGGAAGGGUUGAUUCUAGACGCCUAUCUUAUCUCCAGAUUCCUGUCUCUCCAUCCCUCUACCCUGUGGGUGGCUAGUCCUAUUUAUAGGCGAAGGCCAUGGGCCUCUUCCCAAAUAUUGAGCAGGAAGGGCGCCAACAACUGACCAAUUUGAAGGGGAACAUCUAGUACACUUAUCCUGACUAAAGUUGGUCCUCGCCUGUCAAAGGAUCUGGUGGUGAUGCUGACUUGGGCUCCACGGUGACCUCCAUCCUGCCGUUGGACUGGUCUUGGUCUUGUUGCACCGAAAUGGAUGCCUUUGCUUGAUGCUCUCGCCUGCGCUUGCUCCCCUUGCACCAAAGAGGAAAGAAGGACACUGCGCGGGCUGGCGCCCGGCUGGCGCCCUUGGUCGUCAUGGCUUGCGUCAUGGGCACCUCGCGAGGUACCCUGCCUUGAACUCUCCGCCUCCUCAUGAGCCAGCCUGACGAGGCCGUGCCUGAGGAAGCUCCUUGUCGUCCGCCCCGCGAGGCUUAGCCCCUCGCGAGGGUCUUGAGCUUGUGUUGAUGAAGAUGGACCGUGCUGGGCCCCCUUUGAGCCAUGCCGCAGGCCGCAGGCAGGCAAGUCUGGGGACCCCCGUUCCCAGAACGCCAACAGUAGCCCCCGGGCCCAAGGCGCGCCCGGACUUGGCCGAGCAGAGAGGUGAAAGGGAAAGUGCGAAGCGUCGCGGGCCCUAACAGCCUGCAGCCUUGGGCGCCACGUGGUGGUUGAUUGGACGUGGGCGUCUCCGCAACCGCGCGAGUUGAUAAGGAGCGGCAUCUGCCCUCUGCCUCCUUUGCUCUCUCCAGUUGCUGCACAGAUCCCCUUUCUUGCGCCUCUCCUUCCUUCCUUCGAAAUCUCUAGAUCUACUCCACCCGCGUGCCCUAGCCAGACAUUGCGCCUCGCCAGGCCCCGGCCGGAGCUUGGUAUUCAUCCGCCUUGGACUCGCCAAACGUGUCAGAGGCGAGCCUUGCCCGGGUGCGCCAGAUGGCAGCGGCGCAGGGCGUCGAUGGGGCGAAGGUGUUCAAGGCCGGCUCUGCCCUCCCUGAGGGCCAAGGGAGCACCUUCUAUCCGCUCUUCGUGAGCGCCAUUGUCGCCGGUCUGGUGCCUCCCUUCUCUGAGUUCUUCUUUUCUGUCCUCUGCCAUUACAACCUUCAAGCUCUGCACCUCCACCCCAACUCUGUCCUCCUUCUGGCAAUCUUCGCCUACUAUUGCAAGGCUCACGUGGGGGUGAAGCCCUCAGUGGCCCUGCUGCGCCACUACUUCUCCCUCCGGACCUCUCAUGGUUCCGUCUCUGCGUGUGCGAGCUUCUCGCGUACGGCAGCUCCACCGCCAUUUCGAAUCCCGGGAAAAGGAUUGAGGGCUUCAGGAGCAAGUGGGUCUUGAUUGAUGCUGGGCGCGUCCACCCCCGGCUGGUCUUGCCCACGGGGCACCCCUCAAGCUCCGACGACUGGUCUCGAGUGGAGCUUGUGGAUCCCCGCGCAAGGCUGGUGUUGGAGAAGAUGGAUGCGGAUCUGAGGCCGGCCAGCAUGGCGGCGGUGAAGCUGACUGGCGCCUCGCUGCUGAGGGAGUUCCUGGAGCAUCAGCUGGCUCCGCUUCGUUAGUACUCGCUUCCGAUGUGGAGGCCCCACCCGAGCCCCGCGGUCCUGGCCGAUGAGGAUCUGGCCGCGGUCCUCCAGUCUUUGGUCGGGGCCGACGUGGCAAGGUUGGAGGGCACUUCGACACCCCUGUUCCUUCGUGAGGACUGGGAGCAGGUUGUGGGGUCCAUGCCAGUCCUCAACGGGGACGGGCCUAUGCCCGCGGAGGCUCCCGAGGACCUGGUGGACGUAUCCUCUGGUGACUCCAGCGAAGAGAGGGAGGAAGGGGAGUGGGAAAAGGGGGCUAACUCCGAGGCAGAGUCAAGGGCUCCACCUCUUCGGCGCAAGUCCCGCGCUCUCCGCCUCUCUCUGAGUGAUGACGACGAGGGUGAUGACGAGCAGCGCGGCGGGAGCCUGCCCCGGGUCCCGAAGAAGGACCGGACUGGGCUGAUCCCCCGCGGGUCCGCCCCAGCCCCGAGGCGAUCCGCAGGCGCCCCAGCGGCACCCGCGCUCCUUGAGGCUGAUCCUUGCAACCGGCUCUCGGGCUUCAAGUAUGGCCGGAGGCUGCUUGAGCCUACGGGCGACGACCUGUAAGUGCUUGAUCCCUGUCUUGUUUCUUGUUUCGUCGCUGAGGCUUGACGCCCGUAUCUCCCGGCUAGGCAGGCGCCCACGGCAAAGAAACCGAAGGGGGCUCCUGAGACUCCAUCCGCGGAAGCGCCUCUCCUCGCGAAAGAAGAUGAACGUGACACGCGGGCCUCUCCUGCCCAGGCGUCCCUGCGAGGCCCUACCGAGCCGGCUGGGGCGAGAUCGGCUCCUAUGGCCCCGGCGACUCCCGAGGCGCCCCUGCUUGAUGCCGCCACCACAGCCGCUGGGGCGCAGCAGGCUCUGCCUCAGGACACCGUGGUCACGCUGCCAUCUUCUCCUCCUACCCCGCCGACUGCUGCUUCCCCGUCUCCUCCUGCUGUCCUGGAUCGUGUUGCUGCCGAACUGGGCAGUCUGCGGCGGGAUCUUCUCGGCGCCGACCCUCGUUUGGUGGCCGGGCGCUUGGAGCUAGCCUCUGGCUGGAUUCGCUCCGAUGCUUCGAUUCGGGCGGCGCUGGUCUAGGCCUCGACGGCUUGCGACGAGGAGAAGCAGGCCGUCCUUGGGGCGAAGGUUGCCCGCGACCCCGUCUUGGGGGAGACGGCUAAUGCCCGAGGUCAUUGUGAGGUGCUGGAGGGCGAGCUAAAGGGCCUGCAGGACCGGCUCGCCGAGGAGACUCGCCUUCGCCUAGAGCAGGAGGACGGAAUGAAGGCUCGCGAGGCGGCCGUCAAGGACUGGGACGCCAAGCUCAAGAAGCGCCGUGACCUCCUAGGCGCGCUGGAGCAAGAGCUAGAGGCGAGGAAGGUUGAGUUGGACAGCAAGGCAUGGGUUCUUGCCGAGGAUCGUGUGGCCUUUGCGGAGAUGGAGGAGAAGGCACGCACUUCACUGAAGACGCUUUAUGAGAGCGGCAUGGAGAGCCCGCUGGCCGGCGAGGAGGAUGGCCCCGCCAAGCUGCUUCCUUUCCUGGUUCGUGCCCUUGAAGAUGUCGCCCUUGGCCUUGGCCCUACGGCUGAGGCCGAGGCACGCGUCUUGUCUUCUGCGGCGCUGACGCGGGUCUUCACCCACAUCUAUCUUCGCGACCCCAAUGUCGACCUUGAUGGCCUGCUGGAGCCAGCGAGUGGCGAGCAUGCCGCUGCCGCUGCUGAGGUCGUGAAGGGUCGUGCGGAGGCUCUGCUGGGGAAGUUCCGGGCCUUCAGCACCAGGCCGAAGCGGAGCGCUGCUAGCCUGGCAGCUCCACAAGGCGAACCCGCUCCGCGCAACUCCACGGCCGGCAAGUGACUCCGUUGUGGCUCCCGCCCUGCUUUUAGUUUCUGCACAUGUAUCAGGCCUCGGAGAGGCAUUAAAACUUGCAUUUGGUGCUGUGAUGACAGUAUGGACUGUAAUAUUUGCUUUUUAAUUCCUUGAAAUUUGCGCUAUUUCCUUCCUACUUGCUUGUGUCCUACGUCGGUAGAGCCCGGCCCCGCGCAUACCUCAGCCGCCGUUAGCCCCGAUCGGAAACCAGGACGGGACCAAGGAGUGAGGGGCUACGUGACAAGUUAGGCUCCUGAAUCGCGAUGCUCAGGAGUCCCCCUUGGCACUCGAACAACAAGUAGGGAGGUGAGAUGUGGGGGUGGAUCUACCAUUCUACAUCUGCAAAGCCCGGCCCCGCGCAUACCUCAACCGCCGUUAGCCCCGACCGGAAACCAGGAUGGGGCCAAGGAGUGAGGGGCUAUGUGACCAGUUAGGCUCCUAAGUCGCGAUGCUCAGGAGUCCCCCUUAACGCUCAAACGACCAUCAUACCUUGGCUCCGCUCGGGGAGGGACACGCGACAAACCAGGCCCAGGGGGCCUGGCUGGGUGGCGUGCGCCUGGGCAUGACCCAGGCGUAUCCCCCGUGCCCAGCCCCCUCGUGCAGCACUCCCGAGGGGAGGCGUUGCGAUGAGGCUAGACACUGAGCUCUGGGCUCCCUGAGGUUGAUGCGGCCCGGGGGGCCACCCUCAGUUGUUUAUCACCAGCGCGGAGCAUAGCGCUCCCGUAUGCGUACGGGCAUAGCCGCUCCUCGGCAGUGUCGUCAGCCAGCGCGGAGCAUGGUGCUUCCACUAGUGCGUGGGAGGGGGCUCCCCUCCGGGAGGAGCCCCCGGGGCGUGUACAGCCCCGCCCUGAGACGUGGCUGGAACGGUAGGGCUUGACGAGGUGUAUCUGGGCACCCAUGAGCCAGCGCGGGACUCACGGGGCCCUACCUCAAGGCGGGUUGCUCCUGGCUCUGGGCCUUAUCUUGGAGUGUGUUCCUGCAAAUUUGGCUAGAUGCCAAUGCUCUACGUCCUCGGGUCCCGGCUCUCGGGUUUGUCUCAGCCGUCGCUGGUAUGCCGGGGCGCGAUGCCGUGGGCAGACCGGAGGGUGAGGGCCGGAGAGCCGGUAGGAGCCCUGAGUCGCGAUGCUCAGGCACCCCCCUUUAACGCGCAAGCUGGGUUAGAUGUCGAAACUCUACAUCCUUGGGUCCCAGCUCUCGGGCUGGUCUCAGCCAUCGCUGGCAUGCCGGGGCGCGAUGCCGUGGGCAGACCAGAGGGUGAGGGCCGGAGAGCCGGUAGGAGCCCUGAGUCGCGAUGCUCAGGCACCCCCCCCUUUAACGCGCAAGCUGGGUUAGAUGUCGAAACUCUACGUCCUCGGGUCCCGGCUCUCGGGCUGGUCUCAGCCGUCAUUGGCAUGUCAGGGCGCGAUGCCGUGGGCAGACCGGAGGGUGAGGGCCAGAGAGCCGGUAGGAGCCCUAAGUCGCGAUGCUCAGGCACCACCCCUUUAACGCGCAAGCUUGCGACAUCCAGGAAGAAAAAAGGUACCAUGAACAGGCACCAAACAACAAGCAUGACAGGUCGAAAACAUGGCCCUAAGAUAAUUGCAAGAGGGGUACAUGCCACUGGGUCUGACCCGAGCGGCUUGGGGAUAAUGCAGCCCGAGGGGCGCCCCCAACAGAGUGAGCUAAGAACAUGAAAUAAAAAAGAUACACGCCACAGGGACGGACCCACGCGGCCUGGGAAUAAUGCAGCCCUGAGGGCGCUCCCAGCUGGAAAUGAAACUACAAAGAUGUCACCUGAUGACGCUGAAGACGAAGGGGUGUUGAUGCAGCAGACUCGGUGGGCUGCAGGGGCAGAUCCUCAUGAGCCCCCAGGACCUGGGGCCUCGGGAGGCUCCGGAGGCGCUGGUGGCUCCUCGCGGACCGUCUCCAUCUCCACCAGGGCUGCGGAACGCCUGACCUCUUGAGCCUCCAGGAUGGCCCUCAUGAUGCGCUAGUACGCAGCAGCCGCGUUCGGCGAGCCGUAAGGCAUGCGAACGUAGCUGUGGGGCGGGCCCUCGCAGCAUCCCACUCGCGAAGGCCAGAGGCACUCCUGAGAUGCGGCUUGGUUGAGCCCUGGUAUGUCGAUGCAGACGCGCAGCCCACCAUCCUCGCCUGGAUGGGGGGCCACAGCGGGUAAGCGGCGGCUGCCUCUCAUGACCCCUGACUCCUGUAGCUCCUGAAUGGCCUUGCUAACGAACUCCUAAGGGUUUGGCCCUCCUUGGAUUGCUCCUUCUUGAUGGAAACGUGCUUCGAAGCACGCCUCCACGUGGUGCCCAAGCGCCUCCCUCGUGACCUUGGCGAGGUCGACGGCCCUCCAGGGGAGAGCCCCCGAGCCCUGCCUGAGGAGGGCGUCAGGCACGCUUCCCUAUGCGAUGGAAGGAGGUUCCCCCUGAGCAGGCGCGGGCCUAGAGGGACCUGCCUCCUGAGGGGCCGGGCCGGUCGAUGUCUUCUUCUUCUUGGGGGCGGCCUCGGGAAGCCUCCUGCUUCCGCGAUCCGGGUCUUCCAGUGAUGCGGCCUAAAAGGCUCUCUCUAGGGAGCAAACUGCGUCUCUCUCUUCGCAGGGCACCGUGAUGACUCCGCCACUUCCUGGCAUCUUGAGGACGUUGUAGCCGUGGUAGGUUAUGGCCAUGAACUUGGCUAGCGCUGGGUACCCGAGGAUGGCGUUGUACGGCAGGCGAAUGUGGGCGACGUCGAAGUCGAUGAGCUUGGUGCGGUAGUUGUCACGUGCCCCGAAGGUGACAGGGAGGCGAACCUGCCCAAUCAGGACCGUGGAGCCGUCGGUGACUCCAGAAAAAGGCUUGGUGGGCUGAAGCUAACUGUAGGGUACUUGGAGAUUGUUGAAUGUUUCCACGGACAGGACGUUGAGCCCUGCCUCGCCAUCGAUGAGGGUCCUGGUGACUAGCACGUUGCUGAUGAUUGGGGAACAAAGCAUCGGGAGGACUCCGGCUGUGGCCGCGCACUUGAGCUGAUCCGCUGAACUGAACGUGAUGGCACACGCCGACCACCUGAGAGGGCGUGUGGCCUCGAGCUUGGGGAGGACUGCAUUCACUUCGCGGGCGAACUGCUUGAAGAUGCGCUGAGAGGCUGGGGCUUGGGCUCCGCCUAGGAUGUAGGCGAUUGCACGUGGUUCCUGGAAGCCCCCAGCCCCUUUGUCCUGAUGACGGUCCUCAUUUCUCCUUGGCUGCGGCGGUAGUGGAGGGAGGCCUGCGUUACCUUGCGGGCGAUCCUCGCGAGGCUGAUCCCUCCAGCCUCCCUCGCAAGGCGGGUCCUGCCAGCGAUCCUCACGAGGUUCGUCGCGCCACCCUUGACGUGGGCUGCGGUCUUCCCAGCAUCCUGCGUUCCUUCCUCCUCCUCGUCCGUAGCCCCGGUCGCUGCGGUCGGGACGCCGGCCAGUCCGUCCUUCACACACGGCCCUGAGCUCUUGGCAUUCAUUGGUUUUAUGGGUGUGGAGGUCGUGGUACACGCAGUACCGACUGCCCUUGGAGGAUUCGGGCUGAUCUCUGCCCUGCUUGGUGUCUGGUUCUGCCACGAGCACGACAGCCCCCUUGCGCUUCACGUCCUUGGCAUUGGGCUUCUUCUCUUCAGGGUCUGCGGUAGGCAAUUCGAGGAGGGAGAGACGCCCUUCCUCAGCCCUGGCGCACUUGGUCGCCAGGUUGAACAACUCCAAGGAAGUGCACAGAUCUUCAUGCAUUGCGAGCUCCUCCUUCAUUUUGACGUCGGGCACGCCGUCAGAGAAGGCUGAGAUGAUGGCCUCCUCGGUCACCUUGGGAAUUUUGAGGCGCGCGUUGUUGAAGCCCUGGAUGUACUUCUGCAGGGUUUCCCCUGGUUGUUGCUUGAUGCGGCGCAUGUCACUCACGGCGGGUGGCCGGUCGCGAGUACCCUGGAAGUUGGUGAUGAAGCGGGUGCGCAUCUCGUCCCAGGAGGAGAUCGUGCCUGGGGCCAGGUUCAGAAGCCAGGUGCGGGCCUCGUCCUUGAGAGCCAUGGGAAACCAGUUCGCCAUGACCUUCUCGUCUCCGUUGGCAGCCUCGAUGCCCAGCUCGUAGAGCUAGAGGAACUCUGCAGGGUCUGCCGUGCCAUCAUAGCGAGGAGGCAGGUUUGGCUUGAACUUGUCGGGCCACGCGACGGUGCGUAGCUUGAUGGUGAAGGCGCGGCAGCCCGCUAUGGCCACAGGAGGCCUUGGAGGACGAAAGGCUCGGUCCUGCAGGUCCCCAUGCGCCGCAGCUGGGUGCAGCGCGGGGUCUUGACGUGCUAGAGCAGGAGCGUGGUCGGGACGAGUCGGAGCAGGGAGCGCUCGGGAAGCUUCUCGAGGGCGAGGGACCUCUUGGCAGCUCUGCUCCUGCCGCACUAGUUCCUGAUGGGGCGGGUUCCGCCCAGGGGCCGCACGCCUUGGAGCCAGGGCGCCUUCUUGAGGGGGAGGCGGCUGAGGAGCCCCAGGAGCUUCAUUGCCUGCGCAUGGCGGGGCACGGUGCAGCGAGAAAGAUGGCGCGGGGGAGCCCCCAGCAGCGCGGACGAGUUCGGCGACUCGGUCGAGCCAUUCUUCGUAGACGUUGUCGACUGGGCGGUAGCGCAGGAGCUCGUUUGCCGCGAUGAGCGCAACUCGAGCCUCCAUGGCCGCGCGGGGCACGCGGGAUGAAGAACCAGCGGGGGUGAGCGAGGGCGUAGCGGUGCGGCUGUCUCGCCUCAUGGACGGGUGCUGGGAUGAUGCUUGCUGCUCGUUCCCCGCCGGGCCGGUGGCGGCGUUGAUGGCAGCCGACGGGGAACGACGAGGGUGCCCGCCGACGGGAGCCGUCUGGGCGAUGCGGGAAGCGAGGGCGGCUUGACGCUCGGCGCGAAUUCGGCGUGCGUCAGACAUGGUCGCGACGGUCGGAGAAGAACAGGGCGACGGAAGACGAAUUCCGGAGCACCCCCUGCCUGGCGCGCCAAAUGUCGGAUUUAGGGUUCCGGCAGACCCUUGAGGUUCAAACACUGGGGUGCGCGUGGAGGUUUCGCCUUCUACCUACCUGUUCCUCACCGAAUCGCUAGGAUCUAAACUACGAGAAGAACAACACAAGAGACACAUGGUUUAUACUGGUUCAGGCCACCAUUGUGGUGUAAUACCCUACUCCAGUGUAUGGCGUGGUGGAUUGCCUCUUGGGCUGAUGAUGAACAAUACAAGGAAGAACAGCCUCGCGAGGGUCUGUUCUUGUGGUGGUGUUGUCCCUUUGGAAGGGUUGAUUCUAGACGCCUAUCUUAUCUCCAGAUUCAUGUCUCUCCAUCCCUCUACCCUGUGGGUGGCUAGUCCUAUUUAUAGGCGAAGGCCCUGGGCCUCUUCCCAAAUAUUGAGCGGGAAGGGCGCCAACAACUGGCCAAUUUGAAGGGGAACAUCUAGUAUACUUAUCCUGACUAAAGUUGGUCCUCGCCUGUCAAAGGCUCUGGUGGUGACGCUGACUUGGGCUCCACGGUGACCUCCAUCCUGCCGUUGGACUGGUCUUGGUCUUGUUGCACCGAAAUGGAUGCCUUUGCAUGAUGCUCUCGCCUGCGCUUGCUCCCCUUGCACCAAAGAGGAAAGAAGGACACUGCGCGGCUUGCGUCAUGGGCACCUCGUGAGGUACCCCGCCUUGAACUCUCCGCCUCCUCGUGAGCCAGCCUGACGAGGCCGUGCCUAAGGAAGCUCCUUGUCGUCCGCCCCGCGAGGCUUAGCCCCUCGCGAGGGUCUUGAGCUUGUGUUGAUGAAGAUGGGCCAUGCUGGGCCCCCUUUGAGGCACGCCGCAGGCCGCAGGCAGGCAAGUCUGGGGACCACCGUUCCCAGAACGCCGACACAUGAUAAUUAUCUAUUAUUCAUGCUAUAAUUGUGUUAUCCAGAAAUCGUAAUACAUGUGUGAAUAAAUAGACCACAACAUGUCCCUAGUGAGCCUCUAGUUAACUAGCUCGUUGAUCGACUGAUAGUCAUGGUUUCCUGACUAUGGACAUUGGAUGUCGUUGAUAACGGGAUCACAUCAUUAGGAGAAUGAUGUGAUGGACAAGACCCAAUCCUAAGCAUAGCACAAGAUCGUGUAGUUCGUUUGCUAGAGCUUUUCCAAUGUCAAGUAUCUUUUCCUUAGACCAUGAGAUCGUGUAACUCCUGUAUACCGUAGGAGUGCUUUGGGUGUACCAAAUGUCAAAACGUAACUGGGUGACUAUAAAGGUAUACUACGGGUAUCCCGAAAGUAUCUGUUGGGUUGACACAGAUCGAGACUGGGAUUUCUCACUCCGUAUGACGGAGAGGUAUCUCUAGGCCCACUCGGUAAUGCAUCAUCAUAAUGAGCUCAAAGUGACCAAGUGUUUGGUCAUGGGAUCAUCCAUUACGGUACGAGUAAAGUGACUUGCCGGUAACGAGAUUGAACGAGGUAUUGGGAUACCGACAAUUGAAUCUCGGGCAAGUAAUGUAUCGAUUGACAAAGGGAAUUGUAUACGGGGUUACUUGAAUCCUCGACAUCGUGGUUCAUCCGAUGAGAUCAUCGAGGAGCAUGUGGGAUCCAACAUGGGAAUCCAGAUCCCGUAGUUGGUUAUUGACCGGAGAGUCGUCUCGGUCAUGUCUGCGUGUCUCCCGAACCCAUAGGGUCUACACACUUAAGGUUCGGUGACGCUAGGGUUGUAGAGAUACUAGUAUGCAGUAACCUGAAAGUUGUUCGGAGUCCCGGAUGAGAUCCCGGACGUCACGAGGAGUUCUGGAAUGGUCCGGAGGUGAAGAAUUAUAUAUAGGAAGUCCAGUUUCGGCCAUCGGGGAAGUUUCGGGGGUCACCGGUAUUAUACUGGGACCACCGGAAGGGUCCCGGGGGUCCACCGGGUGGGGCCACCUAUCCCGAAGGGCCCCAUGGGCUGAUGUGGGGAGGGAACCAGCCCCUGGUGGGCUAGUGCGCCCCCUCUUGCCCCCCCUACGCCUAGGGUUGGAAACCCUAGGGGUGGGGGCGGCUCCACUUGGCUUGGGGGGCAAGCCACCCCCUUGGCCGCCGCCACCCCUUGGAGAUUGGAUCUACUAGGGCCGGCGCCCCCCCUCGGGGCCCUAUAUGAAGAGCUGGGAGGGAGGGCUGCGCACCCAUGCUCCUGGCGCCUCCCUCUCCCUCUGCAACACCUCUCCCUCUCGUAGAGCUUGGCGAAGCCCUGCCGAGAUCGCUGCUGCAUCCACCACCACACCGUCGUGCUGCUGGAUCUCCAUCAACCUCUCCUUCCCCCUUGCUGGAUCAAGAAGGAGGGGACGUAUUCCCCAACCGUACAUGUGUUGAACGCGGAGGUGUUGUCUGUUCAGCACUAGGAUCAUCGGUGAUUUGGAAGACGACGAGUACGACUCCCUCAACCCCGUUCUCUUGAACGCUUCCGCUCGCGAUCUACAAGGGUAUGUAGAUGCACUCCUCUCUCUCGUUGCUAGAUGAACUCCGUAGAUUGAUCUUGGUGAAGCGUAGAAUUUUUUUAUUUUUUGCAACGUUCCCUAACAAGCCGCACCAUCGGGACGGGGAUACAACAUGGUAGAUAUUAUUCCUGCUGAGAGACACCACUGCCGCCACACAGCCCCAACCAAGAAGUUGAACCUAACAAGAACGAGAACGGGAUCCCUCCUGCUAGCGGGGCCCCGAGGUCAUCCGCAUUUCCAUGGCCCAAAGCCAUGAGGCAGAUCGGCAGCGGUGCCAGUGGGAGGAGGAAAUCCUGGGAUCUUUUCUUGUGGGGGAGGAAAGAGAAGGCGUUGUGCAUUGUUUCUGAUCCACCAGUUUGUUUACUCCAUGGUGUCUUGCAUUGGUCCACGUGCCUGGCAUUGUUUCUUCGUGAGGUCACAAAAGUGCUCUCUCUUCUUAUUAAUUACUUUGCCAUGUCACUUUCUCUUCUUCUUAUGUGACAUGCUUAGCUCCUGUACACCAGGAAACACUGAGGCUAGUUUGUGGGUGUCAGAGCUAGCAAUUUAAAUGGAAGGAAAUUCUUUAUAUAACUACAUGGUGUUGCAUGUAAUCUAGGUGUAGUUAUAAAUAUGAUUAAUAGUGGACAUGAUGUUCACGUCUUGAUAUACACAAUUAUUAUGUUAUGAAGGUCUAUAGGUUAUGAUGUGUUAAACACAACUAUGAAGAUCUACCUGUUAUCAUCUUACUGCAUAAAAUAAUUAUUAUCAAGUAUCUAGUUAGCUCAAAUUGUGAUGUUUUCUUGAGUUAGAUACACAAAUAUUAACUUAGUGUGGUCUCAAAUAGAAGGAGGGUUCACCACUUAUUGUCCGGAUGCUAUAUAUACUCCGAGCAUGAACUCGUUUAGCUUCGCCAUUGCUUUCCCUCGAUAUAAAUUAUCUUACCAAGGAGUUCAAUUUAAUUUGCAUCAUUACACAUACUUGUGAAGCUCCAAUCACAUAAGAAGAAUUGAUGGGAACAACUUUGGCACUUGAUUCUAUUGUGUACAGUGUAAUGUGGUGUUUUUUAUGAUAUUACCACCUCAACAACCGGCUUGUCCAACUACUUAACUCCCGAGGGUACAACUAGUAUCAGGGUAACAAUUUCAAUGAAACAGAAUUAUUUAUAAAAUUAUGAUUUACAAUGUACAUGAUGUUUGAGUGUAGAUAUAUAAAUUUGAAUGUUAUGAAGGUAUAUCAAUUAUGAUAUAUUGAACGUGACUAUAAAGAUCUAUUCAUUAUGAAAGCUAAUGCAUGCACGCCUAAUAACACUGCAACUCCCUUCCGAAAUAAUAGGAUCUCGCUCCCGUGUCGCUCGUGGGUGACAUAGGGGCAUCCCAGGGUGUAGCCGCCUACCACUCCUCCUCGUCGCCACUGCCAGUGAGAGCAGUGUCGGCGUCCCCUACUCCCCUAUCUCUAUCAUCACAUAUAAAAAACUGAGUUGGUGAUGAUGGUGUGCCUGCCAUCCUGCAAUAUAGACCGUCCGAUCUAUACCUGACGGAUAGAAAGCAAACUAUGACAAUUUUGCAAAAAGACACCUGCAACCCUCUUCACAUUUGCAGAUAAGGCCUUCCCUCGCUCAUGUUUGUCUCCCGCAAGAUAAACAACUCGUAUAAAUGCAUCUUGAUGUUUCGUGCAACGCAUGGGCCUCUUGCUAGUACUCUUAUAAAAAGCACAAUUGAUGAUGAUGGUGUGUCUGCCAUCUGUCGUUUUUGACUGUCCGAUCUGCAUCGAACGGGUGUGAGACAAACUUUGAAACUUUUGCAAAAAUACCCCCGCACUACACCACACAUUUACGCAAAGCCCCUUAGUGUCAAUCUCCAGCCCUCCCACCAUAUCCAAUCGUGGAACCAAUCUGCUGCUCUGAUGCCGGCCCGUCCAUCGCCAAUGCCUCUCCUGCCUCAUCCGCCCACUCCCAUCCACGGCGGCGCAGCAACCCGCCACAUACUACUGCUUCUCCUUCCCCGCUGAUGCGCUUCACAAGAAGUUUGUCCACUCAAGUACAAGACUUUCCCACAGGACCUCCACACCAUCUGAAAGUAGAGUGCCACCCACGAGCUCCACACCCUCCCGCCCAUCCCACCCUCACCCUCUGCACGGAGAAACCAAGAGUCGCGGCCUACCUCGCCUCGCGCCUCCCCGUCGUUCUCGUGUUGCAGCUUGACCUAGCUCUACCUCGCCAUUGUCCGCCACGCCAGAGCUCGCGUCACUCUCCUCCUCCUCGGCGCCUGGGCUUCCACGCCGGAGCCCGCGUCGCUCUCCUCCUGCUCAGCGCCUGGGCCGCCAGCCGCGCCUAGCCCCCGCCUCGGCUUUGCGCUGGCACGGAAGGUCCUGCUCGGCACGCAACACAUCUGCGGGAUCUGUUAGUUCCUCGGCCAUGCGUUCAGGACUUCAGGUCAACUCCUUGCACUCAACCAUGGUGAACGGCGCGAGGUGGGGGAUGGAAACGGGACCAUGGACGGCCCCACGAGAUGAAAAAUGAGACCAUGACCGUGUUGACACCAGAUUUUGGCACGGUCAAUAACUUAUUUAAGAUGGCGUCAAAUGGAGAAGUUAUGUUCAUGAAAGAGUUCCGUAUUGUCGAUAUGAACAUCUUUGAAGUUCGGGUCAUCGCAGUCCGAUUUCAUCUCGAAGGCCGAAACUAUGCUCAAAGUACUAAGAUCUUAUAUUCAGAGUACAGUUUGGCUGAUUAAGCCCCCAAGACGACCUUAAAUGGAAACAUUAUCUAUAUGGAUUGUCUUCGUCUCGUUGAAACGAUCGAUUUUUAUAUAAAAAUCGUCCAAAUCCGAGUUCGUAUGCAAAAGUUAGAGCAAUCGGAGUGCAGCCCUGUCACGAGGCGAAAUAUGGCGCGCCCCACCAGACGCCAUGUCUGAUGGGUAGCGCGAGGAUAGCCUGUUUUGCGCGACCGAUUUGACCCUCAAGAUGACUUUUGAUCAAAAAACGUUCAACAUAAAAGUUGUUCGUCUCGUCGAAACGGUCAAGAUUACUUUUGGGUUCGUUUCCAUCCGAGAUCGUUUACCACCACCAAAAAGACCCGCAAGAUGCAGCCAGUUUAAACCGAACAGUUUUGGAAAGUUCGGACAAAACCAAUCCGAAUUUGACUAGGGUUUUGGACGUGAAUCCAAGCCUUUUCCUUUCACGGGAAGUCCAGCCGCCUCUUAUAUACCUAAGGGGUGACGGCCGAUUGAACAACACACAAUCGAUCAAAUCAUCUACCACGUUUUAUCUUUUAUCUUUUCUCCUUAACCCUAGUUCUUCUUCUUCCUCGUUCUUCGUUCGUUCUUCUUAUUGCAGGGCGGCGAACCUCGAGGCCCUAGGGGCGAUCAGGUCGACCUAGGGCAGCCCAUAGCCGCCGCGCGUCCAGACGGGGUCCCUCCCGGGCGUGUGGGGUUUCGGGUCCUCAAAAGCGCCCGCCGAAUUGUCUUGCGUACUGCGCUUCCGGCGGGUCUCCUUCGACGUGAGAUGCGGUGCAUCACCCUCGGCGUUGGAGGUACACGGUGACGUGUUCGUGUGCGAACACACUUUUUGGCGACUCCGCUGGGGACGAAGCUGUGAACGGUCUCCAGCCCGUUCUUGCUACGAAGAGAUCGUCAUCUAGGGUUUGCAAUCUACAAAGGUAACAUGAAUACCCAAUUCACUUAUGUAGAUGCAAAUAAUACAUAUGUUGUUGCUAGAUCGUCUAAUGAGCAUAUUGUAUCGGCUAGCCCUAGUUUUAUCAAUCAUGCAUCUAAUUAUGUGCAACAGCUGAUUCAGAAUAAUCUUCAUGCUUCAACUUCAUAUAAUUUUAACAACAUGCAACAUAUGUAUCCCAACUCCCAUGCAUCGGCAACCCCACAAAUCUAUAUGCCGAUGAACAACAUGAGGAGUUCGGUUAGUCAUGUUGAGACACCCCAUGUAGGAACUUCCAAUAGUAUGCAACAAAGUAUUUCGACUUUUUAUUCAUCGGCAAAUAACUUGUAGUAUGUUAAUCCAAACGUGCCGGUGGAUAGGGGAAUUGGCCAUGCCACUACUAGUUAUUCGGCCAAUUACCCUCAAACAUCGUAUGCUACACCUCAUGCUAUGAAUUUUUCGGCACCAUACGCAAUUGUAGAUAUUCGUGAUUCGGCUUCGCACCUUCAUGCUCAUGGCCGAAUAAGUGAGAAUUCUACCAGAGCGCAUGUGUCUUUACCUAGUAACGUAGCAUAUCAUGUUGCCCCUGCACAAUUACAGAAAUUCGGCAACACACCAUUGCCGAAAGUGUCUCAAAGUAUUGGGGGGCAAUCCGAUGAAGAUUGGGCUGAAAUUGGUCGAAAAAAGCUUAAAGAUAGACUAGCUACAAUGUUUGCUGAAUUUAGACAAGAACAAGCAACCUUGCAAAUCAAAGAAAGAAAGAGUGGUGAUUCGGAUAACAAAGUUAAUUCGGUUAUUAAAAAAGCCGAAUCAAAUAGUAUGUGUACCGAAUCUAUCAAAGAAAAAGAGGAUGCCAAGGCAUUGGAGAGUCAUUCAAAAGUGGAACAAAGUAUUAUUCAAGUGAUACAACCAUCAUGAUCUCCCAACAUAAUUGAAGAGGUAUGUCUAGCAAGUGACUUGCCUAUCUUACGAUUUGGUCGCAACUUUAUUGUCGAUGCUUCUAUAAGAAAAAUUCUAAUAAGUAAUUUUGAAAGACCAUUGAAGAAGGGUAAUUUACUUGUUAGCAACAAAAUUGUUAUAGACUAUAUCGGUCAACCCAUUGCACCAUUUAUAAAGACCGAUAAUGACCUAUUGUUGUGGCCAAAGCUUUCCCCGUUGCUUUAUCUAAAGUUCAUAUCUAGUUGGGUAGCUUUGCUUAUUUCUUACUUGGCUUGCACUUUGUCUCAAUUAAGACAUGUGUGUUCUAAAUAUUUUCGUAUCGGAAGUUUAAAGCCAAGGUUAAUUUCUUUUGAGAAAUCCGAUGCUAAUAUAAUAUCUUAUCCAAAGACACCCGAGAUAGAGUGGAAAACACAAUGUAUAGCCGAAUGGGAAGAUUCUAAAUCUGAACCAUUCGUUUGCUUAUCUUCAAAGCCGUUCACACAGCAAGAUCGGCUAGAAAGCAAGAAGUUUACCUUCAAUUCAAGCAUGUGUGACCAAAUAUUUGAUUUAUUGCUGAAAAAUAAUUACAUAAGAAUUCUUGAUCACCAUGUCAAGCCAUCAGUUCAAGGACGAAUGUAUUGUAGGUUGCAUCAUUCGUUCAAACAUAAUUUUGAGGAUUGCAAUAUGUUUCGUCAAAUAGUUAAAUCGGCCAUUGAAAAAGGACGAUCGAAAUUUGUUGAGACACCAAGAGAUGACCAGUCUAUUCCGAUUGGUCUCGAUGGCAGAAAGUUUUUGCAUCGACUGCUUCAAGCCGAUCCAUUUAAAGAGGAGGUAAAAACUGCAGGUGAUGGGGUCAAGCUUUCAAGUAAAGAAGUUGUUGAAGAGCAUAAUGAACAUAAUUUUGAGGGCGAGAAUUCCAUCGAAGCUACAAUGGAGACGCCAAGGACUGGGGGGCAGCAAGCAAAUCCAAUGAUUGGUGCAAGUACAACCAAAGGAAAUAAAGGCCGAAAUAAGCGCAAGUGUAAGAGAUCAAAAAUCACCUUCGCUGACCUAUUGGAUAAAUAUCAAAAGAAGAGUGAAGAGAAGAAUGCUUACGGCCAAAUCAUGCAAAGAAACCAAGAUCACCCUGAAGGCACAAAUAUGAGGAUUGGUAUUGGCAAAGUGAUAAUUUUAAUGCAACAUAUUCAUAUCCUUAUUUUGGGCCACCAAUGCCAAUGCCGUGGAUGCCUCCCUAUGCUCAUAUAGAUACAUAUUCAUCAUGGGACAGGUAUGAUACAAGGGCACAUUCUCCAUCUUAUUCUAGACCAUCUCACCAAUACUAUGCAGCUCCAAGGAGAUCAACAUUUGAACAAUCACGCGUCAAAGACCAUUUAUAUCAUAAAGAAUCGGUCUGGUGCACAAGGAAGAAUAAGGAGGUGGUCAAGCAAAUAUACCGCGUCAAAAGAGAUGGUCGUAAGAGUGCCACUUCAGAUAUUAUCUCAAAUGAAAAAGAGCCAAUUAAAGUGUUGACAUUGGCUACAAAAGGCAACGAGGCAAGUCAAUCAAGUGCCAAAUCUGAAGGGAAGAAGUUGAGAGUGCACAAGGUAAAACAAGAAUUGUCAUUACUUCAAAUAAAAUCGCAGCUGGGAUGCCCACUCGACUUAUCGUAUUGGCAAAAGAAGGAGUUGCGGAAGCUUAGUGCACAAGAACUUGAAAAGAGAAAUUUGACGUGGGUUCCCAAAGUAAAUAUUCAAAAUAAGAAUUAUGUGCGAGCUUCCUUUACAAGGAGUGCGACAAAGGUGAAGAAGGAAAUGAGUGAAAGCUACGAAGGACCAAGCCGAAGGUUUCAACAUCUUCGGUCCACACAUUAUCCAUUUUCUUCAACAAUGUCGUUGAUGCCUAUGCCAUGGAAUUCUUCAUCAGGUAUGGUUGGUUACCCUCAAUGGGAUUAUUUUAAUCCAUGGAUAAAAUAUAAUUUCUUACAUCAUGAAAGGGUAUUACCAAAUCAUUAUAUGUUCGAUUAGCUUCACUUUUGUUAAUAAUCUAAAUGGCCGAUAUAUACUUAUCUUCUUAAGAAUAUGCAAAAUGGCCGAUGGAGUGUUGACAUCGUCCUUAGAACAAGCCAUGCGGAAGUUAUUUUUCGGCACACAAACUUUGCCGAAAAACAGGGGGGCAUGUGUUGACACCAGAUUUUGGCACGGUCAAUAACUUAUUUAAGAUGGCGUCAAAUGGAGAAGUGAUCUUCAUGAAAGAGUUUCGUAUUGUUGAUAUGAACAUCUUUGAAGUUUGGGUCAUUGCAGUCCGAUUUCAUCUCGAAGGCCGAAACUAUGCUCAAAGUACUAAGAUCUUAUAUUCAGAGUACAGUUUGGCUGAUUAAGCCCCCAAGACGACCUUAAAUGGAAACAUUAUCUACAUGGAUUGUCUUCAUCUCGUCGAAACAAUCGAUUUGAUAUACAAAUCGUCCAAAUCCGAGUUCGUAUGCAAAAGUUAGAGCAAUCGGAGUGCAGCCCUGUCACGAGGCGAAAUAUGGCGCGCCCCACCAGACGCCAUGUCUGAUGGGUAGCGCGAGGAUAGCCUGUUUUGCGCGACCGAUUUGAUCCUCAAGAUGACUUCUGAUCAAAAAACGUUCAACAUAAAAGUUGUUCGUCUCGUCGAAACGGUCAAGAUUACUUUUGGGAUCGUUUCCAUCCGAGAUCGUUUACCACCACAAAAAAGACUCGCAAGAUGCAGCCAGUUUAAACCGAACAGUUUUGGAAAGUUCGGACAAAACCAAUCCGAAUUUGACUAGGGUUUUGGACGUGAAUCCAAGCCUUUUCCUUGCACGGGAAGUCCAGCCGCGUCUUAUAUACCUAAGGGGUGACGGCCGAUUGAACAACAUACAAUCGAUCAAAUCAUCUACCACUUUUUAUCUUUUAUCUUUUCUCCUUAACCCUAGUUCUUCUUCUUCCUCGUUCUUCGUCUGUUCUUCUUAUUGCAGGGCGGCGAACCUCGAGGCCCUAGGGGCGAUCAGGUCGACUUAGGGCAGCCCAUAGCCUCCGCGCGUCCAGACGGGGUCCCUCCCGGGCGUGUGGGGUUUCGGGUCCUCAAAAGCGCCCGCCGGAUUGUCUUGCGUACCGCGCUUCCGGCGGUCCUUCGACGUGAGAUGCGGUGCAUCACCCUCGGUGUUGGAGGUACACGGUGACGUGUUCAUGUGUGAACAGACCGGCGGGGCUAGCUCGGAGUCGCGGCAGCUCGCUCAGCUUGCUGGGCGGCGCGAGCUUGGGGUCGCGGCCAUUUGGCUGAUUCCGCUCCUAGCAGGUGAUUUCGAUUUUGACUUGGGUGAAUUUUUUGAGAAAAAUAGGUGGAUUUCCAGUAAUUUGGGCAGGAUUUGGAUAAGAUUGGUAGGAAGAUGUGUACAGGAGAGAGAAGCUCAGGGGCAAUUGAUGGGACCCGUAUUCACUACCGUGUGACCCAUCGCAGUUGCCGAGUCGGCGCUGUUCUCCAACAUUGGCAUGUGCCGAGUUGUGAUAGGCGCACAAGUUACCAUACCCAUGGUGCAGGAGUGGAUGGAGGCUUCGAGAGGAUUUGAGGAGAAAGUAGUUCGUGGUGACGAUUUUGGGUCACAAAAGACCUUAAGCAUUUUAGGGGGGAAAUUAGGCUUGUGGAAAUAUUAUGCCCUAGACAAACCUAGACAAGCAUGGUUUGUUUAGGUUUGUCUACAAGCAUGAUUUUUAUAUGAAAAAUAUCAACAUUCAAAAUAAUUAUGCUUGUCUAGGGCAUGUGAUAUGUUUUGUGUUAGAAAUAUGAGCAAUUUACCAAAUGAUUUUAUUAACAGAAAUACUAGAUAAAGCAUGACUAGUAUAGCAGUGAUAAAACAAGCCAUGCUAUUUGAAAAAGAGAAGGUAAAUAAUACCUGCAUAUAUGAGCUAGAAUCGAUCAUCUCUAGAGCAGACAGUAGAUCAAGAUGCAUAUAUGAAGUAGAGCUUAACAUGUGUAGAGCAAACACUAGAAGAAGGAACUGUUGCAGGACUUCUAUAAGGAAAGAUAAGAACACGUACUGGACAGCAGCCGGAGCAGAGGCACUGGACUUGGGGUCGGUGUCCUCCAUGUCGUCGAGGAGGUUGUGGACGUCGGGGAAGUAGUCGUUGUCGGGAAGUAGUCAUCGGAGUCUGGGGCGUCCGUGACGAAGAAGUCAGUAGUCGCGCAGAGCGCUCCCCAAAAACCUUAUCACCCUUCUCCCGUACAGGACUCAAAGAGGUGCGGUUUCAGAGGCCUACUGUCCCGACCUGCGUUGCACACCGCAAGCUGGGAUGAGGAAGAACGUAGCAGCAGUGGAGUGCUCAGGAACUUGUGGCGAGAGGAGGAAGAGAUUCUGGUGCGUCUCUCUGAGAGGAGCGACCUCCCUUUUAUAGGCGCAAGAGAAGGAGGCGAGAGGCUCCACUGGGAGCUGAAGAGAACGAGGGAGACGAAACGAACAUGCAGCAGGCGAAGAGGUGCGCCAUUCGUAUUCAAUCUCCACUACAGCAAAACGUUUUAGCUUUGGCGUGACCUUUCGUAUACCCGUAGCGCGUGGCAAAAAUUUACAUUGGCUCGGCUCAUUCCCGCAACCCGCGGCGCGUCGUGGCGAGGCGGGCGGCGGAGGAGGAGCGCGCGUGGAUGUCCCUCUUGUUCUCAUGCUCAUACAAGUGGGGAAGGAUCCUCCCUUAUAAAGAGGUCCAACUCCCUGUAAACUAGCAAUGUGGGACUAAACUUUAGUUCCACCUCUUGCCUUGCACGAAUGGGCUGCGUGGGCCUCUAGGAUUUAUUAGGAAUUUCUGAAACUGCUAUUGGGCUAGGCCCAAAAUAGACAAAAAUUCCAGCAAUCCCCCACCAGAUCCUAGAGGCACACAAAAUUUGCCUUUGGUUCCAAAACACUGUUUUAUAUACCGGUACUGCGGUGGAGACUGUAAAGUUGAACUUCCACCUAGAACCCUAUGCUAGUAAGCAACUUGAACAGUGGACUGGGCCUUGAACUGUAAGUUUUCUGCGAAUCUAGCUUCACAUAAAGCCUUGACCGAUACGUGGCUACCGUGGGUCUUCCCCGCGGGUGGAGCUUAUGCGUCAUACUCCGAGACCUUUCAUGAGUUUACUAGAGAGAACCCUACUCUCAUAGAUUGCGACGUUUAACAAUCAGACUCAUAUAGGUGCGUUCUUCAAAAGAUGUUCUGCAGGACAACAUCUCUGCUUCAAAGAGCCACUUAGAACACAUUAAGAUAUACAUCAACCUGCCAUGCAGAUUAGAAGAGUAUUGCAUCUUUAUGGAGUGGUAUUUUAACAAUAAGGGUACUCUCCUCCCAGUUGACCAACAGCUUGUCUUCCACAUCUGAUUCACGGGAUCUCCGAUCACAAGAAUAGGUUACCACUGUGAACAACUCAUAUUGUGGGUCUCAUACCCAUCUCCCUCGAUGCAUUAUCUAUCACAUUACGUGAUAGACCCUUAGUAAAAGGAUCUGCCAGAUUUUUAGACGUUUGGAUAUAAUCCAAUGCAAUAACUCCAGAGUUUUUCAUUUUUCUGACAGACUUUAACCUUCUCUGAAUGUGUCUUGAUGACUUCAUGUUAUCCUUUGAGCUGCUCACUUUAGUGAUCACAGUUUGAUUGUCACAGUUCAUAAGGAUACCCGGUACAGAUUUCUCAACUACCGGAAAGUCAUUCAAGAGCCGGCGAAGCCAAUCUGCUUCGACCGUAGCUGUAUCUAGUGUUGUGAGUUCUGCUUCCAUUGUUGACCUCGUUAAGAUGGUCUGCUUGCAAGACUUCCAACAAACAGCGCCACCUCCAUGAGUGAAUACAUAUCCGCUCGUGGCCUUUAUCUCAUCAACAUCUGAGAUCCAGUUUGAGUCACUAUACCCUUCAAGCACCUUUGGGUGCCCAGUGUAGUGAAUUCCAUAAUUCACAGUGCCUUUCAAAUAACGCAAGACUCUCUCUAGAGCUUUCCAAUGCACAUCUCCUGGUUUUGAAACAAACCGACUGAGUUUGCUAACAGCAAAAGAGAUGUUAGGUCUUGUAGCACUGGCUAAGUACAUAAGCAAGCCAAUAAUCUGAGAAUACUUCAAUUAAUCUCUAGCAAUUCUUCGAUUGUUUCGAAGUAGCAUGCUAGCAUCAUAUGGUGUUGGAGAGGGCUUGCAGUCACUAUAGCCAAAGCGACUCAAGAUCUUUUCCACAUAGUGAGAUUGAAGCAAUGUAAUCCCACCAUCAUCAUCUCUCAACAACUUGAUGUUCAGAAUGACAUCAGCCACUCCUAAAUCCUUCAUCUCAAAAUAGAGAGAUAGGAAAUCCUUGACCUCCUUAAUAACAUUCAGAUUUGUUCCGAAAAUCAGUAUGUCAUCAACAUACAAGCACAACAUAACUCCCUCGCCCCCACCAUGGCGAUAGUACACACAUUUGUCAGCUUUGUUCACAACAAAGCCUGCAGCUGUUAAAGUUCUUUUGAACUUCUCAUGCCAUUGUUUGGGUGCUUGCUUGAGUCCAUACAAAGACUUCAGCAACUUGCACACUUUCCCUUCCCGACCAUCUAUUACAAACCCAUCUGGUUGUUCCAUAUAAAUUUCCUCAUCCAACUCUCCAUUUAGGAAAGCAGUCUUAACAUCCAUUUGAUGAACGAGAAGACCAUGUGAGGCAGCUAGUGAAAGUAGAACUCGAAUAGUGGUCAGUCGAGCCACAGGUGAGUAAGUAUCAAAGAGGUCUUCACCUUCCUUUUGGGUAUAACCCUUAGCCACGAGCCGAUCCUUGUACUUUUCGAUAGUACCAUCAGGCCUAAGCUUCUUCUUGAAUACCCAUUUGCAUCCUAUAGAUUUGCACCCAUAAGGACGAUCAGUUAUCUCCCAAGUUUCAUUCGCCAAGAUGGAGUCCAUCUCACUACGAACCGCUUCCUUCCAGUAGUCAGCAUCUUCCGAUGCAUAGGCCUCCGAAAUAGAACUGGGAGUGUCAUCUAUGAGAUAUACAAGAAAAUCAUCACCAAAGGACUUUGCAGUCCUCUGUCUCUUGCUCCUAGUAGGAACUUCAUUGUUUUCCUCCACAUGACUUUCAAAGUGUUCCAUCAAAAUGGCAGGUUUGGUAAUUGUAACUGGUUCCUGAUUCGAUGAACUAGGCAUCUCCUGAUUAGAUGAGGUAGCCAUAUCCUUCAUGGGAAAGAUAUCUUCAAAGAAAGUCACAUCAUUCGACUCCAUGAUUGUACCGACAUGCAUGUCAGGUACCUCAUAUUUUACAACCAAGAAUCUAUAGCUAAUGCUAUGAAAAGCAUAUCCCAGGAAAACACAAUCCAUAGUUUUUGGUCCCAUCUUCCGCUUCUUUGGAAUUGGCACAUUGACUUUCGCCAAACAACCCCAGGUUCAUAGAUAAGAGAGCUUUAACCUUUUCUUCUCCCAUUCCUCGAAUGGAGUUAUCUCUUUGUUCUUUGUGGGAACUCGGUUUAGGACAUGACAAGCAGUCAAUAUCGCCUCCCCCCACCAUGCCUUGGAGAGACCCGAUGUGUCUAACAUGGCGUUAACCAAAUCAGUUAGAGUACGGUUCUUUCUUUCAGCCACCCCAUUUGACUGAGGUGAGUAGGGAGGAAUCCUCUCAUGGAUUAUACCAUGUUCCGCACAAAAAGCAUCAAAUUCAUUGGAAAAAUACUCUCCACCACGGUCGGACCUAAGCCUCUUGAUUUUUUGAUCAAGUUGGUUUUCCACUUCAGCUUUAUAGAUCUUGAAAAAGCUCAAAGCCUCAUCCUUAGAUUUUAGGAGAUAUACAUGGCAGUAUCUAGUGGAGUCGUCAAUUAACGUCAUGAAAUAUUUCUUUCCACCUUUCGUCAAAACACCAUUCAUUUCACAUAGAUCUGAAUGUAUAAGUUCUAGUGGUGCAAGAUUUCUCGUCUCCAUAGUCACGUGAGACUUACGAGGUUGCUUAGCUUGCACACACACACUUGACACUUAGAUCCCUUGACAGUAGUGAAACUAGGGAUUAAGUUCAACUUCGCUAGUCGCGACAUGCAACCAAAGUUAACAUGACAAAGACGUGAAUGCCACACAUUUGAUUAACUAUUGUUGCAAAUAUGAUUAACAACUUUAUUGCAAACGUCUGAUAAGGAUAAACGAAAUAGGCCUCCUGACUCAUAGCCUUUACCAACAAAGGUUCCAUACUUGGAUAUUACAAAUUUAUUUGACUCAAAGACAAGCUUAUAGCCAUCUCUACACAGAAGAGAUCCGCUAACAAGAUUUUUAUUAACGGAGGGGACAUAAUACACGUUCUUUAGCCGCACGAUCUUCCCCGAAGUAAACUUCAGAUCGACCGUGCCAACACCACGAACAGAAGCACUUGAAUCGUUGCCCAUUAGCACGGUUGAAGUCCCUGCGGUCUGAUAAGACGAAAACAUGGAAAUAUCACCGCAUACAUGUACAUUAGCACCCGUGUCAAUCAACCAAUCAGGAGAAUGACAUACUGAAAGAAUAGUGGGAAAUAUACCAUACCCAGCAUCCUUCAUGUCAAUGUCUCCGAUGACAACAUUAGUGGUCUUGCCGCCUUUCCCGGGAUGAUGCUUGUCAUAGCGAUUAUGACAACUAGGAGCCCAAUGAUCAGGAUCUCCACACACAUGACAAGCACCUUUCUUCUUGUCACUCUUCUUCUUGAAGUUCGUGUGUUGUAUAGCCUUGUUCUUCCCAUCAAACUUUGGUUUACCAUCAAGCUUGCCCUUGUUAUCGAACUUGUGGGAUUGGAAGUUUUUCUUCUGUACUAGAUUGGCACUAGAUCCUCCCUCAAUGCCUCGAGCACGUGUGUCCUUUGCUCUCGCCUUUUCUUCCACAUCAAGAGUACCAAUGAGAUCCGAGACGGACAACUCCUGUCUCUUAUGCUUCAGUAAGGUAGCAAAGUUCCUCCAUGAAGGAGGAAGCUUAGUGAUGAUACCCCCGGCAACAAACUUGUCUAGUAGCAUGCAAUUGAAGUGCUCAAGUUCUCUAGCAAAUGACUGUAUCUCAUGAGCCUGCUCAACCACGGAGCGCUCUUCAGUCAUCCUGUAAUCAUAGAAUUGCUCCAUGAUGUACAACUCAGUGCCGGCAUCCGAGACCCCAAACUUGGCCUCGAGUGUGUCCCACAUAUCUUUUCCAUUGUCAAUUGACGCAUAAGCAUCAACUAUGUUCUCACCAAGAAUACUCAAGAGAGCAGCCUUAAACAAGGUAUCCAUUUUCUGAAAAGCUUGUGCCUGUUGGGCAUCUUGCUCUCCUUCAGGUUUGCCAAGAGUGGCGUCAUAGCAGCUCAUGGUCUGGAACCAUAAGACUUCUCUCACGCGCCACCUCUUAUAGUGGAUACCCUCAAACAUAGGAGGUCUCAUGGAAGCAGCAAAACCGCUCGGGGUAAAUUGCCUAUAAUAAGGUUUUUGGAUUGUUGGAAAUAUGAGCAAUUUACCGAAUGAUUUUAUUAACAGAAAUACUAGAUAAAGCAUGACUAGUAUAGCAUUGAUAAAACAAGCCAUGCUAUUUGAAAAAGAGAACGUAAAUAAUAUCUGCAUAUAUGAGCUAGAAUCGAUCAUCUCUAGAGCAGACAGUAGAUCAAGAUGCAUAUAUGAAGUAGAGCCUAACAUGUGUAGAGCAAACACUAGAAGAAGGAACUGUUGCAGGACUUCUAAUAGGAAAGAUAAGAACACGUACUGGACAGCAGCCGGAGCAGAGGCACUGGACUUGGGGUCGGUGUCCUCCAUGUCGUCGAGGAGGUUGUCGACGUCGGGGAAGUAGUCGUCGUUGGGCAAGUAGUCAUCGGAGUCCGGGGCGUCCGUGACGAAGAAGUCAGUAGUCGCGCAGAGCGCUCCCCAAAAACCUUAUCACCCUUCUCCCGUACAUGACUCAAAGAGGUGCGGUUUCCGAGGCCUACUGUCCCGACCUGCGUUGCACGCCACAAUACGGGAUGAGGAAGAACGUAGCAGCAGCGCAGUGCUCAGGAACUUGUGGCGAGAGGAGGAAGAGAUUCUGGUGCGUCUCUCUGAGAGGAGCGACCUCCCUUUUAUAGGCGCAAGAGAAGGAGGCAAGAGGCUCCACUGGGAGCUGAAGAGACCUUUCGUAUUCAAUCUCCACUACAGCAAAACGUUUUAGCUUUCGCGUGACCUUUCGUAUACCCAUAGUGUGUGGCAAAAAUUUACAUCGGCGCGGCGUGGCGCGGAGCGGCGAGGCGGGCAGCGCAGGAGGAGCGCGUGUGGAUGUCCCUCUUGUUCUCAUGCUCAUACAAGUGGGGAAGGAGCCUCCCUUAUAAAGAGGUCCAACUCCCUCUAAACUAGCAAUGUGGGACUAAAAUUUAGUUCCACCUCUUGCCUUGCACGAAUGGGCUGCGUGGGCCUCUAGGAUUUAUUAGGAAUUUCUGAAACUGCUAUUGGGCUAGGCCCAAAAUAGACAAAAAUUCCAGCAUUUUGUCUCCCGUUGCAAUGCACGGGCAUGUUGGCUAGUAUCAUAUAGAAACACAUGCCACUCGGGUGCACAUCGACAUCAGGAGUUGCGACAAUGGCUUACCCACACCAAGCAACCUUUUUGACGGCCAAUGCGCGACAUAGGAAUGAGGGUUGUGUGCAGUGGUCGGGCCGGGUUGGACUAGUGAUUCCUUGCCUCGUCUUGAUUCUUGCUGCCAUAGCCAGCACCGAUCAGGAGUCUUUGAUCUGGCCCGGCGGCAGCACCUUGUGCUUCCUCACGUGGUUGGAUGCCGUCCCUACUCUCCCCAAUGGUGGUGUGGAGGCGCACCUUCCCGGAGGGGUGGUUUUGCCUGGAGGCACUGUUGGUCCAGUGCAUGGCCGUGCAACACUUAAGGAGUGUCUUCUUCCCUGAUUUAGGCGCCCUCAUAGUCAAGAUCUAUCCUUGACGAAGCUCCAUCAGGUGGUCACCAAAAGGUCUUCGUGAGGGUUUCUCCUCCUAGAUUUGGUGGUUGAUUUCGGCAUGGAGAUACAAACUAUGGACGAUAACUUGACGUAGAGGAAUGUUUGCACAGCGGCAGCAAUUAACACCACAUGUAGCUGCUGGGAUCGCGAAAAAUUGGUGGAGGAAAAACAUAAGUGAAAUUUUUGGUGGUGCUACUCGAGGACCCAGUCUCAAGCUCUAGGAUGAAAGUCUAGGUCCAAACUACGUCGGCUAUACCUGACAAUGUCGAUGUUCUUGCGUCGUUACCUUGUUGAAGGCAUUGCUCGGAUAUACUUGGACUGGUUCUUCAGGAUGAAAGCCUAGAUUCUGGCCUUGGAUGGUUGGAUCCAAUGACGGUGGUUAUUGAGCGCUACUCACUUCCUGAAGGUGUUGCUGUUGAAAAACCUCGCCGUCUGUGUGUUGUCAUGAGAUGAUUCGUGCAGAAAUGGUUAUUAUUGUAGUUUUCGAUCGCGGAUCUAGAGGUUUUUUAUUUCUUUUUUUUAUCACCUACACACUACUAGGGAAAAGCCUAUACACAGAAUCUUACCAGCAGUGCGCUCCAAAAUAACUCGCUGCUGCUAACUAGCAGUAGCGCGGACAGACGAAACCCGCUGCUGAGACAAAUAUAGCAGUAGCGCGUCACCCCAAAGACGCGCUGCUGCUAUAAUUCCUACGAGGCCGCCGCGAGGGUAGUUAUAGCAGCAACGCGUUAAGGUGGUGCGCGCUACUGCUACGUGGCAUAGUAGCAGCGCAUUUCUCUGAUAAGCGCUACUGCUAAGUUUCUUACAAAAAUUUAGUCCCACCUCGCUCCGUGAAGAGAGUUUCUACCACCUUAAAUAUGUUACUUCUCACACUUUGACAAGCACUUGAUCUUCAUUGAACUCUAUGUGUAGAAUUUGUGGCUGCAAUAUGAGUCUUCACCUGUUCCUAAACCGGUGAGGACUCAUAUUGUCAAAUCAGAUUGUACACAAAAAGAUCGUUGAUGAUCAAUGUGUUUUUGAUAUAUUGAACAAAGUCUAUUUUUACAUGCUGACACACAGCAGUAGCGCUUUACUGUGAAAGGCGCUGCUGCUAGGUAGCUUAGCAGUAGCGUCUUUUCCUGAAGAGCGCUACUGCUAAGCCAUUCAUCUCCCUCAUCUCCUCCAUUCAGAUCCACUCACACACACAGCCACUCAAUCCUCUCCGAUCCGUCUGCGCCGCGCGCCCCCGUAGCCCCUCCUCCGUCUGCGCCGCGCGCCGUCACCUCCGCCUCCCUGCUGGACUCGGUACCGACCUCCUCCUCCGUCCUCCCUCUCCACUUGCCGCUGGCCGGCCCCUCCUCGCUCCGCCUUCCUCCUCCGUCCUCCCUCAACUGGCCGCGCCGGCCGGCCCCUCCUCGCUCCGCCUUCCUCCUCCAUCCUAGUAGGCUAGUUGAUUUAGUUGACUUAGAACAUUUUGAUUUAGUUGAUUUAGUAGGCUAGUUGAUUUAGUUGACUUAGAACAUUUUGAUUUAGUUGAUUUAGUAGGCUAGUUGAUUUAAUUGACUUAGAACAUUUUGAUUUAGUUGGUUUAGUAGGCUGGUUGAUUUAGUUGACUUAGAACAUUUUGAUUUAGUUGAUUUAGUAGGCUAGUUGAUUUAGUUGACUUAGAACAUUUUGAUUUGGUUGAUUUAGUAGGCUAGUUGAUUUAGUUGACUUAGAACAUUUUGAUUUAGUUGAUUUAGUAGGCUAGUUGAUUUAGUUCACUUAGAACAUUUUGAUUUAGUUGAUCGUUAAUCCUUUGCACAUAUUGCUUUAGGAAGAAUGGCGCCACCACCACCACCACUAUGUCAACUAUGCAAGUCAAGAUGCGCCAGUAGCCUUGCAACUGGCAAGCUGUUCGGCAUCUACCUCCAGCCGAGUUUUUGUCAUGCGGCGGUAAGAAAUUAGAUGAAAUGUAAUAACUAUUUUAUUUUUAGUGUUGGCAUUACUGCAUUGUGUCAUUUUGCUUAUUUUACACAGAUCGUCCCAUACAAUGUGAGGUUGAAAUUCAACAAGCUGACAGGAGACACUGUGACAUUUGAGGCUCCUGGGGGGCCGUACACUAUGGAGGUCGAGAAAGGACGCAAUAUGUCGCAGAUUGGAGGAGAUGGAUGAGCCCGUUUCGUCGCUCGCAUGCAUCUUACUGGUGGUGAGUUGAUCAGCUUCAACUUCCGAGCAGAAAGACCCAAGCUAGCUGUCAUUUAUCUCAACCUGGUGGAAGAUGAUGAAGAUGACAAAGAUGAUGAAGAUGAUGAAGAUAAUGAGGACCCACUCGAUGAAGAUGAUGAGGACCCACUUCAUGAAGCCAUCGUAGCUCAAAGAACAAGGCUGAGUGAGGAGGAGGUGUGCAACCUGUGGGACAUAAUUCCGCCACGUGCUGACUUUGUCGGGGUGCCAUUCGUGACCCGCUUGACAAAUACCAUGGUUGAUCGACAUGAUAUGGUAUGUUAUACUUACAAAUGCAAAUUAAUAGUGUGAAUUACUUAGUGUACAGUCCAAUGAUAUGGUAUGUUGUGUGGAAUCUAGUCGAUGAUAUAUAUGUUUUAGUGUAGAGUUCGAUCACAUGCUUAUUAAUUGAUAUGUUUUUCUUAUUCAGAAAUUGGCAAAGAGCAUAUUUGUGAGUUAUGGUAUCGAGCCUGAUGAAGACGGCUCAGCUAGACUACGCCUUACUGCAAGGGGCUCCGUCACAACCUGUACUUACCGCGUGGACAUGGACGGUCGCACACACUUAAACUCGGUUGGGUGGAAGAAAUUCCUCGAUGGCAAGAAUCUUCGUGUUGGACAGGCCAUCCUAAUUACUAUCAGGAACACCAACCGCCCAGGCUUGAGGAGGAUGAUUGUCUUCGAUAUCAUCUAGAACUACAUAUGUGUGUGUGGCUAUAUCAUCUAGAACUACAUAUGAUGAUCGUCGUCGAUAUCAUCUAGAACUACAUAUGAUGAUGGCCGUUGAUAUGACCUUGUACUGCUUGAGGAUGCAUGUUGGCUAUGCAUGAAAUUGUUAUCUAGUACUCCCUUCGUUCCAAAUUACUCGUCGUGGUUUGAACUAAAACCACGACGAGUAAUUUGGAACGAAGGGAGUACUACCGUACCUAGUAAUGGUUUAUGAAUUUGAUAUCUACUAGCAGUACCUAGUAUCUAGUAUCUGAAAAGAGAACUGAAAUGGGAAAAUGAUGAAAGAUAUAGCAGUAGCGAGGGAUGGCGAAAUCGCUACAGCUAGUUAAUAGUAGCGCGUUCCCAAAAAGCGCUGCUAAUAUCGUCAACAGUAGUAGCGCAGGUUAGGACCGCGCUACUACUAUGAGUUAGCUGUAGCGCCUUAUUAGUAGCGCGGCCACCCGCGCUGCUGCUAGCCUAAAAACCCGCGCUGCUGUUAGCCUUUUCCCUAGUAGUGACACAUAGCUUUGGUAUUACAUGCUUUUGCUAUUUGCCGGUGUACUCAUUGUGUUUGUAUCCUUCUGAAUCUCCAUUUUGAGUCAAUAAUACCCAUCAUUUGUCGAAAAACAUACAAUUAUUAUUGUCUACGCUUUAUUAGUUGAAAUUCCGAUGAUUAUCUAACUUGGAUACACAAGGAUUCACCGAGUGUGAUCUAAUAUAAAAAGAGAGCCCAUCAAUUAUUGUUUUAUAAUCCAAUCAUGAACUCGUUUUGCGGUACAUGCCAAUAAAUAAAACUUGAAAGAUAUGUGGUAGCUUUAUGUAUUCCUUUAUACUUCCUCUGUGAACAAAUAUAAAAUGUUUUAAAUCUCUGGAAAUGGGGGACAACAUCAAAGGCAAAGGGAUUAUAAAUGUUUGUCACUAUCUUAACAAUACAAAGUUUGUGUUACUGACUUACUAUUUGGACCAGUUUUUUGUUUGGCAUAUCUGUAUGCUAAGUUCUAUGUGUGUUUUCACUUGUAGGGUUAUCUCAGUAGUCAAUGCGUUUUAUGAACUCCUGAGCCAAGGCAACAUAAGUGUUAUGCACCCAGAAACCAAGAAGCACGUUGCUCCUGUCGAGCUGUGUCCAAUACUCAAAACACUUUACAAGAUUUUAAUCAAGAGGUUGAAAUGCUCUUGGAUCACCAUUGUUCCCUCUUAGUUACAGUUUUUUUCCUUUUCCUUCGUUAUUACAGUCCUGUUGCCUCUACAACCGUCUGAAUUUUCUGUACUACUUACGCACUUGCAGGGAGGUUGGUACCAAUUCCAUUCUUGAGGCGAUUGACGAUGAAUCAAUGUCCAAUCCACGGGAAAGAAUUUAGAUGGCACAACGCCAAUCCCUAUACCGGCCGUCUCUCCUCGGCCAGCCUUAAGGCGAUAUCAAUCUAUAGUAGUUGCAACCUUUAUUUAUGCAGAAAUAUUGCGAGUUUCCACAGUUUGCUGAUCCUUCUGUUGGUGUACCCUGCAAGUGCAUAUUUGUAGUAUACAUAUGCUUAUAUGUUGUACGAGAUGAGUUUUUUUAAUAGCAAGGCGAUAUAAAGUUCUUAUAGUCCGAGUUGACGCCCACAUGUAUAUACAAACCUUGAUUUAAUUGUAUUUGUUGCUUAGAUGGCAAGAGAGAUACUACCUGUAAUUCUUUUUAACUUUGCAAGUAGCUCGUUGUCACUGCUUUAGUUGAGUGCCAGUGUUUCUGUCUUUUACUACUACUUAAGAAACAGAGGACACAUGUAGUUCUGUAUAUGUAAUGCUUUUAUGCCUGCGACGGCUUGUCAGCAAGUUUUGCUAUUUUGAAGAGCGUGCCAGUUUGUAUAAAAAAAUCUUCCAAGCCCCGCUCUCAAAAAAAAACUGAACAAGUCAUAAAAGAUCACACGAACUGCUCGACAGGCCCACGGUAGAUGGUUCUGAGACUUUUCUGACCUCGGGUGAAAAUUAGUUCUAAACGCUGCCAAUUUACAAUGUCAUCAUCACAUAUCUCCAACGAGAGGAACAUCAUGUGCUACAGUCACCUUGUUCUUCUGUGGUGGUUUGCUAAGAGUGAUGGCACGAGGGCUUAUUGCUAAGAGUGAUACACUUGAAAUGAGCGGACCGUUAGGCUCUCUUCCUGGCGACGGACCGGGCUCCCCGCCGCGGUCGCCUUUGGCUCCGGCCUCCGAGGGCUGGGAGGUGGUCCGGCGCGGCGCUAGUUCCUCCCCGCCGAGGCCGGGGCCAGCCAUGGGGGUUGGCGCGGCGAGGGCGCCAGUGGGUGGACGCUUCUGGGCGCUGGCUGAGUUCGGUUCGGAGGACGAGGAGGGCGAGGAUUCGGAGGUGGAGGCCGGGAUGUUGGUGCCGGCGAGGCCGUCGUUAGGUGAUUUCGUGGCUCGUGCGCACGCGGAGGGGAGCGGUGCCGCGCGGGCGCGCCGCCGGUUCGCUCUGGGCGGCAGGGGAUCGCGCGCGGUCGCCGUUUGCGCUUGGAGACCUUCUCUGACUCCGGGCAGGGGCUCGGUGUCUCCUGGGGGUGCCGCGCAGGGCAUUCGGGAGAGGGCGGCGGCUGCUCUUCUGGCUCCGGUGGAUUCGGAGGCGGAGUGGCCGGGCCUGCCGGAGGCGGCGGCGGUCGGCAGGGUGCUGACGGCGGCGGCGGCUGAGCCGCGGGUGGCGGCGGGUGGAUCUGCUCCCCGUCUGGCUAGGGUUGCCGACUCUGGGCCCAGGGCCGUCGUGGGCCAGGCGGUAUGUGGGCCGUCCCACUCGCCAAGGCCGGUGGGGGUCAGCGUUUGCCCAAGGCCCCGGGGGGAGAGUGCACCUCCUGGGCGAGGGGGCUGGCUCAUACAGGGCCUGCGGGUUUUGUUCGGCCUGCUUCAGGCCUGCCAAGGCCCCGACCCAGCUCUGGCGCCUAUUUAUGGCUGCGCCUAGGAUGCCGCGACCCCUCGCUAGGGUUUCCCGCAUCCAGAUCUGAGGUGCGGCGCCGGGCUCACCUUGCUCGUUUCAUUCAUCCCGUCUCCCCUCCUCCUCCUCUAUCCAUUUCGUUUGCAGCGGCGGUGAUGAGCGGGAGGCGAGCGGGGAAGAGGCCAAUGGAGCCGCCGGUCUCGGAUGGGGAGCGUCGGCGUGAGCGUGACCUGCGGGGUAAGGGGAAGAAGGAGAUGCGUGUAAGGCCGAGCGGAAGAGCCGAGCGGAGUCUCGAGCAAGUGGGCCGCGAGGGGGAUUGGGGUCCCCCUCCCCCGUGGUGGAUCCAGCAGCAGGAGCGCAGGAAGAAGAAGAAGUAGUUGGCUCGGCGCAGGGAGCUCGAGCGCAAGUCAGCGGAUCUCCCCAACUAUGGUGGUGGCCAUGGGGAUCCUCUGGCCAAGAAGCCCAGGGCGGCGACCGAACCUCUGGCGUUGGCGCCUCCCCCGGGAGCGAAGGGCAUAGCGGGCGAGCCCAUUCCGGUGGAGGACGCGUCGGAGGCGCCGGAUGUGGAGUGCUUCAAGUGCAGAAGACUAGGUCACUAUCAGUCCAAGUGCAAGUUCCAGCCCCUAUGUGUGCUAUGCAAGGAAGAAGGACAUGCAUCUGCGCACUGUCCGACGAGGGGUCGGCAGCCUAGCUUGCAGAUCAUGGGAAGCGCUAUUUCUGGGGAAGGCUUCUUCUGCCUGCAGUUCGAAGAGGAGGCGGAGUUCGAGGGCCCUCGGCUACUCUCAGUCGGCAAUGAUGCGAUUCUAUCUGCAGAGCUGGGCUGCCUGAACCUGCGGGUCCUCAAGCAGGAGCUCAAGCACAUGGUCACGGGAGACUGGGACUGGCAAGUCACCCAAGUGGGAGAAGAUGAUUUCAUGGUGGUUUUCCCCUCUGCAGAUCUCCUUCAUAUGGCCCGGACUAGUGGCAAGUUUUUCCUUUCCAUUAACGACAUCACUGUUAGGGUGCGUGAUGUGGUUCAUGAGGUGAUUCCCCCUUUGGUUAUGCCAGAAGCUUGGGUGCGGCUCCACGGGAUCCCGGAGAAACAUCGCAAGAUCGAGCGUAUCAAGGAGGCGUUCAAGAUGUUGGGGCGGCCUAUCGUGGUUGAUGAGCUCUCCAUCAUUAAACUAGGCCCGGUAAGGAUGAAGUUGGCCUGCAAGACCCCGGCCAAGCUGAACGGCACAGUGGAGGUCUGGUUUAACCACGAAGGGUACCAGAUCAGGGUUGAGCUGGAGCAGCCACCGCGUAGGCUGGGGGAUGGUGGAGGGGCUCCGGGGGCGGGCCCCUCCGCUCUCCCGCCUGACAGUCACCACGGCAAGGGCGGGGCUCACAAGUCUGGACCUCAAUUGGGCAACUCCUCCAAGGUGGCUGCCAAUGGUCUGAGUGUGCCCAGAGCUUCGGCGGUGGUGCCACAGAAGGGAGCGGCUGUCUCUGGUGCGUUGGUGGUUGGGCAGGAUUCGGUGAUGGGCGAGCUGGCAGACGAGCAGGAAGACAGCAUUCAAGACACGUCUAUUGAUACUGAGACUUGGGAGAAGCUGGGGGUGAUCGCGACUCAAGACACGGCCGUAAGCCUCCCCCCCCCCCUUGCUCGUUCCCUGGACCCGUCCUUCGAAGGGCUUGGGAGCGAGCCAGUGUCUCUACCGCUGGUGGCCGUGGAGACUGCGGCCAUGCCUGCCUCCCCAAAGCGCGGCGGGGGUGCGGGGUUGGACUGCGUCCUCAUGGACUCGGUCCCCACACCAGCCUCGGACCGGCGUUUGUCGAGCAGUUCCGGUCGCCAGGCCAAGAAGACUGCCGGGCGGAAGGCUGGGAGCAAGUCGGCGGACACGGCUGCAGUGGGGUCGGUGGCGGCGCUGGGAGGUGAACUGGGGGCGGCGUUGGUGGCUGCGGGGCCGGCUGCCAAGGCCAAGCAUUCAAGGGCAACCCCGGUGGCGGCGCGGGCUCCAAGCGCACGCGCCAAGGCCAAGCUCGGGGACAUGACUUCUCUGGAAAGUGCCAAGCUACAUGCUGCUGACAAAAACAUGGAUGUUGCAGGUAACCUUCCCCCCUCCUUUAAGAUUCUGAAUGCUUUCUCCGAUGAGCAUCUUGCCGAGAUUCUUCACGAUAGUGGCGUUGCGCUAGAUUCCUCGAAUUUGGACAUCAUUUCGUUAGUGCGAGCGCGUGAAGAAGCCUAGGCCGCCCUCGCGGCUGCUGCUGCCAGGGAAGUGGCGGUUCAGUCCGUGGUCGGCGUGUCUUCAGCACCAGUAGGGGCUGGUGUUGCCGAUCUGCCCAUCGAGGGAGACGAGGCCAGGGUGGCCUCGGACUUGCCCUCUUCCAGCCGGGCGCCGGCUAGGAAACGUGUGGCCAAGGCGGUGAGCUCCCGUGGAGUUCGCGUGCAUAACCGGAUCAUUUGAUGCGAUAUAUUUUCUAGAACAUAUGCGGUUGCGGACAUGUGGGGCGUCGCACGCAGUUACGUGAGUACAUGUCUAAAGAACGCAUCGACUUUGUCGCGCUCCAAGAGACGAUUAAGGCCGAUUUUUCUUUUAGAGAUCUUUUGGCGUACGAUCCUCUUCAACGCUUUGAUUGGUUUUGGUCUCCUUCCGUGGGCCUUUCUGGUGGCCAACUGAUGGGUUGUAAUAAAGACGCUUGCGAUGUUAUUCUGUGGGAAUCUGGUGAGUUUCAUAUCGCUGCCACUGUGCGUCAUCGGGUUUCCCUUGCCUCUUGGGUGAUCGUAAGUGUUUAUGGGCCGGCUAAUCAUGCGAGAUCCGCUGAUUUCCUGGGUGAACUCACAGCGCUGGUUGGGGCCAAACAAGCGUCCAACUUACCAGUUUUGGUGGGUGGAGAUUUUAACUUGAUUCGCUCGGGGGUGGACAAGAACAACGACAACAUUGAUUGGCCAAGGGUGUCCUUGUUCAAUAAUGCCAUCGCGGCAGCGGCACUUAGAGAGAUUGCGCGCACUGGGGCUAGAUACACGUGGACGAACAAACAGCAGGAGCCAGUGUGAUGUGUACUUGACCGUGUUUUUUGUUCAAGUGACUGGGAGGUUUUGUUUCCCCUCUGCACCUUAGUGGCUGAGAUGCGCAUCGGAUCAGACCACGUCCCGCUGAUCCUUUCCUCAGGGGAGGAAAGUGUGCGUCGCAGUCGUAGAUUCUUUUUCGAGACAGCAUGGUUCGAACACGAAGGUUUCGGCUAUCUGGUCACGCAUCGCUGGUCCUUGAUUGGUAAUCAGGUUGGUCCCCAUCGUGGACCAGUUGAGUUUUGGUCCUCUGGGGCUGCUGCCUUGCGGGCUUUCCUCAGGGGAUGGGGAGCCAAUCAUGGCAGUGAUUCUAAACGGGCCAGUGAGCGCAUAGUGGGUGAAAUCGCUCUCCUGGACGCGCAAGCGGAUGUGAGACCCUUCUCUGGGGACGAAUGGGAAUAUAGAUACUCCUUAGAGAACCAAGUCUUGGCAAUUCUCAGGGAGGAGGAGGAGUAUUGGCGCCGUAGGGGCGGCAUCAAGUGGGUCAUCAAAGGCGACGCCAACACGGGAUAUUUCCACGCAUACGCUAAUGGGCGUAAGCGCAAAAGCACGAUUCUUAGGCUGCAGUCCGAGGGCGGGACUUUGGUCACCCAAAACAAAAUAGUUACACACAUUUUCGACUACUUCGUAGAGCUGUUGGGUACAGCCGAAACUAAGAGCUUAAGUCUCAGGGAAGACUUAUGGGGUUGGCAAGACCAUGUCUCGCAGCAGGAAAACGACGCCUUAAUGGUGUCCUUUUCGCCCAAGAGCUCGACCGUGCGCUAGCUGGUAUGAAGAACGACACGGCUCCGGGCCCGGACGGAUGGCCGGUGGAGUUCUUCAAACGGUUCUGGCCGACGCUUAGGGACUUGUUUCUAGAGAUUCUCAAUGGUUUUGCCCUGGGUACGGUAGACCUGGCGCGCCUCAACUACGGGGCUAUCUGCUUGAUUCCCAAGGUUAAAGGGGCAGAAUCUAUUAAGCAGUUUCGGCCGAUCACGCUCAUAAAUGUUCCUUUCAAAAUAUGUGCCAAAGCUUAUGCCUCUAGAUUAGCGCCGGUCGCUCAACGUGUCAUUAGAAAAAGCCAAACUGCUUUCCUUAAAGGCAGGAACAUCCUGGAAGGGCCAAUUGCACUCACGGAGAUAAUCCAUGAGUUGAAACGUACGCGGGGACAGGGUGUCAUUCUCAAACUUGAUUUUGAGAAAGCGUACGAUCGAGUAAACUGGGAGUUUAUUCGGGAGGUCCUCCUCAAAAAGGGUUUUGAGGCAGGGUUUGUCCACCGGAUCAUGCAUCUGAUCUCGAGUGGCAACACCUUGGUUAUUGUUAAUGGCGACAUGGGGAAGUUCUUUCGCAAUCGGAAAGGACUUAGACAAGGCGACCCCAUAUCCCCCCUAGUAUUUAAUUUCGUGGCGGACGCUUUGGCUGCCCUGCUGUCCAAGGCCAGGGAGGCUGGACACAUCAAGGGGCUCGUCCCACACCUCAUUCCAGGUGGGGUGACACACCUCCAAUACGCAGACGACACUUUGCUGCUGUUUAAUCCGGACGAUCAUAGUAUCGCCUCGAUAAAGCUCUUGCUUCUAGCUUUUGAGCUCCUCUCCGGACUCAAGAUUAACUUUCAUAAGAGUGAGGUCAUCACCAUGGGGAUUGAUGGCCAACAAAGCGCACGUGUCGCAAACCUUCUUAAUUGUAAGCUGGGGAGCUUUCUAAUUAAGUAUCUUGGGCUCCCUAUUUCGCACCGCAAAUUAUUGAUUUUUGAGUGGGAGCCCCUAUAUGGGAAAGUGGCCAACAGGGUGAGCCCGUGGCGCGGGAGAUUCAUGUCUUCUGCCGCAAGGCUAAUUCUGACGAAUUCGAGUCUCUCUUCCCUUCCCCUUUUCACAAUGGGGAUGUUCUUACUAGCUAACGGCGUUCACGCCAAGCUAGACACUCCUAGAGCCGGUUCUUUUGGGAAGGAACUGGAAUCAAGAGGAAGUACCACCUAGUCAAAUGGGCGGCAGUUUGUAGGCCAAAAAAAUUCGGUGGAUUGGGAAUUCUCAACUCCAAACUGAUGAAUGUGGCCUCCUGGCCAAAUGGUGGUGGCGGCUGGCCCAAGGUGAGUCGGGGCUCUGGGCGAGCCUGCUAAGAGCCAAGUAUUUCCCGAACGGGAACCCAUUCAAUGCCUCGGCCAACGGCUCCGUGUUUUGGAGAGGGAUCCAAGCGGUGCGUCCGGCUUUUGACAUUGGGGCUAAAUUUUUUAUCAACAAUGGCCAAUCAACCCGGUUUUGGCUUGAUCACUGGCUUGGUGCAUCCCCCCUUUGGCAAAGUCACCCCAACUUAUACCGGUUAGCCACUGACACUAACAUCUUAGUUGGGGAGGCAAUCAGGACUGCCCCUCCGGCGAUUCACUUUAUGCGGCCCCUUUCGACCGAAGAGCGUGCGUCUUGGAACGGGCUGAUUCAGCAGAUCGGUGUCAACCGCCUAGGCACGACGGGUGACAUGGUUGAAUGGAGCCUCACCGCUUCGAGAAAAUUUUCUGUCAAGUCCCUGUAUAACAAGUUCACUGAAGGGCCAGCGCUUGAUAUAGCUAAAGGGUUAUGGAAGGCAGGCUUGCCUCUGAAGAUUAAAAUCUUCAUGUGGCAAAUGCUUCGGAACCGGCUACCUACGCCGGAUAACGUGGCCAAACGCAAUGGCCCGGCUGAUGGCACAUGCUCGCUGUGCGGUCUUGCCGAAGAUGCGAACCAUGUUUUUUUUAGGUGCCAUUUGGCCAGGUUCGCUUGGAGUGCGGUGCGGGAGGCCUUCCACUCGGAUUGGAACCCUGCAUCGGGGCACCAGCUUGUCUCCAUCCUUAAGUCCACAAAAGGGACAACAAGUAGGAUAGCUUGGCGUUGCGUAGGGGCGCUGCUUUGGGCUAUUUGGACGACUCGUAACAAGUUUACGAUUGAGAAAAAAAAUUUCCUCGUCACCCCGCAGACGUUAUCUUCAAAUGUCACUUAUUUCUGCAGAUGUGGACACCUCUAGGGAAGGAGCGCGAUGCUGAGCGCAUGUCUGAUGCCAUGGCGCGCAUCAAGGCGAUUCAGGUGCAGGCAAGACAGGCGCCGGCAAGCUGACGAGGCUUUUGGAGGGACUUUGCGGCAUGUUUGUUAUCCCGGUCGUUGCGCUGAUCUAGGUGGAUGUAUGUGUUAUUUGUCGUGACGAACCUUUUGUCCUUCGCCAUAAUGUUCUUGGAUCGUUGAAACUUUAUCUAUCUCUUAGCUUGUAACCAGUUGAACUUGUAGCUUUUGGGCUUUAUUAAUUUAAAGCCGGACGCUUCUAGCGUCCACGUUCCAAAAAAAAGAGUGAUGGCACGACUGUGUUGACCGGCAGCAGUAUUUGGUGCUAGGGCAACACGUGUAGGAUGUACUGCUUGGCCGUCAGCGUUGAAAUGAUCAGUGUGAUCUCGGCAUAUAGGAAGACUUGAAUAAAUAGUUGUGAUGUGUGUAACCGAGAAAGCCAACGCUGGCACCAAAAUCUUGUUGGAUCCGCUCGCGUACGUGCUCUCAGCUUGGACUCAUGUUCCCGGUGCAUCCCAUGCCUAGCAAUAGAUGACCAUCAUCCUCAGGCCAGGUGUGUGUUGUAAGUUGCAAGUGUUUAGCUUCUAUACUUGUUGGGACUGUGUAGGUAUGUGCAAAUGAGUGAUUCGGUGCGUAUUUAUUGGCCGGGUAUGUUGUUGAUUUUACACCUCAACAACCGCUUGUCCAAUUAUUUAACUUCAAGGGUACAACUAUUCUAAUAAGAUUAUAGUUAAUAAUACAGUCAGCUAUAUGACGUUGUCAUGUCAUCUAUAACCAAGAUUAUAGCCGGCACGUACAAUAAUUAUAUGUAAAUAUGUGCUACUCUAUUCAUGGAUUGCUCAUAUUCCAUUCACAUAUAGUGCCUAGGAGCUUGUGUGCUCUUAUUCCGUAGGCGUCUCCUCUUCUCUUCCCUCCAUGUCAGCAGAAAUAUAAUAUUUUGCAAAAUUUGUAACUUCCAAACGUUCGGACUUUGUCAUCAGAUCCGAACGCACUCAAUUUCCAAACAACGCACGGCCGCCAGCACUUAACACCUCCUGGAGCGAGAAAAAGAAACCCACAUCGAGGGUAAUCGAACCACCUACCUCCUGCACAUACGGCACCACACUGACCAUUCCAGCUAUGCCUCCUCACAAGCGAAAGCUGGCUAGGCUUUGUAUUUAAUGCGCAGUUGCUCUUUGUUUAAGACUAAAAAUCUGAACGAGUUAGACUUGAAGGCGCAUUUCGUGCAAAGAUUUCCGUAGACGUUGGCGUUGACCGCCGUGAUUUUUUUGUCUAGAUUGGAUCCGUCAUGAUUUUUUUUCCUAUGCACUAGAUCAAUUGGUAGGCCCUUUUUAUACCAUUUUUUGUCAAAAAUUUGAUGCUGACUAUAGGGGUUAUGGCGAACUUUUUGACCCCAAGAAAAAGUUAUUGAAAACAUCCUCGAUAAUUUCUAUGUAAAUAACAUGGUAAUUUGCGUAUAACGGAGCUGAUAGCUAUUUGUACAAACAUCACGGUAAGUUUUGAUUUAGAAGGAAAAAUUUGUUGAAAACAUCUCCCGGUAAUUUUUGUCUAAUAGUAUGCAAAUACACACAGUAUAGACCUGAUAAGUUACAUACAAACACCGCGGUAACCUUGAACCCGGGAGAGAGUAGUUGAAUAUAUACACCCGGUAACUUUCAGGUAAUAGCAUGGUAAUAUACACGCAACAGAGCUGAUAACUCAUGCACAAACACCGUGCUAACAUUUUGACACGGGAAGAAAGUUGUUGAUAAACAUAUCCCCGGUAUUUUCUAUGCAAAUAGUGAUAAUAUUCGCACCGUGUACGUGAUAACUUAUGUACAAACAUCCCCGAUAAAUUUUGUGUAAAUAGCAUGAUAAUUUACACACCGCAGAACUGAUAACUCAUGUACAAAUACCAUGAUAACUUUUUCACCUUGGGAAAAACUUGUCGAAAAACGUACACUCGAUAACUUCUGUGUAAUUGCCAUGGUAAGAUACAUACAGCAGAUCUGACAACUCGCAUACAAACACCGUGGUAACUUUUUUACCCGGGAUUUUUUUAUUGAAAAACAUACCACAAUAAUUUCUCUAUAAAUAGUAUGAUAAUAUACGCAUAUAGAGCUGAUAACUCACGCGUACAAACACCACAGUAAUUUUUUCAGCUGAGAAAAACACCCCCCCCCCCACCCAUAACUCAUAUAUAAAUAGCAUUGGUAGUAUACGCCAUAACAGAGCUGAUAACUUGCUUAGCCUAGAAGUGAUAACUGUUGACCCGAUAAAGAAUCAUUAAAAUAUACCAACAUAAGAUCUAGUUUCGAAGGUCUCGUUGUGCCGAUUUUUUCAUGUGAAAACGCUUUUUCAAUUGGAUCGACGGUUUGAGCUACAAAAUAUUUUUGAAGUUUCAAAAUAGGAGAAAUCUAGGAUCACAUCAGUUUUUUGUCCUCCAGUGCAUUUGCAUGUGGGGAGAUGGUUAAAGGGACCACUUUUAGGCUCCGGUAAUUUCUGUGUAAACGGGAUGGUAAUUUAUGUAUCGGCGGGUGACAACUUACUUAGCUUAGGUUUGGUAACUUUUGACCCGAAAAAAGUCAUCGAAACAUAUCAACAUGUGAUCUAGUUUUGAAGGUCUCGCCGCGACGAUUUUUUUUAUGUGAAAACGGUUUUUCAAUCGGACCAACGGUUUGAGCUACAAAACAUUUUGAAGUUUGAAAAAAGGAGGAAUCUAGGAUAACAUCAGCUUUUCGUCCUUUAGUGCAUAUAUGCAUGUAAUUGUAGAGAGGAGUGCACAUAAAAGAAAAAUUAGUCGUUCUAAUACAUGCACGUAUAUAAUUAGAGUGAAGUAAGGAUCGUUCACACGUCCAAUAUUUUAACUCUUAUAUCCCGCUUACAUAACCUUAUUGUACUUGCUCUAAACGAUAAUUCUUUAAUAACUACAUGGUCUAGCGUGCAAUAUUAUUUCAAUAAAGGGUGCUUUUAUUACCUCAAAAUGCAGCAUCGAGCAGAUAUAAAGCAUAAGGAGCAACACUAGGCUUAUGCAUAGCUAAGAUGCACACAACCAUCACACGAACGGUCUAACAAAGAAUAUAAAAACGACAAGUGGCAACAGUAAAGCCAUAUGAGACCGAAACUAUGCCUAUGUCAACGGAGAAGGUGGUCCGAUUCGGAGAUUAUAUUGCCACUCAUGUUGGGUAAAAACCUUCCUGGCCACCUUCUCCAACCGUAUACACACCGUCUUGAACAGCGAUUGGACUCCGUUCGGUGCAUAAUAGACCACAUACGAGGCCAGUGCGUAUAGCGGUAAAUAACCUGCAUAGGACAAUAUAUUUUGCAAAUUAAAAACACAAUCAUUUCUACAUAGCCAAAGCGACCAUACAAAGCUGACACUCCCACCCGUAUUAGCAUGCUAAACGUAUUUGGUAUUGCAUAAAACCAGUGGCCAUUUAUAUUGGCAAUACUUGUUCGUGGGUACAAAUUUGACGCUAUUUCGAUGACUGGCCAUGCAGACGCGUAAACUUGCAUUGAAAAGAGGUGUUUGAUUGUCUCGUCGUGAGUACAAAGACUACACUUCUUGCUUCCUGUCCAGUUACGUCAAGUGAGGUUCCCUACUGCAAUUUAGGUUCUAACAAUGGUUUGUUUAUCAUGGGUUUUAUGUAGCUAGAGUUCCGUCUAGGAGGCCCUAACAUUGUAUCUAAAAUUUACAAUAAAGAGUACGCAAACGCUCGCAUCUGUGGGUCUGACAAGUGGAGGAAGCCUCUUUCUAAAUUUUUGCGGCAGCCUCAUUUCAUUGUAUGUGAUAAUAGUGAUCUCAUUAGUCAUGAAGUCAUGGGUGGCUUAAAGAACAUAUAUGCCAUUGGUGCCGGUAAGUUUCCAUUUGCUCUGAACUACUGUCUUGUUUUGUUGAGCAUGCCUCAUAUUAUCUUGAUCAGGAAAAUGAAAUCGUUAUUGCCAUUUCUACAGCAAACCAGAAAUAUGUUGAAACCUUAUGUUUAACAUCCAACACUAUACCAUGGAAUAUAUAGUUUGAAUCUACUGUUUCUGGCAUUGGUGUUAUCUCAUUCACACACUACUCACUGCUAUGUUGCAUAGAUGCCAUUGAUGCAAUAUACGGUAGAUUCAAACUAGUUAUAAAUUCAGUAUUAAACUUGGUGGAUAUGUGUAGAUUUCUGUCUUCUUUUCUAUAUUACUAUUCAUGGCCUAACCUUUCAACGGUUUUGCUGAACAUCGUAUUUGCUUGUAGGUAUGGUGGCAACACUGACCAACGAGAGCGCAACAAGCAAAGCAGUGUAUUUUUCACUUUGCACGUCUGCAAUGAUAUACAUCACCCACCUCCUAGCGGAAGAGCCUGAUAGACUUUCUGGACCACUAUUAGCAGAUACUUAUGUUACACUAUUGAAAGGUUGUAAUGCCUGGUAUGAACAUAAAUUAGCUAAGGCAGAACUGACUCUGGAAAUGGGGGGCAACAUCAAAGGCAAAGGGACUAUACAGGUUUGUGCCGCGAUCUAAAUAAUACAAAAUUUGCAUAACUGUUAGACUGAGUUUUUGGGUUGGCAUAGUUGUAUGCUAAGUUCUAUGUGUUUUUUUCACUUGUAGGUUGUCUCUGCAGUCAAUGCAUUUUAUGAACUCCUGAGCCAAGGUAGCAUAAGUGUGACGCACCCAGAAACCAAGAAGCAUGUUGCUCCUGUCGAGUUGUGUCCGAUACUCAAAACACUUUACAAGAUUUUAAUCAAGAGGUUGGAAUGCUCUUGGAUCACCAUUGUUGCAUCUUCUAGUUACAGCCUUUUCUUUUGUUACAGUCCUGUUGCCUCUACAGCUGUUUGAAUUUUCUGUACUAUUUACGCACUUGCAGGGAGUUUGGUACCAGUUCCAUUCUUGAGGUGAUACGCGAUGAAUCAAUGUCUGAUCCACGGGAGAGAAUCGAGAUGGCACAACGCUAAUCCCUCUACUGGCCGUCUCUCCUCGGCCUGCCUAAAGGCGAUAUCAAGCCGUAGUAGUUGCAGCCUUUAUUUAUGCAGAAAUGUUGCGAGUUUGCAUGGUUUGCUGAUCUUUCUGUCGGUGUUCCCCGCAAGUGCAUAUUUGUGGCAUACAUAUGCUUAUAUGUAGCACGAGAUGAGUUUUUUUACUAGCAAGGCGAGAUAAACAUCUUAUCGUUCCAGUUGACGCCCACCUGUAUAUACAACCCUUGAUUCAAUUGCAUUUAUUGCUUAUAUGGGAAACGAGGUACUAGCUGGGAUUCUUUUGAACUUAAACUCGUUGCCCCUGCUUUAGUUGAUUGGCAGUGUUGACUUCAAAAACAGAAGACGCCUGUGGUUCUGUAUAUGUACUUUUUUUUUAGGUUUUGCUCUUUUGAAGAGCGCGCUAGUUUGAGAUCCAUUUGUAAUCUAAUGCUUGUAUGAAAUGUCCCACUAUUCAGUCUCUGAUACUAAUGCUAGUAUAGUUAAGCUGAAAUCCUUGCCCUCGGAUUUUUUUUCCUUCCAAGCCCCGCUCUCAAAAGAACAAGAAAAUUGAACAAGCCCCACAGACCACCCAAACUGCCCGACAGACCUAGGAUACAUAGUUUUGAGACAUUUACGGCCUCAGAUGAAAAUUAUUCCGUCAUGCUGCCCAUUUAUAUAUGUAGAAAAUAUAAAACCUACAAUAUUCGUUGUAUUGAUCUGACCCUUGUGUAGAGUAUAUACAGAAGUACAUGGUGGGGUAGAGACUUGGAGUACAAGACAAGCUACAUGUGAUUUAAACUAAUUCUAUCUCUAUCCCCUUAUCUCUAACUUAAACCCAAUUAUAUCCCAUAGUUAGAUUCCCAUCUGAACCUGAGCCUCCUCAGAGCUCAGACCUUCUCAGCCGUUUGAUCCUCUCCUUGAUGCGUUCUGGGCCAUCGGAUCUGCUCCUGGGAUGACCUCGACCGUCCGAUAAAAUUUGCAAUCGGAGCAAUGAAAAGUACGUCUGUUUUUCACCUCUACGUUUUAAUCGCUCCCCACUGACUGCUGGGCCUGGCAAAGUUGUGGGCCACCCCUGUCUGCGGCUUGGGUGCGCAGAUGCCCGGUGCGGGUGGCUCACGGUCAAAAAUGCGUGCCACCGCCUGUAAUUCUCGAAUCCCGCUUAGGGCAUUAGAGGGAUUUCAGUUCCUCUCCCUUGCGUGGCGUUCUGUGGGUGGGGAGGAGAGGAGGGCACCCGAUUGGGUGAGAACCCUAGCCGCCACCCCAUCUCUCCCCUCUCCUUCGCACCCGCCGCCCACUCCCAUCUGGCUCUUCCCUCCCGUCGCCUGGUCGCCGUGCUCCUCUCCGUCGCCCGGUCGCCGUGCCCGCGCUGCUCAGCCUCUGCCACCCCAUCGGAGUGGCCUGCGCCGCCUCCUACGCCGAGCUGAGGGGAGUCACCUGCGCCACCUCCUACAUCGAGCCGAGGAGAGUCGCCUCUGAUUCAGCAGGGUGCCCGACGGCUGCCUCCUCCUCCGCGGGCACACACGAGCGGCGAGCCUUGGACUAGGUCAUCCCCCAAGAAGCAGACGAAUGACGCCAUUGCAGGUCCGCCCCUCUCCCUCCCUCUCCAUCCCCUCUCUCUCGAAUGUGAUCCAACGACCAAUGCAUUUCCUUUCGCCCCGCAGUUAGUCCGAGAGCUGAGCGCAGUCGUCGAGGCCGACGUUCGUCGUCCACUUGGCCGCAGCCAGCCCCAAGAAGAGGGGAUGUCAUGGCAGGGGGUCUUCACCUGUCUCCACUCCCUCACCUCCCCGUUCUGCUAGCAAGGGUGCUGAGCAGCAGCAGUUCCAUCUCCCUCCCCACCGCAUCCUUGUCUCAUCUAGAUCUGCAAUGAACCAGAGGUACCAACUCUCCUUACUUUCAUGGUGAAUCCAUUUUAUUGACCUAUCUUUGAUGGUUUUUCUCCUCUCAGCCCAGGGAAAGAGAUUUCAUGUGAUGAUUGAAUUUGAAGGCUAGCUGGACCUAUGGAUCAAAGGUGUGAUGAUGUACUUCAUUGUUCUUUCUUAUAUCUUUACUAUGAGCACUUUGUUUAGGCGCUGGCAUGACUCUUUCAACCAAGCACCGUGUGUCAAGGCAUGCAAAUUAAUGUGUUGGCUAUACAUAUUUAGCUUGCCUCGCUAUUAAAGUAUGCCUGGCACACACGCUUAGCUAAAUUGUUGGGACCGGGCACCGCGCGCCAAGGCGCGCUGCAGGUCUAGUUUCUAACAUUUCCCGUCAGUCGUAGCGGGAGUGAAGCGGACGAUUGUGACUGAAUUUGAAGUUUUGAGCUUCUGUUGUCUUCUUCGCUGCACCAUCAUCAACUGUGUCUCUGAUGGCUGAUGGUUCAGCAUCUAGGGCGGUGACUGCGUCCCCUCCGGUGCCUUCCUCGUCUCUCCUCUAUUCCCUCCCGCAGUCACAGCGGGAGUGGCAUGGUCGCUAGUGACUGGAGUUAUUGCCGAUGUUGCCCUUGAUGUAGAUGUCGAGGUAGCCGAUCAUGAUGCUGUAGCCGCGGUCAAGGUAGUCGUGGUCGAUGGUGUAGUCGUCGUGGAUGAUGAAGCCGCACAAAGCCGGAGGUGCAAAAAAAUGCGCUAUGUUGUAGAUGACGGAGCUGCAGUGAUGGACGAUGCACCUUGCGGAUGUCAGAGGGUGCCGUCGGCGAUGAGUCCACCGGUUUUGCCAGGACCGGACGAAACCCAUCGAGCACACAUCAGUUUCACCAGGACCGUGUGGCCAUAUAGAGGUCGUCACUAUGGUGACGCCAUGUCGAUGCAGUCAUGCCGCCGUAGGUGACGUGGUCAGUGCCGUCGUCGAGGUCGCGUCUUGCAGAAAAAUCUGUCAGAGGACGCUAGGUGUCCAUCUUGUGGACGUGGCAGCGGCAGUGUUUUGACGAUGAUGACGAUGAAGACCACAUUGAUGAAGACCUUGGCGAUGAUAUGUUGAUGAUGAAGCAACAGGCGUGUAGCAGAACGUUGCUAGGAGGCGUCCCUCGAGGCAACGAUGAUGUAGAUACCUUGUUGUUUGAGAAGUUCGACACAGCAUGCGUGUGGUCGAUGUCGGGUCGUGUGGAUGGGCUUGACGAAGUAGUUUGGUUCGUAGCCUGACCGUAGUCGUACUCGUACAGUUCCAUGUCGCUCGGUGUAGAGGCGUCGAUGUUGGUGUGGGGUGUAGAAGCGUCGAUGUUGGCUCGCUGAAGACGAUGCCGAUGCCGUUCGUUUGGUGAAGUAGGCCAGUCAGAAGCAUGCAAUGCUCGGUGUGAGUUCGCCCUCGCAUGCUGGAGCGGAUGUCGAUCGAUGGCCCCUGGAUGGGCACAUGAUGCAUGGAUGGACGUCGGUGUUGAUGCAGAUCGGUGCCGUGGUCGUUCGGCUUUGAUGUAGAUGUCAUGUCGGCGCAGUGUAGACGUACUGCUCCGUGUAGAGGCUCGUGGACGGCUCGAACAUUGCGUGGGUCGCUGUGUCGUUGGAGCGUAUCGACAAGUACAUAGAUCUGCUGAACAUACAUGCAUGCAUACCUUCAGGUGGAACCUCUUGUGGUCUUGUACACAUACUCGUCCGUGAGCCCAGAUGGAGCCUGGAUUCCAUGCAUACCGCCGGUGGUGCACGCAUGUGUGCUGCUGCACCCGCGAGACGCGCUGGAGUCGGCUUCCUGUUCCACGAGAGGCGCCGGAGUCGUGGCCGGGAGCUAUGCAUGUCCGAUCAGAUCGAUCUGCCUGGAGAGGAAGAUUUGUGUGCCCCUCCCUGCCGCUCGGAGUAGCGUUGCAUGCGCCGGGUGGAGACGCGCUGAGAGAUCGCAUACGCGAUGGAAGCCACGGGAGUUUCGCCCUCCCAUGAUCGGGCGGUACGCGUCGUUGUCGGAGAUGCAAGCUCAUGGGAGGUCGAUGCAGCUCCUGCGUGCGGCGUCUUGAGGAUGUCAAUGGAGCUUCGCGCCGAGAGAUCGAGACGAUGCGUCGCGCGUAACGCCCUUGUUGGCUGCUCGUCUUGAUCUCCGCUGCCACACGAACGUCGUGCUUGAUUUUUCUCCUCACGGUGGAUUCGAGGGUCGUCAGAUUUAUUUAUGGCUACAAGAAAUUUAAACUAAUGGAAUUCUGGAAACUGGGAAAUUUGUUAAUCUAAUCGACCUUUGAUCGAUCGGGUGCCGCGCCUCCGGGGAGAGGAGAUUAAUCUCCCCAGGGACGGCGCAGUGCGGAAAUGGUGGAAGGUCCUAUGAUCGGCGUGGUGAGACUAACCGCUCUGAUACCAUGUAGAAAAUAUAAAACCUACAAUAUUCAUUGUAUUGAUCUGACCCUUGUGUAGGGUAUAUAUAAAAGUACAUGGUGCGGUAGAGACUUAGAGUACAAGACAAGCUACAUGUGGUUUAAACUAAUUCUAUCUCUAUCCCUUUAUCUCUAACUUAAACCCAAUUAUAUUUCUAAAAAUAUAAAGUGUCAUGGUACCAUCUGCUCAUCGCAUAUCUGCAACGUGCCGAGCAUCAUGUGCUUCGAUCAUCUUCAUGAGUUCAUCUUUACUGGGUUGCCAUGAGAGAUGACACAUUGGUUGAUCUGGUGUAUGGACUUGGUAUGAGAGCAUUGCUAGACCGUUGGCGUGAAGUGAUUAGUGUGAUCUCGCUAAAUGGGACAACAUGGUUGUGAUGUGUUUAGCACAGGAAGUCAGAUAACCAAAACGAAUAACAGAAGCUUGUUGGAUCUGCUCGUGUACAUGCUCUCAUCUUAAACUCAUGUUCCCAGAGCAUCCCAUGCCCAACGGUGAUCGUCAUCCUAAUAGGCCAAGCUAAAUGCUACCUCUGCAUAGACCCAGUGCAACAAUAGAAAAAUGGGCAAGCCUAAAGUUUCAAGAUGUAGUUGCAAGUCUUUAUCUUUUAUACUCGUUGGGACCGUGGAGCUAGGUGCAAAGAAGUGAUUCCACAAGUAUUUAUGGGCCGGGUGUGCUGUUGAUUUUGCCAUACCAACAACCACUUGUCCUCUGACGCCUCUCCCGAUGCAUGUGCUUAAAUGAGAUGCUAAGUACAUGAAAUGACUUAGCAACUAAGCUCUCCAAUGUAUACGUGCUUAGCUUUUUUGUAGCUAAGUUUUCUUCAUUUAGUUGUGUAGCAACUAAACUUCUUUAGGCAAAGGUGUCUUGCAUUGUUUUUUUCCCUAUAAACUUCCAAUUCAUUCAUUCUCAAUCAUGGUAGUACAAAGAACACCAAAAGUAAUAAAAUUUACUAUCUGGUUAGACCACCUAGCGAUGACUACAAGCACCGUAGCGAGCCGAAGGCGUCACCCCUCCCUCACUAGAGCUGGGCAAACCUAAUUGUAGUAGACAGUCGAGAAGUCGUCGUGGUAAGGCCCUAUAAGACCAACACACCAGAGCAGCAAACAUCACCGACGAAUAAAGUCGUAGAUUGGAUGGAUCAAACAUGUAAACACCCAAACGAAGACCGGAUCAAAGCAGAUCCACCGAAGAUCAGCACCGAUUGAAUCCUACGAGAUCCGACGAAGGCACACCUCUAUACACCCUCCGACGAAGCUAGACGCACCAUCGGGGCGGAGAUAGAACGUGGAAGACAUUAUUCCUACUGAGAGACACCACUGCCGCCACACAACCCCAACCAAGACGUUGAACCUAACAAGAACGAGAACGGGAUCCCUCUCGCUGGCGGGGGCCCAAGGUCCUCCACAUCUCCAUGUCCCAAACGCAUGAGGCAGAUCGGCGAUGGCGCCGACGGGAGGAGGAGAAAAGACCGAGAUCUUUUCUUGUGUGUGUGUGUGGGGGGGGGGGAGGGUUGUGCGUCGGUUCUGAUCCCCCGGUAAUGUUUACUCCAAGGUGUCUUGCAUUGGUCCACGUGCCUGGUAUUGUUUCUUCGUGACGUCAUAAAAAUGCUCUUUCUUCUUAUUAAUUAUUUUUCCAUGUCAGUUUCUCUUCUUCUUAUGUGACAUGCUUAGUUCCUGUAAACCAUGAAACAUUGAGAAUGGUUUGAGGGUGUCAGAGCUAGAAAUUUUAAUGAACGGAAAUUCUUUAUAUAACUAUAUGGUGUCGCAUGUAAUCUAUGUGUAGUUAUAAAUAUCAUUAACAGUGGACAUGAUGUUCACGUGUAGAUAUACACAAUUAUUAGGUUAUGAAGGUCUAUAGGUUAUGAUUUGUUAAACACAAGUAUGAAGAUCUACCUAUUAUCAUCUUACUGCAUAAAAUUAUUAUUAUUAAGUAUCUAAUUAGCUGAAAUUCUAAUGUUUUGUUGAGUUAGAUACACAAAGAUUAACUUAGUGUGGUCUAAAAUAAAAGGAGGGUCCACCAAUUAUUGUCCGGAUGCUAUAAUCCUAUCAUGAACUCGUUUAGCUUCGCCAUUGCUUUCCCUUGAUAUAAAUUAUCUUAGCAAGGAGGUCAAUUUAAUUUGCAUCAUUACACAUACUUGUGAAGCUCCAAUCAAAUAACAAAUUGAUGGGAACAGCUUUGGCACUUGAUUCUAUUGUGUAUAGUGUAGUGUGGUGUUUUUCAUGAUAUUACCACCUCAACAACCGCUUGUCUAAUUACUUAAUUCCUGAGGGUACAACUAGUAUCAGGGUAACCAUUUCAAUGAAAUAGAAUUCUUCAUAAAAUUAUGAUUUACAAUGUACAUGACAUUUGUGUGUAGAUAUAUAAAUUUGAAUGUUAUGAAGGUAUAUCAAUUAUGAUAUAUAGAACGUGACUAUAAAGAUCUAUUGAUUAUGAAAGCUAAUACAUGCACGCCUAAUAACACUGCAACUCCCUUCCGACAUAAUAGGAUCUCACUCCCAUGUCGCUCGUGGGCGACACAGGGGCGUCUUAAGGCGUAGCCGCCGGUCACCCAUAGUCCGCCACUCCUCCUUGUCGCCGCUGCCAGUGAGUGCAAUGAUGGCGUCCCCUACUCCCCUAGAUCAUGUAGAAAGACAUGCCACUCUGGUGCACAUCUACAUCAGGAGUUGUGAGAUCGACUUACUCACACCAAGCAGCCUUAGCAUCGGCCACUUCACGACAUAGAAGUGAGGGUUGUAUGCGGCAGUCGGGCCGGGUUGGACUAGCGAUUCCUUGCCUCGUCUUGAGUCUUGCUGCCAUGGCCAGCACCGAUCUAGAGUCUUUGAUCUGGCCCGGCGGCAGCACCUCAUGCUUCCUCACAUGGUUGGCUGACGUCCCUGCUCUCCCCAAUGGUAGUGUGGAGGCACACCUUCCGGAGGGGUGGUUUGGCCUGGAGGCGUUGUUGGUUCGGCCCAUGGCCGUGGGACACUUAAGGAGUGUCUUCUUCCCGGCUUUAGGCGCCUUCAUAGCCAGGAUCUAUCCUUGAAGAAGCUCCAUCAGGUGGUCACCAAAAGGUCUUCGUGAGGGUUUCUCCUCCCAGAUCUGGUGGUUGAUUUUGGCGUGGAGAUACAAACUAUGGACGAUAACUUGACACAGAGGAAUGUUUGCACAAUGGCGGCGGUUCACACUACAUGUAGCUGCUAGGAUCGCGGAAAAGUGAUGGAGGCAAAACAUAAGUGAAGUUGUUGGUGGUGCUACUAGAGGACCCAAUCUCAAGCUCCAGGGUGAAAGUCUAGGUCUAAACUACGUUGGUUAUACCUCACAAUGUCAAUGUUCUUGCGUCGCUACCUUGUUGAAGGCAUUGCUCGGAUAUGCUUGGACUGGAUCUUCAGGAUGAAAACCUAUAUUCUAGCCUCGGAUGGUUGGAUCCGAUGACGGUGGUGAUUGAACGCCACUCACAUUGAGGUUUUUUUUGUUGCCUAUGCAUAGCUUUGGUAUUACGUGCCUUUGCUAUUUGCAAGUGUACUCACUGUGUUUGUAUCCUCCCGGUGCUCCAUUUUAAGUCAAUAGAACCCAUUCUUUGUCAAAAAACGUACAAUUAAUAUUGUCUACUUCCUAUUAGUUGAAAUUCUGAUGAUUAUCUGACUUGGAUACACAAAGAUUCACCGAGUAUGAUCUAAUAUAAAAAGGGAGCCCAUCAAUUAUUCUUGGGCCAUUUGCAUUUCUGUCCCUAACUCGAACCACCUAAUCAGAUAUACCCCUAAUUCCAAAGCCAGCUAAAAAAUGCCCCUCCACCGUCAUGUGCCCUUAUAGAAAUGCCCCUCCGAGCCGUUUCCGUCCAGUCAAGGCUGUUUGACCGCUAACGUUCCAUUUCUUAGACAUUUCUGCCCCUCCUUCCUUCCAACUAACCGGUUCACUCUCUCUCCCCUCUUUCUUCUUCCUCGCGACGACAGGGGCAUUUUUGAGCAAGAACGGGAUUGGGUGUUUCCGCCGUUGUCGAAGAGAGACGGGCAGGUCGGGCAUGGCGUGGUGAGCGAUGGGUACGUCGGGCACGGCGGGCAUGUCUUCUACGACCUCGUCGGUGGCCGCCAAUGUAAGUUUCUGGGUCGAUUUGGGCGAUAUUGUGGAAUUAGGGUUCAUCAAUUUGGGUUGCCCUUUGCUGAUAGGUUGAUGGCGUCGGGAUAGUUCAGUUUCAAUCGGAGUUCUACAUGCCCGAUCUGACAUUCUGUGGCCUUGAGGUUCGGUCGUCGCGGCGGUGCCCUGGCCACGGGCUUAUUCCUGCUCGUCGCGUCGCGUGGGGAGGAGCAAGCUCCGGCAGAAGGUUUCUUGGCUGCCCUCUUGGUGUAAGUGUUUUUUCUUUUGAAUGCUUGACUUGAUUCUGCUCUUUCUCCUCUUUCUAAUUCGAUCAUUGAUUUUGCAGCUUCCUGAUGAAUGUGACUGGGUUGUCUGGAUUGACCCACCAUCGACCGAACGUGUUGGUCGUGCAUUUGAGGAGCUUCAUGCAGGAUUGGAGAAGAGCUCGCUAAAAGCUCAUUAUUUAGAGAGGAGGGUGAUGUAUCUAACCGAGAAGAACAAGAAACUGAAGCUGAAGAUGAAGAAGAGGAACGAGGUUAUGCAAGCCUGGGGAUUUAUCAUAGUUCUUGGUAUUAGCAUGUUGGCCACAUUUGUUUCUGGGUGGUCUAAUAAUCCAUACUAAAUGGAUUUCUGUUUGUAGUGUAUGCUUUGAUGGAGCUUAGUUUGGGAAUGUAUUAUCCCGGAACAAUGUUGUGAUUUGGGAAUGAUGUGAUAUUUCUAUUUGGAAAUGACUGAAGAAUCUUGCUUGGUAUUUUGAAAGUAGCAGCUCAAAUGAAACUAGUAGCUGACCAAAUGAUCUGUUGUGUUAAAAGUAGCAGCUCACAAUUUUUUUAAAAGUAGGAGCUCACAAGAUAGCAUCUCACAAAUAGCAUAAGUUCAUAAUAGCAUUGCACAUUCAAGAUAGCAUCUGACAAGUUUAGCAUUACAUAAGUUCAUAAUUUCAGCAUCACACUUAAGAUAACAGCUAACAAGUUCACAAAUAGUUCUUAAACAACAAAAACAACACACUUAACAUAGCAGCUAACAAGUUCACAGAUCUUUCAUCUUCUUGCUCCUGGUGUUGCAAGCAGGGUUAGUUAAGAGCCUUGAACUCCUCCUUGUGGUGACAGUUUUGCUCAUUUCUUUGCUUAGCUGGUUGCUUCCAGUUACAGAUCCUACUGUAGGAUCUAGUGCAUACUUGAGCCUCUUCUUGGCUGGUGACAUUCCUCUGUCAGCUGCCUUUUUGCAGUUCUUUCUUGGGCUACAAUUGAAAUGAGAACAUUAAAUGGAGGAAAAAAAGAGAACAUUAAAUGAUGCAAACAUUGAAAUGAGAACAUCUGUAGCAAUUGCACCUUACAGCUGAUGACACUGUUGGUGCAUCUGUAGCAAUGGCAGCAUCAAGUUCAACCUCUUUAGCAUUUUCAGCAUCAGUUUCCACCUCUGUAGCAUUUUCAGCAUCAGUUUCCACCUAUGUAGCAUUUUCAGUAUCAGUUUCCACCUCUGUAGCAUUUUCAGCAUCAGUUUUAGCAUCUAAAGGUUCAUCUGCUGCAUUUUCAGCCCCCCAGUGCUCUUCUUCCCCAAAAGCUGGGUCAAUGGAUUCCUUGUAGUGAGUGGCACGAUGCCCAAGCCUCCCACACCUGCCACAUUUCUUUCUCCUUCCUCCAAGUCCUUUUCCCUCAGAUUUUGCCCUAAUUCUUGUCUUCCUAGGUCUACCAGGGGCCCUGUUUUGCAAUGGAGCAGACAAUUUAAACCCAGGGUCCACCACAUCCCACUGUUGUUUGCCCUCCAUUGUAGGCAAAUUUUCAGCAUAAGUAGCAUUGAACCUAGCAACAGAAAAGUACUCAUGUACAUACUGAUCAAUCUCACUUACUGGGCCUCUUAUUGAAGUAAUAAAAUACAAAGCAUGUAUGCAAGGUUGUCCAGUUAACUACCACUUUCUACAACUGCAAUUCCUAGUUUCCAAAUUUACUGGAUAUCUCCACUCUCUCUUUUCCUUGUCAACUGUUGUGAUCUCUGCCUCAUAUGUGCUUCUUUUCACUAUCUCCAUAUCAAGGUCCUUAGAUUUUGCAUGAAGCAUUUUCAUGACUUUGGGGAUUAUGAUGUGGCCAAUGAAUGUAGCAGCUGCAAUCUGUUGUCUGAGAUCAAACUUUUCCAUUAUAAAUUGUCUUAUUUUGUCUAGCAAGUCCACAAUGUGUACACCCUUCCAUUUUCUAAUCUUUGAAUUGAAGGACUCAUCUAGAUUGUUAUUAACAAAAUCUAUUUUGCACACUUCAUUGAACAGUGACCUUGCCCAUAGCUUGGUGUGAUGCUCCUCUAAGUACUCUUUCACACCAGCCUUACUGUGCAACUGCCUAAGAUGGUAGUUGUGUUUCUUUAUGCUGUAUGUCAAUGAGCAGGGCCAUAAAUUUUCAUCAAAGAAUUUUCCUCUAAACUUUUUUGUGAAAUUUGUAGCCAAAUGCCUCAUGCAUUCUCUGUGCUGCACACCUGAGAACACAGCUUCCACUCCAGUCUCCAGGCCUUUGCAUGCAUCAGUGUGGAUAACAAGACCUGGUGGGUGUCCUAUAAGCUCUCUUAAAUUCUGGAAAAACCAAGUCCAACUCUCUAUAUUUUCACCCUCUACAACUCCAUAUGCAACUGGGAAGAUCCAGUUGCAAGCAUCCAUUGCACAUGCACUAACUAGUUGCCCUCUAAAUCUGCCAUUCAAUGCAGUGGCAUCUACUGCAGAUAAGGCCUACACCCAUUCAAAAACCCUUGCCAACAUGCUUUGAAAGAAACAAAUACUCUUCUAAAGCACUCUUUCUGUCUACUCUUCCCAUUCAGUUUGUACUGUACAAUGUGUUUAUCAAUGCUAACUACACUGCCAGGAGAUGCUUUCUCCACUUCUGCCUUGAAGGUAUACAAUAACUGAAAAGAGUCAACCCACUUACCAUAGAUAUUGUCAAGUGCCAUUUGCUUCCCAUAGAAUACUCUCAUAUAUGGAACUGCCAAGCCAUAUGAGGGAGUCCCGGAUUAGGGGGUGUCCGGAUGGCCGGACUAUAUACUUUGGCCGGACUCCUGGACUAUGAAGAUACAAGAUUGAAGACUUCAUCCCGUGUCCGGAUGGGACUUUCCUUGGCAUGGAAGGCAAGCUUGGCGAUACGGAUAUGUAGAUCUCAUCCCAUUGUAACCGACUCUGUGUAACCCUAGCCCUCUCCGGUGUCUAUAUAAACCGGAGGGUUUUAGUCCGUAGGACGAACAACAAUCAUACCAUAGGCUAGCUUCUAGGGUUUAGCCACUCUGAUCUCGUGGUAGAUCUACUCUUGUACUACCCAUAUCAUCAAUAUUAAUCAAGCAGGAGUAGGGUUUUACCUCCAUCGAGAGGGCCCGAACCUGGGUAAAAACAUCGUGUCCCUUGUCUCCUGUUACCAUCUGCCUAGACGCACAGUUCGGGACCCCCUACCCGAGAUCUGCCGGUUUUGACACCGACAUUGGUGCUUUCAUUGAGAGUUGCACUAUGCCGUCGCCAUCAGGAAGGAUGCCGCAUCCCGCCUUUAAAGACGGCGCUGUUGCUAAAGGAGCUUUGGCUAUCGGCCAAACUCUCCAGCUAGGCGGUUUUCUUAUGACAGCCUGUUCGGCCGCCGCGUCGACGAUGACUUCUCGGGUCAUCGAAAGCAAUCUCCACGUCAACUCGGAACUUGCCGAGCAGUUAGAUCCGAUGGAGCUCUCUUCCUUAAACGAGCUCUUGGAUCACAUCGCCGCCCUGGGAGUCGCUACAAACUACGAUCAGAUUGGGCUUAAACCCGAUCCGAGAGAGAUCAACUGUCCCCAGGUCACCCACCACAUCGCAGUGGUGGAGGAACAACGCGGCAAAUCUUCACCCGUCUUAAGGACUAGUCAUGUCCGGAUUCCCGAUUCCUCCAAACCGGAUACCCGAGGAGGGGAGGACGUCACUCAAACCCUGAACCUAAAGUCAGACAGCGGGCUAGAUUCAUUGGACAACAUCCAAGAACCCAAGCUUCCGAGUUCAGAAACUCCUUGGCCCCCGAGUCUCAGACCGGGCGAGGUUCCGGAUUUAAAUCCACCCGCCCGCCCACAUAUAAGGGAUCUAUCCCAAAUUCGGCAAGAGCCCACAGAAACAGUACACCAUUACUGGGCCAGAUUCCUCCUGGUUAUGAAUAGGAUAGAGGACUGCCGCGAGGAGGAUGCAAUUUCAUUCUUCUGCAAUAAUUGCACAGACAUCGGAAUCCUCAACGCCAUAAGUCGUCGUGAAAUUACACGCUUCACUGACCUAGCAUCCAUAGUAUGAAAGUAUUGUGCGAUGGAAAGCGUUCGGAAAGCCGAAAUAAAAUUCUGGGACAAUCCGGCCCUGAAUACAACCCAGUUCGAAAUAAAAGGGCGCAUUAUCGUUAGGCACCUGGGCCAAACAACAAAAAGCAAAAACCCUCUGCAGGGUACGGAACCGUACUGGAGGGAUGGCUCAAUGGACCCUGUAAAAUUCAUAGUACAGAGGGCGCCACGGCAACUCAUAGCCUUAGGGCAUGUUGGAUACUCCGGCAGGUGGCCAGAAGUGGCGAGGAGCUUCUAACCCCAGAAUCCGCAGAGCACCAGCCCAGGAAUACCAGUACGGUAUCAACAGUCUUCGAGACUUUCGCAUCAAACAAUAUGCGGAAACAAACACUCCGCAGCCUUACCGAAGUCUACCAGGUAGCAACAAUAAACCCAUGGAGUGACACGACUAUUACCUUUAAUGCCAGUGAUGAACCUAAGUUCCGAACAGCCCGAGCACCAGCGGCAUUGGUCCUCAGUCCAAUAGUGGACGGCUUUCAACUUACCAAGGUACUCAUGGACGGUGGCAGCGGAUUGAACCUCAUUUACGAGGAAACCCUUCGAAAAAUGGAAAUAGACUGGAGCCACAUUGAGCGAAAAAACACAACCUUUAGAGGAAUAAUUCCCAGUCGGGAAGUGUGUUGUACAAGAAAAAUCACACUGGAUGUGGUGUUUGGCACGCCGGAUAAUUACACGUCCGAGGAGGUCACAUUUCAAGUGGCCCCGUUCAGCAGCGGAUACCACGCUCUGCUAGGGUGAGAGGCAUUCACAAUUUUUCAAGCUAUACCCCAUUACAGGUACAUGAAGCUCAAAAUGCCCGGACCCAACGGAAUCAUCACUCUUGCUAGUGACCCGGACAUAGCACUCCGCGCCAAAAACAAGACAGCCGCACUGGCCCUUGAGGCACUAUCCGAAGCCCUAGCGGCCGAAGAACUGACUGCGUUGCGCUCCAUGGUGAACAGGGACAAUGUGAUACUCGAUAAAAGAUCCAAGUCCACCUCCUUUAAACCGGCGGACGAAAUAGUCAAAUUCCAAGUCCAUCCAACGGACCCUACAAAAACGGCCUCCAUUGGGGUGCACUUAAACCCUGAUGUAGACGCCGCACUACGAGAAUUCCUACGCGAGAAUUGGGACAUUUUUGCCUGGCACCCUUCAGACAUGCCAGGAAUCCCACGCAGGCUGGCCGAGUACAGCCUAAACAUCCUAAAAGGAUUCAAGCCUGUUAAGCAGGCUCUUCGGCAUUUCUCUGAACCUAAGAGACAAGCCAUGGGAGAGGAGCUAGCCAAACUGCUGGAGGCCGGAUUCAUCAGAGAUAUAAAACAUCCGGACUGGCUAGCAAACCUGGUGAUGGUACCAAAGAAGGACAAAUCCUGGCGCCUGUGCGUCGAUUUCAAGGACCUCAACAAGGCUUGCCCAAAAGAUCCCUUCCCCCUCCCCCGCAUCAAUCAAAUCAUCGACGCUACCGCAGGACACGAUUCAUUGUGUUUCCACGACGCAUACUCCGGCUACCAUCAAAUUAAGAUGGCAGAGCCAGACCAAGCCGCAACGGCAUUCAUCACCCCAUACGGCCCAUUCUGCUUCAACACAAUGCCCUUCGGGCUCAAAAACACCGGCGCAACAUAUCAGCGCAUGAUUCAGACAUGUCUGGCAAACCAGAUUGGCAAAACAGUUGAAGCAUACGUAGAUGACGUGGUCGUCAAAACCAAACAUGUCGAAACUCUAGUAGACGACUUGAGGCUCACAUUCGAUAACCUCCGAACAUAUGACAUCAAGCUUAACCCGGAAAAAUGCGUUUUCGGCGUGCCAGCCGGAAAGCUCCUGAGCUUCAUUGUAUCCGGUAGAGGAAUCGAAGCAAACCGAGCCAAGAUCCGAGCUCUAUCACAAUUGGAUAUUCCAAAUGACCUCAAGCAAAUACAAAAAUUGACUGGAUGCGUGGCAGCUCUAAGCCGCUUCAUCUCCCGCUUAGGAGAAAAGGCAUUACCCCUUUAUCGCCUCCUCCGGCGCACCGAACACUUCGAGUGGACGGAUGCCGCCAUGGCCGGACUCGAAGAAAUAAAAGCCAUAUUGGCAACAAACCCGGUCCUGGCCGCGCCCAACAUUGGCGAACCAAUGCUAUUAUACAUUGCGGCAACUCAUCAAGUUGUAAGAGCAGUGCUCGUCGUUGAACGAGAAACGGACGGACACAAAUUCCCCCUUCAAAAACCAGUUUACUACGUGUCCGCUGUCCUCACUCCAUGCAUGUCACGGUACCCGCAUUAUCAAAACAUAGCGUACGCGGUGUUCAUGGUAUCCCGGAAGCUAUGCCACUACUUUCAAGAGCGUUCAAUAACAAUAGCCUCCGAAGUACCUCUUAACGACAUUAUAAACAACCGCGACGCGACGGGCCGGAUUGCCAAAUGGGCCAUUGAGCUCCUCCUGUUCGACAUCACCUAUAAGCCAUGGCGAGCUAUAAAGUCGCAAGUUUUGGCCGACUUUGUCGCCGAAUGGACUGAAGCCGAACUCCCUAAAGAGUAUGGCACAUAUUCCAACUGGAUCAUGCACUUCGACGGCUCCAAAAUGUUAGCAGGUCCGGGGGCUGGCAUCGUUCUGACGUCCCCAACAGGAGAUAUAGUUCAAUAUGUACUCCAGAUAAUGUAUACGGAAUCUAACAAUGCAGCCGAAUACGAGGCCCUUCUACAUGGUCUCCGGAUGGCAGUCUCCAUGGGCAUCCAACGCCUAGAGGUGCGCGGGGAUUCGAACCUCGCGAUAUCCCAAAUAAAUGGAGAUUUUGAUGCCAAGGAUCCGAAAAUGGCAGCUUAUCGCAACGCCAUCCUAAAAAUGUCAGCUCGGUUCGAGGGCCUCGAAUUUCACCAUAUAGCCCGGGAAAACAAUCAGGCAGCAGAUGUCUUGGCACGCAUCGGCGCAAAGCGCGAUGCAGUCCCCCCCAACAUUUUCUUGGAGAGGCUAUUCAAGCCAUCCGUACAAUGGGAAGGGGAAUCCGAAAAUAACAACCCGGACCCUGCCGCACCACCUGACAACGAACAUUCUGACACAACGGGAGGCUCUGCCAACGAAGUAACAUCCUCAGCCCACGUAAUAAUGGCAGUCAUUGCCCCAUGGACAGAACCAUUCUUAGCCUACUUAACUAGGCAGGAACUCCCCAGGACCAAAACGAGGCACGCUGGAUAGUGCGGCGAUCUAAAGCCUAUAAAGUCCACGAAGGAGAGCUUUAUUAGAAAAGCACCACUGGAGUCCUUCAAAGGUGUAUCUCCAAAGAGGAAGGGCAGAACCUUCUGGCUGAAAUUCAUGCCGGACUCAGCGGGCACCACGCCGCAGCCCGGACCCUUGUAAGCAAGGCCUUCCGUACUGGAUUUUACUGGCCGACGGCCCGGGAAGAUGCUCAGGACUUAGUCCAAUGAUGCGUCGGUUGCCAAUUAUUUGCUAACCAAACCCACAUUCCACCAUCGCCCUCCAAACUAUACCCAUCACCUGGCCCUUUGUGGUCUGGGGGCUUGACAUGGUUGGACCCCUUAAAGGAGCAACCCACAAGCAAAAAUACCUACUGGUCAUGGUGGACAAAUUCACCAAAUGGAUAGAGGCCAAGCCUGUUAAGACGGCCGAACCCGGACCGGUGAUAGACUUCAUAUCAGGGGUCGUACACCGUUACGGCGUCCCCCAUAGCAUCAUCACUGAUAAUAGCACGAACUUUACGGCCGACGAGGUUAAACUCUGGUACAAAAACAUGGGCAUCAAGCUCGACUGCGCUUCAGUCUAUCACCCACAAACUAACAGUCAAGUCGAGCGAGCAAAUGGUAUGAUCAUGAGCGGCAUCAAACCCAGAUUAGUGCGAUCCCUCAAGGAAUCUAACACGCACUGGGUAGAGGAGCUCGACUCCGUACUCUGGGGGCUGUGAACCACGCCGAAUCGCACUAUCGGAUUCACACCAUUCUUUAUGGUAUACGGCGCAGAGGCAGUCCUGCCCUGCGACAUAAUUCAUGACCCACCUCGCAUGCGCAUGUAUGAAGAAAGAGAAGCCGAACUCGAUCGACAGGACAGUUUGGACGCAUUGGAGGAGGAGCGCGACGUGGCAAAAGCCCAUUCCGCAUUCUAUCAACAGCAGGCUUGUAGAUAUCAAAGCAGAGAAGUACGGGCCAAAACUUACAAUGUUGGCGAAUUAGUUCUAUGCCUGCCGGACAAGAAAAAGGACAAACUCAAGCCCAAAUGGGAAGGUCCAUUCAUAAUCAACCAAGUCCUGACUGGUGGAGCGUACCGUUUGCGAAAUGCAUCGGAUAACCGACUCGAGUCGAACCCAUGGAACGCAGCACGCCUACGAAGAUUCUACGCCUAGCGCCGGACACUGUGUUCGUCUCCUUCCUCUGUCUAUUUUUUACACAUUAGCUGUCUUACAUUUCUCUCCUUCUCCCUCUUUUUCUCUUACAAGCCUUUAAGGGCUCGCUUGCACAUAGUUCGCACACAAUUGACGCGCUACCCGCGCUCAUUAUACCUGGGGGCUUUUUUAUCAGAAGAUUGUAUAUAUGGGCCUCAUGCCCAACACAUGUGUCACACUUCCGCAUGAACCUUUUGUUCACCAGUAUAUGCAUCGAUAUGACUUAAGUUUUGGCCAAGCUGGGUUGCCUGGCUCCUGUGCUUACCCCUACGUUCCCGAUUGUUCGGCUAGGUGGUAAAGGGAGCACCUCUGCGAUUGUUACUGCCGGGUCAGCCGGAUGUGUACCUCAGACUGGGUGAAGCCGAAAGCUAGCGUUCUUAAGGGAAUAUUCGGUCGAUGAACUAAAAGAUGAUUUUUCACUUGUUUAUUUAUCCGCCCCCAGAUGCUUUUCUGCUUUUUUCGUAGUCUGGACAUGCACUUUAGGGCAUGCCUCCCAGGGAAAGGAACCCCUAACAAAACUAUUCUCCCUGGAAGAUGUUUCUUACUAACCAUGUAAUAUAACAUAACUAGUUGGGCACUUGUCUGCUAAAGCACUAAUGACCCCUACGCCUGGUCUCCACGCAUACCCCGGUUCUUACAUAACCAAGAGGGUAUUCGGACACACUCCGGACUAUUGGGUCCAGAGGUUGAAGCGAAAAGGUCCGCAAUGACAAAUGAUCUACAAUCCGGCUAGAAGGCAUUUUACAUGUCAUCUUAAAUUACGUAGUCAAUUUCACUGGGUAUAUUCUUCUUCAAUACCAUCCAACAGGCUGUCCAAUUUAUAGUCCUGUUGGGAAUACUUGGCGGCCAACUCUACCUGGCUGUACACUAAACUGACAGGGAUCUCUUUCCCAUCGGGCCCCACAGGUCCGACCUCGGCCAUGUGGUUUGGGUCAGCCUUCGUGUACCGUGUCUUCACCAUGGCCCAGGCCUCCCUGGCGCCUUGAUGGCAGGCCAAUAUCUUCCACAAUCGGAAGCGCCACCGUGCUCCCUUCAGCUUCUCUGCAAGCUCUCCAAGGCUUUCGGGCAUGGAGACAGAUGGCCACAAGGCCUGGGCGACGUCUUGCAUCACCUGCCAAACUCGUUUGUGCAGUUGUGAUAGCUCGGGAAGAAGGUCACUCGUAGAACCGGGCAUUUCCUCCGCAGGCCGACCUGUCAGCAUACCUACAGACAUAACUCUGUCAAUCGACUUCCUCGCCGAACUCUUUUUCGAAAGUUCGUUCAAGCACUUACUAAAAAUGCCUCGUCGAAGCCGCUGAUUCUCCUUUACGGAGUCCGACAGCUGAGCACGAACAUCCUUUAGUUCCUCGCCUAGCUGGGUGUUGGCAUCUUGAAGCUUGUUCUUCUCUUGCCUCACCCUCGUAAGCACGCUCUCGCCAGCCUUUACCUGGCGCAAGAGUUGCUGCUUGUCCGGAUCCACUCCGGCGCCAUCUGCACUAUUAUUGUCAGAAUUGCACACAUGCCGCACUUCACAACAUACUCAUCUUUUGAAGCAUAUAUUACCAGAGGGGGUCUCCUUGGCCUUCCCUGUUGCGGCUAGUGCGGCCUCAAGUUGGGCUUUGCACUCUUCCAGCUCCUGGGACAGUUGGGUAUUCUUUUCUGUAAGAUCCUGCAUAACAAAUGAUCCUUAAAUUAGUUAUUCUAACUGUUUCAAGUCUCGGGGGCUACUGACAUAUAUAACCAUCAAAUUUUCUCACCCGUAUGUCUUUUACAUACUGCUCUGUGGCUCUGGCUAGACCAUUUUUAGCGGCACAAAGGUACGCAUCUCCCGUAUUAAAGGCGUCCAAUGCCUCUUGGCAAAAACAAGCGUCACGAAGAACAGUCUGGCGACGCCUGUGGUUCAUGGCACUCUCCACCUCGGAAUUGGUGGCAGACAGCCCGUCCGCAUCCUCUGUCGGAGGAGCAUUUAGUGCGCGCCCCUGUUCGCCUCCGCUUCCGGACCCGGCCUUGAAGCCUGGCCGGUGGAUAUAGUCCGGCGGGCGCUCUUCUUCCUGAAGAGAGCAUGAGCGUUAGUAUGCCUUGAGGGCAUAAACCAUGGGCAUUAAAAUUGCACGCCGUACCGUUGCACCGGUGUCUCGAUCCGGUCCGCACUUCUUUUUAGCUCGCUGGGCCUCGAUGGCCCUUGUUAGCUAGCCACCGCGGGCUCGUCCCUCCGCCUCAAGGACUUCCCCUGCAAAAAUCGCAAUUGGUAUACGGUGAUAAAAAAUAAGCACGGAUGGAUCCUCUUGAAAAUACUGGGACUUUGGUCUCGGUUACCUUUGAGGCUGGAAGUAGUCCGGGAUAAUCGGCCGUAAUGGCCACUAAGGUGUUGUCCUUACUCAAUUGAUGAAACACCCCAUCAAUCAUCUCCACAAACAAGUCCGGGUCCUCUUGGGAGUCCGGAUCGAGGGACCGUUCCGGGUCCUCGGGUUGCGGAGGAGGGCUGUUUAUCUCCUUUACAGCCUGGCGUAGCUCCUGUGUUGGAACUGUCAGACUAAGUACUUAACUAUGGGAAUAUGAGACGGAUAGACAAGUUAAAAGUAUCUGCUUACCCAGCUUAGAGGAUUGUACAUAGAAAAUCCGCCCCGUGGGUUGACGCGGAGGAAUUCCUCCUCUUCUCCCUUGUACAAAGCGGACAAGAUCUCUAUUAGAGCGGCAGCUGAUUCUGGCCCCUUACGGCCGCACCGGGUGGCGUCGUCCUCCCCGUUGAAAUCCCACAUGGGGUGUCCUCUAUACUGAAGCGGUUGCACCCCCCGCAUAAUGCAUGUGGCCAUGACCUCGAUCAUGGUCAGUCCGGAAUGAGCUAACAACCUUAUCCGGUUCAUCAGGUAAAGGACGUCCCUGUCAUUUUCCUUCUGAUGGCUCCGUGGGCGCCAGCUUAGGCACUUCUUCAAAGGAGCAUUAUUGAACUCAGGGAGGCCGAUCCGAACAGGGUCCGGCAGGGGGACGUCUUCUAUAUAAAACCAUUCUGAAGGACAGUCUUCGAACGUCUUCUUUGGGGUUCCGGAUAGAUAUCUGGUCACGGCGAUGCGCCAUAGUUCGGCUCCGCCCACUUGAUAUAUCGACCCCUCAUAAGAACGGGGCAUAAGGCAGAACAUCUUCUUCCACAGUGCGAAAUGAGCCUCGAUGCCCAGAAACAGCUCGCAAAGGGCUACGAAGCCCGCAAUAUGCAAUAUGGAGGCAGGCGUAAGGUUGUGCAACUGGAGGCUGUUGAACUCCAGGAGCCCCCAGAGAAACGGAUGAAUUGGAAAUCCGAGCCCUCUUAUCAAAUAAGGGACAAGGCAUACCCGCUCUCCUUUGGAGGGAUUAGGGACGCUCUCCGCUUGCUCUCCACCAUUAUAGGUGGCAAGCCCGGCUCGAACCGGGACCAUGAAGGCUGGGGGGAGAAACCUCUUGGCUUGGAGCGCCACUAGCUCGCUGUGCGGGACGGAGCAUCUCUCCCAAUCUCCAGGCUGAGGGCUGGGGGCGCGAGAGGAGGAGUUGCGUCGACUAGCCAUGAUGGAAUGGAUCUCUGUUGAAAGCGCUCCGAUGAAUGCUCGUGGAGGGAAGAUGGUGUGGUUUGGAUCUAAAUCCCUGUCUCUUUUACAGAUGGCUCUUUUUAUGCAGCUAGGGGGCAAAUGAAAAAAAUACCCUGGCUUUUCGCAUUCGUUUGACACGUGGAAGAUGGCCAUAAUUGGGCGCAGAAGCCAAGAAGCGCAACAUUCACCAGAAGCCGGACGUUAUUCAACGGGUAUAUGGAAUUUGGAGAGGAACCCGCCUUGCAAUGCCGAAGACAAAUCAGCGCGCCGGACUCAUCGUCAUUGAAGCCUGGUUCGGGGGCUACUGAGGGAGUCCUGGAUUAGGGGGUGUCCGGAUGGCUGGACUAUAUACUUUGGCCGGACUCCUGAACUAUGAAGAUACAAGAUUGAAGACUUUGUCCCGUGUCCGGAUGGGACUUUCCUUGGCGUGGAAGGCAAGCUUGGCGAUACGGAUAUGUAGAUCUCCUCCCAUUGUAACCGACUCUGUGUAACCCUAGCCCUCUCCGGUGUCUAUAUAAACCGGAGGGUUUUAGUCCGUAGGAUGAACAACAAUCAUACCAUAGGCUAGCUUCUAGGGUUUAGCCUCUCUGAUCUCGUGGUAGAUCUACUCUUGUACUACCCAUAUCAUCAAUAUUAAUCAAGCAGGAGUAGGGUUUUACCUCCAUCGAGAGGGCCCGAACCUGGGUAAAAACAUCGUGUCCCUUGUCUCCUGUUACCAUCCGCCUAGACGCACAGUUCGGGACCCCCUACCCGAGAUCCGCCGGUUUUGACACCGACACCAUACUUCUUCUUCAAAUUUUUCUGCAAUUCUGUUGGUCCCACUUCUGAAUCCUCUAAAAUCCAGGUCUUCACAACAUCAACAACCCAUCUACUCUUAGCUGACCUCAAUCUUUUCCUCAUGUUCACACUGGGACAUGUAUGAGCAGUCUUGUUCACUUUAACCUGCAUUCAUGAUAGUUCAGAAACAUGUCAGAACCUAUGUGCUGCAACAAAAAAACAAAAUACAGUAUCAAUGCUGCUAACUACAAAUGCACUGUUAGUUGCUAUAUUUAAUACCUGAAACAGUGUGCUGUGUCUCAUUAAGGAGGCAUGCAUCCUCCAUUGACACCUCUUAUAAGCACAAUGCACUGUCAACCUAGUACUGUCACUCUUGUCUAUCACAAAUUCACUUUGAGUCUUUAUUGAGAAGGUUGCAAGGGCAUUUCUACAGUCUAAAGCACUGGAAAAUAUUGUUCCCUCUUUCAAAGAAGGAUCAUCUCUAUUGUAUUGCACAUCUGGUCUUUCCUCAUCAGAUGUUUCAGAGUACCCCAUGUCAUUGUCCUCCUCUUUCUCAUCUUCACCUGCCUCACCAAACAUGCCUUCAGGGGGUGGAACAUAAUCUUCCCCCUCAUCAUCUUUCUCCUUGCCCUUCUUCCUUGUACCAAACUGUGGAAACAACCUUUCAUCUGCAUCAUCACUUGGCCAAUCAUCUGGUAGUCCCUCUUCAGUGUAUGGGUCACCUGAAUCUUUAUUAUUAGAGGGACAUGCAUGCCUAGGAACUUCUAUAGUAGGUGUUCCUGGUGCCUGCAUGGAACUGCUGCCUCCACUAUGAGUUGUUGUUUUUCUGCCCCUUGAUUGGCUAGUUCUACCUUUAACUGUAGACCUAGACUGAGAUCUUGUUCCUCUGCUCUCCGGCUCUCCUCUCUCCCUCUGUAUGACACUGAUUUCUAGUUUAGCAGGGAAAGAAUCAUGUAUUGCAAACAUGAUACCAAGCUCAUCAUCACACUGGACAGGGACCCAUGCUGAUUUGUCAAUGUCCCAGUACCUGAAUUCCACUGCAUCGUAUAGACCCCAUGGAUAUUUAGCAGAUAUGGCAGAUCUAAACUGAUUGAAAGUCCAUUGAUUGUCAGCAACAAAAGGAAAAGAGAAUCAUGUGUUGGAUGCUUUUGUGCCAGCACUAGCUAGAAGUGUGGUUUCCAUUCUACAAUCCAUCCCAACUGCUCUAUCGGGGUCCAUCCUACGAUGACCAUGGAAAACAGAGACAGAUCCCAACACCAUGAGCACUAUGAACUAGGUCAACAAAUUAAACUACAAGAACAAAUCGAACUACAAACGACAUGAGACUGCAGCAGAUUACAAGAGAUACUUACCCCGCCGAAGCAUUCUUCUGUAGCUGCAGUGUGCUCCCUCGUUCGUCGCCACCGCAACUGCUGUCCCCAUCCAUCCCGUCGCCUGUGUCUCCUUCACGCAGUAGCAGAGUGCGACACGGAGUCAAAUCCGAAGCUCCACCAUGGCCGCCAUCAGUAGGUCGAGCCUUAGGAGUUGGGAUCGACCGGAUCGAGCGAGCUAGGGUUAGGGUUACAGCGGGAGGCGAUUUGGGGGAGAAAGAGAGAGUGUGCGGCUCGGGCGAGAGAAUGAGAGGGGGAGAGAGUGAACCGGUGACCUGGGCCCAGGUGUAAGGACGAAGGGGCAAAAAUGUCAAAGAAACGGCCGCUUACCAGUCAAACAGUCUUGACUGGACGGAAACGGCACGGAAGGGCAAUUCUAUAAGGGAACAUGACGGCGGAGGGGCAUUUUUGAGCAGGCUUUCGAAUUAGGGGCAAAUGUGAGUAGUGGGUUCGAGUUAGGGACACAGAUGUAAAAGACCCAUUAUUCUUUUAUAAUCCAAUCAUAAACACGUUUUGCGGUACAUGCCAAUAAAUAAAAUUUGAAUGAUAUGUGGUAGCUUCCUGUAUUCCUUUAUACUCCUUUGUAUACAAAUAUAUGAUGUUUUAGAUCUCUAGAAAUGGGGGACAACAUCAAAGGCAAAGGGACUAUACAUGUUUGUCACCAUCUUAACAAUACAAAGUUUGUGUUACUGACUUAUUAUAUGGAUCAGUUUUUUGUUUGGCAUAUCUGUAUGCUAAGUUCUACUCCCUCGUUCCUAAAUAUUUGUCUUUUUAAAGAUUUCAAAUGGACUACCACUUGUUGGGUGCCUCUUGUAGGGAGUAUGUGUGUUUUCACUUGUAGGGUGUCUCUGCAGUCAAUGUGUUUUAUGAACUCCUGAGCCAAGGCAGCAUAAGUGUUAUGCACCUAGAAACCAAGAAGCACGUUGCUCCUGUCGAGCUGUGUCCGAUACCGAAAACACUUUACAAGAUUUUAAUCAAGAGGUUGAAAUGCUCUUGGAUCACCAUUGUUGCCUCUUGUAGUUACAUGUCUUUCUUUUGUUACAGUCCCGUUGCCUCUACAACUGUCUGAAUUUUCUGUAGUACUUACGCACUUGCAGGGAGCUUGGUACCAGCUCCAUUCUUGAGGCGAUACGAGAUGAAUCAAUGUCUGAUCCACGGGAAAGAAUCGAGAUGGCACAAUGCCAGUCCCUCUACCGACCUUCUCUCCUCGGCCUGCCUAAAGGCGAUAUCAAGCCGUAGUAGUUGCAGCCUUUAUUUUUGCAGAAAUGCUGCGAGUUUGCACGGUUUGCUGAUCCUUCUUCCGGUGUACCCCGCAAGUGCAUAUUUGUAGCAUAUAUAUAUGCUUAUGCGUAGCACGAGAUGAGUUUUCUUAAUAGCAAGGCGAGAUAAACUUCUUAUUGUCCGUUGAACUUAAACUCGUUGCCACUGCUUUAGUUGACUGGCAGUGUUGACUUCAGAAAUAGAGGACGCCUGUAGCUCUGUAUAUGUAAUGCUUGUAUGCCCGUGGUACCGCCUGCUCAUCGCAUAUCUGCAACGAGCCGAGCAUCUUCAUGGCUUCAUCUUUCACUGGCUUGCCAAGAGGGAUGAUACAUUGGUUGUGUUAGAAUAUAAGUUGAGUUUAAAUAUAGAGAUAAGGUGUAGAGAUCCCUCCGGUGAGAAAACCAAUCCCUCCGGUGAGAAAAUUUGCAGUAAAUAGUUCCGGUUGCGCGACGGUACGUGCGCCGCAGACUACCACGGCAACAGCGUCCAGCACCAGGCGGGUGUUGGAAAGCAAAUUGCAUGCACGGAGCGAAGGCUCCAUGCAUGAUGCAUCUGAGGAGAAAUUCAUAACGUACGCGUACAUCCGGAGUUCAAGCCACGACCGGCCACCCAGCCUGAUCGACACACGCGACGGAGCGCGGUGCUACAAUCCGCGCGCAUGCGUUACCCGGCUGCUCCGGCGCAGGCCUCCACGCAUCGCCGGAUCCAAGAUCCAGCGGCUCCAGUACGACGACACCAGGCGGCCAUCGAGGCCACGGCGGGCCAAGAGGACUCCACCAGAAGACGCCAACACGGGCAGGCCCCCUUCACCUCGAGCCACGCGCGACUUCAGGGCACACCAGGCCGACACCUCCCCGGUGCGAUCUACAUCAACACCACAUGCCGUGGCCGGAGAUCUAAUCUGACCCGCGCCGCCGAGACUCCAGCCUCCACCGACCGGCUUCGUCGACCCAGCACGAACUUCUUCUUGCGCAUGACGCACACACUGCGCCCGAAUGUGCUUCAUCGUCGCCCGCGUACUUGUUAGAUCCCAACUAUGAUAUGAGUUACAGAACAGGGGAAUAAUGCAAUUGGAACUGAAUUUAACUCCCAAUCACGGAGACCCAGCUAUGAAUUUGGGAUUUCUACAGCAGUAGCUAGAUAAACUAGGGUUUGAUAGUUUGGGGAUACAAUGAUUGAAUGGUUCUCAGUGAUGCGCACGCAGGCGCCUUAUAGUCCAGCACCGAGCUGGAAAGCGAGGUGAAAAGAAAGGUAAAAGGGCAGCGGCAAUAACUGAAGAAAGACAGUGCUUGGUGCUGCAUCGACCGUCCAUCUCGCUCCGCCAUCUCAGCCGUCGGAUCUUCAUAACUGUGGCUGAACCGACACACUGCAUAUAACUGAACUUACAAUGGUGUUGACUCAGAGAAUGCAGGUUGCUAACAGUACUGCUGCAUCGGCCUCCAGGGUUUGCGCGCAUGGGCGCAGGGCAGGAUCGAGGCGUGGCACACACCAUCUCCAUCCAUGCAUCUGGGUUCCACUUCCACCACGUGUCAGGCGCGUUCCGAUCAGCACCGACCCAGCCGCAGAUGACGGGAGGGCGAAAUUCCGUGUGCACGACAUCGAGUCCACCGCGCGAUAGCACGGCUGCCGGCUGCACAUCUAUUGCGGGUCUCCUGCACUGGAGCUUCUUUGACAUUGUCUACACCGAGCCAAUCUUCACCAACAUCGCCACCUCUUCAUCGACCCACUGCCACGUCAUCAAGUUGUAGGACUACAUCAGGACCAACAAAACAUUAUCUUCAUCAAGGACAUCUCCGACGCAACACGACAUCGACACAUUGUCGCCGCGAGGGACGCCUUCAAGCGUCAUCAUCAUCGACAUGCCGCUGCGACGUCAUUGUUGACAUUUCAUCGUCAAGGUCUUCAUCAACGUGGUCUUAAUCAACAUCUUCGUAACACACCGCCGCUGCCUCGUCCACAAGAUGGACACAAAGUGUUGGGGAUAUUACUACUAGGUGUGAACCGGCCUACCUGGGCCGGGUUAACUUCAUUAGUAGUAUAAAGGUGAUUAAGCAGAUGAAGGCCCAAGGCCUGUAGUCGGUUUAGAACCUGUAGCCGUAAACCGGUUUGAUAUGUAAACUUGCAUUGUAAGUUAGGAAUAGAGAGAGACCAACCGGGAUACGAGUAUGAACCGGUGUGGGACUCUGUGGACCGACGGGCGUCACCCGUGUAUAUAAGGGGGCGACCCGGCGGCGGUUCAAAGAGAGACAACAACAACUCGAGCCUAGGCGAAGCUUGUUUGCUCCCUAGCCAUCGAAACCACAUCAAUUCCAUCACAACUAGACAUAGGCUUUUACCUUCAUCGAAGGGGCCGAACUAGUAUAAACCCUUGUGUCUUUGUGUCCGCUUUAACCCCUUCAAGUUAACCCGUAGCGAUGGCUCCACGACUAAGUCCUUUCACAAGGACAUCUGCCGUGACAAAUCCACGACAAUUGGCGCCCACCGUGGGGCUAUCACACGACGGUUUGAUGAUCUUGGAGGGCAAGCUCAAAGGACUCGAAGGCUAUGCUGUGGGCCGGAUGACCAAGAGUCGUCACGGCAAGCUCUACAUCGACGAUGCAGGAUGGGGUCCCGAAGCCAGCUCGAUCGAGUACGGGUACCGGGUCCCCUUUGGUGGCAUACACGUUUUUAUCGGCAAGAUUGGUGAGCCUGGGCCUGAGCCGGACAUCCGCACCGACCUCGUCGAGACGGCUCAGCGUGCGAGAUCUUCCCAGGAUAAACAGGCCGUGAAGCGUGCCUUCGUGGGAGUCAUCCACGGAGGAGAGCAUGGGCACGAGUUAGAAUACGGUAGCGAGACUGUCGUCUAUUCCGGCGAUGAGUCCUCAACCGGAGAGACCAAAUCACUGUACCAGUUGCAAGACGACCAGAUUAGGAGUUGUUCCGAUGGCGACAGUAUUCCGGACCCCCCUAAGCAGAUCAACCGGGUUGGAAUAUUCAUGGCCGGUACGCAGGCGGCGAAUCACUCCUCGACCACAGCAGCAAUGUUCUCCGGAUCAGCAGCGGCAGCGGCAGCAGGGGCAGGAGGCCUUGUGUGCCUGCCGGUUCAAGUUCUGUCUGACCUGUUUGAUGCACUAGCUGUACUUAUGGCAGAGGCUAAUCCGGCGGAUCAGGAGGCCCAUAAUGCAGAGGUUGCAAAGGUGAGAGAGCAGAUCGCACAAGCCAAAGCUGACCUGGCAGCAGAGAAGGACAGGAUGGCCAUAGAGCGGGCCGCUUUGGACGCCCAGGCCUAUAAGCUCAUGCUCGACCAGAACGCAUCACAGAAAGUCUUGAAGCGGAAGCACAGAUCACGCCUGCUGUUAGGGUUCGACCCUCGAAAUCUCUUUCACACUCCGGGAGAUGGAACCAGUAAUCCGUCGGGGCACAUGGAGGUAAACCGGGUCGAGGCACCAGGGCCAGGAGCGACGGUCCAACCCCGCCUGAUGGAACCUCCUCGGCAGAACAUUGUGAUUCCUCCGCUGGUCCAGACACCUUCGGGUCAUUAUUCUAAUCCUAUGGACAAUCUUGUCGCAGCUGCUGCGCGAUUAGAAGCUAUCCCGGUCGAAGGAGACUCUCCGCAAGCAAUAGAGACGCGCCGGGUUAAGGAACUUCUCGGGACCGCUUUGAUUCAAUAGGAGGCAUAUUCAUACAGCCGCGAUCGAAUUCAUUCCACACCUCGUCCAAGCCGGAGCUAUAGUAGGUGCCUGGAUGAAUCGGCCAUAUCAAGCAAUGCGCGGGGCCGUGAAGCGGCCCGUGGCAAUAACCCGGCCGGUGGUGUUCACGAUGCUCAGGAUGUAGUGGACCGGACCCAGGCACGAAGGGAGGCCGAGUUAGCAACACAGAACGAGGCGGAUCAGCUUGCACCAGUUCGUCCUACCACCUCUGCCGGGCCAGGGGUCGCAUCUAGCUUGGGAGUGCACUAUUUAGUCCCCGCCUUACGCAAUGUACGCCUGCCCAAGGACUUCAAGGGCCCGCACAAGGUGCCAAAUUACACCGUUGAUUUAUCUCCAGAAGCGUGGGUAGAGAGUUAUGAGAUGGCAAUGGAGAUGUUGGAUGUGGAUGAGACCGCGUGUGCAAAGUACUUCACCAUGAUGCUUGAAGGCACAGCCCGUACUUGGUUGAAAAGCAUGCCGCCUAAUUCUAUCAGUUCAUGGGCCCAGUUGCGGACCCGGUUUAUCCAGAAUUUCAAAGAUACGUGUAAGCAGCCUAAGUCCAUAGUAGACUUGGCGGCUUGUGUUCAGGAGGACGGAGAGUCAACAACCCAUUGGGUACGCCGCGUUUCUGAAGUCUUGCACUCGUCUGACAGGAUCAAUGCUGACUCUGCGAUCUUAACCCUGGAGGGCAACUGCCGGUUUAAGCCUCUAAAGCAGAAGUUGGGGCGUAUGAAGCGGUUCUGUAAUGACAUGGGAACUCUCAUGGCCGCUUUAGUGAAGUAUGCUGAUUCUGAUAGUACCAAGGAUCCCGAAACUGACGAUGACGAAGCAGGGAAGGAAAAAAGAAUAGCAACUCUAAGGGGCAUCAAUACAAACCGGUGGGCCAUGGAAACGGAGGCAAGCGUAAGGCGGAUGGCAGCAUGGACUUUGUGGCUAACACUAAUGCGCAGGACAAGGGUCAGCGGCACAGAGGUAAAGCGGCGAAUCGUAACGGGGCUCCAAAUCCUAACCCGGAUUGCUUAAACUAUUUGCUGAAUCAGCCUUGCCCAAACACACGGGACGAAGGAGGCGCCGGCUAACCACCUUUGGAAGGAUUGUUACAUUAUGCAGGAAUUUAAAAACUCUAAUGCCUUCCGGUAUGACCGUGGGUCAGGUGGUGGCUCAAGAUCCGGUUUCCAUGGGCCGGGUCACGAUGGAGCUUCCGGUUCAGUUUUCAAUCAGGGCGGUAAUAAUAACCAAGAUAAUCAGAACGGUCAAGGGGGUUACAACCAACAGCAGCAGCAGCAGCGGUCGGGUUAUCAGAGCCAGCCAGAACAGUUGAACAAUGAGCAGUAUCACGUUUUCACAACUAGCUUGGAUAAGCGCGACCGGAAACUUCAUAAGCGAGCAGUGAACUCUGUUGAACCGGCCGUACCGCAUUAUUUACGCUGGUCGGAGCAGCCUAUCGUGUGGAGCAGGGAGGAUCACCCCCCCCCCCCCGGGUUGACAAUCCGGGCCAGUUGGCAUUAGUGGUAGACCCUCAGGUGGGAGGUUAUAAAUUCACCAAGGUACUCAUGGAUGGAGGGAGCAGUAUUAACAUCCUGUACUAUGAGACAUUCCGCCGCAUGGGGCUAACAGACAAGGAUCUCAGACCGUCUAAUACGGUGUUCCAUGGUGUGGUGCCUGGCAAAUCAGCAUAUCCUGUUGGUAAGAUAGCCAUGGAGGUGUCUUUUGGGGACGAGCAUGAUUCCCGAUCCGAGACACUAACCUUUGAGGUGGUGAAGAUCCGGAGCCCGUAUCACACCUUGUUUGGGCGGCCGGCUUAUGCCAAAUUCAUGGCACGGCCUUGUUAUAUCUAUUUGCAGCUCAAGAUGCCGGGUUACAAAGGGACAAUAACGGUUCAUGGGAGCCGCAAGAUUGCUUUGGAAUGUGAGGAAGGUGAUGCGGCCUAUGCAGAGUCGGCUUGUGCCACAGAGGAGUUAAAAUAUUAUAGGGACAAUGUUGAUUCGGCGGACAUGACCCCUUUGAAGAAGCCAACUACGGAGCAUGAUUCAGAUCUGAAGUUCAAAUCAGCGGCUGAGACCAAGCUUGUUGACUUCGUGCCCGGCGAUUCGUCCAAGCAGUUCACUGUCAGUGCCAACUUGGACCCUAAAUAGGAAAGCGCGCUCAUCGAGUUCAUCCGUGAGAAUCGGGACAUUUUUGCAUGGAAGCCUUCUGACAUGCCAGGUGUACCGAGGCAACUCGCUGAGCACACUCUUAAUGUUGAUCCCAAGUAUAAACCGGUAAAGCAAUUUCUCCGCCAGUUUAACGAAGAGAGGCGCAAAACUAUUGGGGAGGAGGUGGCCAGGCUCUUAGCAGCUGGUUUUAUCAUUGAAGUGUUCCAUCUAGAGUGGCUUGCUAAUCCAGUGCUGGUUCUUAAGAAAAAUGGCACUUGGCGUAUGUGUGUGGAUUAUAUGGAUCUUAACAAGGCUUGUCCAGCGGAUCCUUUUGCCCUCCCCCUCAUUGACCAGAUUAUUGAUGCCACGGCGGGUUGUGAGCGUUUGAGUUUUUUGGAUGCGUAUUCUGGGUAUCAUCAGAUCGAAAUGGCGGUUAAGGACCAGGAGAAGACGGCGUUUAUUACUCCCUUUGGAGCCUUUUGCUAUGUAUCUAUGCCUUUUGGGCUCAAGAGCGCCCAAGCCACUUAUCAACGGUGUGUACAGAAUUGCCUGCAUAAACAGAUCGGCCGCAAUGUGCACGCCUAUGUGGAUGAUAUUGUAGUCAAGUCAAGGCGGAAGGAGACGCUGGUUGAUGAUUUAAAGGAAACCUUUGACAACUUGCGGGUUUAUAAGAUGAUGCUUAACCCUGCCAAAUGUGUCUUUGGUGUUCCGGCAGGCAAGUUACUGGGCUUUCUUGUGUCCAACAGAGGAAUUGAGGCUAAUCCGGAGAAGAUUACGGCUAUCACCUCCCUGGCUAAACCGAAGUGUAUCAACGAUGUUCAGCGUUUGGCAGGUCGGAUUGCCGCACUGAGCCAGUUUAUCAGCCGUCUCGGAGAGAAGGCCAUCCCUUUAUACCAGAUGUUGAGAAAGACAGAUCAAUUCAUCUGGAGUCCAGCUGCUGAUGAAGCGUUGGAGGACUUGAAGCGGCAAUUAGCCAAUCCGCCCGUUCUUGCAGCUCCGGUCGACAAGGAGCCGUUAUUGUUAUACGUAGCGGCCAAUGCUCGUGCAGUUAGCGUGGCUAUUGUGGUAGAACGCAAGGAGGCAGGCAAGGAGUAUCCGGUUCAGCGGCCGGUUUACUAUAUCAGCGAGGUGCUUAUUGAAUCCAAGCAAAGGUAUCCGCAUUGGCAGAAGCUGGUAUAUGGAGUUUUCAUGGCAAGCCGGAAGUUGAAGCAGUAUUUCCAAGGGCACCCUAUCACAGUGGUCAGUUCAGCUCCCUUGGGCGAUAUCAUACAGAACCGGGAGGCGACCGGCCGGAUUGCAAAGUGGGCUAUAGAACUUGGACCGCACGGAUUGAAGUACGUACCCUGGACGGCGGUGAAGUCUCAAGCACUUGUUGAUUUCAUCAAUGAUUGGACUGAGUUGCAAGCACCAGAGGAGAAGCCGGAUCACACAUAUUGGACUAUCCAUUUUGAUGGAUCCAGGCAAUUGGAAGGCUCGGGGGCCGGAGUCGUGUUAACUUCCCCACGAGGUGAUAAGUUUUGUUAUGUUCUCCGCUUAAUGUUCCCUUGUACUAAUAAUGCAGCUGAGUAUGAAGCCUUGCUCCAUGGUCUCCGGAUGGCUAAAGAGAUGAAUCUAAGUCGGGUUAAGUGCUUCGGUGACUCGGACCUCGUAGCUCAACAGGUGUCUGACACUUGGGAUUCUAAAGACCCACUCAUGGCGGCAUAUCGUCGUGAGGUGGAUAUUGUUGCAGGUCACUUCAAGGGUUAUCAGGUGGAUCACGUGGAUCGUCAAAAAAAUGAAUCGGCGGACGCUUUAAGCCGGUUGGGCUCUCAGUGUAAACCGGUCCCGCCUAAUGUCUUUCUUGAUGUGUUGCACAAUCCGUCAGUCAAGCUCCUCGGUGAAGCGGAUUUGGCUAUUCCUGAUCCGGAGGCUCAAUUGGUGGCAGCGCUGCAUGUUAUACCGGAUUGGACAGUUCCUUAUCUUGCGUACAUGAACCGGGGAGAGUUGCCAGAGAAUGAGACUCUAGCCAGCAGAUAGUCCGGCGAUCCAAGUCUAUGACUAUUGUCAAUGGAGAAUUGCAUCAUUGCAGUGUAUCAGGGGUGUUUCAACGCUGCGUCUCCCCUGAGGAAGGCUGUGAAAUUUUACGCGAAAUCCAUGAAGGGGAUUGUGGUCACCACGCCGGUUCAAAGUCUCUGGUAGCUAAGGUGUUUCAUCACGGGUUCUACUGGUUGACAGCUCAUGCUGAUGCGGAGGACUUGGUUAAACAGUGUGAUGGUUGUCAGAAAUUUUCAAGGCGUGCUCAUGUGCCGGCUCAAGAAUUGAGGAUGAUUCCAAUUACUUGGCCGUUUGCAACAUGGGGGCUGGAUAUGGUCGGACCUUUUAAAAUGUCCAAGGAUAAAAAAACCCACCUUUUGGUGGCAGCCGAUAAAUUUACCAAGUGGGUUGAACCGGAGCCUAUUAGUAAGUGUGAUGCAGCUACAACAGUGCAGUUCAUUAAAAAGGUGAUUUUCUGGUUUGGCUUUCCACACAGCAUCAUUACAGACAAUGGUACCAAUUUAUCCAAGGGUGUUAUGAAGGAAUUCUGUGAACGUGAGCACAUCCGACUUGACGUAUCGUCAGUGGCUCACCCCCAGUCCAAUGGGCAGGCAGAACGAGCUAAUCAAGAGAUUUUGCGAGGCAUCAAACCCCGGCUUAUGGUUCCAUUGCAAAGAACACCGGGAUGUUGGGUUGAAGAGCUACCAUCUGUGCUAUGGAGUAUCAACACUACGCCCAACCGAUCUACAGGAUACACACCGUUUUUUAUGGUCUACGGAGCAGAGGCGGUUCUCCCUAGUGAUAUCCGGCACAAUUCGCCUCGUGUGGCGACUUAUGUUGAAGCAGACAAUGAGACAGCACGGCAAGAUGCUUUGGAUCUAUUAGAUGAGGAGCGUGACAUAGCGGCUGCCCGCUCGGCGAUUUAUCAACAAGAUCUUCGUCGCUAUCACAGUCGCCGGGUCAGAACCAGAACUUUUCAAGGAGAUUUGGUGCUUCGGCUCAUCCAAGAUCAGACGGAUAUGCACAAGUUAUCCCCACCUUGGGAGGGACCUUUCGUGGUCAGCAAGAAUCUGCACAACGGGUCGUACUAUCUGAUUGAUAUUCGAGAGCAUAAAGACUCACGCACAUCAGAGGAGGAGACCAACAGGCCGUGGAAUAUAGCUCAUCUUUGGCCUUACUACACUUGAGCCAUUGGCUCUAUCUAUGUACAUAUUAUGGGAGUGUAUAUAUUAUCAUCGAUAUAAUAAAACCGGAGCCUCAGCUAAAGCGGGGUCUCUGUCCUUUCAUAUCAUGUGUGGUUACAUGGAGUGGUUCUGUUUUAAAGCGGCCUCCGGUUUACCCCUUGAAAUUUGCUUUUCAAAAAAAAGCUUUGUGAUAUCACUUGGGGCCUUGGUCGUGUCCGAACCAAUGCGACACCUUUUGAUAGGCGAAAGCCACCAGAUCACUUGGGGACAUGGUCAAGUCUGAACCAGUCACGCCUCUUGAUCGGCCUAAGGCCACAGAAUCACAUGGGGGCUUGGUCGAACCCGAACCAUUGCCACGCCUUUUGAUCGGCAUAAAUGCCACGGUUUCAUUUGGGGACCUGGCUGACUUGAACCAUUGUCACUUCUAUUGGGGGCUUGGUCCUGUCCGACCGUGGUAACACCAUCUGAUCAGCUCAGUAAAGCAUGUUUUUGCAAACGGUUUUUAUCAUUGCCUUUGCUUCCAUAUUUCUUUUAUGACUAUUCUUCAAUUUUUGUUGUGUUUCCUUUAAACCAACAACACUUUUUUACCGGUUCAGCUGACGGAAAUUGGUUCAUUUGUACUCUGGAGAAAUAUGCCCGGUUUAACUUUCCUGUUAACAUCAUGAAGUAGCAGGGGGGCUCAUAAUGACCCUGCACAGUUUACAUGGGAGUUGUUUUCUCCCCUUUGAUGGUAAUGGUUUAUAGAACCUCUGUUUCAAGCCUGGCUAAGCCAACUUCAUGCCCAGCGAUGGCAGGUAUUUUGUAUCGCAUAUUUGAUUAUAUGUUUUAAGUACAUUGAUAUAUAUAUAUAUAUAUCAAGGUUAUAAACCGGUUGGCGGUAUAACCGCCACCGCAGUUCAAGACUUUCUGAUUGCAGGAAAUAUAAAUUGAGGAUUUCACGCAAAAGCAUCAGUACGUAUGCACGAAGGCAUAUUUAAAGUAGAAGUAUUGGCUAUUCUAUUACAAGGCAACGCGGUGCCCAAAUAAGAUCAUUGUUAUUUUGGUGGAUCAUAAUAAGGCAGUUGUUUAAACCGGCUUCCGGUUCAAGCCUGCUCAUCAAACCGGUCUGAUGGUUGUGGGUCGUCCCGCGCCGCUUCAGCUUCCUCAUCUCUAUCCAUUGGCUGGAAAUCAACAGUGGACCAGUCGAUUCCCAUUAAAGCUUGAAAGACAGCCUCUUCAUGGAUCAGAGAAGACGGUUCAAUAUCAGGAGCGUAAGUAUGCUUACGGAUUGGAGGAACCAGAUUCUCCGCUUCAGGAAUUGGUGCGGCCACUCUUUUGUUCCGAUCAUUGUACUGAGCUUGAUAAUGCAACAAGUCGGCCUCUUCAGCCAAUUGACAAGCCAGAGGGCAUACUGCAUGGUUUAUCGCCCUCAAAUCAUCUUCAUUGAACUCUGAGCCAUCUUCCUUCAAGAUGGGAUAGCCUUGAGCUGCUUCAACAGGAUCGAAAUCCGGCACCCAUGCUUUUGCCCGGAUUAAGGCGUUAAUGGCUCCGGUUCGAGCAGCAGAUUUUUUCAGUUCUUCAAUCCGAGCAGGAAGCAUUGACAACCUAUUAAGAGUGUCUUGGAUUAAAGUGGGUGCCGGAUUGUUAUGAGAUGCAGUGGUGAUGAUCCGUUGCGCUCCGGUAUACAGCUGUUCAAUUAAAGUGUAGGCAGCCUUCAACUCCUUCUGAACAUCUGACCCUAAGUGACCAAUGCGUGUAUCUGUAACAAUACAGGAAAGAUCACAAACCGGAUCUAUUAUAAGCAGGCCAGAGUUGUCCAGGAAACCAAAAGGAGCUUACCAAAGAUAGUAGCGGUCAUGGAAUGUACUUGCCGCUUUACGGCGGUCAGCUCAUCUACCACCGGUUUAAGGGCAGCUUCAGCGUUUUCAGCUCUUUUUAUUAAAUCGGCCUUCUUAGUGGCCCAAUCAGUCCGCUCCUUCUUGAAGCCCUCUUUCAGCUGUUCUGUGAUGCUCAAAGCGCUGGUUAUUUCUUCCCUUGCCUUGUCGGUUUCAGCUUGUUGGGUUUUCAAAAUUUCCUGCAGAUCAGUAAUCCGGUCCUCUUUGAUCCUCACUUCAGCCGGCAUAAAGACAAUGCUUGGCUUUCAACAAACGGUACAAGAAUUUGAAGUACCAACCACAUAACAAGUUAUACGCUUGAUACUUGGGGGCUAAUGCACCUUCAAUUUUCAUCUAUUACUAAAUCGCAAAGUCCCAAGCUCAAUACAGGUAUUCAACUUGGCACUUAGGGGCUAAUGGCUAUUUGCUCAGUUAUGUUCUGAUGUUAGAAUUUUUAUUGGAGUCCCGGUUUAACUAUACUAAGUUGAACCGGCCCUUGGGGGCUAUAUUGAUGGAUUUCAAAGUAUUGAGGACUAUAUUCAAGUCCCGACUUGAAGAAGGUUACAGACCGGCCCUUGGGGGCUAGGAGGAUUAAUACAGUGGCAGUAAUUAAAGAAAGAAGAAGCACAAGGAAUUUACCUCAAAUUUAUCUCUCAUCAUCUUUACCAUGCCAGCUUCACAGUCACGACUAGUAUAUAGCCGGUUCAAGUAACCAGAACAAAGAUCUUGGGCACUCAGAGCAGCAUAUGUUUCCAGAUCAACAUCCCAUUUGCCUUUGUUUAUGGCAGAAAAAUCUUCUUUCACAGUAUGCUUGGCCAAAGCGACAGGAUUCCCUGGUUCAAAGCGACCUACGCCGGUAAUUACAACGUCAUCAUCCUUGCACUCGCCGGUUUGCGUUGGCGCGGUCGGUUUAUCGGCAGGCUUUGAAGGACUGCGGGACCCAUCAAUCCGGACGGAGCUGGCAGGCUGGUCAACAGGGACUGAGGUAUUGAUAGGCCUUUUCUCAGGAAUAGCAUCAUCUUGCAAGGGAGGAUCAUUGGGAAUAUCCUCAUAAACGAACGUUUCAAGAUCUAGUGUUUUAUCCUGUUCAGGGGUGACAUCUUCCUCGGCCGCUUUAUUCAGGCGGGCUUUCUUGCUUGGUUUAGGUUUAGCCCUGAAAGAGAAACAAAGAGUCAAGGAACAACAUAAGUUAUAACGUGGUAUACCAGAAGCAUAUGUUCAGUCUAGCUUACCCAAGAACCGUUUUCAGUGGUGGCAGCUGAGUGGCCGACGAUUCACCAGAGGAAGAAUGAGAAGUAACCUGAUAAUAGGAGUCGGACGGAUUAAGAGGUUGAAGGAUGAAACCCGCUUUAGGACAUAAAUUAAUAAAAAGGUCGGAGACCUCGGAGCGGCGUUUUCGAACCGGACUGUUUGGUAAACCGGCGGAGGUAACUACCUGGCCGUUGUGCCGGGUUGUGCGGCGAGCUUCGUGUUGCUGAGUCUUCAUAAGAAAUUUGGGAUUCAAAUAAGCAAGAGGAUGAGAAAAUUUAACUUUCCGGUUUGCCUGGUGAAAUUUUGGCAAAGGCAAAGGAUCUGAAUCGGAAGAGAGAAUAGUUACCUCAGCGACAUCAGCAUUACUGGCUUCAGCGUCGUCCUGAUAAGCAUCAUCAUCAAUAAGGCGUGUAAAAAGUAAGCCUAGUGAAUCGAGUUCUACCUCAAGGUCCAAGUUACCCACAUCAUCAUCAACAGCCGGAUCAGAUGAAGCAGUGGUUUUCCUUUUUUUAGCAGGCUUCUUGAUGACCUUGGUCUUUGGCCGGAUUGACCGUUCUGCUUUCUCCGGUUUGUCUUGUGGAAGCUUCUUGCUCCAAAACGGAUUAUCACCCUGGUUAAGCAGCAAUUGAUGUCAGUCAGAGAUAGCAAUAACAGGUUCAGUAAAAAGUACAAUCAAAAUCUUACAGCUGGCGGUUUGUUGGUAGCGCAGAACGGGAGCAGGCCAGUUUGAGCGCAGAGGUGCUCCGGUUCGUUUAGCAUUUUCUUCACAGCCUUUGUAACUUCAUCAUCGGAGAGCUGGAUGUUGGUGUGUCGGAGUGGGUCAUCAACGCUACCAGUAUACUUGCACAUUAAACCGGAGCGCCGGCUGAGAGGCAGUAUGCUCCAUGAUAUCCAACGGCAUGCGAGAUCUACUCCUGUUAAACCGUUGGCCAUGAAGGCUCGGAGCUUGGAUAAUUGCGGAGCGUAUUUACUCCUCUCCUUGGCACUUAACCUUUGUGGGAAGGGGUGUGUAUUGCUGAGCCGCUCCGGACGAAAGCCAGGAAAAGGAUUUUCAUCAUCAGGGGAAGUAUCUUUGCAGUAAAACCAUGUUGCAUUCCACUCCUUGGGGUGACUGUGUAGUCGGGCAUGGGGAUAAGUGAUUUCUUUCCUUUUCUGAAUGGCCAUACCGCCCAAUUCGGUAUUGGGACCAUCAGUGAAUUCUGUGCGGCAGUUCAAGUGGAAGCAGUCUCUGAACAAUUCAACUGUGGGUUUCUCUUAAAGGUAUACCUCACAGAGCACUUGGAAGUGACAUAAGUUGGUAACAGAAUUGGGGCCAGUAUCUUGCGGGCGGAGUUGAAAAUUGGCUAACACAUCCCGGUAAAAUUUAGAACCGGGCGGCUUGAAGCCCCGGGCUAAAUGGUCCACAAAAAUCACAACCUCUCCCUCUUGAGAUGUGGGAGGACAUUCAUCACCAGGAACCCUCCAGUGGAUAGUAUCUUUACUGUCUAAAGCGCCAACCGAAACUAAAUCAUCCAACUGAGUUUCUGUGAUGCGAGAAGGAACCCAGUUGCACUCAUAUACUUGUUUGGCCAUGAUGAGAUCUACAAGAAAUAAGUGAUUCCGGUUCAAGAAUGCGCUGGUAUGAACAAUGUUAAACCGGAGGCAGUACAUUUAAACCGGAUUUCUGUGAGGUAGCAUAAUAAGACUGAAGAAGUCUGGCGGUUCAACAAGGGGACUAAUGGUAUAUACCGGUUUAAUAAUUUUUCCUAUAUUACGUUAAACCGCCCGAUCUAAACAUUGAAAGCAGUUGAGGUUGCGGAUGGCUAAGUAUGCAGAAACAGGUUUCACAAGGUCCUAUUGUAGUAAUGGAUCUGAAGCAAGUUCAGAAAAACAGAAAAUAUUCAAAAGAUUAAAGCAGAACGGAAGUGAAUCAAUGGGAAGAUAUGUAGAUGAGAUCUAUGGACUUGAGCGUGAAACUACAGGUGGAUGCUAAAAGGCUACUGCUAAUCAGAGUAGGGUUUCACAGAUCUAUCCAGGAGUCUGGGUACGAGCAUGAACAAGUGAGGAACACGGCAAGAACACGAAACCCUAGAACAGAUCUAUGUUAAGAAGAGCAGAAGGCUUACCAGAAUCAAGGAAGACGCGGAAAGCUACCGCAGUACUCUGGAGCGUUCAGGUUGAUGCAGCGGCCCAAGACGGUGCACAGGUCAAUGGCGGUGGCGGAGCUCCGAGGCUGGCGACGCGAGGAAGAUGAAGAGAAAGAGACGAAGGGGAGAAAAGGAAAUGACCCUUCGGUCCUAUUUAUAAGGCAAAGGACGUGUGUCAGGCACGCGAAUCCAGGAGCCACAAAAUUCGGAAGUGGAGCUGCUGCCUUGGGUAUCGCAGAUCUAUCAAUGAAAGAAGGCGUCAUAAAUGUUAAACUUCAUGAUGAUGUCAUGCCGGUCUACAGCAACCAGAGAUGAUGACGACAUGGCGGUUUACCAAUUACCAGAAGAUGUUGAAGACAAAUAUUUUUGUGAAGGAUUGACAUGAACCAGUUCAAAUCAAUCUGGGGCCUAAUGUUGGGGAUAUUACUACUAGGUCUGAACCGGCCUACCUGGGCCGGGUUAACUUCAUUAGUAGUAUAAAGGUGAUUAAGCAGAUGAAGGCCCAAGGCCUGUAGUCGGUUUAGAACCUGUAGCCGUAAACCGGUUUGAUAUGUAAACUUGCAUUGUAAGUUAGGAAUAGAGAGAGACCAACCGGGAUACGAGUAUGAACUGGUGUGGGACUCUGUGGACCGACGGGCGUCACCCGUGUAUAUAAGGGGGCGACCCGGCGGCGGUUCAAAGAGAGACAACAACAACUCGAGCCUAGGCGAAGCUUGUUUGCUCCCUACCCAUCGAAACCACAUCAAUUCCAUCACAACUAGACGUAGGCUUUUACCUUCAUCGAAGGGGCCAAACUAGUAUAAACCCUUGUGUCUUUGUGUCCGCUUUAACCCCUUCAAGUUAACCUGUAGCGAUGGCUCCACGACUAAGUCCUUUCACAAGGACAUCUGCCGUGACAAAUCCACGACACAAAGCGUCCUUUGACAAACUUUUUUGCAAGACGCGACCUCGACAAUGGAAAUGACUGCGUCAUCCACGACCACACGACUGCAUCGACACGGCGUCACUCUAGUAACUACCCCUACACAGCCACACGGUUCUGGCAAAACCGAUGUGUUCUCGAUAGGUUUCCUCCGGUCCUGGCAAAAUCGGUGGACUCAUUGCCGAUGGCACCCUAUGACAUUCGCAAGGUUCAUCGUCCACGACUGCAGCUCCGUCAUCUACAACAUAGCGCAUUUUUUGCGCCUCCGGCUUUGUGCGGCUUCAUCGUCCACGACGACUACAUCAUCGACUACGGCUACAUCAUGAUCGGGUACAUCAACAUCGAAAUACAGGGUUACAUCUACAACAAUAUAUCGGCAACAAAUCUAGUCAACAGCUCCCACGUCAUCACCAGUGUUCACGCCACUCCUCGAUGUGACUACGGGAGGGAAGAGAGGAGAGACAAGGAAUGCACCAGAAUGGGAUGCAGUCACCGCCCUAGGUGCCGACCCAUCAGAGAGGCAGUUGAUGAUGGCGCAACGGAGAAGAAGACGGCGGAAGCACAAGACUUGAAAUUCAGUCGUAAUCGUCCGCUUUACCUCCGCUACGACUGAGGGGGAAUGUUAGAAUAUAUGUUGGGUUUAAAUAUAGAUAUAAGGAGUAGAGAUCAAAUAGGUUUAAACCAUGUAUACUUGUUUUGUACGCCAAACAUUUACCCCGUCAUGUAUUCUAUAUAUACCUCAUAUCAGUGGCGAAGCCACACCUAAGUUGGGUAGUCAAUUGACUACACAACUUUUGGCAAAAACUACAUACAUCAAAUAGAAAUUAUGUCAAAAAUAUUACAAAUGCAUACAUCUGACUACACAACAUUUAAUUGACCACACAUGAUUGUAUUUCUGGCACCGCCACUGCCUCAUAUGACGGUCAAAUCAAAUAAAAACACAAAUAGUCAUCCUACAAUUCCUACAAGUUGAUCUUCUGUAUGGACUUGGUGUGAGGGCAUUGCUAGAUCGUUGGUGUGGAAGUGAUCAGUGCGAUCUCGCAGAAUGAAGUAAUAUAGUUGUGAUGUGUUUAGCACAGGAAGUCCGAUGCGCAAGACUAGUACCAGAAGCUUGUUGGAUCCGCUCAUGUACGUGCUUUCAUCUGGAACUCAUCUUCCCAGUGCAUCCCAUGCCCAAUAGUGAUCAUCAUCCUAAUAGGCCAAGCUAUAAGUGCUACCUCUGCAUACACCCAGUGCAGCAAUAGAAAAAUGGGCAAGCCUAAAGUUUCAUCAUGUAGUUGCAAGUCUUUAGCUUUUAUAUUCCUUGGGAUCGUGUAACUAGGUGCAAAGGAGUGAUUCGACAAGUAUUUAUGGAUCGAGUGUGUUGUUGAUUUUACCAUACCAACAACCAUUUGUCCUCUGACGCCUUUCCCGAUGAACGUGCUUAAAUGAGAUGCUAAGUACAUGAAAUGACUUACGAGCAACUAAGCUCUCCAAUAUAUACGUGCUUAGCUUUUUUAGCUUCUUUUCUUCAUUUAGUUGUGUACCAACUACACUUCUUCAGGCAAAGGUGUCUUGCAUUCUUUUUUUCCCGAUAAACUUCCAAUUUAUUCAUUCUCAAUCAUGGCAGUACAAAGAACACCAGAAGUGAUAAAAUUUACUAUCUGGUCAGACCACCUAGAGAUGACUACAAGCACCGGAGAGCCGAAUGUGUCACCCCUCCCUCACCAGAGCCGGAAAAACCUUAUUGUAGUAGAUUGUCGAGAAGUCGUCGUGCUAAGACCUCAUAGGACCAGCGCACCAGAGCAACAAACAUCACCGACGAAGAAAGUCAUUGAUGUAGGGUAGAACCCUAGGGCCCAAUCUUUCACGAAACGGAGGGGAUACCGCGAAGAACAUGAAGAACACGAGGGAAAACAAGAAGAGAGAAAUCACUCAAACAAACAAGAUUCAAUUACACAUGUGCUAGAUCCUCGAAACACAAAGAGAUACACGAUCCAUGAUCAACAAAGGAUGAUACAAGUAGCAACUUCUCCAUGAGGAGGUCUUGAGGGGGGUCUUCCCGUGAGGGGUCUUGAAUCCGAUUGGGGGACAUUCUCCAAAGAGGCCGUGGACUCCAAUGGAGAAGUAACCAAGUGGAUGAGCAAAGCUCUAUCUCUCAAAUGAGCUAAUCCUUUGCUAAGCCUAGAAAUAGGGAGGAGGAGGAGGAGUAUAUAUAGUCUAGGUGGGCGAAGGGGUACAUGGGCCAUGACCCUUACACUGUGCGCAGACAGGCGGGGCCUAAUAUCCGGGCGUCGGGCCGAUGUCUGGGGCUUCAUGAGGAGACGGAUGUCCAGGCUUCGGGCCGGAUCUCCGGGAUGGAGGAGUCCGGUCUGGGGCUCUCUGUAUGGGUGUAGUACAGAUGUCCGGGCGGGUGUCCAGAUGUCCGGCCACUCGGGAAUGGCCGGACGUCCGAACUAGAAGCCGGAUGUCCGGGCAGCUGGUGAUGGUCCUCUUGCUCUUUGGAUAUGCUUGUCCGGAUGUCCGGGCUGGCCGCCCGAUGUCCGGACCCUAUAGACUUGGCCGCUGGCUCGUUGCUGCUGGAGACACCUCCAGGGGCCGGAUGUCCGGGGUCAUGGCCGGAUGUCUGGGUCCUGGGAGCUGUUCUCGACUCCUUCCGUUGGUUCUCAUCAUCCGUGGACUUGAGGACUUGUCCAUCUUCACGUGCAUAUUCGAGAGGGCCUUCUUUGUACCUGAUCAUGCACAACAUUCCGGACUUAGGUAGUAGCCAUGUCUCGAGUGAAUCAUAUUCAGAUCACUAAGGAGAGAUGUCACCUCAGUCUCGAGAGCUCUACCUCAUGCUCGUGUCAUCGGUCCUUUUGGUACUUGAUGAGACGAUGGUAGGUCCAUGGGGAUGACUAAAGGAUGCUCUGCAUCAUCUCCCCCCCCCCUGGGAAAGAUCUGACCUCGGAUCGAAAUCUUCAUCACCAUGGUAGGGCUAGAGAUCCUUGGUGUUGAAGAUAUCGCUCACAUUGUACUUGUCAUGUGGGAUGUUGAUCUUGUAGGUGUUGUUGUUGUAGCGUUCAAGCACCUUGAAGGGUCCAUCAGCUCGUGCUAGAAGUUUGGACUUGCGUUCGUUGGGGAAACGGUCCUGGCGAAGGUGUAGUCAUACAAGAUCUCCAAUGUUGAAUACCAUGGGUUGCUUGUUGAUGUUGAGCUUGGUCGCGAGUCGUUGUACUUGGAGCUCGAUGGUGUACCUUGUAUCUUCAUGCAUCUUCUUGAGGUAGUUGACUCGGGUACUCGCGUCCGUGUUGAUGCGCUCUUGUAGUGGUAGAGGAAGAAUGUCCAACUGGGACAAUGGGUUGAAGGCAUAGAUGACUCGAAGGGGGACUUGCCCGUAGUCAAAUAUCUUGCACGGUUGUAGGCGUACUCGGCGAUGGGUAAGCACUCCUCCCACUCCUUCUUUAUCAACACGCAUAGUAGAGUGGAGAGUGUCCGGUUUGUGACCUCGGUUUGGCCGUCGGUUUGAUGGUAUGCCGAAGAGAACAAAAGCUUGAUUUCGAGCUUGGCGCAUAAGGUCUUCCGAAAGUAGCUCAAGAACUUCAUUUCGAGGUCUGAGACAAUAGUCUUGGGCACUCCAUGGAGUCGCAAGAUUUCCCUACAAAAAGAUUUGCAACAUGUGAAGCAUCGUCUAUCUUGUUGCAUGGGAUGGAAUUAGCCAUUUUAGAGAGUCGGUCCACAACAACAAACACAGAAUCUUUGCCAUUUCGAGUUCGAGGCAAACCAAGCACAAAGUCCAUACUAAUAUCUUCCCAUGGGUGAUAUGGAAUAGGAAGUGGCAUAUAGAGACCAUGGGAUCGAGCUUUUGACUUAGCUUUGCGACAUGUCGAGCAUCGGUUGGUGAAGCAUGAGACGUCACGGAACAUCUUGGGUCAAAAGUAGUUCUUGGAGAGCGUGGCGAAUGUCUUGUCGCAUCCAAGUGUCCCAUUAGUCCACCUCCAUGAGCCUCUUGCAAAAUUAGCAAACAAAGAGAAGACUCGGGGAUACAUAGUUUGUUAGCUCUCAUAAGAUAAUCAUCUUUGAGGUAGUAUCAUUCCCAAGAUUUAUGCGUCAAACACUUGGCAUAAGGAGUAGAAAGUAGGAUCAUGCGCAUACAAGUCUUUUAUCUCCUCAAAACCAAUGACAUUCAAUUCAAGUUGGGUAACAAGCAUGCAUCUAUGGCAAAGCGCAUCCUCCACAACAUUUUCCUUACCUUUUAUAUACUUGAUGACAUAAGGAAAUGACUCUAUGAAUUCACUCCACUUAGCAUGACGCUUGUUUAACUUAGUUUGACCCUUAAGAUACUUAAGUGUUUCGUGAUCGGUGUGGAGAAUGAACUCACGAGGACGGAGAUAAUGCUCCCAAACAUGCAAUACCCGAACUAAAGCAUAUAGCUCUUUUUCAUAUAUAGGGUAAUUGAGUUGCACUCCGGAGAGUUUUUCACUAACGUAAGCUAUGGGGCGCUUCUCUUGCAUUAACACACCUCCUAUGCCAUAACCGCUAGCAUCGCAAUGUAUCUCAAAUGUUUUAUCAAAGUUGGGUAAUGCAAGCAAAGGGGCAUGUGUAAGCAAAUUCUUAAUCUCAUUAAAUGUGGUGUCUUGGGAUGGUCCCCACACAAAAGGCGCGUUCUUCUUACUCAAAGCAUGCAAAGGUAAAGCAAUGGUGCUAAAAUCCUUCACAAAUCUAUGAUAGAAACCGGCUAGGCCUAGAAAACUACACACUUGUUGCAAGUUUGUGGGUUGGGGCCAAGUUUUAAUAGCUUCGAUCUUAGAUUCAUCUACAUGCACACCCUUAGAAGAUACUACAAAACCCUAGAAAACAAGCUUAUCAACACUGAAAAGGCAUUUGUCCAUAUUAGCAUAAAGGCGCUCUUUCCUAAGGGUUUGCAAAACGGUUCUAAGAUGGGUGACAUGAUCUUUGAGGGAUUUUCUAAAGACAAGAAUAUCGUCAAAAUAGACCACAACAAAUACGCCAAUGUAGGGGUGAAGAACAAACUGCAUGACUAGCAUGAAAGUAUCGGGUGCUUCGGAUAAACCCAUUGGCAUAACAAGCCAUUCAUAUAAGACAAAUUUGGUCUUAAAUGCGGUUUUCCAUUCGUCACCUUAUUGUAUGUGGAUCUGGUAAUAGCCACUUUUAAGAUCAAUCUUAGAGAAGAUUGUGGCUCCCCUGAGCUCAUCUAGCAUAUCAUCUAAGCGUGGAAUGGGGUAACGGUAUCUAACGGUGAUAGCAUUGAUAGGACGGCAAUCAAAAGACAUGCGAUAAGUACCAUCUUUCUUGGGAACAAGGAUUACCGGGAUGGCACAAGGGGGCUCAAGCUUUCUCAUACAUGGCCAUUGUCGAUGAGUGGUUGUACUUGCCGUUGGAUCUCCUAGGUUUCCUCGGGGUUGACGUGGUACGGAGUCUUGUUAGGAAGGGGUGCUCCGGGAAUGAGGUCGAUGCGGUGUUCGAUGCCUCGAAGAGGAGGUAGUCUCGAAGGUGGCUCGUCAGGGAAUACAUCUUGGAACUCCUGCAAUAGAGAAGACAACACUAAAGGUAAUUGUGUGAGGUGUUAGUUUUAGGUGCCUCGUCCUUGCACAAGAGGAAAUAGUGCAUAACACUUGAUGGGUUCUCACACACUUCUCUCAUCUCAUUUUUGGUGGCAAAUGGCACUAAGUUUUUCUUGUCGCUCAUCAUGGAGGCACUCAAUUUUGGCUUGUGGCACUCACUCUAUUUGUGGUGGCUCGCUUUCUCACUUUUCUCUCCACGAUGGGUGGCUUGCUUGUCGGCGAUCACUUGACUUGGUGACAUAGGUCGUAGCACGUACUCAUUUCCCUUCAUCUUGAAGCUAUAGUGAUUGGUUCGCCCAUUGUAGAUGACGCCUUGGUCAAAUUUCCAUGAUCGUCCAAGAAGGAGGUGGCAAACGGGCAUUGGAACGACAUCACACUCCAAAGUGUAUUCAUAUGCUCUGAUCUUGAAGGAAACUUGCACCAUAGGCUCGACUUGGAUAGUGCCGGAGUCGCUUAGCCAUUGGACCUUGUAGGGGUGUGGGUGCUUCAUCUUGCCAAUUGGAACUUGGAGCAUAGUUCUUCACUCGCCAAGUUAUGGCAACUCCCUCCAUCGAUGAUGACCUUCAUGGACCUUCCAUUGAUGUCGGCCUUGGUGUGGAAGAUAUGGCAUCUUUGAUCACGUGUCGGUGCAUGCAACUUGCUCAAUGGCUUCCAUUUCCUCUUCACUCAUGGAGUCGUAUGUGCCAUCGUCGUUGAGGGUCAUGGUGCGCUUGUUGGUGCACUCCAAAGACUUGUGGCCUCGACCGCCACAUGUGAAGCAUUUGAUGGAACUUGUCUUGAUGGUCACAUCCAGCGGAGUUGUAGAUGAUGAAGCCCUCGACUUGAAGUUGCUUGUAGUAGGAGGGCGACUUGAAGUUGUCGAAGUCUUCUUGUAAUUUAACUUGUCGCCGCUGCUUUGUGAAGCUUUUGUCGAGGUCGGAGUCGUUGUAGUCGUUGAAGCUUGGUUGUAGGAGGAGCCAGUCUUGGAAGCGAACUUGGCAUACUUGAAGUUAUCUUGCACUUGACUUUCCGCUUUGGUAGCUUGAUGCACUAGCUCGAUGAGGUUGGAGUAAGGUUGGAAGUCAGCGAUUUUGUUGAUAGGAUGAUUGAGUCCGUUCAAGAAACGUACCAUAGUUUGCUCAUCAUCUUCCAUGACAUUUGCUCUUAUCAUGGCAAUCCCCAUUUCCUUGUAGUCUCUUCAACGGUCUUUGUUCCUUGCUUGAGGAGUUGGAGCUUCUUGAAGAGGUCGCAGUUGUAGUAGGUUGGGACAAAGAGUGCUCGCAUGACACCCUUCAUUUGCGCCCAUGUUGUGAUGGGUGGCUCGCCUCUUGCCUCUCAGCGCUCAAAGACUUGUUCCCACCAAAUAAGUACAUAGUCUUGGAAUUCAAGGGAUGCCAUGGCGAUCUUCUUAUCUUCGUCAUAGUUGUGAAAAUGAAAGAUCUUGUCGACCUUCAAUGCCCAUGAAAGGUACUCUUCGAGAUCAUUGCUUCCGGUGAAUUUGGGCAUUGUGAACUUGAGCUUGCCAUAGCGUCGCUCUUCAUUGUGUUGGGGUCGAGGGUGAUGAUGACGCCCUUGACAUGGAGGGUUGUCAACCUCAUGUUGCUCUUAGCAUGGAGGAUUCUCAACCUCAUGUUGCUCUUGGUGUGGAGGAUUUCCAUUGUCUUGUCGAGCUUGUGUUGGAGCUUGGGGAACUUGUCGGGGCAAUCGAGCUUGGUAUGUCCUAUCUUUAACUUCUUCCCAAAGUGCUUCUUCCCGUUCGUACGUAUGUCGGUUGCGGUCAGCAAUGAUGCAACUCGCGCCAUGGAGGGCAUGUUGCGCCUCAAGUUCUUGGGCUUCAUGCCAUUGUUUUAGUUGAUGGAGCGCUUCGGUGUCUUGCUCUUCUUGGUGUUUGCGCCCCCGCUCUUCCUCUUGUUGUUGUUGGCGUUUCCUUUCUUGUGCUUGUGCAAAGGUAGCUUGAUUUUGACGAUGCCGAUGUUCUUGUUCUUGAAGUUACUCUUGAUGAUCGAUUCCAUGUAGAGGAUUGCGGUUUGCUUGACAGUCUUGGCGCACGGCUUGUCGAAGAGUGUUUGAUGUCGGUGUACUUGAGCCGGAGAUGGUGUCAUCGGAGUGUCGACUCGAGCGGCUCCGUCUUGAGUAGGAUGAAGUGGUAGAAGAGCGGUUGACCAACAAGGCACGAAUCUCGUCCAUUCUUGCAUGUUCUCUUGUUUUUGUUCAUCGAGCUUGUUGUCAAAGUAGUCUUUUGUAUGUUGCUCGGAGAGUCUUAAGUCGGUGGCGAUAUUGUCGAUGCAGUCGCUCAGUGCUUGUUGUUCUUGCUGCAAAGCUCUUUGUGCACCAAAGAGGUGGCUCUUGGUGACAUAGGAGGUCGAGUCAUCGUCUUUCUCGAUGAAGUGUGGGUUGGUAGAAGAACUUGGCCUGUCCAUCAUUCCAAGCAAAUAUGUGAGUGGGAGAAAGAGAAGAAUUGUACCAAAUGUACCUUGACCAAAGUUGAAGAUGGAUCAAUGAUCACUCAAAUGUGUAACAAGGAAAUAUCACAAUUGGUACCAAUUCUUGUCGGUUCUCACACCUACACAAGUAAAAGCCUUUGGUGGAGCUCGGUUAGGAUGGUGGCACAAAAUCUUAUGCAAUUGUUAGUAAGACUCAAUAAUGUUGAAAAAGAUUCGCAAUUCGCAAAUGAAACAAGUAGACCAAUAGCAAGUAGUGGUACACGGAAAGACACACGCAAAUAGAAAAAUGGGGUCAUGCAACCAAAAAUGAGCUCCAAAAUGUGGAAUCCAUGAAAAAUGCUCUUGUCGCACAACACUAGAGAGACGCUAGCACGAUUGCACAAUAGGUGGAUACAAAACUUGUGCACAACCUACUAAGCAAAAAUACAACAACUUAUCCCAAGUAUGCUAUAUGUAUGGUAUUCCUUUAUAUGAUCCAAGAUGAUCGAGUAUGACAAUGUUAAUGUAGUAUGAUGCUAUGGUUCUUGCUUAAAAUCUCUUUGCUUAUCUUUCUCGUCUGCUUAAAAGCUUGUUUGGCUCUUUCUUGUUUGAGCUCUUUUGAUGUCCACUUAUGCAAAACUUCAUGAACUAAGCUAGCAAUUGUGUAUAUGCUAUGACAACCUUGUGACACAAGAGAUGAUACUGAUACGUCUCCAACGUAUCUAUAAUUUUUGAUUGCUCCAUGCUACUUUAUCUACUGUUUUGGACUAUAUUGGGCUUUAUUUUCCACUUUUAUAUUAUUUUUGGGACUAACCUAUUAACCGGAGGCCCAGCCCAGAAUUGCUGUUUUUUGCCUAUUUCAGUAUUUCGAAGAAACAGAAUAUCAAACGGAGUCCAAAAGGAAUAAAACCUUCGGGAACGUGAUUUUCUCACCGAACGUGAUCCAGGAGACUUGGACCCUACUCCAAGAAGUGCCAGAGGAGGUCACGAGGGUGGGAGGCGCCCCCCUGGGCGCGCCCCCCUGCCUCGUGGGGCCCCUGUUGCUCCACCGACGUACUCCUUCCUCCUAUAUAUACCUACGUACCCCCGUCAGAUCAGAUACGGAGCCAAAAACCUAAUUCCACCGCCGCAACUUUCUGUAUCCGCGAGAUCCCAUCUUGGGGCCUGUUCCGGAGCUCCGCCGGAUAGGGCAUCUACCACGGAGGGCUUCUACAUCAACACCAUAGCCUCUCCGAUGAAGUGUGAGUAGUUUACAUCAGACCUUCGGGUCCAUAGCUAGUAGCUAGAUGGCUUCUUCUCUCUUUUUGGAUCUCAAUACAAUGUUCUCCCCCUCUCUUGUGGAGAUCUAUUCGAUGUAAUCUUCUUUUUUGUGGUGUGUUUGUUGAGACCGAUGAAUUGUCAGUUUAUGAUCCAGCUUAUCUAUGAAUAAUAUUUGAUUCUUCCCUGAAUUCUUUUAUGCGUGACUGAGUUAUCUUUGCAAGUCUCUUCGAAUUAUCCGUUUGGUUUGGCCAACUAGAUUGGUAGUUCUUGCAAUGGGAGAAGUGUUUAGCUUUGGGUUCAAUCUUGCGGUGUCCUUACCCAGUGACAGAAAGGGUUGCAAGGCACGUAUUGUAUUAUUGCCAUCGAGGAUAGCAAGAUGGGGUUUUUAUCAUAUUUCAUGAAUUUAUCCCUCUACAUCAUGUCAUAUUGCUUAAGGCAUUACUCUGUUUUUAACUUAAUACUCUAGAUGCAUGCUGGAUAGCGGUCGAUGAGUGGAGUAAUAGUAGUAGAUGCAGAAUCGUUUUGAUCUACCUGUCUCGGACGUGAUGCCUAUAUACAUGAUCAUACCUAGAUAACCUCAUGAUUAUUCGCUUUUCUAUCAAUUGCUCAACAGUAAUUUGUUCACCCACCAUAGAAUACUUAUGCUCUUGAGAGAAGCCACUAGUGAAACCUAUGGCCCCCGGGUCUAUUCUCAUCAUAUCAAUCUCCAUUACUUUAUUACUUGCUUUGUUUUUACUUUGGCUUCUACUUUUUUACUUUGCAUCUCUAUAUCAAAAAUACCAAAAAUAUUAUUUAUCAUCGCUAUCAGAUCUCACCCUCAUAAGUGACCGUGAAGGGAUUGACAACCCCUAAUCGCAUUGGUUGCGGGUAGCUAUCGUUUUGUGUAGGUACGAGGGACUUGUGUGUGAUCUCCUACUGGAUUGAUACCUUGGUUCUCAAAAACUGAGGGAAAUACUUACGCUACUUUACUGCAUCAUCCUCUCCUCUUCGGGGAAAUCCAACACAGUGCUCAAGAGGUAGCAGAUACCAAGAUAUUAACACCACGAUGAUGAUAUAUGCGAUGAUCACUAAUGUGCACAAGUAACAUUGGCGGCAAUACUCAAAGGCUAGUCUCGAUAGGAAAGUUACGCAAAAUUCUCUAUGGGGGUUAUCAAUGCAAUGGCAAGGUGUAGACAAACAUGUCGUCGUGGUUACCGUCCUUGCUUACGGUUGAAGGUGUCAAAAUUGUUGAGCAGGUGUUGUUGAUGACGAGUCCAUGCGAAGAUGGGCAGCGGUGAUGUUGAUGUCGAACUAUCCCUAAGUUGCCGAAAUGAGUUAGGAAACGGAAACCGCAACUCAAAUUCUCAAAACAAAAACGUGUCAAAAUUGUCAGAGUUGGUAGUGUGUAAACGGUGGCGUUUGCGGAAAGCGGUGGUUGUAUGUGGAAGUGAAAGUGGUAUGCCCGGUCAAAAUUGUCGAGAGUUAGGUGGGAAAUAGAGCGGUGGAUGGGGCUGCUACUGCCAGGGGCCGGAUGUCUGGGCUUGAGGGCCAGAUUUCCGGGGUCGGGGGAUGUCCGGGGGUCACGGGACGGAUGUCCGGGUCUUGGCUCCGUGGACGAACUCGAUGGAUCUCGUGGAGAAAUCAAAAUUUCGGGGCAAAAUUCGAGAGAUUGCGUGGAUGUAAUUGGUAGAAAAGUUAGGGGAAGCUAGAUCUACUAGCAACACAACAAAUCCACGAAUCAAAUCCAACAAAACUUCAUCACACCAACAAAUCACAAAAAUUAUUAGGAGGGUUACUUUUGUGGGGAUUUUCGAAUUUGGGAGAAAAACAACAAAACAAGGCUAGAAAACAAGGGUAGGGGCUCAAAAUUCAGGAUCAACCAAGGCUCAUGAUACCAAGAUGAUGUAGGGUAGAACCCUAGGGCCCGAUCUUUCACGAAAUGGAGGGGAUCCCGUGAAGAACACGAGGAGAAAAAUCACUCAAACCAACAAGAUUCGAUUACACAUGUGCUAGAUCCUCGAAACACAAAGGGAUACACGAUCCACAAUUAACAAAGGACGAUACAAGUAGCAAGUUCUUCUCCGUGAGGUGAUCAGUGUGAUCUCGUUGCAUGGGACAACAUGGUUGUGAUGUUUUUAGCACAAGAAGUCAGAUAACCACGACGAGUAACAGAAGCUUGUUGGAUCUACUCAUGUACAUGCUCUCAUCUCGAACUCAUGUUCCCAUUGCAUCCCAUGCCCAACAGUGAUCAUCAUCCUAAUAGUCCAAGCUAAAUGCUACCUCUGCAUACACCCAGUGCAACAAUAGAAAAAUGGGCAAGCCUAAAGUUUCACCAUGUAGUUGCAAGUCUUUAGCUUUUAUACUCGUUGGGACCGUGUAUCUAGGUCCAAAGGAGUGAUUCCACAAGUAUUUAUGGGUCAGGUGUGUUGUUGAUUUUACCAUACCAACAACCACUUGUCCUCUGACUCCUCUCCCAAUGCACAUGCUUAAUGAGAUGCUAAGUACAGGAAAUGACUCACCAACUAAACUCUCUAAUGUAUACGGUGCUUAGCUUUUUUUAGCUAAGUUUCCUUCAUUUAAUUGCCUAGCAACUAAACUUCUUUAGGCAAAGGUGUCUUGCAUUGUUUUUUUCAGAUAAACUUCCAAUUUAUUCAUUCUCAAUCAUGGCAGUACAAAGAACACCAGAAGUGAUAAAAUUUAUUAUUUGGUCAGACCACCUAGCGAUGACUACAAGCACCGGAGCGAGUCGAAUGUGUCACCCCUCCCUCACCAGAGCCAGAAAAACCUUAUUGCAGUAGACAGUCAAGAAGUCGUCGUGCUAGGACCCCAUAGGACCAACGCACCAGAGCAACAAACAUCACCGACAAAGAAAGUUAUUGAUGUCGGGUAGAAGCCUAGGGCCCGAUCUUUCACGAAAUGGAGGGGAUCCCGCGAAGAACAUGAAGAACACGAGGGGAAACACGAGGAGAGAAAUCACUCAAACCAACAAGAUUCGAUUACACAUGUGCUAGAUCCUCGAAACACAAAGAGAUACAUGAUCCACGAUCAACAAAGGACGAUACAAGUAGCAAGUUCUUCUCCGUGAGGAGGUCUUGAGGGAGGUCUUCCCGUGAGGGGUCUUGAAUCUACUUGGGGGACCUUCUCCGAAGAGGUCGUAGACUCCAAUGUAGAAGUAACCAAGUGGAUGAGCAAAGCUCUAUCUCUCAAAUGAGCUAGUCCUUUGCUAACCCUAGAAAGAGGAAGCGGGAGGACUAUAUAUAGUCUAGGUGGGUGAAGGGGUACAUGGGCCACGGCCCUUUCACUGUGCGCAGACAGGCGAGGCCGGACGUGUGGGCGUCGGGCCGGAUAUCCGGGGCUUCACGAGGACCCGGAUGGCGGGCUUCAGGUCAGAUGUCCGGGAUGGAGGAGUCUGGUCUGGGCUCUCUGGAUGGACGUAGUUCGGAUGUCCGGGCGGGUGUCCAGAUGUCUGGUAGCUCGGGAACGGUCGGAUGUCCGGACCAGAAGCUGGAUGUCCAGGCAGCUGGCACUGGUCCUCUUGCUCUCUGGAUAGGCUUGUCCGCAUGUCCGGGCUAGGAGCCAGAUUUCCGGGCCGGGGCCGGAUGUCCGGGCCCUGUAGACUUGGCCGCUGGCUCGUUGCUGCUGGCUACACCUCCAGGGGCCGGAUGUCCGGGGUCAUGGCCGGGUGUCCGGGUCCUGAGAGCUAUUCUCGACUCCUUCCGUUGGUUCUCUUCAUCCGUGAACUUGGGGAAUUGUCCGUCUUCACGUGCAUCUUCGAGAGGGCCUUCUUGGUACCUGAUCAUGCACAACAUUCCAAACUUAGGUAGUAGCCAUGUCUCGAGUGGAUCAUAUGGAAUAUCACUAAGGAGAGAUGUCACCUCAAUCUCAAGAGCUCUAGCUCGUGCUCAUGUCAUUGGUCCUUGUUGGGGAACGUAGUAAUUUCAAAAAUUUCCUACGCACACGCAAGAUCAUGGUGAUGCAUAGCAACAAGAGGGGAGAGUGUUGUCCACGUACCCUCGUAGACCGAAAGCGGAAGCGUUAGCACAACGCGGUUGAUGUAGUUGUACGCCUUCACGGCCCGACCGAUCAAGCACCGAAAGCACGGCACCUCCGAGUUCUUGCACACGUACAGCUCGAUGACGUCCCUCGAACUCCGAUCCAGUCAAGUGUCGAGGGAGAGUUCCGUCAGCACGACGGCGUGGUGACGAUGAUGAUGUUCUACCGACGCAGGGCUUCGCCUAAGCACCGCUACGAUAUUAUUGAUGUGGACUAUGGUGGAGGGGGGCACCGCACACGGCUAAGAGAUCCAAUGGAUCAAUUGUUGUUGUGCCUAGAGGUGCCCCCCUGCCCCCGUAUAUAAAGGAGCAAGGGGGGAGGGGGCGGCCGGCCUAGGAGGGGGCGCGCCAAGGGGAGUCCUACUCCCACCGGGAGUAGGACACCCUCCUUCCUUGUUGGAGUAGGAGAAGGGGAAAGAGGGGGAGAGGAAGAAGGAAAAGGGGGUUGCGCCCCUUGUCCAAUUCGGACCAGAGGGGGGGCGCAGGCCUCCUUCCUUUUGGCCUCUCUCCUCUAUUCCCGUAUGGCCCAAUAAGGCCCAUAUACUCCCCGGCGAAUUCCCGUAACUCUCCGGUACUCCGAAAAAUACCUGAAUCACUUGGAACCUUUCCUAAGUCCGAAUAUAGUCGUCCAAUAUAUCGAUCUUUACGUCUCUGACCAUUUCGAGACUCCUCGUCAUGUCCCCGAUCUCAUCCGGGACUCCGAACUUCUUCGGUACAUCAAAACUCAUAAACUCAUAAUAUAACUGUCAUCGAUACCUUAAGCGUGCGGACCCUACGGGUUCGAGAACAAUGUAGACAUGACCGAGACAUGUGUCCGGUCAAUAACCAAUAGCGGAACCCGGAUGCUCAUAUUGGCUCCCACAUAUUCUACGAAGAUCUUUAUCGGUCAAACCGCAUAACAACAUACGUUGUUCCCUUUGUCAUCGGUAUGUUACUUGCCCGAGAUUUGAUCGUCGGUAUCUUAAUACCUAGUUCAAUCUCGUUACCGGCAAGUCUCUUUACUCGUUACGUAAUACAUCAUCCCGCAACUAACUCAUUAGUUGCAAUGCUUGCAAGGCUUAUAGUGUUGUACAUUACCAAGUGGGCCCAGAGAUACCUCUCCGACAAUCGGAGUGACAAAUCCUAUCUCAAAAUACGCCAAACCAACAUGUACCUUCGGAGACACCUGUAGAGCUCCUUUAUAAUCACCCAGUUACGUUGUGACGUUUGGUAGCACACAAAGUGUUCCUUCGGUAAAUGGGAGUUGCAUAAUCUCAUAGCCAUAGGAACAUGUAUAAGUCAUGAAGAAAGCAGUAGCAACAUACUAAACGAUCAAGUGCUAAGCUAACAGAAUGGGUCAAGUCAAUCACAUCAUUCUCCUAAUGAUGUGAUCCCAUUAAUCAAAUUACAACUCAUGUCUAUGGUUAGGAAACUUAACCAUCUUUGAUUAAUGAGCUAGUCAAGUAGAGGCAUACUAGUGACAUUAUGUUUGUCUAUGUAUUCACACAUGUAUUAUGUUUCCGGUUAAUACAAUUCUAGCAUGAAUAAUAAACAUUUAUCAUGAAAUAAGGAAAUAAAUAAUAACUUUAUUAUUGCCUCUAGGGCAUAUUUUCUUCAGUCUCCCACUUGCACUAGAGUCAAUAAUCUAGUUCACAACAUCAUGUGAUUUAACACCAAUAUUCACAUCUGUAUGUGAUUAAUACCCAUAGUUCACAUCGUCAUGUGAUCAACACCCAAAGGGUUUACUAGAGUCAAUAAUCUAGUUCACAUCGCUAUGUGAUUAACACCCAAAGAGUACUAAGGUAUGAUCAUGUUUUGCUCAUGAGAGAAGUUUAGUCAACGGGGCUGUCACAUUCAGAGCCGUAUGUAUUUUGCAAAUAUUCUUUGUCUUCAAUGCUCUGUACGGAGCUACUCUAGCUAAUUGCUCCCACUUUCAAUAUGUAUCCAGAUUGAGACUUAGAGUCAUCUGGAUCAGUGUAAAAGUUUGUAUUGAUGUAACUUUUAUGACGAACUCUUUUAUCACCUCCAUAAUCGAGAAACAUCUCCUUAGUCCUCACUAAGGAUAUUCUUGACCGCUGUCCAGUGAUCUACUAUUAGAUCAAAAUUGUAUUCCUUUGCCAAACUCAGAGAAAGGUAUACAAUAGGUGUGGUAUACAGCAUAGCAUACUUUAUAGAACCUAUGACUGAGAAAUAGGGAAUGACUUAUCAUUCUAUUUUUUUUAUUUUCUGCUUAUGGUCGGGUUUUGAGUCUUACUCAACUUCACACCUUGCAACAUAGACAAGAACUCCUUCUUUGACUGUUCUAUUUUGAACUACUUCAAAAUCUUAUCAAGGUAUGUACUUAUUGAAAAAUCUUAUCAAGCGUCUUGAUCUAUCUUAUAGAUCUUGAUGCUCAAUGUGUAAGCAGCUUCACCGGGGUCUUUCAUUGAAAAACUUUUAUUCAAGUAUCCUUUUAUGCUAUCCAGAAAUUCUAUAUCAUUUCCAAUCAACAAUAUGUCUUGCACAUAUAAUAUUAGAAAUGCUACAGAGCUCCCACUCACUUUCUUGUAAAUACAUGCCUUUCCAAAAGUCUGUAUAAAACCAUAUGCUUUGAUCAACUCAUCAAAGUGUAUAUUCCAACUCCGAGAUGCUUGCACCAGUCCAUUUAUGGAUCACUGGAGCUUGCACAUUUUGUUAGCACCUUUAGGAUUGACAAAACCUUCCGGUUGCAUCAUAUACAACUCUUCUUUAAAGAAUCCAUUGAGGAAUGUAGUUUUGACAUCCAUUUGCCAGAUUUCAUAAAAUGUGGCAAUUGCUAACAUGAUUCGGACAGACUUAAGCAUCGAUACGAGUGAGAAAAUCUCAUCAUAUUCAACACCUUGAACUUGUCGAAAACCUUUCGCAACAAGUCGAGCUUAGUAGAUAGUAACACUACUAUCAGUGUCUAUCUUCCUCUUGAAGAUCCAUUUAUUUAACAUGGCUUGCUGAUCAUCAAGCAAGUCAAUCAAAGUCCAUACUUUGUUCUCAUACAUGGAUCCCAUCUUAGAUUUCAUGGCCUCAAGCCAUUUCGCGGAAUCUGGGCUCAUCAUCGCUUUCAUAGUUCGUAGGUUCAUCAUGGUCUAGUAACAUGACUUCCAGAACAGGAUUACCAUACCACUCUGGUGCGGAUCUUACUCUGGAAGACCUACGAGGUUUUGUAGUAACUUGAUCUAAAGUUUCAUGAUCAUCAUCAUUAGCUUCCUCACUAAUUGGUAUAGGAAUCACUGUAAUUGAUUUCUAUGAUGAACUACUUUCCAAUUCAGGAGAAGGUACAAUUACCUCAUCAAGUUCUACUUUCCUCCCACUCACUUCUUUCGAGAGAAACUUCUUCCCUAGAAAGGAUCCAUUCUAAGCAACGAAUAACUUGCCUUCGAAUCUGUGAUAGAAGGUGUACCCAAUAGUUACCUUUGGGUAUUCUAUGAAGACGCACUUCUCCAAUUUGGGUUCGAGCUUAUUAGGUUGAAACUUUUUCACAGAAGCAUCGCAGCCGCAAACUUUAAGAAACGACAACUUUGGUUUUUUGCCAAACCACAGUUCAUAAGGCGUCAUCUCAACGGAUUUUGAUGGUUCCGUAUUUAAAGUAAAUGCAGCUGUCUCUAAUGCAUAACCCCAAAACAAUAGUGGUAAAUCGGUAAGAGACAUCAUAGAUUGCACUAUAUCCAAUAAAGUACGGUUAUGGCGUUCGGACACACCAUUACGAUGUGGUGUUCCAGGUGGCAUGGGCUGUGAAACUAUUCCACAUUGUUUUAUAUGAAGGCCAAACUCGUAACUCAGAUAUUUGUCUCCGCGAUCAAAUCACAAAAACGUUAUCUUCUUGUUACGAUGAUUCUUCACUUCACUCUGAAAUUCUUUGAACUUUUCAAAAUGUUUCAGACGUGUGCUUCAUUAAGUAGAUAUACUCAUAUCUGCUCAAAUCAUCUUAUGAAGGUCAGAAAAUAACGAUACUCGCCACGAGCAUCAACACUCAUUGGAUCGCAUACAUCGGUAUGUAUUAUUUCCAAUAAAUCAGUAGCUCGUUCCAUUGUUCCGAAGAACAGAGUUUUAGUCAUCUUGCCCAAAAGGCACGGUUCGCAAGCAUCAAAUGAUUCGUAAUCAAGUGAUUCCAAAAACCCAUCAGCAUGGAGUUUCUUCAUGCGCUUUACAUCGAUAUGACCAAAACGGCAGUGCCACAAGUAAGUUGCACUAUCAUUAUCAACUUUGCAUUUUUUGGCAUCAAUAUUGUGAAUAUGUGUAUCACUAUGAUUGAGAUCCAACAAACUAUUUUCAUUGGGUGUAUUACCAUCGAAGGUUUUAUUCAUGUAAACGGAACAACAAUUAUUCUCUGACUUUAAAUGAAUAAUGUAUUGCAAUAAACAUGAUCAAAUCAUAUUCAUGCUCAACGCAAACACCAAAUAACAUUUAUUUAGGUUUCAACACUAAUCCCGAAAGUAUAGGGAGUGUGCGAUGAUGAUCAUAUCAAUCUUGGAACCACUUCCAACACACAUCGUCACUACACCCUCAACUAGUCUCUGUUUUAUUCUGUAACUCAUGUUUCGAGUUACUAAUAUUAGCAACUAAAGAAGUAUCAAAUACUCAGGGGCUACUAUAAACACUAGUAAGGUACACAUCAAUAACAUGUAUAUCAAAUAUACCCUUGUUCACUUUGCCAUCUUUCUUAUCCACCAAAUAUUCAGGGUAUUUCCGCUUCUAGUGACCAUUUCCUUUGCAGUAUAAUCACUCAGUUUCAGGCUUUGGUCCAGCUUUGGGCUUCUUCGCGGGAGUGACAACUUGCUUGCCAUUCUUCUUGAAGUUCCCUUUCUUUCCCUUUGCCCUUUUCUUGAAACUAGUGGCCUUAACAAUCAUCAACACUUGAUGCUCUUUUCUUGAUUUCUACCUUCGUCGAUUUCAGCAUCACGAAGAGCUCGGGAAUUGUUUUCGUCAUCCCUUGCAUUAUAGUUCAUCACGAAGUUCUAGUAACUUGGUGAUGGUGACUAGAGAACUCUGCCAAUCACUAUCUUAUCAGGAAGAUUAACUCCCACUUGAUUCAAGCGAUUGUAGUACUCAGACAAUCUAAGCACUUGCUCACUAGUUGAGCAAUUCUCCUCUAUUUUUAGGUGAAGUAUUUGUCAGAGGUCUCAUACCUCUUGACACGGGCAUGAGUCUGAAAUACCAAUUUCAUCUCUUGAAACAUCUUAUAUGUUCCAUGACAUUUCAAAAACAUUUUUUUAGUCCCGGUUCUAAGCCAUAAAGCAUGGUGCACAAAACUAUCAAGUAGUCAUCAUAUUGAGCUAGUCAAAUGCUCAUAACGUAUGCAUCUGCUCCUGCAAUAGGUCUGUCACCUAGCGAUGCAUCAAGGACAUAAGUCUUCUGUGCAGCAAUGAGGAUAAACCUCAGAUCACGGACCAAGUCCGCAUCAUUGCUACUAACAUUUUUCAACUUAGUUUUCUUUAGGAACACAUAUAAAAAUGUAGGGAAGCAAAAAACAUAGGGAAGCAACAACGCGAGCUAUUGAUCUACAACAUAAUUCGCAAAAUACUACCAGGACUAAGUCAUGAUAAAUUUAAAGUUCAAUUAAUCAUAUUACUUAAGAACUCCCACUUAGAUAGACAUCCCUCGAAUCAUCUAAGUGAUCACGUGAUCCAAAUCAACUAAACCACGUCCGAUCAUCAUGUGAGAUGGAGUAGUUUUCAAUGGUGAACAUCACUAUGUUGAUCAUAUCUACUAUAUGAUUCACGUUCGACCUUUCAGUCUCCGUGUUCCAAGGCCAUAUCUGUAUAUGCUAGGCUCGUCAAGUUUAACCUGAGUAUUCCGUGUGUGCAACUGUUUUGCACCCGUUGUAUUUGAACGUAGAGCCUAUCACACCCGAUCAUCACGUGGUGUCUCAGCACGAAGAACUUUCGCAACGGUGCAUACUCAGGGAGAACACUUCUUGAUAAUUAGUGAGAGAUCAUCUUAAAAUGCUACCGCCGAACUAAGCAAAAAAAUAUGUAUAACAGAUAAACAUCAUAUGCAAUCAAAAUAUGUGACAUGAUAUGGCCAUGAUCAUCUUGCGCCUUUCAUCUCCAUCUCCAAAGUACUGUCAUGAUAUCUAUCGUCACCAGCACGACACCAUGAUCUUCAUCAUCUUGAUCUAUAUCAAUGUGUCGUUACAUGGUCGUCUCGCCAACUAUUGCUCUUGCAACUAUUGCUAUCGCAUAGCGAUAAAGUAAAGCAAUUAUUUGGCACUUGCAUCUUAUGCAACAAAGAGACAACCAUAGGGCUUCUGCCAGUUGCCGAUAACUUCAACAAAACAUGAUCAUCUCAUACAACAACUUAUAUCUCAUCACGUCUUGACCAUAUCACAUCACAACAUGCCCUGCAAAAACAAGUUAGACGUACUCUACUUUGUUGUUGCAAAUUUUACGUGACUGCUAUGGGCUGAGCAAGAACUGUUCUUACCUACGCAUCAAAACCACAACGAUAGUUCGUCAAGUUAGUGAUGUUUUAACCUUCGCAAGAACCAGGCGUAGCCACACUCGGUUCAACUAAAGUUGGAGAAACUGACACCCGCUAGCCACCUGUGUGCAAAGCACGUCGGUAGAACCAGUCUCGCGUAAGCAUACGCGUAAUGUCGGUCCGGGCCGCUUCAUCCAACAAUACCGCCGAACCAAAGUAUGACAUGUUGGUAAGCAGUAUGACUUGUCUCGCCCACAACUCACUUGUGUUCUACUCGUGCAUAUAACAUCAAUGCAUAAAACCUAGGCUUGGAUGCCACUGUUGGGGAACGUAGUAAUUUCAAAAUUUUCCUACGCACACGCAAGAUCAUGGUGAUGCAUAGCAACGACAGGGGAGAGUGUUGUCCACGUACCCUCGUAGACCGAAAGCGGAAGCGUUAGCACAACACAGUUGAUGUAGUCGUACGUCUUCACGGCCCGACCGAUCAAGCACCGAAAGCACGGCACCUCCGAGUUCUUGCACACGUACAGCUCGAUGACGUCCCUCAAACUCCGAUCCAGCCGAGUGUCGAGGGGGAGUUCCGUCAGCACGACGGUGUGGUGACGAUGAUGAUGUUCUACCAACGCAGGGCUUCGCCUAAGCACCGCUACGAUAUUAUCAAGGUGGACUAUGGUGGAGGGGGGCACCGCACACGGCUAAGAGAUCCAAGGGAUCAGUUGUUGUUGUGCCUAGAGGUGCCCCCCUUCCCCUGUAUAUAAAGGAGCAAGGGGGAGGGGGCGGCCAUCCUAGGAGGGGGCGCGCCAAGGGGAGUCCUACUCCCACCGGGGGUAGGACUCCCUCCUUCCUUGUUGGAGUAGGAGAAUGGAAAAUAGGGGGAGAGGAAGAAGGAAAAGGGGGUUGCGCCCCUUGUCCAAUUCGGACCAGAGGGGGGGUGUAGGCCUCCUUCCUUUUGGCCUCUCUCCUCUAUUCCCGUAUGGCCCAAUAAGGCCCAUAUACUCCCCGACGAAUUCCCGUAACUCUCCAGUACUCCAAAAAUACCCGAAUCACUCGGAACCUUUCCGAAGUCCGAAUAUAGUCGUCCAUGUUGGAAAUAUUCCCUAGAGGCAAUAAUAAAAGAUUAUUAUUAUAUUUCCUUGUUCAUGAUAAUUGUCUAUUAUUCAUGCUAUAAUUGUGUUAUCCGGAAAUCAAAAUACAUGUGUGAAUACAUAGACCACAACAUGUCCCUAGUGAGCCUCUAGUUGACUAGCUUGUUGACCAACUGAUAGUCAUGGUUUCCUGACUAUGGACAUUGGAUGUCAUUGAUAACGGGAACACAUCAUUAGGAGAAUGAUGUGAUGGACAAGACCCAAUCCUAAGCAUAGCACAAGAUCGUGUAGUUCGUUUGCUAGAGCUUUUCCAAUGUCAAGUAUCUUUUCCUUAGACCAUGAGAUCGUGUAACUCCCGGAUAUCGUAGGAGUGCUUUGGGUGUACCAAACGUCACAACGUAACUGGGUGACUAUAAAGGUAUACUACGGGUAUCCCCGAAAGUGUCUGUUGGGUUGACAUGGAUCGAGACUGGGAUUUGUCACUCCGUAUGACGGAGAGGUAUCUCUGGGCCCACUCGGUAAUGCAUCAUCAUAAUGAGCUCAAAGUGACCAAGUGUUUGGUCACGGGAUCAUGCAUUACGGUACGAGUAAAGUGACUUGCCGGUAACGAGAUUGAACGAGGUAUUGGGAUACCGACGAUAGAAUCUCGGGCAUGUAACGUACUGAUUGACAAAGGGAAUUGUAUACGGGGUUGCUUGAAUCCUCGACAUCGUGGUUCAUCCGAUGAGAUCAUCGAGGAGCAUGUGGGAGCCAACAUGGGUAUCCAGAUCCCGCUGUUGGUUAUUGACCGAAGAGUCGUCUCGGUCAUGUCUACGUGUCUCCCGAACCCGUAGGGUCUACACACUUAAGGUUCGGUGAUGCUAGGGUUGUAGAGAUAUGAGUAUGCAGUAAACUGAAAGUUGUUCGGAGUCCCGGAUGAGAUACCGGACGUCACGAGGAGUUCCGGAAUGGUCCGGAGGUAAAGAAUUAUAUAUAGGAAGUCAGGUUUUGGCCAUCGGGAAAUUUUUCGGGGUCACCGAUAUUGUACCGGGACCACCGGAAGGGUCCCGGGGGUCCACCGGGUGGGGCCACCUAUCCCGGAGGGCCCCAUGGGCUGAAGUGGGAUGGGAACCAGCCCCUGGUGGGCUGGUGCACCCUCCCCCCCUUGGGCCCCCCUGCGCCUAGGGUUGGAAACCCUAGGGGUGGGGGCGCCUCCACCUGGCUUGGGGGGCAAGUUUCCCCCCUGGCCGCCGCCCCCCCUGGAGAUUACAUCUCCUAGGGCCGGCGCCCCCCUAGGGGCCCUAUAUAAAGAGGGGGGAGGGAGGGCAGCCGCACCCAUGCUCUUGGCGCCUCCCUCUCCCUCCGCAACACCUCUCCCUCUCUGUAGUGCUUGGCGAAGCCCUGCCGAGAUCGCUGCUGCAUCCACCACCACGCCGUCGUGCUGCUGGAUCUCCAUCAACCUCUCCUCCCCCCUUGCUGGAUCAAUAAGGAGGAGACGUCUUCCCCAACCGUACGUGUGUUGAACGCGGAGGUGCUGUCCGUUUAGCACUAGGAUCAUCGGUGAUUUGGAUCACGACGAGUACGACUCCCUCAACCCCGUUCUCUUGAACGCUUCCACUUGCGAUCUACAAGCAUAUGUAGAUGCACUCCUCUCUCUCGUUGCUAGAUGAACUCAUAGAUUGAUCUUGGUGAAUAGUAGGAAAAAAUUUAUUUUAUGCAACGUUCCCCAAAAGUCCAAUAUAUCAAUCUUUACGUCUCGACCAUUUCGAGACUCCUCGUCAUGUCCCCGAUCUCAUCCGGGACUCCGAACUCCUUCGGUACAUCAAAACGUAUAAACUCAUAAUAUAACUGUCAUCGAAUCCUUAAGCGUGCGGACCCUACGGGUUCGAGAACAAUGUAGACAUGACCGAGACAUGUCUCCCGUCAAUAACCAAUAGCGGAACCUGGAUGCUCAUAUUGGCUCCCACAUAUUCUACGAAGAUCUUUAUCGAUCAAACCGCAUAACAACAUACCUUGUUCCCUUUGUCAUCGGUAUGUUACUUGCCCGAGAUUUGAUCAUCGGUAUCUUAAUACCUAGUUCAAUCUCGUUACCGGCAAGUCUCUUUACUCGUUACGUAAUACAUCAUCCCGCAACUAACUCAUUAGUUGCAAUGCUUGCAAGGCUUAUAGUGAUGUGCAUUACCGAGUGGGCCCAGAGAUACCUCUCUGACAAUCGGAGUGACAAAUCCUAAUCUCGAAAUACGCCAACCCAACAUGUACCUUCGAAGACACCUGUAGAGCUCCUUUAUAAUCACCCAGUUACGUUGUGACGUUUGGUAGCACACAAAGUGUUCCUAAUGAUGUGAUCCCGUUAAUCAAAUAACAACUCAUGUCUAUGGUUAGGAAACUUAACCAUCUUUGAUUAAUGAGCUAGUCAAGUAGAGGCAUACUAGUGACAUUAUGUUUGUCUAUGUAUUCACACAUGUAUUAUGUUUCUGGUUAAUACAAUUCUAGCAUGAAGAAUAAACAUUUAUCAUGAAAUAAGGAAAUAAAUAAUAACUUUAUUAUUGCCUCUAAGGCAUAUUUCCUUCAGUCCUUUUGGUACUUGAUGAGACAAUGGUAGGUCCAUGGGAUGACCAAAAGAUGCUCCGCAUCAGUCGUAGCUUGGAUGGAUCAAACAUGUAAACACCCAAACAAAGACCGAAUCAAAAUUGAUCCACCGAUGUUCAACACUGACCAAAUCCCACGAGAUCCGGCCAAGGCACACCUCUAUACACCGUCCGACGAAGCUAGUCGCACCAUCGGGACGGGGAUAGAACAUGGUAAACAUUAUUCCUACUGAGAGACACCACUGCCGCCACACAACCCCAACCAAGAUGUUGAACCUAACAAGAACGAGAACGGGAUCCCUCCCACUGGCGGGGCCCCAAGGUCCUCCGCAUUUCCAUGGCCCAAAGCCAUGAGGCAGACCGGCGGCACCGCCGAUGGGAGGAGGAGGAAAGACUGGGAUCUUUUCUUGUGGGGGAGGAAAGAGAAGGCGUUGUGCAUCAGUUCUGCCCCACUGAUUUGUUUACUCCAAGGUGUCUUGCAUUGGUCCACAUGCCUGGCAUUGUUUCUUCGUGAGAUCACAAAAGUGCUCUCUCUUCUUAUUAAUUACUUUGCCAUGUCACUUUCUCUUCUUCUUAUGUGACAUGCUUAGCUCCUAUACACCAUGAAACACAAAGACUGGUUUGUGGGUGUCAGAGCUAGCAAUUUUAUUGAAAGGAAAUUCUUUAUAUAACUACAUGGUGUUGCAUGUAAUCUAGGUGUAGUUAUAAAUAUGAUUAACAGUGGACAUGAUGUUAACGUGUUGAUAUACACAAUUAUUAUGUUAUGAAGGUCUAUAGGUUAUGAUUUGGUAAACACAACUAUGAAGAUCUACCUGUUAUCAUCUUACUGCAUAAAAUGAUUAUUAUCAAGUAUCUAGUUAGCUAAAAUUCUGAUGUUUUGUUGAGUUAGAUACACAAAUAUUAACUUAGCAUGGUCUAAAAUAAAAGGAGGGUCCACCACUUAUUGUCUGGAUGCUAUACUCCUAUCAUGAACUCGUUUAGCUUCGCCAUUGCUUUCCCUCGAUAUAAAUUAUCUUACUAAGGAGUUUGAUUUAAUUUGCAUCAUUACACAUACUUGUGAAGCUCCAAUCAAAUAAGAAGAAUUGAUGGGAAGAAUUUUGGCACUUGAUUCUAUUGUGUAUAGUGUAGUGUGGUGUUUUUUUAAUGAUAUUACCACCUCAACAACUGGCUUGUCCAACUACUUAACUCCUGAGGGUACAACUAGUAUCAGGGUAACAAUAGUAAUGAAAUAGAAUUAUUUAUAAAAUUAUGAUUUACAAUGUACCUGAUGUUUGAGUGUAGAUAUAUAAAUUUGAAUGUUAUGAGGGUAUAUCAAUUAUGAUAUAUUGGACGUGAGUACAAAGAUCUAUUGAUUAUGAAAGCUAUGCAUGCACACCUAAUAACACUGCAACUCCCUUCCGAACUAAUAGGAUAUCGCUCCCGUGUCGCUCGUGGGUGACACAGGGGCAUCCCAGGGUGUAGCCGCCUACCACUCCUCGUUGUCGCUGCUGCCAAUGAGAGUAGUGGCGGUGGCCCCUACUCCCCUAGAUCAUAUAGAGAUACAUGCCACUCGGGUCCACAUCGACAUCAGGAGUUGCGACAACGGCUUACCCACACCAAGCAGCCUUAGUGACGUCCACUGCACGACAUAGUAAUGAGGGUUGUCUACGGUGGUCGGGCCGAGUUGGACUAGCGAUUCCUUGUCUUGUCUUGAUUCUUGCUGCCAUGUCCGGUACCGAUCCGGAGUGUUUGAUCUGGCCCGGCGGCAGCACCUCGUGCUUCCUCAUGUGGUUGGCUGUCGGCCCUGCUCUUCCUAAUGGUGGUUUGGAGGCGCACCCUCCCGUAGUGGUGGUUUUGCCUGGAGGUGAUGUUGGUCCAGCGCAUGGCCAUGCAACACUUAAGGAGUGUCUUCUUCCCGGCUUUAGGUGCCCUCAUAGCCAAGGUCUAUCCUUGACGAAGCUCCAUCAGGUGGUUACCAAAAGGUCUUUGAGAGGGUUUCUCUUCCAGAUCUGGUGGUUGAUUUUCGGCGAGGAGAUACAAACUAUGGACAAUGACUUGAUGCAGAAGAAUGUUUGCAGAGCGACAGCGAUUAACACCACAUGUAGCUGCUGGGAUCGCGAAAAAUUGGUGGAGGAAAACCAUAAGUGACAUUGUUGGUGGUGCUACUCGAGGACCCAGUCUCAAGCUCCAGGGUGAAAGUCUAGGUCCAAACUACGUUGGUUAUACCUGACAAUAUCGAUGUUCUUGCGUCAUUACCUUGUUGAAGGCAUUGCUCGGAUAUACUUGGACUGGUUCUUCAGGAUGAAAACCUAGAUUCUGGCCUUUGAUGCCUAGGAUCUAGCCGCGCGUCGCGGCCCCUCCCUCCCUCGUCACCAGCAGGAUGUAGCCGCGCGUCUCGGCCCCUCCCUUCCUGCACCCCAAUUCCCUUGUGAUCUCGCACCACCUUUUCAACGAACACAAGAGAAGGCCCACUGCCCUCCCCAUGGCAGACACCGGCAAAGAAUCGGCGCCAUCCCACCUCCUAGUCCUCCAUAUGGGUGCCUAUAGCCACAAGGUUAUAGGCAACGUCUUUCCCACACCCCAAUUGGUUGUUUGCGUCCUCUACAUAUCAUUUCUCAGCCAUGGCUGUAGCUUUGAGUUGGCCAUGCAUCUCAUCCGAUGGCAAGGUGGUUGGGUAUGGAUCAUGUUCUGCGGGACUAGAUGAAGCAGGCUGACGGCCUCGACGGCCAUCCCCAUUCGUCCAGCCCCGACUGCAUGAUCUACGAACGUUCAAUCAUUGCAUUCAACAUGUAUUCUUUCAAUUUGGCUGAUGGUGAGAUUUGGAGAUCAAUAGAGAUGAUAAGCUAUUAAUUUUGGAAUGUACUAUAAACAAUUCAUAGCUUAUGUUGCUCAAUAUUUAUGAUCCUCACUUCUUCUUGUGCAAUUGCUGGACUGGGAUCAAUAGACUUGGCAUGUGCUUUAUAUGAAAAAUUAGAUUCACAUGGGAUAUCCACCUUUUCAAGAUUGCUGUUAAUUCUUAUUAUGAUGUUUUAGCCUUGUUAAAGGGAGAGUAAUGGUCCUCGCAAAAAGUAGAGAGAAAGGAAUGAGCAUUUGAUUCUUCCAUAUGUUGCAUUUCAUUCUUCCGUGUUUAGUUAUGUCCAACAUUUGUUACAUGCACACACUUGACAAGGUUAGUACAAGUAGUAAUUUUUCCUCUCUUUUGCAGGGCUAUGACUAAACAUGCUAUGUGAUUCCUUGAGGCAGGAUGGAUGCACCAUGGCCACACCACUGUGCUCCUGAAGGUGAUCGCUUCAAUUCAGCAUUGCAGCACCUGCAGAGGGCCCCCUAUGGUACGUGCUUUACUCUUGUUAUCAUAUGCUCUAUUUUUUUGGCUUUGCGGCAUGCCUACGAGACAUAGCUGGGAUUGCGUGUUGAACCAGGCAGUAUUUUUGACUUCUGUUGUGAGGCUAUGCUCAUGCUCGUACCUUUUUCUCUCGUAUGAAAAUAGACAUAUCAUAAUCCAUUAUUCUUCUAGGGUUGCCCCAGGCACCAAUACUAUCACAUGGUAGUAAAAAGCAAAUAUAGAUUUCUACAAGAUCCCGUAGAGACCAAAUUUAUUUCAAGCAAAAUAUAGUAACCAAUAUUAUUGAAGUUUUACAACUUGACUCAUGUGCAAUGGACUAAGAACACGGCUAGGAAACCUUCUUCGGGACUAAAACCCAACCACACCCUACUCUAUCGCUUUAUGGCCAAGUGUACACUCCACACUGCUGGACUAACUGCUUGCAUCUUCGUCGUCUUCAACCGCAGCUGCAUCCAAUAGCCUAGCAUGGUACUGCUUGAACCUACUCCUGUAUUUCAUUUUGUUGUAGGGUGAAUCGACAAGCACAACAGGUAGCUAUUUUCUGAAUUUCUCGAUGUAGGCCUGCAUGCAAGGAUAUGUUAGUAUCGUUCCAUAAGUUUCAGAAAAUGACAUAAUUUUAGGUGUUACUCUACGUACUCCGUCAUAUUGCUUCCUCAGUUUUAGUCCCGUAAAUAAUUCAAUGUUCUUCAGCAUGUACAGUGCACAACAAGAACUGCAAUAUUUUAUGUUGUUAGAUCAGCAUUUCAGAUAUUAACAAUCUAAAACAAAAACAAAAGCUAAUAUUUUUUACUGACGUUUCAUCAGAUUUUGGCACAUUAAUGUUCCGUACUGGCCAUUGCGUCAUGUUCAUGUCUUCACAUGCAUUGCUUUCUAUCCCAUUGACUCGCCUCGCUGCUCUCAGAUGUGCUUCCAUCCCAUGUACCUGCAAGCCCAAUGGGAUGAGAAGUUGCCUACGACUAAUACUUACAUACGAUGUCAAAUCCUUUGUUAUAAUUAAAUAUGUUGAAAUUCUCACCACGUUAUGUACUUCUUUGGGUACCAUACAGUGGAAAAGUGAAUCUAGAACCUGAAUCUCCUUCCUUCUGGGGUUUACGACCACAAGUAACCGGUGGACGUUUUGGCUGUUCGUAGGUAGGAAAACCUGGAGUGCACAGAUAAUUAGAUCAACGUGUAUAGUAAUAAAAAUCUGUUCAAAGUCAGGUUAAAAUACCAUAUCAUGUUUCAGGUAGCAGGUGCCUUGUGUUGUUCCAGGAAUGCCUGCCAAAGCAUCCUCGUAGCACUCCUCUAUCCUACCAUCUCUUUCGAGCUUAGCGACGCCGGCCACCCUCUCAAUGUAAACCAGUUGGCUGUCCCUUGUGUCAAUUGGGUCAUCAUGACGCAUGAGCUGGAUCGCAGCAUCAACCACCUACAACAAUAAUCAAGUUAAUUGUAUUGUACAGAAAUGAAACUUCAUAAACUAAUUUGUGAAAUAUCUUACUUCGUCACCCAACCAUACGGCUUCUUCAGAUCCAUAUUUUUGGGUGAGGCAUUGCAAAUGCUUCGAUAGCACGACAAUGUCAUCAACUAAGACCAUUUGUUUUUCAUGAUUUGUACUGUUGAUGAGUGACGCCACGAAAUCCUGUUGAACCACAUCUAGCUAGUCCCUCUGGGUUUCAGUAACUUCUGACCUCUUUUUUAAGUUGCUAGAGCCAAUUUUCCUCUUUUUAUUGUUUGUGUCCUCGGAAUCAUUUGUAGACUCUGAUGGAGUCUUGUAUCGUACGAAGCAUACUCGUCAUUCUUAAAUAAUUGCAAUACCACAUUUUUCUUUUCGCCCCCAUGAUUUGGUGGCGUCGAUUCAACCACACUUACUUCUUGCUGCUUUCAAAAGGAUUCAUCAUGGCUGUCAUCAUCUGCGAAGGCACGAGGCUCUUCGGGCUCUCACGAUCCCGUAGCCUUCACAGAGUGCUACUUACUCCGUCUGUUGAACGGAAUCUAUCAUACGAAAUAAACUGCAUGUUAGCCUUUAGCAGGUUCUUGCUCAAUUAUAGGUAAAAUGUGCAUCACCUGGAAAUCUUCAAGGCUUGUGGUGGCUUUGGAAUGCAUUUGCUUAUCCAAACUAGGAGCACCCUGGAUAUCAUCCACCUCUUUCAAAAGCUUAUGAAUACCACUAAGAUCCUAUUUGAGUUUUCUUUCAGCUCUAUCUAAUGCUUCAUCAUGUACGUGGAACAUCACAUGUUAUUUCUGAAAUGACAAUGAUUGUUUCAUAAUUAAGUUAACAUGCGUAUGUCAAACUCUUCAUCAAGGUUCUUCAUUGGGGGCUCCAUGUCAUCAUUUUUUAUUCCCUGCUUACAAUGGUGCUUAGCAGCAACCUCCGUGACAUCAUUUUGUUUCCCCUGGUCAAAAGCCUGCUCAGCAUUCUCAACAGACGCCUCCAUUGGGUGUGAAGGUGCCCCGAGGUCAGAAAGAUGUAUGUCCUCCAGUCCUGGAAAUAUUCUGUCGCGUUUUGUCUUUAAAAAAUACAUGUUAGUCUGGGGUGUUUUCAUAGUAAACUAAUUUAGAAAAAACCUUGUACACGUAAAUUUCCAGUUAUAUAUAUUAAUCUCAUAAUUCUAGGCUUACGUUCAAUUCUUUGAUGAGGUCCUCUGUGAGCUUGCCAUUUUUAUGGGUACGCCUAAGGCACUCAUCCAUUUUGUUUUCAAGGGUGCACAUCCUAUAAACUUGUUGUGCACCAGCCUCCCGCACGAGGGAGGCAACUUCUUGCAAAUCAGUCAAUACACGUCCGACGAGUACCUUAAUCUGAGACUUUGAAACAGUUAGAAUCAUAUAACUUCAUACUAGUUACAAUGUUACAAUAUAUAUUGGGUGCCUGAUGUAACUCAUUUACCUGAGCGCCAGUCUUCGGUUUGGCCAGCGUACCAUCUCGUGCUGGAAUGAAAGGCCUCAUCAGGUCCUCAACAUACUGCAGUUUAGUGUCGUUAGUAUGAUUUAGAAAAUAUACAUGUUACAUAAUCCAGGCAAUGUGCUGACAUUUUACCUCUCCAACCCCCAGAUAAUUAUUCUGGAUUAUAUUGUCAACCUUUUUUGCCUUCUCCUCACUCCAGUUCUGGAUCAACGGCCUUAACCUUGAUUGAUACGAUAUGCUAGAGUCCAAUUGGUGCACUCUGAACUUCUCGUAGUACCAUGUCUGCAUGACAACAAAAGUAGUUUACAAAUAUUCUCGUACAUUAUGUAAUGUAUGUUAGGUAAGUGAUAAUUGUACUACUACGAGUUACCUACAGCAGUGGUAGAUUCUCCUCCAGAAUUGCCUCACCAUUUACAAAAUUCUUCACGCUAUCCAUAAGAUAGUCAAGCGUUAGUUGUCCAAGAUUUGUGCCCUUUAUCGUCUCAACGUUUCUAACAAUCCCAAUAUAUUUGUUAUCCACAUACUCCUCUUUUGAUCGGCAUACAUAUUUUCCUAUGGUGUACAAGACAAAUGGCCUGACAAAAUUUGGUGUAUUGUCGCCUUUCAUCUUGGCUAGCAAUCCUUUGAAAGUUAUUUUGGUGUCAUUACGGUCUUUCAAUUUCUUCCACAACUCCAUAUUAUCAUCAAGAUUUGAAGGGACGUGCUUCUUCCCAUGGCAGGGCAUGCCUGUUAUAUGCGCUACAUCUUCUAGUGUGAUCCUACAUGGUCUCCCGUUGAUGAUAAAGGCAUCCUGCUCUGCAUCCUAUGAAUUAGCGAUGGCCAUGCACAGUACACGUCUAAUUUUGAUGCUAGGUGUCUUGAGAAGUCCACCCAGUCCUAUCAACUGGAUGUACAUCCUUUGUUGUGUGUUUAAUCCCUUUAUGAACUCCUCAUAUGGUGGCAAAGAAGCAUCCUGGGUUCAAUGGAUGUGCAAGUGUGAUUAGAUUCAGCAUGGUAUACAAUUUAAACACUCAUACAGACGAAUACAACUUAUAUAUACCAACAUAAAAAUUGUGCUCUAUGCUACUUCAUGAGGUAAUUUGUUUACAAGCAGGCUGAGUUCCAUGAAUGUGCAAAUACUAGCAUUAGAUUCAGCUUGGUUACGUUUGAACGGUCAUAUAAGGUAAUCUCCAUUGCAAGGCGCUUAUCUGAAAUAAAAUCAAGAUUGGAAAAUAAAAAACUAUCCAACCAUGGUCUCCUCAACUCUAGGCGCUAAUCAUGGUCAGUAGUAUGGAAUUAAAACAUGGGCCAUCGAUGCCUUCCAUAACUCGUGCGGAAGGAAAAAAAGAAGGCAAGCGCCCGCUGCACUAAUUGGCAUCGACAAGACCAGGACCUAAGAUUUAGCCUGGAAUUAAUCAAUGAACUACCAAUCUGGUAGAAAACAAAUCCUAGCGCCCUCCCCUAAUGCCCCCAACUUAAUUUGUUUAAAAACAUGCUGAGUUACAUGAAUAUGCAAACAACGAGUGGGGUUGCAGCAAGAGAUCAUGGGAUUAAGAUCGUGGCACGAAAAAUAGCAGCGGCUGCAGCAGGAGAUCGUGGGGAGUUACCUGAGGAUUCAUGUUUGGCUCCGUCGUUCGGUCUUGCUGGAUUCCUGGGUUGCUCCGUCCUUCGGUCUUGCUGCUUUGGGCGGCGCAGAAGGACGAACUAUGAUCUAUGAGGUUUCAAAGGAUCCCUAUUUAUAGGGAUCGUAACAACCCGGGCAUAUAUCCACGUAUUGAAUUCUUCGGUUGGAGGAAAUCAAGGGAGGGGACCCAUCUGGUUGAAUAUUAGGGGGCGUGGAGAGUUUAGCAAAGGUAAGUUAUGGUGUAAAAAACUAAGGUAAGUUGUGUAACAACACUUAGGUCUCCUGAGAAUCACGAUCGUCAAAAAGAUAUAGUUCCCGUUUCUUUGAAAAUUAGCCAAAAGAACUGGACUGCUUUUAUUAUUGGUUAUAAGUAAAUCACUGGACCUCUUUUAGGAUGAAAACUGGUUUUAAAGUCAACUAGGAUUGAGUGUUCACACGUGAAGUAUUUUCCUCUCUCUUGUGAAGCUAUUUUAUUGCCCAUCCGUGCUCAUACCUUUUUUCCUCGUAUAUGUGAGACCAAAUUUUGUUGAUAAUACUGAAUCAUGUCUGGUGCUGCUCAAGGUGGCACGACACCAUGGUUUUUGCUUCGGUGAGAUUUUGAUGAAAUAACUGAAUUUCAUUCAUUUCAGCACUCACUUCAAUAUUUGCCUUUCGACCAAAAUAUUUCAGCCUCACUGAAUUUCGGCCAAAAUAUUUCAGCACUCGCUGAAAUUUUUUUGGAACUUCUAACUAGCGAUGUUAAAAAAAUUCUGAAACUUCUAACUAGCAACAUAAUUGUUCUGAAUCUUGUCCAGACUCCGAUGAAACUUAAAUAUAAAUUUAAGAAUCCAGUUAACCUUCCUAAGCUUCAAAUUUUCUGCUUGUAAAAAGCAAAUAUAUGUUUCAGCGUCUCCCAUGCAGACCAAAUUUAUUUCAAGAAUAGUAUUUGGAACUAGUACUGUGAAUUAUUACAACUUGAUUAAUUCACACUGGACUAAGAACAUGGCUAGGAAACCUUCUUCUGGACUAAAACCAAACCACACCCUACUCUACCGCUUCAUAACCAAAUGUACACUCCAUAUCUAAGAAUGGACCACUACUGGACUAAAUGCUUGCCUCUUCAUGAUCUUCAAUCGCAGCUGCAUCCGAUAGGCUAGCAUUGUAUGUCUUCAGCCUUUUCAUGGACUUCAAUUUGUUGUAGGGCGAGUUAAGAAGGACAACAGGCAGCUCUCUUCUAUAAUUGUCGAUGUAUGCCUACACGGGAGGAUAUGUUAGUACCGUUCCAUAUGUUUACCAAAUUGACAGAAUUUUAGGUGUUACUCUGUGUACUUGGUCAUAAUGAAGUGUAAGAUCUUGUCCCGUAAAGAAUUCGAUGUUCUUCAGCAUGUAGAGUGAACAAGAAGAACUACACAAAUUAAUUCUGUUAGCAGCAUUUCACGUAGUAACAAUGAAAAACAUAAUUAGAAGCUAAUACUGUUGAUUGACUUGUCAUCUUGUCUUGGCACAGGCACAUGUUUUACUGUCCAUUGGGUCAUGUUAAUGUCUUGCCAUGCAUGGCUUUGUGGUCCAUUGAUUCGUAGCGAUGCUCUCAGAUGUGCUUCCACCCCACGUAUCUGCCAAAGUCCAUGGUAUGAGAAGUUGCUCACGGUUCAUGGCUAGGUAUGAUGCUAAAUCCUGUGUUAUAUUGAAAGACGUUUAAAAUCUCACCAUGUGAACCACUUGUGUGCGUUCUAGGUAGCCGAAAAGUGAAUGAAGAAUCUAAAUCUCCCUCCUUCUGGGGUUUACGACCACAAGGAACCAGUGGGUGUUCGCCAUGUUCGUAGGCAGAAAAACCUGGACAGCAAAGAUGAUUACAUCAACAUGCAUAAUAAUUGGAAAAAUAAAUGUGUUUAUGUCAUGGUGAGAUGGUACCAGAUCAUGUCUGAGGUAGUUGUCUCCUUUUGUUGUUCCAUGACUGCCCGCCAAAGCGGCCUCGUGGCAGUUCUCUACCUUACCAUCUCUUUCGAGCAUAGCGACGCCGGCCACCUUCUCAACGUAAACCAGCUGCACAUCCCUUAUGUCAUUAGGAUGAUCAUGACGCAUGAACUGAAUCACAGCAUCAACCAACUAAAACAAAAUUCAAGUUCAUUGUGCCAUUCAAAAAAAUUCAAGUUAAGUGUACUGUGCAAAAGAAAAUUGAUAAACUAAUUUGGGCAAAUAUCUUACUUCGUCACCCAACCAUUUUUCAUCUUCGCCUACAUCUGUCAUGGUGAUGCAUUGAAAAUGCUUCUGUAGCAGAACAAUGUCAUAAAUUACCACCAAUUGCUUAUCAAGAUCUGAGGUGUUGAUAAUUUCGGCCACAUAACCCUGUCGAAACUUGUCAAGGUUGGUCUCCAGCAUCGAAGCACUUGUGUCUGUAUCUUUUAAAUUGCUUGCACGGUUUUUCCUCUUUGUAUUAUUUGUGUCCAUGGAAUCGUUGGUAGACUCCCAUGGAGUCCUGUUUUUCUUUCUCUUAUUAUCACUAUCAUACAGAACAAAAUCUUCAUUGCACAAUAAUGAAGAUGCCACUCUUUUCCGGCUGCUCGCACGAGUUGGUAGCAUGGAAUCAACCCCACUAUCUUGUCGCUGCUUUGCUAAAGAAUCAUCAUAGUUGUCCUCACCAACUGGGAAGAAAUGGGGCUCUUUCGUCUCCCUUAUUCCCUUAGCCUUGGCAGACCGGUGGUUGCUUUUGGUACCUGCCUCUCCACCCACCUCAGUACUGACAUCUUCAUCAUCUUGAUUUCUUCUUUCUUCAGCCUUUCGCACAUUCUCAUUGUGCCUCAAAUUCAGAGGAUCCUGUGAUUCGAAAUGAAGCACUUGUUAGCUUGCAAUCUGCGCGAAAUAAAAAAAACAAAACCAGUUAACUGUAAAAUGUGCAUCACCAGGAAAGCUUCAAGGCUUGUGGUGGCUUUGGAAUGCUUUCGCAAAUCCAAACUCGGAGCACCCUGUGAUGCAUUCACCUGUUUAUAAAGUUGUGAAACAUUCUUGAGACUCUUCUUGCAAGCUGCAGCAACAGCUCUGUCUUCUUCAUCCUGAACGUGGAAGAUCAUAUCUUAGCUACAAGUGGGAGGCAGAGAGAAAAGCGAGAAACAGAGAGGCGACUCGGAGGGCGAUGGCUAGGGUUUGCGAAGCCGUCACCUUGGCCGCCCCCGUCAUCAUCAAAUCAGCCGGAUCCGCGAGGCCACCCACUCCCCAUUGCUCCGGCCACGAUUCUCCACUGCUUCGUCGACAGCAAGGUCCGACAACGGCACCUCUUCUCCCCAAUCCUGGUCACGCUGCCCGAAGCUCCAGUGGUGCCAGCUUCGAACAAGUCUACUCCAGCCCCAUCUGGUACCACUUCGCAGGUAAGAUUGAUCUUCCCUGCCCUUCGAAUGUCGAUCUAACCUUAAUUUUGCGAUCUAGCGGCACCGCCAAAGUUAAAAUCUGACACUUGCUUGUGUGCAUGUUUCGGGUAUUCGCAGAUUUACUGUCAACUAGUAGGUCAUAUUGCAACAAGUAAUUUUACAACAAGAUAAUCCAACAAUGUACUGCGUAAUCAUGGUUUUACUUGUUCGUAUGGGUAGUAAUGGGUAAACACUUUCGUGCAAGUAAGAGAAAAAGGAGGGUGUUGGCGAGCAUACCUUGCUCGUCGACAUAGCCUUCACUAUGCUAUCAUCUUGCUUGACAGAUGCUAUCAAGUACUUUUUUCCCCUCGAAAAUGACCCCCCACUUCUAGAUAUAGAAAAAGUAUAUUCACAUGAGCAUACACAUGUUUUGGUUUUGGGGGAUAGUUUGAAGACUAUGUAUAUGUAUUUUCUGAUGCUUAGUUAUUAAAAACUAAAAAGGCGAGCACAGAAGCAGUCCAUGAGGAAAUUUGUAAUGAUGGAAUGAGGAUCAGUUAUAGUUUCAUGUAUUACUCGAUGGUAGUAUGAUGAUUAGUGCAUAUUUUGAAGGAUUUGUCAAGUAUAGACUGCUCUUGAUUGGUGCAUGUUUUUGAUGAUAUGUGCACACAUGUAAUAUUUUUGGUUGGUGCAUAUUUUUGCUGAUUGUUGUUACUGCUUACUUGAAUUAUGUCAGCCUAUCUCCAAGAUAUGGUAUGGGCUUGUUGGGGUCAAUGAAAAUUUGUUGUGAGCUAGUAGUUCACAUUGCAACAAAUUCCUCACUGUUGGAUUUUCUGCCAUUAUACUUCAUAAUCAUGAUUUUACUUGUUGGUAUGGGUAGUAAUGAGUAAAUAAAUAGCAAGUAUACAAAAGGGUGACUAUUGGUCAGCAUACCUUGCUCGUUCUCAUAGCCUUCACUAUGUUGUCAUCUUGCUUGAGAGAUUCUACCAUGUCCUUAUUCUCACUAGAAAUUGGAAAAUUAACCUCCACAGCUACCUCUAAAAAUGUUAUGUACAGCAGCAAAUGCAUUAUUUGUUUUGUUGGGACAAUUUAAAGACUUUAUAUUUAUUACCUGAUGGUACCACACAACAGCCCAUCAGGAAAUUUGCAGUGAUCAAAGGCAGAUCAGUUAUAGUUUCACGUAUUGCUCGAUGAGAGCAGUCAAUCAUGGUUCAUUUUUACAUGGCUACUAAUUGGUUGGUUACCAAGUUUUCUUGUCCAGCUCACAAAAUUGUAACCUUGAAAUAUCCUAAUUGGUUAUGUCUGUCCAAUGAUUAUGAGUCUAACCACUAGUCUUCACUAGUCGUGCGAAUAGUUGCCGAGUAGCUUUUUCGUGUAGAUGUUUAUACAUGAACUACGUACUUAGCGAGAAGUAUGCAAAAAGAUUAUUCACAUUGUAUAUGGUGCUAACAAGUCCUAAUGGAAGACUGAUUUCAUAUAUCAAUAACUAACAUUUGUUCAUUGCAAUGCAUGCAAUAGGUUGAAUGGCAAGGGAAACCAUCCUCAUUAGUAGUGAAGAGAGUGAUCACCGGACCACCUCAGAUGAUGCUUCAGAUGGCACUUCACGUGGGAGUGACGGCUAUAGUGGUGAUGACGACACCUCUAGCGACUAUGACACUAAUGAUAGUUCUGAUGGAUAUGGAGAUGUGGACCACGAUCCUAUAUUGGCACUACGGGGUAAAGUUCUAUAUGGCUGGUCAGAUAUUAAAUGGACCGUGAAAUAUCGAAAGUUGAUGUUUGAGUGACACUUGAUUACCACACAUUACUCUGUUUGGGUUCUAGAUGACCUUCCAAAUCAACAUUGACUAAACUAGAGCUUACAUAGAGGAGUGUUUAGUUGUUAGUUUAAAUAAAUCAAAUAUUCAAUUUGCCCAUGUUUCUACGAGAUAUUGCUGGGUGGAUGUGACUGGGUUAUCUAUGUCCUUCAUUUCUUGAUCAUUGGAGUAGGCAUUGAUCAUUAACCCAGUGCUGAUGUUCUAGAUCUUACGUAUGAAAUUAUUUACUACUCUGUCAUCUUAAUUUUUUUUGAUACAGGUCCGGGAUACCUUGUGAGAAAAGGAACUUUCGAGGAUCGCAUCUUCUACGGAAACCAUGUAUCGCUAAACAAAGAUCAGUGGGACUGUCUCAAAUCCAUAGUAAAGCAGUGCCAACCUCCCAUACCAUACUAUGUCAGCACCGUCACUCGCUCGGCAGUCAUCAGAGGGAAGAGCAAGAUGGUAAACACAUGGACUUUCCUUUUUGCAAAUCAUACUUCACUAGUGAAAAUGCCAUCAUGUAGAACAGAGAGGAGGACGGGCGUGGUUGUGCAAAUCAUACUUACUUUUUGUGUGCAAAUCAUACUUCAUUUUUAUGUAACAUUAUUUAUUUCCGUGUGUAAUCAGUGCUUCUCAAAGGAUUACAGUCAGGCCUACCUCAAAGAUUAUCUACGAAAGCCCAUGGUUGUGCGUGUCACCAACGAACAUUUUGAAGGUAAUAAAAAGGUCUUGUUCAAGAUGGGCAAGAAGGACGGGCGUGCGAUCAUGACAAAGAACUGGAGAGAAGUUGUUGAGGGCGCCAGAAUGAAAAAAGAUCAAAUGGCUAUCUUCAGGUUCAUGGAAAGGAGUGGAGGUGGGCUUAGGGUGAACAUGGUUAGUGGCAUGAGGAUUCGUUGACCCAUGGCAGUAGUUUGACGCUAGUUUUAUAAUCUGUAUGUACUAGCCAGUAACUGCAAGUUGGUAGUAUCAGCUUUUGGGUCCAGUAAGUGCAACUUAGUAGUAAUUGGUACUUGGUAGUAACUAGUACUUUGGUGGUAUAACUUUUGGGUCCGACUGGAUAUGAAGAUCGUCCAGUAAGUGAAACUUGGCAGUAACUUGGUGGUAGUAUGAACCCUAUGUGGCGUAAUGUACUUGCUAUGCAAGUCUAUAUAUAUAACGCACCCUAGUACCCUCCUUGAUAUAAUUACCUUUAUGGACUGCAAUUAUAUGUUCUUUUUUUGCAACAAUGAUGCUAGUAUUUUUAGAAUCAAAUCUAACCGGGUUUCAAAUGAAUUGGACACUACUUUCAUUUUUGAACGAGGUUUUUGUGUUGGCUAGUAUGAGUUAUUUUGAAAAUGCGGUUUGUAUGUGUGUCGCACAAAAAAAUGCAAUGCAAAACAAAAACUUGCGGGUCGAAAUGCAAUGCAAAAAUGAUGUUUUUGUUACUUUCGAAAUGGCAUGCUAUUUUCAAAAACAGAGCAAACCAGCAUGUUUUUUUAAUUUGAAAAAUAGUAUACUAAAAAAACAUGCUAUCUUUUAAAAAGCGUGAUUAAAAAAAUGUUGUUUUCAAAAUCAGCACGCUGCUUUCAAAACAGCAUAUUUAAAAAAGCAUGUAAUUUUUGAAAUCAGCAUGCUGUUUUAAAAACAGCCUUAUAUUUUUAAAAACAGCGUUAUAUUUUUUAAAUGAGGCUGUUAUUUUGAAAUCAGCAUGCUAUUUUUAAAAAUAACAUAUUUAAAAGAACAUGAUAUUUUUUAAAUCAGCAUGCUAUUUUAAAAGUAGCAUAUUGAAAAGAGCAUUAUAUUUUUAAAAUAAGCAUGCUAUUUUUAAAAUAAGCAUGCUAUUUUUAAAAUAAGCAUGCUAUUUUUAAAAUUAGCAUGAUAUUUUUGAAAACAACAUGCUAUUUUAAAAGUAGCAUAUUGAAAAGAGCAUUAUAUUUUUAAAAGUAGCAUGCUAUUUUUAAAAUUAGCAUGAUAUUUUUGAAAUCAGCAUGUUAUUUUGAAAGUAGCAUAUUGAAAAGAGCAUUAUAAUUUUAAAAGUAGCAUGCUAUUUUUGAAAUCAUAUUUUUAAAAUCAGCAUGCUAUUUUUAAAAUAGCAUGGUAUUUUUAAAACAGUAUAUUCAAAGCAGCAUGCUAUUUUCAAAUCCGCAUAUUCAUUCUAUUUUAUUUUCAAUUGAACAUGUUUUUUUCAAAUGAGCAUGCUAUUUUUAAAAUAUCAGUAUGUUAAUUUUCUAUUUGAAAAUAAACGAUUUUCAAGGUUAUUUGAAAACGAGGUUUCUAUUAACGUUCUAUUUUCUUAUAUAUAUAAAUUUUUGGUUUCUAUUUUAUAUUUCAAGUAUGAAAUUUGACUACACUUUGAACAAAUUUUAGCAAUAUAUUAUGUAAAAAAUGAAAAAAAAAUACAGAAAACCAACUUCACUAAAAAUGCAUUGUUUCAUCGAUGUUAAUAAAUCAUAACUAGCCUACCAUGUCGACCCGUCCAUAAUAAAAUGAGGGUGUACCAAUCGAAUGAGGAAUUCAGAAAAAUAGUGGCAGUCCAUCAAAUAGGUCUAAUACAUCAGAAACAAGGUGGAUCACGGCAUGGAAAACUAUCUACUUUAGUUUGUUCUCAUUUUUUUGACCCUAGAAAUCCUUUUGUUUUCUCUGCUUGACCCUAUGCAUCUAAACAUCCUGUCUCGACUUCACUUUAGCUUUCCUGCAUGAAACAACGUUUGUUAAUAGGAUAGUAAGGAAGAUUUGAGCAUGUACCGUACACUAUAAUAGAAAAGACACUAACUUCACUGAUUUUCUCGUCAUAGCUACAGAAGCUAACUUGACAGCUCUUAUUCACUCAGCCUGUGGUACAUCCUAGCAGGCCUUUUUGUCUUCAUCACCCCUUUGGUCUGUUCUUUACCGCCCUUCCUAGAGUCUUUCCUGGAAAAGUUAACAAACGUCAACACAGUACUAGCAAAUACCCGACUUCUAGAGCGGAUAUGUAAGUACAAACACUAACUUCACUGGUUUUCCUCGCGCACCCUUGGCAUCGUUCUUUUUCUUUCUCCCAACAUUGACAUUUGGAGCGCCCUUGCGUUUCCUACAAAAAAUGAAAUAGAUGAAUCUGCAGCCAGCAUUCAAAAACAUGUUUAAGUACACACAAUUGUACUAAUGCCCACUUGUUUGGUUUUGCGUAAUCCUCUUCUGCAACCUCCAAUUGUCUCUUCCUCAGGGCCGGGCCGGCAAAUUCUGGGGCCCUGUGCAAAAUUAAAAAAUGAGGCCCUAUGUCACUAGAUAUUUUUUCAUUCAAAAAACAUCUCACUAGAAAAAAUGAACUAGCUAGCGAGAAAUUAUAGUGUAUAUGACAUAGUGUCUUACUCUCUUAGAGGCCAUGCCUCAAUAUUUGGCAAUUAGACGAACCAUCUAGCUCACCUACUCCCGUGUCCUGUCUGGUUGAACUACUAUAGUGUGAUAUUUAACCGAGGAGGCAAGAACUGAUCUCUAACGCUUCUUGCCAAUUAAUUAGAAAUUAGGAGUAGGAGUAGGAGCUGAAGUUAAUCAGGAAGGAGGAUUUUACAUACUGUAACUGUGAAUUUUUGCCUUAACCUUCCUACUAAAGUCAUAAUCUUCUAGAUCAUCUACGUUUUGAAACCUAUACAAAGUCUUGGAUCAUUAGAACUGAGCAAACUCAUCUAGGUAGCUACAGUACAGUCGUACAUAUCUUCCAUUGUAUGGUCGUGAUUUAUUGAUUAUUCACAUGUAAUGGUCUAACAAACAUGCAUAAUAACACAAACGGCUGAUGCCAUGGACAAAAAGUCGGACGAAUCAUCGGGUUCUAGCACUAACCUGCGCUCAGCGGCAGGCUACCUAUUUUGCUUGAGAGGAACUGUCCCGUGUCGCCCGUCGCUGGCGCUCUGGAGUCUGGAUGCCGAUUUUGUUUUGACGAGAGGAGAGGAACUGUCGCUGACUCGCCGUGCUACCCGUCGCGGACUGCCAGUCCCGUUUCUGAUCCGAUGAUCCCGUUUCAUGUUGGCUGUAGCAAAGCGAAGGGGCCUGGGCAUGUAUGCACGUUGGAUUCAGACCUUUGGAGAUCGAUCUCGUUUCCUUUUUUUCUUUUUGAGACUAGUAAGCAUGCACGUGCAACACACGUCUCGCUUAAAUAUGUUCUACUAUGAAACUUAAUAAUUCUGUCAUAACAUAAAUCUACAUUUUUAGCAGCUACAAUCUCACGUAAAAAGCAUAUAAUUCCGAACUCGUACAAAUGACUGGAAAUAUUGUACUUUAUAAAUCAACAGGCCCAUGUCCAUUGCUUAGCAAAUACCUCAGUCCGUCAAGAAAAUUUAAUUGUGGCCUAUGGCCAUGCAUGCACCCCUAGCUAGUGCAUCUCGACAACAAGGCCAUGACCAAACAUCUCGCCAGCAUCCACAGUGCCAUAUAGAUAUUCAUGUAUCACAAACAAAAUUGUUUCUCAUAUAUCACAUCCAUGACCUCUUAAACUAUAUAAUUGACAUAAUUCACCAGUUAUUUCAAUCUUAAAGUCAUCAUUGCAUCCAAACUGAAGUAAAUUUGAGUUGCUCAAAAAAAAGUUGCUCAAAAAAAAACUGAAGUAAAUUUGAGGUGUAAUAUUUCCAACCAAGAAAAAUACAUUUUCAUUCUUAUUUUCUUCUAGGUCGUGCCUAUGAGUGGGCCAUUGCCAAUAAGCACCAGGAAAAAAGAUAUGCAAGUGUGUGUACAGAGGCAAUGAAAAUUAAUUAGUAGUUUCCACAUAAGCUGAUCAAAUAAAAUAAUCCGUCAACGUUCUGAGAUACAAGUUUGUCCACCAAAGAAACAAAACAUUGCUAGUCAGCAAACCAAGCUGCAGCACCUGUGGUUGUUCCAAGCAAAAUCAGGUACCCGUGAAACCAGCCACAGAGACAAAGCAGAUGCCCAAACCGCUGAAGGUAGAAACAUGCUUACUCAUAAUCUAGAGGCAUUUUGUGGUCAUUUAGUGUUCAUCCUUCCAUGGCAAGGUCCAAAGCAACGAAGGUACUUGCAACUUGAUAUUUGGAAGCUCGCCAUGUAUCUGGCUCCUUUUUUUGCGAUCGCAAAAAAAUCAAUCUCUAGGAGAGUAUUAACACAUAUCACUGAUAAUGAACAUAACUCUGCAAAGAAAAAGGAAAAAGUGAGAAGGAGAUUAAUAAACGUAGCUGUACAUAUGCUACAUAAAUUUCCAUCUAAUAUUCUCACCUUGGUCCCGGUCUGCAGUAUGUCGUCUUGCCCAUCCAGCCUGAACUGAUAGAGAAAGUUCCAUGUGGCACUUCAUUUAUGAGGAUAUAACAUGAGUCAACAACAAAUUUAUCAUUGUUAUUCAUGGCAAGAUAAUAGAUCAUUCAUAAAUAUAUAUUUUGUUGGAUGUUGAUUACUGGAAAGUAAUACCAAUAUGGGCUUACAAAUUUGGGCAUGCUUCUUUUCACCGACGACACCUAUUAGCAGAGGUAAAUCAUAAUAUUAUAGACAUAUGUUACUAAUAGAAAAUACUACUUUUCUUUUUAUAUUACUUAAAUUAGAACAAUCAAUUUCUUCCAUGUCCCGAAACUUCUCAUUGAGCCUCUCCAUUUAACUCAGUAAUUUUGGGUUAUGGUAAAAUCAUGGGUUUUCAACAAAAUAAAAACAAACAAGACCAAUAAGAAAGAAAACUUAAAAAUUCAAGCCUAUCAGACAAUCAUGCACCUCCGGUGGCAUGUCGACAAUCAGACAUACCAAAACCUUUGGUCCUAAUUUUUUCCCCAAUACAAUGUGUGAAACAACAAAUAAUAACCUUGUGUGUGUGUGUGAAACAACAAAUAAUAACCUUCAUGCCAGCAAUGCAUAUUAAUAUUAGAAGAUCAAAAUGUGUUUCACUGUGUAACAUUUCCAUUGCAUGUACAUAACAUGCUAUGCAUCAAAUCCCCCUGCACAAGAUUCCUCUGUCAUGGCCACACUCGUAUCCAGUGGUGGUGGAGUAGCCUAGGACGUGAAGCAGGGAAAGGGGCACAACAUACCGGUGCGGCCGGCGACGGCGGAGACACAACGGACUGCUCGGCCUCCUCGUCCCCACAAUGCUUUAACUAUCUUGGAUAUCUUUCAAAAAGAAUGCCAAUGAGGGUAUCAGUUGCUACAAAUUCAUGACUUCAAAGAAACACAAUAACCCAUUAGAUGGUUCAGUACAAAUCAUUUCUUCACUUGCAGUACCAUGUAAAACAUUGAAUAGGUAUGCAUCACUCAUCAUUUCAAAAAGACUUCAAACAAAAACAUUCAACACCUCUGACUCCACAAAGACUUAAGAAAUUAGGGUGCCUAAAUCUUUAUGCAGAACUGGAUACAUCUUACUUAUUAGUUAGCCAACCACCGUAUCCAAGUGGCCCAAUUACGUGAAUACAAUCAGUAUCAAUCAUAAGUAUGAAGCAUGAAACUUUCUGAAAUGAUCAGUACUUAUUAGGUCUCAAACUAUACAUAUAGAAACUUGAGACUGCAGACAUGAACGGUCGACUCUGAAACUCCACUCAAAUCACCACAUUAUCUAAGCAUGCUCAGUUAGCAACAGUAAAACAAAUUACAGAAUCUGAAACCUCACACAUUAUUUAGAGAGUACCUUAUUUUCUGUUCUUGCUACACUGGAAUCAAUGUACACUCUGAAUGAAAAAUAACAAACACUUGAUUGAUAUGGUCAUCAUAUAUGAAAUAAGACAGUAUGUGACAAACUAUAUAAAGCCGUAGAUUUUGAUGUACUACUAAUAUUUGGUCAUCCAAACUCAUAUAAUAGUUCCUCACCUGCAAAUCCUCCAGUAGUUGUGCUGACAUAUGAAACAUCUUCUUGAUCUCCCUAAGCUGAAUUCUAUGAUAGCACAGAGCUGAACUCGAAAAAUAAAAUCACACCACAGGACAUCUACAGGCUAUUUUUACAUGAAAUGAGACUCGAAAACACAUACAAAGGAAAAGGGGACACCUGUUUAAAUAAGCCAUUGAAAGCAGGCUACACAGAGCUCGACAUAUCGCCUUGCGAACCUAGCUCAAUAUCAGCAUUUCUUCGGGCCCAAUCCUCUUUGCUGGUCUCAAAUUAGUCAUGUUAAAUUUCACAAAAUAAAUGUCCUUGCAAGAUUCACAAUUCAAAUCCUUUGUGCAUUCUAACCAAGAAGAUGGAAUUCAAUCUUCGGUGAGGAUUGAAUCCUAGUGUCAUAAGUAAUACAUAUAUAAACAUCAGUAGCAUCAGAGAUUGCUCACAAGGGCAACGCUGCACACCAUGCUAUUUCUGUACUCAAGGAUCACAAAAUAACAUCAUAUAAAGAAUACAGAGGAAACCACAUACAGGGAGCAAAUCAUCAUCUAGUCGACAUAGAAAUUAGUCUGCUACUUCUCUUUGCCAGCUCAACAUUACCAAUGUUCUUCUGUGCCAUCAGCAGAAAAAAGAACAAAGAGAGAUGAAAUUCAGUUUGCAUCCAAAGCUCUCUUCAUUCCCCACGGCCGGAGGUCUCCCCGUCCCCAAAACAUGCCUCCGCCAGCAGAGCACCCGUGCUUGCCGUUCCUCGUUGUCCCCUUGCCGUUCCACCGGAGUUCCCCACCAGUCCACCGUCACGGGCUCACAGCGACCCCGGCGGGGCAGAGAGAGGGAGGGAGGAAGGGAGAGAGGGAAGAUAUGUACCUAGACAGCACCAAUGCCCUUGCUCAGCCGCCGCCGCCCGGAUCCAAAUCGCCACUGCUGCCCCGAUCCAGGACAGUAGGAUGAGAUCCCGAGGAUAGAGUCAGGUGGCAACGACUGCCAUGGCCGAAGUGCAUUAGGCACGCCGGAGUGGGGCGCAAUGGUGAUAGCCUUGUGUCAAGGAGGCGGUGGAGAUGGCGGCGGCGGCACGGGAGAUCGGCAGCGCUGGGCUCGCUUGGUGGCGAUAUGGUGGGGGGGGGACUGUGGGGGCGGCACGAUUUGGGAAGAUGGAAAGGACGGACGGGAGCAGAGGAAUUAGUGGGAUUUUCAGAUUUGAUCCGCGUGGUGAGCGGGCCGUGCGGAUCGGGGGCGCGGAGCGCUUCGACGAUUGGCAGACCACCGGCGUCUGCUGGCAGAACAUUUGAUCCUAGUCGUCGAUCUGGUUAAUAGAUUAUUGACGUAAUAUGGGCGGUAGGAUAUGUGUAAGUUGAUUUGAUCCGAAGGCUCUGACUAUCUUGUGUACAGUUUGUUGUGUGGUUUUAGGAGAACUUAUGUUUGCUCUUUUAAUAGUAGUAGAGAUAAUCACCUUGACUCACCUGGACGCGGCAGUGGCCCAACACCAUGCGGGCUAGCGCCCAGGAUUCUUUUUUUAGCGACAUCGCCAAGGAUAGGCCUGUAUAAAAAUUUGGGGCCCCUCAAUUUUAUGGGCCCUGUGCGGGCUCACAGUUUGCACAACUAUGGGCCCGGCCCUGCUCUUCCUAGCCCUCCUCAGUCCACCAUCUUUUGCAUCUGAAUCUUCGUCUUCUUUCGCAUAUGAAUCUUCCUCUUCUUCCGCAUCUGAAACUCCCUCUUCUUCUGCAUCUGAAUCUUCCUCUUCUUCUGUAUCUACCUUUGUCUCUUCUUCUGUAUCUGCCUCUGUCUCUUCUUUUUGCUUCUUCCUCCUUGUGCUAUUUGAUUUCCCCGAUUUUUUCCUGCAUAAAUUGAAGAAAAACAUGUGAACACUCUUCGGGAGAACAUAUUAACACUGUAAGCAUGUAUGGAAAUGAACAAUGAGAUUAACAUGUGCACUAACUUCAUUGCUUUUUUGGAUCUUCCUCUUCUUCUGUAUCUGAAUCUGUGUCUUCUUCUGUCUCUAAGUCUUUCUCUUUUCGCUUCUUCCUUCUUGUGACCUUUGAUUUCCCCGAUUUGUUCCUGAGUAAAUUGAAGAAAAAGAGAGAACAUAUUAACAUUGUAAGCAUGUAUGGAAAUGAACAAUGAGAUAAACAUGUGCACUAACUUCGUUGCUUUUUUUCCCUCUCAUCCGCUCGCGCCUAGAUUUAAUCCUCUUGUUCGAUUCUUCGGUAGUUGGUCUCCCUUUCGAAACUAUUUUGAUUGGAUUUUCCACGUCAUCAGUGCAGCAUUCGCGAGCAACAGAGAAGUAUGCCGGCAAAGGAACAAACGAUUUAUGGCUUCAUCCAAAUCAGUUUUUUCUCCAUCAACCAAUAUACUCCGGAGGAGCUCCAUCACCUAUUCUGACUGUGAAUCACUAGUUGCGGCUGUGAAUAGAGCAUCACUAGCCAUGUUGCGUAGUUGAUGAUACUUAUUCAUGUGAUCAGACCAUACAUGAGUAUUCGCAGUCCUCGAAGAAGGGAACGCUGGCUUGGCAUGCAUUGUCCAUCUUUUCUUGACAUUUUUUUUGGAAAUGUGCGUACACCAAGAUGAUCCAGAAUGCAGAAUAUAUGUGCGCAUGGGUAAUCGUGACUUUCCAACUUUUUACAUUUACAAGCUGCAUCAUCCAGUCUUGCUCCUCUAAAAGACAAGUCACGUGAUAUAUAAAAUCCACAGGCUUAGCAUCCACGCCUUGUGCAUCCAACUCCUCACUGUCCUUACCUUCCAAGUCAUUGGGAUCCUUAGCAUCCAGGUUCUUGGCAUGCAAGUCCACACCAUCCUUGCCUUCCAAGUCAUUGGGAUCCUCAACAUCUAAGUUUUUUGCAUGCAAGUCCUCAGCAUCCUUACCUUCCAAGUCAUUGGGAUCCUUAGCAUCCAAGUUUUUUGCAUGCAAGUCCUCAGCAUCCUUACCAUCCAAGUCAUUGGGAUCCUCAUCAUCCAAUUUUUUGCAUGCAAGUCCUCAGCAUCCUUACCUUGCUUACCUUGCAAUUCUGUAGCAUCCCUGUCAUAUGGGACUUUAUCAUAUGGGGCUUUGCGCAAAACUCCAAACACGACCAAACCAUCACAUGCUACCCGGUCCGUGACCUGCCAAUUUGUCCCUUCGACAAUCUGACGCUUUACCUUUGGAAACAUCACAGUUGUAUAAAUAUAAGAGGCAGCAAUCUCCAGAGGGUGUGCAUUCAGCUUAGUGAAGGGUAUCGUAUGUGUUGCUACUGUGUCUAAUGCUGCUUCAUUCUUACGCAUUAUGGAUACACAGUGCUCAACAUGCUGCAACAAAUCAACAAGCUGCAUCCUCCUGUUCAGGUGCACAUGAAGCCUUGAGUUGAGAGACUCACUCCUCUGAUUACUCAUCAUUCCUAGGAAAUAUCUACCCUUUGUGUCCGCGGCAUCCCAUUUGUGUCGCAGUUCGUACAUCCUGUUAACCCAUGACGACCUCUUCCCCGUUGGUUUUAUUUUGAACUGAACCUUAUAAGUCUCCCAUCUUUUCUCAAACUCAUCAACAUCCCAACGACGGUAAAUUCCCUAAAUUCCUAAAGCUUUUUCUUGCGGAGGUGCAUCACCAUAUUCUCCUCGAUAUGCCACGUGCACAAACGAUGAUAUGUUCCAGUCCAGACAGUAGCUAUUGCUUUAGCCAUUGAACCGUCCCCAUCGGUGAUUGCUGAAAUGGGUGCCGUUUGGGACAUUGCCUCCAAAAAUACAUGAAGAAGCCACUGGUAUGAUGCAACUGUCUUGUUUGACACUAGACCGACCCCAAACAAAACUGUGAUGCGGUGAUGGUUCAGACCAACAAAUGAAACAAACGGAAGCUUGUACUUGUUAGACCGGUAUGUACUAUCGAACACCACGACACCAUCAAAGGCAACAUAGUCAAUCCGGGAUUGUGAAUCAGCCUAGAAUAUGUUCCUCAAAUGGCCUUCUUUGUCUUUUGUGUAUUUGAAAAAGAAUUUCGGGUCUGCUUUUUCUGUGCAAUCAUAUAGGUGAGAAAAUAUCUAGCGUCACUGCCUUCUAUCGUGCGCUUCUUCUGGAUUGAAACAUCACUACUAGGGAAAAGCCUAGCAGUAGCGCGGGUUUUAGGCCUAUCAGUAGCACGGGAUGGAGCGCUACUGGUACGGUGCUACAGCUAAAGGUUAGCAGUAGCAUGCCUCAACCCACGCUACUGCUAAAUCGACUUAGUAGUAGCGCUUUCCCAGAGGAGCGCUACUGGUAAUUGGUAGUAGCGCUUCUCCCUGCCCGCGCUACUACUAUUAUUUCGUAUUUUAUUUCUUUUUUAUUUCAUGUUGUAUUCAUACACCUUUACACAAGUUUUUAUACAAUAGGAAUUUAGAGAUUGUUUUUACAUCAUAAUGAGUUAUUACAUCACGGGGUGAAAGAACCGUGGACUGGAUGUCCAUCCACUUGAAACUAAUCUACGGUUCUUUCACCCAAUGAUAUAAUAAAUAUCAUCAUCAUCAUCAUCAUCAUAUCAUUAACAACUUAUCAUCAUAAUACAUCAUUGUCAUAUAAAACCUCCUCAAGAUCACCGUUUUCAUCAAUGAGACAUCACAUAGCAAAUUGGUCACUAGUCGUAAUCACAAGUACUCCUAUCAUCAACUCUAACACAUUGUACCACAUAAUAAACAUAUUGUACCUCAUAGUACCUAGUACAUUCUCUUAGGACCUACUAUAUUCUCUAAGGUAAAAUAGCAAAAAAACAAGAUAGCCCCUGACUCUCCAUUAUGGAGAAUGGAGAUUAUCCUGUCUCCAAUUCUUGCCUUUCGCUUAAUGUUACUUCCAUGAACCUCCUUGCGAAUGUCCAAACAUUUUUUCCAUUCUUUGAUUAGCAUGUGUUCACUGGUUUUAGAAAUCUGAUAUGCACAGGUAAGAUCCGUAGAUUGACCUGGCUGUAUGUUCAGAACUGCAAGGUGACCAUUCUGAUACAUCAGAUGAGGCACACAAUCUAUCGGGAUUUUCUGUUUAAAAACAUAGUAAUAACUUCGCAGUUAGCAAUGAUGUACUAGUUUUAGAAGUAUGCAAAAGAUGCACGGAUGCCAUAAUAGUAAAAAAUCUUACCAGGGUAUCUCCAUAGAAGUUACCGUGGUUCAACAUGUGCACUAGUGGCAUGUAUUCACCAUAAUUUGGAGGAGUUCGAUAAUAGGUAUUGUAAUUCUCAAGAUAAGUACAAAAUGCGAUCAGAUGACUUUUCUCCUUAUAAGUUAAUUCGGAGCCAUCAGUGUAGUGGGUUUUGUCUACCAUCUUCCGCACAUUCUUUGAAGAAUCAAAAUGAGUUGUCAAUGGAAAUAAGCUGUCAACUAUUUUGAAAUAAACAAUAUAAAUUAGUUAAUAACUAUCUUUGAGAAACUCACAUUGCGGUAGAAUCGGAAGCGUAUCAACAAGGACCCAAAUGUCCAUAUUGUCUUGCUUGAUGUCAGGAUCACCAAGAUACAUGGUGACAAUCAUACCCUCAUAAAUAUCAUACAUUUUGCAAAGUGCUUCCCAAUUUUGGCAACCAAAAUGGGUUACGCUCUGAGAAUUGUACAGAUUUACUUCAAAAUCCAUAUCAUGAUGGGUCCUUAGGUGUAUUUUCUUUGUUUCAAAAUUUUCAUGGUCUUCAAAACCCAUCCUCUCCAAGACAUAGCGUCUUGCAUGGCAUGGGAUAAGCUAGUCGAAUUGUAAAAGAUGAAAAUUAGACGUUGAAAUAGUUGAAGUCAUGCUUAAUUAUGAAAAAAAACACUUGUCGUCGUUGCGUACCGUUUCAACAUCAAAGGUCUCCUCGAGCUUAAUGUUGAAGCGUUGAUCUUCGUCCAACUAAAGGAACCUGUCGCACAGACCUCGAUCAUCGUGGCACCAGCUGCACUCCCCCGGGAGACUGUCGUCGUCCGAGUACGACAUUUCCUACGUUCAUAAUUCAAAGAUUAAACUUGUACAAUUAAAUAUAUGUACUAAAAAACCUAAAUUAGAUCAUUAUUUUUGAGAAAAUCCAGGCCACUUGAUAUUUCCUACAUAUUAUAGCACAAGUCAUGCCAGAAUUCACGGAAAAAUCCGGCAUGACAUUUGCCGGAAUGGAAAUUAAUCAACACUCCGGCAAAACAUAGGCCACUCGGAGGUGUAACCUGAACAUGACCGGCCACUUGGGCAACCACAUAUCCUAUUUGAGCAACACAAGAUAUACAUGGAGAUUUGGCUGGUCUCACCUCGAGGUCGGAGGGGGUCGGUGACGGGGACGACGGUGGGGAUGAUGGAGGGGCUCCUUGAUUUCUACAAAAGCAAAAACCCUAUAAGUUAUCACUAAUACAUCCCGAAUAAUUGUUCAACUAGUUCUAUAAAUUCAACUAGUUCUUACUAAAUAUAAACUUACUAUAAAUAAAAAAACUAGUUCUUUCUAAAAAUAAAGUAGUUCAACUAGUUAUAUUAAUUAUCUUACUAAAAUUACAUUAGCUCUAUUAAUUCAACUAGUUCAACUAGUUUAUUAAUUUACUUACUAAACUAGUUCAACUAAAACUAAACUAAUUCAACUAGUUUAUUAAUUUACUUACUAAACUAGUUCAACUAAAACUAAACUAGUUCAACUAGUUUAUUAAUUUACUUACUAAACUAGUUCAACUAAAACUAAACUAGUUCAACUAGUUUAUUAAUUUACUUACUAAACUAGUUCAACUAAAACUAAACUAGUUCAACUAGNNNNNNNNNNNNNNNNNNNNNNNNNNNNNNNNNNNNNNNNNNNNNNNNNNNNNNNNNNNNNNNNNNNNNNNNNNNNNNNNNNNNNNNNNNNNNNNNNNNNNNNNNNNNNNNNNNNNNNNNNNNNNNNNNNNNNNNNNNNNNNNNNNNNNNNNNNNNNNNNNNNNNNNNNNNNNNNNNNNNNNNNNNNNNNNNNNNNNNNNNNNNNNNNNNNNNNNNNNNNNNNNNNNNNNNNNNNNNNNNNNNNNNNNNNNNNNNNNNNNNNNNNNNNNNNNNNNNNNNNNNNNNNNNNNNNNNNNNNNNNNNNNNNNNNNNNNNNNNNNNNNNNNNNNNNNNNNNNNNNNNNNNNNNNNNNNNNNNNNNNNNNNNNNNNNNNNNNNNNNNNNNNNNNNNNCUACUACUAAUUAACAUCUACUACUACUAAAAAUCAUUAUCUAUGAACCCUAAAUUAACAUCUACUACUACUAAAAAACAUCUAAUACUAACUAAGCAGAGAGAAAGGGGGUGGGAGAGGGGUGGGGGCUUACAAAGAGAGGAGAGACGGUGGCGGGGAGGUGCUCGGCGACGGAGAGGUAGGGGCGGCGAGGACAGGCUCGGGAUCGGGAGGCAGCGGUGCAGGGCGGGCUCGGGCGGCGGCGGUGAGAUCGAGGGCGGCGGCGGUGAGGUCGAGGGCGGCGACGGUGAGGUCGAGAGCGGCGGAGGGCGGCGGCGAUGAGGUUGAGGGCGGCCUCGGGCGGCGGCGGUGAGGGCAGGCUCGGGCGGUGACGAUAGAGGAGUAGGGGAACAGGAGGGAAUGGAGGACUUAGCAAAAUUUUGAGCCCGCGGGUGGUUAAGUCGAACUAGCAGUAGCGCACUUUAGUAAGCGCACUAUAGCUAACUUAGCAAUAGCGUGUUUUACAUAAAAACUCUACUGAUAAGUCUAAACUUAAUUAGGUGCAAUACUUAAUAGUAGCGAGUUUUGAAGAAAAACGUUGGUACUAAGUACUUUAGCAGCAGCGCGUCCAGGGAAGGGCGCUACUACUAUAUCUAGCCUGGAGGCAAGCCGUGGCAAUUAUAGUAGUAGCGCUUGUUUCAUCUAGGGCGCUACUGCUACCGCGUUAUUAGUAGCGAGCUUUCGUCAAGCUCGCUACUGCUAAUUAGCAGUAGCGUUUGUUUUUAAACCGCGCUGCUACUAAGAUUCUGUGUAUAAGGUUUUCCCUAGUAGUGCAUGGUUGUAUAGGUAUCGAUCUAUAAAUCCAAGCUUGUCGGGACCUCCGACAUUCUUCUCCAUUACAUUCAUAAUCUGAUGUGUUUGAAGUCCACCAACAACAUACUCGAUGACAUCGGCCUUUGGUGCGUCAGCCAUUCUACGAUGAGCCGAUAAGUACGGAGUCAGGUCAGCAGGGACAAACAGAUGGUUAUGCUUGUCCACCAAAUUCCGAACGAACCAGAGGCCACUACUAUCUUGUAGCUCAACCUGAAAAAGAGCGGGACACCCACACCGAGAAAGACCCCUCAGUGUUCUUUUUCUAUCAACUCUGUUAAAGUGCUUAAGGGUCCACCAUCCUUGUUUGCAGCACUUGUAUGUCCUUCUGUAUGCAUUUUGUUUCGGACCCGGACCCAUGUACUUCAGAUCAUCCUUUCUAACACCAAACCCUUUUUUUCUCGCAUAGCCUACGUAGAAUAUGUAGGCUUCUUCCUCAGUCCUGAAAGUCUUGUUCACAAUCUCUAUGUAUUCCAUACACUCAUUCAGAUCUGAACCAACCAUGCCUUUAAUAUCAAUUCCUUUACCUUGCAUGUGUACAUCAUCCAGGUCUAUGUCAUCCUUGCCUGCAUCCUCAUUAUCGUUAUCAUCCGUGUGCAUACCAUCCAUUCAUUUGCCUUCGUUUCGUCUAUCAUCCAUGUCCUUGUCAUCCUUGCCUCUAUUCCCCAAGUUUUUGCCAUCGUUGCCUUUAUCAUCCAUGUCGUUAUGCUGCCAACGAAAACAGAUAGUCAAUGUUACGGAUGGAUAGCAUACAUAAUAAUUAUGCAAUACUCUGCCUAAAUAAUUGAUUUAAUUUUUCAUAUCGGAUUCAUGUACCAAACUCAGUCCUUCAAAAGCUGUAAGUAAGUAUAAAAUAUUCCCUGACUAAAUCCAGAAAUAUUUAAUUGAUUGUACUUGUUGUAACUGAUGAUCUCCUAACUAAAUCCAAAGUGCACGAAUCUUUCAAGUCCCCUGAUAGAUCAAUUAUCUGCAAAUCCAUUCAAAAUUGUGUCCUAACUGAAUCCAAAAUUAUCACCUAACUAAAUCCAAAUUAUCUCCUCAAUAAGUCGAAAAUAUCUCCAAACUCCAUACAAAAAUAAUUAUCUCCUAACUAAAUCCAAAAUAUCUCGAAACUCAAUUCAAAAGCAUCUCCUAACUAAAUCCAAAAUAACUUUCUUUAAAUCCAAAUCGGCUGACAAAUUCUCAUGGCACACAACCCUAACUAAGUGCUUCAAUAUGUCCUAGCUAAAUCCGACUUACACUUCCUUUGAAUCAAAAUCUUGUCACAACUUUCUGAAACCAUAAACCCUAACUAACUACAUCAACAUGUCCUAGCUAAAUCCAACUUACAUUCCCUUUUAAUCAAAAUCUCAUCACAACUUUCUGAAACCAUAAACCCUAAACCUCACAUGACAUAUCCUAAACCCUAAUCAAAUCCGACCCCUAUUGGUACUAUAUGCAUAAGGGACCAGCAAAGAUUUGAGAUGGCUAGGCACUUACAGCAAAGAUCCGGCGUGAAAAAGUUGAUGCACGUCGAUGAGGAUGAUGUGGCCUCUCAGGUCGGGGAAGGUGGCGUCCGCUCGGGGAAGGAGGGGAGGCUUGUCGGAAGAUCUGGCGUCGCGACCCGAGUGGGGUGAUUUGCGAUGGAGGGGGGAGGGGGGAGUAGGAGCAGGAGGAAGGAGUGACACGGUGAGUGCGGUUGGCGGCGAUCGGCGGUGAUCGAGGGCGCCGGAGGCGAUCGGCGGCGAUCAAGGGCGCUGAGGUUAGGGCUCGAGAGGAGGAAAGAGGACGAACCGCUCGAACCAAAUUUCAAAAGAGUACGCACGAUGAUUGGACCUCUAUAAUGAAGUGUUUUAUUAAUGCAAUUAAUUUAAUCAAAAAAAUUCGGACCAGAAUACCCCUGGAUUUAAUUGGACCGAUUAAAGGUACAAAAAAAUUAGGUCGAAAAUACCCUUGGGCUAAAAAAGGCCCAGUUAUUCUAAUCCAUUAGAUCGCCCAUAUAAUACACGUGAUUUGGUGUAUUAUGAUGCACCGUAAAAUUUCCCUUUUUCUUUUGUUAUUACAGUCCUAUUGUCUCUACAACUGUCUGAAAUUUCUGUACUACUUACGCACUUGCAGGGGGGUUGGUACCAAUUCCAUUCUUGAGGCGAUACACGAUGAAUCAAUGUCCGAUCCACGGGAAAUAAUUGAGGUGGCACAACGCCAAUCCCUAUACCGGCCGUCUCUCCUCGGCCAGCGUAAAGGCGAUAUCAAGAUGUAGUAGUUGCAGCCUUUAUUUAUGCAGAAAUAUUGCGAGUUUCCACAAUUUGCGAGUUAAUUACACGAUAGUACCACAAUUGGGGCCGUGGUGGCGAAUUGGUACCAGUUUUGAAAAUUUUUACGUGUCAGUGCCACGUUUGGACCGAACCGUUGCAAAUCGGGCUAAACUUCGUAUUUGUACGUAUUGACGCUGGAACUGACCGCCCGGGCCCGCGCGUCAGAUGCCACGCUGGCGAAUCGGCACUCGCCCGCUCGCUCGAUAGGUGCGGUCCGGCUCGAACCGGACCGGCCCGUGCUCCACUCUGUUCCUCCUCGCUCCUGCCUUAUGCCUGGCGCGUGAGGCCUCAUCCCCGCCGGCGACCACAACCAGGCCGUUGCCCUCACCUGUGCCCUUUCCUUCGGCCGGGCUUGGCGACGGGGAGGGUGUGGAUGCGGUCCUCGCCGGAGAAGGAACGACGACGGGUUGGCGGGGUCGAAGGAUCCGGGCGGAGGCGGUACUUGACGGCAGAGGCGACGCGAGGGGUCGAGGCAUCCUGGUACAGAGAGAGAGAAGGUUCAAGGAGGGGGAGACGGGGAGAAGAAAAAGAGGGGCGGCACGACUCGCCUGGUUGCCAGGUCCGGCCAGCGGGGCGACGGGGAUGGACCGGGAACGGCGGAAUCCGGCCGGGUCCUGGGCAAGGACGGCGGCUGCUGCAUCAGGGACCGAGCGGGAGCUCGGGACGGGGGCGUCCCUUGGGCGUAGGACGAGAAGGGAGCACAGGGAGGCGAGGCGGCGCGACGAACUGCGGAGGCGACAGCCUUGGCUCCAGCGGGUGGCUCCGGCGAGCUGGUGACGAGGAGGUCGGGGCGCCCUUCUCCUGGCGCCAUGGGUGGGAACUCCUACAGGACAGAGACAACAGAGAGAGACAAGUGAGGGGGAGAGAGAGCUAGAGGAAAGAGGGGAUGGAGGAAAGGGCACAGGGGGUGAGGGCAACGACCUGGUUGGGGUCGCCGGCGGGGAUGAGGCCUCACGCGCGAGGCAUAAGGCAGGAGCGAGGAGGAACAGAGUGGAGCACGGGCCGGUCCGGUUCGAGCCGGACCGCACCUAUCGAGCGAGCGGGCGCGUGUCGAUUCGCCAGCGUGGCAUCUGACGCGCGGGCCCGGGCGGUCAGUUCCAGCGUCAAUACGUACAAAUACGAAGUUUAGCCCGAUUUGCAACGGUUCGGUCCAAACGUGGUACUGACACGUAAAAUUUUUUAAAACUGGUACGAAUUCGCCACCACGGCCCCAAUUGUGGUACUAUCGUGUAAUUAACUCACAAUUUGCUGAUCCUUCUGUCGGUGUACCCCGCAAGUGCAUAUUUGUAGUAUACAUAUGCUUAUAUGUUGUACGAGAUGAGAUUUUUUUAAUGGGAUUUUUGCAUUCGUGCCCCUAGUUGGGUCACGCUCGACUGAUUUGCCCCUAGUUUUCCAACAAUUGCGGUUUUGCCCAGUUCACUUCACUCGCCUUGUGUUUUUGCCCUUCCGGGACGGUUCCGACCAAUCACGGUUCGCCACGUGGCGACUGCUCAUUGGUCAGAAACGCCCGGGCAAAAACACAAGGCGAGUGAAGUGAGCUGGGCAAAACCGCAAUUGUUGAAAAACUAGGGGCAAAUCAGUCGAGCGUGACCCAACUAAAGGCACCAAUACAAUUGUUCCUUUUUUAAUAGCAAGGUGAUAUAAAGUUCUUAUCGUCCGAGUUGACGCCCACCUGUAUAUACAACCCUUGAUUUAAUUGCAU